CUGAGAUGGCUCAGUCCAAGCCCUUAUCUGUAAUACCAUCUUUCCGGCGUUCUCUCCUCAACCCUCGACAUCCAGGCUCCUAUGCUCCGUCCCUUGACCACAUGUACGUUCCCAUCUCAGCCUUACCUCCGCCCAAAGUUCCACAACCUGGUGCUGAUCCUCUCAUAAGCCGUCUGUACUAUGUCACUGCCGAGAAGCUCAGUCUACUCCAAACACUAGCCACCAGCAAGAGUAGCUCCUACAAGAGGACCAAACUAGAGUCUCUUAGUGCCUUUUUGUGGAAGAUGGUGGCCAAAAGUGCUCACAUGGAAAAUGCAAACCAAAAAAUAUGCAAGAUGAGUGUCGUGGUGGAUGGAAGAAAGAGGUUAAGCAGUGGAGAUGAGGAUAGGACAACAGCGAUGGCCUCAUACUUUGGAAAUGUGCUGUCCUUCCCCUUUGGUGAGAAGACAGUAAAUGACCUCAAAGAAAAACCACUGAGUUGGGUGGGAGAUGAAGUUCAUGAUUUCCUGGAAGCGGCUAUGACAAAGGAACAUUUCUUGGGGCUGAUAGACUGGGUGGAGGCUCAUCGCCCAGAGCCGGCUGCACUGAAUAUGUGCUGCAGUGGCAAUAGCGACGGGCCAGGAUUUAUGGUGUCAUCAGGGCAGAGGUUCCCGGUGACAAAGGUGGAUUUCGGGUGGGGUAAGCCGGCCCUAGGGUCAUAUCAUUUUCCAUGGGGUGCGGAAGUUGGGUACGUGAUGCCAAUGCCAAGCCCCACUGUAGAUGAUGACUGGGUGGUGUACAUGCACCUCUUGAAAGCCCAGAUUGAGUUGAUUGAGACUGAGGCUGCUCAUAUCUUUAGACCCUUAACAGCCGACCAUCUCAAUUUAUUUGAUUAGCUAGCUUUCGUCCACCAUCUCAUAUUCAGAAAUUUAGAAGUAACUCCCUCGCAUGUUGUUUCAAAUGUUAGAAUUCCUUUUCCUUUUCUUUAUAUCAGAAAUUAAUUACUUUGUAGUAAAAAGAAGUGAAAAACGAAAAUUUUGGAAUGACUUGUACAAGCAUAAAUGCCUCCUAGCUCUAUCUUAAUUACUAUCAUAAGACUAGUAUAAGGAUUAGUAAGGACUUCAAAAUUAAAUCCUAGCUAGGGUUCACUUUUGUAACUUGAAAAAUGAUCAUGUAUACGAAAAUCUUUUCUAUGUUUAGAUCUAGUUUAGAAGGGGGAAUAAAAAAAAAAAAAAAAAAAAAAAGAGAGGCUGGGGGUGGAAAUUAAAGAUGUUGGAUGUGUAACUACAAUAAAUUGAAAAAUAAUAUUUAAUUAUUUUUAGAUUGUCAUUUGGCCAUUAAAAAAUAAUUAAUAUUAUAAUAUGAUUUAUAUAUUUAAAUUACAAAAUAAAAUAUUUUUUUUUGAUAAGAAAUAAUAAAAACCUUUUUUCCUUACAAGUUUUUUUUAUUAGUACUACUUUUUAUAAAUAUUUAUUUUAAAUUUAUUGUAAAAUAACAAAUAAUAAUAAGAAAAAAAUGAUUGGCUUUCAUUUGCUUUGUUCAAGUAUCAAUAGAGAUGAAUAUCAAGAUGUUUCCACUUUCUAGAGCCUCACACACUCGUUACAUUUUGACCCACUUCUCAUAUUCUCUCUCCUUUGUAUUAUCUCCACUUCAAAUACAAUAGAAAGGGGAUUUCUAAUUUCUCCUCUCUCUCUCUAGAAACUAAUAUGCUUUUCAUUGUUUCUCUCUCUUCCUAGGAAUUUUUGUGGAUCCAUGGAAGAGCAAAGCUCAGUCUCUGCAGCUUCAACUCCGAGAUUGCUUCCGAAUUGCUAUGAGUUUCAUCUUCUAAAAUAAUUAUUUAUUUGGUCUAAUGAUUUGAAUUAUAUGAUUUAGUAGUUCGUGAAGAACAUUAAAGACUUGGACUAGAGUUUCUCAUUCGGUAGUGACAAACCUAAGGCUCCUCAUCAUCGCCACCAAAGUUGUGUUCCUUUGAAGUUGAAAACGACCUGGUAAAAAUUCGAGGGAUUUUGCGUUGGGAUAAAAAGGAAUUGUAAAGUAUUCACCUACACAAGUUAAAAGAUUUCCUACAAUGUUAACAACCUCUCAACAGCCGCAACCUAACAAGAAAAGGCAAUUAUAUUAUCUAAAAACAUCCAACCAAAAUUACACCAAAUAUAGCACGGAAAAACCCUCCUAACCGAGGUAAAAAACCAUGGGAAAAAUUUCCUUCACUUUAAUAAAAAUAUGAAUGCAAAUAAAUCCUCACUACUUUCUUCACCUUGAUAAAUAAUGGAAACAUAUAUCAAUGUCUAAGGAGGGAAUCUAUCAUCCUAGAAAACAAAAAAUAGAAGGAGAUUAGGUAGAGAUCAUACCACAAGAACUCCCCUAAAAGGUUGAUGAAAGAACAUAUACCCUUCACCCUUGAACCCUAGAACAAUGCCAAAAAAACAACCUUAUUUUCCUCUUCCUCUUUCUCUACCAUUUUUCACCAACAUACUAAAGCCUUAACGUUAUUUACAUUUGGGCUUAAAGAAUUCCCAUAAAAAAAAAAGCCCAAUACAUGGUGAAGACUUUGUAAACUUUACUAGCCUCACUGGUAGAAGCGACACCCCCUCGUGUUGACAUACUAAAGUGGUAGGCCGAGUAAGACCUGCACGACACAACGACCAGAUGUUAGAAAGUAGUCACCUGACCCCUGCUGCUUGUAAGCAACACUUCAGCUAAGCAAGGGCUAGCCUACACUGGCUCAAAGCCCAUAUUCGGACAGAGCCCUAGCUCAACCUGUAAGGCAGACCCCAUCCAAGGGUCUCCCCUAUUAACCAUACCCCACAAAGGUCUUGACCCAUCUAGAAACCAAACUACAAAAUUCUUGGUCUUAUUAAGACCUCACCAAACCUAUCACCGGCAACGGCUGCCCUACCCACAAAACAACCAAAAGCGUUCUACAUUCUAUACACCACAGCUAAGCAACAAGUCCAAACUCUAAACAGUGAAAAUACAUAAUCGGUAUGGGGAAUGAAGGCUUACCAAAGUUCAGAAGGAACACUGCUAAUUGAAGCUUAGCCCUCCUAAGCCCAAAAAUGGGGAAACUAGUAGGGUCACCAGAAAGAUGAACAGCCACCGAAGUUGCAGUGGUGUAGAAUGCAAGAGUCGUCAAAGAAAAUGAAUAGUAGAGCAGCGCAACGAUGGUAGCUGUAGAUUGCAGAAUGUAGAGAGAUAAUGACGAGAGAAAAAAAAAAGCCUUGGAGACAAGAAACAUCCAAAUGAAUCCUAAAAGGUCUGGGAUCCCAUAUUUAUAAGGGACCAAAACCCUAGAGAUCCUAAAAGCCAGCCGUCAUGGGACACAUCCUAAAGCGACACGCCGCCUGACAGAAUGCCUUGAUGGAAGUAGCCCUCCUGUAAGUGUCUAACACAUGUCUCACCAGCAUUAGGGGACUCUAGGGGAUUUCAGCUCAUCCACCCCUACCCAGACAUAUACGCACAUGCUGAAGGGAACAUUAUGGGGACCUUAUCCCAUUUGUACACCCACAAGCACUUCCAUGUGUUUAUCCACGUGGCAUCACCCUAAUCGGGCCACGUGUCAGAUCUUCAUCACUACCCGGACAACCUCCAAGGUAUUCGAAGACAUCUUGCCUGGACCAUUUGCCCUGCUGAAAUGGCCCACAUCCCCUUGAUAGCCUCAAAUCCUCUUUGAUAAGCGAGGCCCUCGUUAGCUGACACCUGAUCAAACUCAUGGGAUAUUUUCUAUCCCCACAUCCAAUUUAGUAGACAAGCAUGUCAAAACUCAGGUCAACAGCAAGGUUGAAAGAAUGGCAAGCUAUGACGCGCCAUCUGACACAACCCCUAACUAUCCUGCAGGUAUGAUGAUUGCCCUGCCACUACUGCACAAUCAUCACUACCCGGCCAACUCAGCACUACGAAGCCCCACUCAUCUUUGAACACUAUAAAAACCCUACGAUAAUAUAACAAAAGGGGAUAGUGAGUUCUCAAAUCCACUCUCUAUCUUUCUCUCUCUCUCUAAAGGUUUCCAUUCUUCCUAAUGUCUGACUUGGGCUUUGGAGGGUGUGUCCGGACAACCCAUCCGGACACCUUUGUGUAGGGAAGCAUAAAUCCAAGAUUUCGGUACCAGAGCGGGAGCUUUCUCCACCACGUCUAAGGAAUGAAUCUAUCCUCAGUUGACCAGGUAUCAACACUACCUAGCUCAAUGGUUUCUCUUUCAGUUCAUUUAUUGUCUUCUUACCAAAUGGGAUGGACAACACAUUUUCGAAGUAAGAGGCUAUCAUUGUUUCUUUAACCUUGUCUUCAUUGCUCAAUCACUUUCUUUCAUCCACCACGGUGCCCAUCUUGCAUAUAUUUUGGUUUUCGUCUUCCAUGACUGCAAUUUUGGCCACCAUCUUCCACAGAAAAGCAUUGAGAGACUCUAGUUUGGUCCUCUUGCAGGAGCUACCCUUGCUGGUGGCUAGUGAUUGGAGUAUACUGAGAGUUGUUCGGUUGUGACAUAGUAAAAGCGGUUUAUGAGAAGAUCAUCACCAGGCUGUGGAGCUUUGGGAGGAGGUAAGGCUGACAUGGGGAUGUACAUGUCAUCAAGGGAUAGAUCAUAGGAUCCCGGACAUCGAGGGUUGAGGAGAGAGCGCCGGAAAGAUGGUAGUACGGAUAAUGGCUUGGACUGUGCCAUUUCAGCCCAUGAAACUAGAAACAUAUUGGCAGAAUAUGUGUCUACUUUCCUAUGAUCGAAUGUACAUGCCACCAAAACUCCGCCACAUUUGAGUUGAGUCACUUGUCAUUAGUUCAUUUACAUAACAAUAAGCAUGUCACGAUUACAACUAAUUAGGAUUAGCAUAUCACAGAGAAAGAGAGAGAGUUACCUGGACUGACAGAACGUCAUGUUUCUUCUUAGGGACAAGCUUGCUUUCAAUGCUUUCAUCAGGUUUAUAUAAGUUGAGGUUUUGUAGUUGUCCAUCCGCAUAAGCUUCCAUGAAAUCAACCCCACGGUUGUUGCAAAUGAGCUCGAGAUCACCCGCUGAGUUACUCAAAACUUCCCCUGCAAAUGGAUAAUAGGACACCAGUGCUUGGGCCAAGGCCUCACUCAGAACGCCAAUCAUGGACCCAAAUGAUAAAUCAUGGGGCUUUCUGUAAUAGAAAAACACGCCCACAUCUACUGGAGGCAAAAGCAAGUCCAGGUCAGACGGUGGCAGCCAGUACUCCUGCACAGGCAGUACAACUACCACUACUUCCUUCCUGCUCACUGUUACUGUGAAAUCUCCACCACCCAUGAAUCCUAAUUAAUUCUAAGUGUCUUUGUAUGCCAGAGUGAGUAAUGGAAGAGAAGCAAACUUGUAAGCGUGCGUCUGAGUAAAAAAAUAGCAGCAAGAAACAUGGAUUUUAUAGCACAGGACAGUACUUGUCUCAAGUCCCCACUGACAUUUCAUCAAAUUUUGAUGAGAAAAUUUGAAUGAUGGAUAUGAGAAUGACUACAAAGACCAAGAGUGGUACGAAGGAAUGAAAAUAUUUGUCUUAAUUUUGUUGUAGAUGAGAAAUAAUGAAUUGAUACAGGUUGUAUAUAUUGUUACAUAAACCCCAAGGGGGACUCCUUGAAAUGGAAAAAUAAAUAAAUAGAAGGCUGUAGAAAAUAUCUGAGAUACAUUAAUUUUCAAGCCAAACCCUAGGUUUCCUCCAAGAUCACCAAAUGAGAUGAGUUCAAUGAUCCUUGGAAAAGAAGCUAAUAAAUUUGUGGCUUCUCUUUGGUCAUGAGAGGUUAGAUGUCUUCUAAUUGUGGUACAUAUUUUGGUUGGAUAGCUCAUCAAUUCAGUGACAAUAAACUGAAUGAAAGUGAAAUUUCAAAGCCAUGUCAUUUUUCAGUUGUCUUAAUUUCCUGAAAAUGAUUGAUGGGUUAUUUUAGAAGUUGGGAAUUUCCUUGGAAAUAUCUAUAGAAAAUUAUUUGAUCAAUCAAAUGGUACAUAAUUGAUAACUUCAACACCAUUGCAUACUCCAUGACGGGUUUUACUUCCUAUUUGAGUUUGAAAGAGAAGAGUUCAAAAACAAAAUCUUUGGAAAGCUACACAGCAUAAUAUAUAUAUACACAUAUACAUAUACUAGGCCCGAAGGUAUAUAUAUUUAAUUGAUGACUAGAAAUCUCUGGAAAGAACGAGUUCAAAGACAAUCUCUGGAAAACACCCCUGCAUGACAUGAGAAAGAGACACUUCACUAUUUUACUUAUUUAUGAAAUUUCAAAUUAAUUCUAUCCUUCAAAAAGGAUACAGACCUAAAUACAACCUAAAACCGUGAUCACUUUUCCUCUCAAAUUAAGACUGCCAUCUGGUGGCCUUUUAAUUGCAGUGAUCCUACCAAAGAACGCAUGCAUAGGCCCUGUGAGACUGAUAAUUACAAAGGUGGUGUGGUGGUGUACAACUCUAGUCCAUGCAUGGGAUUAGGUCACUCUUUCUUUCUUCACGACAAUGGAAUUGAUUUUAUGGAACUUACCAAGGUUUGGUAAUUGAGAUUUUCGUAUUAAUGGAUGACAAUGACUUAUAGCCUAGAUAUUUCUAUGCAUCUCUCUUGUAUAAGAAAGACAUUUAUGUCUUUCUUGAAAAUGUUUGAUUGUUUAUUUUUGCAAGUAAUUUGGAAAAUCGUUGUUUUAGCUCGUCACAUCUUUGAAAUGAUGUGCAACCAAUAGUUAGGAGCUUCACAAAAGAAAAUUCUUGGCAUAUAUUAAGUCCUUAACUAAAACAACAAACACUAUAAUGUUCUCUAAAUACAUCUUAAUUAAUUUGGAGGGUUUUGGCCUUUCAAAUAUUUUUAAAUUUCUCCUCCAUCAACAAUUUAUCCACAUUAAAUUUACAUUGAAACAGGACUGGCUUGGUGGGAAACAUGUUUUGACACAUGGACGCCCAAUAAAUUGUUGGGUUUGUUGAAAGAAUUAGCAUUUUUCAUGGUUUAACUGUUUGAAUGAUUGGGCACCAUUCCAUAUGUUGUUGUGAUUCGAUUAUUCCUAUGUUAGUACUAUCUUAUUUCUCAAUGGUGGGAAUGUGGUAAACUAGCUAGUUAUUCUCUUAUGAAAAACCAUGACAAAGAAUGAUAAUAGGGAUUUAAAAAUAAGAUAAUGAAAACAUAAAAUAUCUAAGGUAUAUAAUGAUUUACGUGAAUUAGCCUAAAACUUAUUUUCAUAGGUGAAAGUAAAGAAGAAAUUCCAUUAUUAUUAAAAGAUAUUACAACUCUAGAGUUCCUUUAAUCCCAAAGUCUCAAUUAUAUCCAAAAAAGAGACUUUCUCUUGGCCAAAAUUUCUUUCUAUAUAUAUUCCUAAUUUCAUAGCAAUAUUUCAUAUAGAAAACUAAUUAUAUAACUAUCAAAAGUAUUUAUUCCUAAAAGAAUAUAUAACUAUAGGAUAUUUCCUUUAUGACAUAGGAAACUCCCUUACAUGAAUAUAUCCUACAAAGAAAACAUCAAUGACUUACCAAUUGACACAAAUUAGAAUUUGAAACAUUUUUCAACAAUGUUCACAUUGGCUUAUAUUCAUAAGCUUUGAAUAAACUCGGAAGUCUUUUAUGUUACUUCGCUUUCAUGGUACCUCUAAGGGACCUUGAAAUACUACCAACACCAAUUGAGUUUAAGUAAUGCCUGAACUUAAUUAAAUGUAAAAACGAGCAUAUUCAUAUCAUAUUUGAUGGAUUAUCUAUUCACUACAAUAACACCCUUUGCAAUCACAUCUUUGAUAAAAUGCAUUCAAACAUCAAUAUAUUUUGUCUUCUUAUGAAACAUCUAAUUUUUAUUUAAAUGUAUGGCACUUUGGGUAUCACAAUACCCAAUAAAAAACUCUUGUUGUAAGCUUAAAUUGUCAACCAAACCCUUAAGCCAAACAUGAAAAUCAUCACUUCCAAGAAAGAAAAUAUCCUCAUUAUAGAAGGAGAGUCAUUAAAGACUUUCAAAAUAUAAGUUGUGUUAAACAAAAACCUGACUUAUAUAAAUAGAUUUAAAUUGAAUCUUGUCAUACUAAAGGCCCUAAAUUGAUUUGAUGAAAUAAUAAGGUUGAUGAAUUAAGGAUGUCGGGUAGCUAGAGUGUGUUUGUUUUUAACUAUGGAAUGAUCUAUCAAUUGUUAUACAUGUCAUAUUCCUUGCUAACUUAACUGAAUUAAUUUGAUUCACUAUAUAAUAUUGUGAAAACUUUUGACUUUUAUAUGGAACUGGUAUUUUCCUCUCUUAUUUUUUAUAGUAAGCUAGUCGGUAGCCUUAUCAGGCCUACCUUUUUAUAUCGAUUUACAACAUCUCACCGUUAUCCCUUUGGCAACUACAACUUGAUGCAUACACGGAUGUUUCACAUGACGAUGAUUAAAUUUUAAUCAUUACAAAUUACUUAACUCAUGUUAGAUUCUCAUUAAGGAUGAUCACCUUGCACCUGCGUUAAGUUUGGCAAAAAUUUUAAGAAAUGAUAGAAGAAGUAAUAAUAAAUAUUUUAAAAUUAUUUUGUUGUAGAAAUUGAUAUAUGUACAAUAUAAUUUAUCCCAUUUAAUAAUGAUUUAUCUAUAGCAAGGCUUGUGAGUUAUGAUAACAUCAAAGUAAGAAACACGUCUAGCAAUGGGCAAUGACUGAUGCCAAGGACACAAAAGACUUCGCUCCCACAUCACCAAAGUGGUUCCGUCACAAGCCAAAGUGGGAUCUACGCAUAGAGAUCUCUUUAGUAGCAGUCUAUAAAUCCACCACUUCUCCUCAUCCCCUCCACAAACCAUUCCCAUUUUUCCGUUUCUCUCUAUCUCUCUUAGCUGAAAACCAUGCGUGAUGGAGGAGACUUCACUAUAAUUGUGACCAGGAAAGAGGGUUAAUGGAGGUGAUGACUUACCUUUGGGUCCAUGGUUGGGGUUCUGAAGAAAGCCAUGGUCCAAGCACUGGUCCCCUACAAUGCUUUUGCAGGGAAAGUUGUGGGUCUAUGCAAUAACCGAGGGGUAGAUUUCAUGGAGACUUUAGGUUGUAUAACCUUGACAACAAAAUUGAAGGCAAGCUUGUCCCUAAGAAGUAGCAUGGUGUCCUCUAUGUGCAGGUAACACUUCUCUCUCUCUGACACAUCAUGAUAUUGUCGUGCCAUUAUUACUCUAUGUAAUAAAACAAAUGAAGGAAAAUGAUAGGUGUGUUGAUUUUACAAUGAUUCCUAAUAAAGAAAUUAGAGAAAAACAAAACAAAACACACAGAUUUAACAUAAUUCGACAUAUUGCCUGGGAACAUGGAGAAAGACUUUCACUAUAUCCCAAAAUUAAGGUUAUAUAAAAGGGUAUUUAUGUUAACCCUAGGUAUUGAAAUUUCAAAAAUACCUCUGAAUCGUACCACGUACGGGAGCGUUGCCCCCCGCAUGCCCCCAACCUAUCGUUCGCCCUUUUUCUCUAUAUGUCUUUAAUUCAAUAGGAGCCACAUACUAUAACAUGGUGGGUUGUACAUUCAAUCAUGGGAUGGUUAACACAUAUUCUACUAAUAUGUUCCUAGGUCAUGGGCUGAGAUGGCCCAAUGCAAGUCAUUAUCUGUGGUUCCAUCUUUCCAGCGCUCUCUCCUCAACAUCAGAUGUCUAGGCUCCUAUGAUCCCUCCCUGGAUGACAUGUACGUCCCUUUAUCAACCUUACCUCCUCCUAGAGCUCCGCAGCCGGGCGGUGCCCAUACUUCCAUAAGUCGCAUAUACUAUGUCAUGACAAACAGCUCAGUCUACUCCAAACACUAGCUAGCCAGUACCAGAAAUGGCAGCUCCUACAAGAGGACUAAACUAGAGUCUUUCAGUGCAUUUUUGUGGAAGAUGGUGGCGGAAAGUGUUGUCAUGGAAAAUGAUAACAAAAAGAUAUGCAAGAUGGGCAUCGUGGUGGACGAAAAAAGGCAGUUAAGUAGUGGAGAUGAGGAUAAAUAAACAAUGAUGGCCUCUUACAUUGGAAAUGUGCUGUCAAUCCCCUUUGGUGAGAAAAUGAUAACUAAACUGAAAGAGAAACCCUUAAGUUGGGUGGCAGAUGCAGUUCAUGACAACCUGGAAGGGGCAGCGACAAAUGAGCCUUUCUUGGGGCUCAUAGAUUGGGUAGAGGCUCACCGUCCAGAGCUUGCUUUGGAAAAGAUAUACUGCAGUGGCAGCAGCAAAGGAUCACCGUUUGUUGUAUCAUCAAGGCAGAGAUUCCCAAUGUCAAAGGUAGAUUUCGGGUGGGGUAAGCCUUCUAUGGGAUCAUACCAUUGUCCAUGAGGUGGGGGAGUUGAGUAUGUGAUGCCAAUGCCAAGUCCGACCAGAGAUGGUGACUGGGUGGUGUACAUGCACCUCUUGAAAGGGCAGAUGGAGUUGAUUGAGAUUGAGGCCGCCUAUGUCUUUAGACCUUUAACGUCUGAGUAUCUCAACCUGAUCAUCUGAAGUUUGCUUACAUCCAGAUGACUUCUUAUGUAUUCAUCAAUGUCUCUUAGUUUCUUCAUCCCUCUGCCUUAUAGUUUAUUAGGUCCUUUUAAUUUUUCUCUUUAAUAUGGUGAAUCUCUUGGCUAUGAAGAAUGAGUUUUUGGACUUACAUGAUGUACGAAUCCUAAUUAAACUAAGAUUAUGUUUCCUAAGUAUGUUAUACUUAUUAACUUGAGUUUGAUUCUUUUCAGGAUUUGGAAUCCUAACUUUAUUAAGAGUUUUUUUUUUUUAAUUAGAAUUAGGUUUCUAUAAUUGCUCCUAUAUAUAUUCCAUAGUAAUAGAAAGUUAUGUGUGGUAAAUUUUACAUAAAUAUUUAUCACCUCCUUCAUUGUUUUUUUAUCCUUUUUUUGUGUGAAGAAAUUGUUCUUGUGCUGGAAAGAUUAUUUUUUAUUGCUCACAUUUGGUAUCAGAGCAUGGAGUUUAAAGAUGCAAGCAACCAAUAAUAAUACAAUCCAACCCCAGUUUCCAAAGUUUGAUGGGAGAAAUAAUUUUGAAUUUUGGAGAUCAAGAUGUAACUAUUAUUUAAGUAUCAAGAUAUUUGAGGAGUAGUAGAUUAAGGAUUUGUGGUACCGAAAGAUCAAAUUCAACUCACACAAGUGCAAAAGGAUAAUUUGGUGAAUUUGAAGAAGAAAGGUUUGAAGGCUUGCCUUUACAUCUAUCAGUAAGCAAAACUGCCUAUUUUUUAGAAGAUUGUGAAUACAAGUACGACAACAGAUGUAUGGGACAUCCUUAUGAACACCUACAAAAGGGUAAAGAAGGUGAAGAAGGUACGAUUAUAGGCUUUGAGGAGAUAAUUCGAACUUCUUCAAAUGGAGAAAACAAAAAGAGUCUUCGACUACUUUUCAUGAACAUUAGCUCUUGUCAAUUAGAUGAAAUCUAAUGAUGAAAACAUUUUAGAUCUCCAAGUUAUGGAGAAAAUUCUUCAAACCUUAACCAUGCGAUUCGAAUACAAGGUAACAACAAUUGAAGAAUCAAAAGAUCUUAGUACCAUGACGUUGGAUGAAUUGAUGGGUUCCUUGCAAGCCCAUGAACAAUCCUUAGAUGAAAGGUCCCAAAUUGAGGCAAAAGAAGCAUUAGAAAACCAAGUAAGAAAGGUUAGAAUCACUAUAAGAAAGAUGAUUAUUAGCAACACAAUUUUUUGUCACAAAAAGGUUAAUAUCGUUGCAAAAAAGUUUUCACAAUGAAAAUUAUUUUGUUUCAUGAACGUCACCUUAUCCUCAUCACAAAAAGUUUUUGCAACAAAUAAAAUGUUUCAUCUCUAAUAGUUUAUAGAGACAUAAUUUGUUUGUUGUUUCCAAUAAUAUUUUGAUAAAAAUAUUUAUUGUUAAAUGUUUAAAAUUUUGAUGCUAAAAAUGCUCAAUAAUGAAUUAAAUUGUCACCAAAUUAGACACAUACAACAACAACAAAAAUUAUUAUGUCGUUGCCAAAUAGAUUUUGAAACAAAACUUUAUUUUGUUGCUAAAAGUUAAGGUCAAAUUUUAACAAAAAAAAAAUAAUAAAAAAUAGAUGUCUCUAAAUGUAUGAACUUUUGUUACUAUAUAUCUAUAUGUGUAUAGUAAUUUUAUCAUCAUAUCUUAAAAUAUUCAAUUAAUAUAUUUUAGUUUUUAUAUUUAAUUUUAAAUUAUAAAACCUUGUUAAAAAAUUAAAUUUUGUGAUAACUUAACUUUAUUAUGUAAUUAAUAAUUAUAACAUCUAAAUGAAUAAAUAAAUUAUAUGAUAACAUAGUUUUAAUACAUGAUUGAUAAUAUUCCAUCAAAUAUAAAAGAACUUUGUUAUGUCCACAUAUACGAAAAAGAAAAAAAAAAGAAAGUAAACAUUGAUAUCCACAUUUGUAAAAUGUGAUACGUUUUAGAAAUAAAAGAAAAGUAGCAAACUAACAAAUACACAAAAUAUGAUAACAUCUAAAAAAUUGCAAUGAACUAAAUAAAGUACCAUAUAUACAUGCCAAAAGGAGAGUGUCCCCAAAAAAGCCAAAACCAAAUGCUUAGAAAAUAUCGAUCAUCAUCCAUGAGUGACUAGGAAUCUAUGAAUGGUGUAUCAUGUGAGGAAGAUGAACUUUCUGAGCCUGAACCUAGAAUGCACAUGUAUUAACAUUUCACUAACAAAACUAGCUAAUUGAUCCAUCUGGGAUUGUUGGUGCUAGAUUCGAGCCUCUUGACUUUGGAUGAGCUCUUGUGUUGAUCUAAGCUCAGUCUCUAAUUCCAUCUCUCGAUGUGACUUAGCACAUAUAGAUCUCGAUGAGGAUGGGGGUGGUCGAGGGCCAUGACUUAACCCCUUGAUAGAUCUCGAGCCUAGCUAGCACGUGAACACAUAUAUCAACCUUUGCCAAGAUUUUACCAUCUUCCAACACUAGUUACCUUUGCAAUUCCAACAUUCUUUCCUACAAAUAUAAAGAAAAGAUAAAUAAUAUUAAACACAAACCAACCGAAUAAAUAAAAGUUUGAAAAAUAAAGUACAUUAGAAUAAAAUCUUUUUAGCAUAUUGAUUCAUGCCCAAUCGGGUGUUUAUCAAAACAUUUAUAAAACCUACAACACCUUAUACUAGGGUAGCAAAGACAAAGCUACUAUAGCAUAGUGGCUCUAGGAUCGUCCACAUGGAUGGGUUUUCUUUGUACACAUGACAUUAAUGAAAUGAGAAAUGGUGAUUUCCUUUUUUGAAAGUUAGUUUUUUUAAUUGAAAAUAAGAUGGAUUGGAAGGGUUGAUUUUAAGUUAAGCAAACAUAAACAACUAAAAUUACUAUAAAGAGAAAGUCUCUUGGAGCUAUAGGUUACUAGGAUCAGGUUCCUGUUGCAAAGUGGGAAAUUUUGGAUCUUCUCCUCACAUUGAGGAUAAUAACAUAAAGGAUGGUUAUCUCCCGAACCGGAUUUGUAUUUAGAAAAUAAGUUUUGAUCGAAAGGAUUCUUGAAAAAUGGUAGUUGCUUCCCAUUAAUGGCUUCAAACACUAAAGACCCUCACCUUGAACCACCUUCUAAUGGCUCGUACUUGAUAACUAAUGGACAUCCAUGAAUCUAGCAAUAAGCAUCCAUAAAAUCUUAAAAGCUUACCAAGUAUUGGUCAUUCAAGGUGAUUCUAAGGGAUUAAAGCUGAAACUUGAAAUACAAACCAUUAACGAUACACAACUACCUUCAUUUUUAGCAAGGAAAACUCUCACAUUUGCAUCUAGGUCCUUUACCUAGCUUCCAUCACUCCAAGAAAUGUGAAACUUAGCCACUCAUCCUGAGAAAUCAUCCUCAGAGGGUGUUUGGCUAGAGAGAAAGUGAAGAGAAAAUGAGAAGGAAAGGCAGAGAAAAACUCGUCUUUACAAAAUAUCUAAAACAUAAUAUCAAACAUAACAUAAUAUCUGAGAGGUUUUCCAACCCCUAUUUAUAGUUCCUAAACAAACCCUAAUGUCAUUUAUCUAUUACAAAAAGAGUAAAAAGGAAAAAAAUUACAAUUUUGGGGAUUUUUCCCGAAGGUCGGUGCGCACAUAGUGAUUUUCGUACACCCUGCGAAAAUUUGGCACACCCUGCCAAAGUUUGGCAUACCCUGCGAAAUUUGGCACACCUUGCCAAAGUUUGGCACACCCUACGAAAUUUUGGCACACCUUGCCAAAAUUUGGCACACCUUGCGCAUUUUGACACACCUUGCGAAUUUGAUGAUUUUGCCUUUCAAAAUGCUCUGUUUUCCUCCAUCUUACUACUGAUAGUUUUGUCAACCCCUUGCCAAGUUUGGCAAAGGGUUUUGAAGUGCUCCAAAGCUCGGGUUCUUCAUGUGCUCCAAACUCUCCCUCAAUCUUGGCCUGUUUCAGUGAUCAAAAAGCUACCAAAAACACUAAAAUUUACCAAAAAUUGGUUAGUAACAUUUGCUAGGUUCUUAACAUGCCAAAUGGGAUAUAAAGGUCUAACUACUACUCAAAAGUGCUAAGUACAAUUAAGUUUAAGCUUAUAAAAAUGCACUUUUUGAGUAAUAAUCACUCCCCCCAACCGACACAUUGCUAAUCCCUUAGCAAUGAAAGAGAGAAAAAGAAAAACAUCUCUCAUGGAAAAUCAAAGAUAUAAAACCCAACCUUCAACAAGAGUCAUUAAAUCACUUACCUAAUCACAAAAAUACAAAGAGUAGGCAUUACACAAAUUUAAGCAUCAAAAAAAUUUCUACUCCCAGAGAUCCAACUCUUAAUCUUCCACAAGAAUCUAAGUGUUAAGGUGAUUAGUUUCCAAUUAUAGUAUGCUAAACUAUGCUCUCCCCCCAACCUAGUUCUUUCUCAAACCUAGCACUCUGACCAACACCCAAUAGGCUAAGAACGCACCUCUUUUAUUUCACAAUUUUUUUAUUUGCUUAACUUCACCCAUUCACCCUUAUAACGAGCAUUAAGGCCUGUGACUCCUAACCAAUUAAGGUUUAAGGUAGCAGGCUUCAAAGACUUUCUCCAUAUACCCCUAAGACUUUGCUCGGGUUUCAAGGCAAGUGUAACACUUUUUUUUUUUUCUUUUUUUUUUCUGAAGGCUCAUUGGCCUUCUAUAAGGUGUCCCAACACUAUUAAAAUGAGGUCAAAGGUACCAAGUCAAAAUUUUCCUAAGUUCAAGGGGUGAGAUAGUUUUUCAUCUUAUAAUUGGAACCUAAUGUGCACAGUGUGUGGUAAGAUUAAAGUGGAAGAGACAAGAUUGAAUUCAAUAGGAACUUCAAUAAUUCAUCUACCUCAAUAAACAUAAUACAAACUCUAAGACUUAAGCAAAAAAACAAGAACUCAACUUCUCUCAUUUCAUUUUGAGAAUUUUUUCUUGACAACCAUGGAGAGUAGAGUAAAUUUUUAUAAAAAAUUAAACAAAAGGUAACUACGUUAACAAAAUAUCCUAGCAAUAUUUACAAUACUUACUUCCUCAACUCUCCCCCCAACCAAGAUGAACAUUGUCCUCAAUGAUUCAAUCGCAAGUGAAAAUAAAGGAAGGAAGUGAUACCUCCUUAGGGAAAUGCACUCGGAAGUGUAGAGGAGAAACCACAUGGUUCAACAAACAAUUUUUUCACAGUCAUGCAAAAGUUUCGCAAAAGGGAGCGAAAUAGAGUAGAGAAGUGAGAAAUGAAGUUGGGAUGUAUGUUGUAAAAAAAAAAAAAAUUACUUUUUUUUUUUUUUUUUUUUUUUUGAGAAGGAAAGAUGGAGGGGUGGAGAUGGUUCGCAAAGUGGGAAUUUCACAAAAGCACUUUCACUAAGGCACUUUCGCAAAGUGGGAUUUCGCAAAGUGGGUAUGUGAAAAAAUGGUAUGCGAACUUGAUUCGCAGGGUGAACUUUGAGUUCACAAACCCUGUGGAAAUUCAUAAAGGAUGCGAAGUUAAAGACUGAGAGCUAUCGUUUUCAAAAAUGAUCACAAGGGGGUUUCGCAGAGGAUUCGCAUACCCUGUGUUUUUUCGCAUAGGGUGAGAAGUUAAAGACCGAGAGCUUUAAUUUUUCAAAAAUCAUCAGGAAAAUUUCGCAGAGGGUGCGAAAUUUUCGCAUGCUCUGUGAAAUGGUAGUAGCUCACCUAAUGCAAAGAGCACUUUUCGUACACCACGCGAAAAAUUCAUAGGGAGGUAUGCGAAAUGCUCUGCUUCAAUUUUUCCUCAGUUUUUCCUCUGCCAACGAAUCCUUAAGUGCUCUCCCCUGCAAGUGAACAUCAAAAACCUAAAUUACAUCAAACCAAAAGGUAAUUGAAGCAAGAAAUCAAAAUCAAAACAAAUACAAAUGUAAGAAAAACAUGAAAUAAAAAACAAAACCAAAAAAAUGAUGGACUUAAUAGUUUUCAGAAAGACUAAGUCCAUCCAGGAUCUGAUUUUUCAAGCCUAAGGAGGAUCAAUGAGGAUGAAUUCCUCCUUGUCUCGAGAAAAAUGCUCCACAAAUGGCUUGAGAUGAUGGUCAUUUACUUUGAAAUUUCGGUUGUUGUUGGCGUUGAGUAGCUCCACUACUUCAUUCGAAUACACUUGGUGGAUUGUGAAAGGACCUAACCACCUUGAUUUCAACUUGCCCGGAAAGAUAUGGAGCUUAGAGUCAUAGAGCAAGACUCUUUGUCCCUUUGAAAAGUCAUUUCGGGUCACCAACUGAUCAUGCCAUUUCUUCAACCUCUCUUUUACAAAUUUUGAAUUGAGGUAAGCAUCAUUUCGUAGUUCCUCUAACUCAUUGAGGUCUAAGAAUCUCUUCAACCCGACUUUGCUCAAAUCCAUGUUGAGUUUCUUGAUUGCCCACCAAGCCUUGUAUUCCAAUUCCACAUGGAGAUGACACGCUUUGCCAUAGACUAAGCGAUAAGGGGACAUCCCAAGAAUGGUCUUGUAAGCUGUUCUAUAAGCCCAUAGUGAAUCAAGGAGUUUGAUAGACCAAUCUUUUCUGUUCACAUUCACCACCUUCAUCAAUAUGUUCUUGAUCUCCCGGUUUGCCAACUCAACUUGCCCGCUAGUUUGAGGAUGGUAAGGCGUAGCUACCUUAUGCUUCACCCCAUACUUGGCUAAAAGAGUUUCAAAAGGCUUGUUACAAAAAUGAGUACCCCCAUCACUGAUUAUGGCUUUAGGCACUCCAAAUAUUGAGAAAAUGUUCUUCUUCAAGAACUUGAUAACCACCCUAUGGUCAUUAUGUUUACAUGGAACUGCUUCAACCCACUUAGAAACAUAAUCGACUCCCACCAAGAUGUAGGAGUAGCCAAAUGACAUAGGAAAAGGUCCCAUGAAGUCAAUGCCCCAAAUAUAAAAAAGAUCAACUAUCAGAAUGGGGUUCAAAGGCAUCAUAUUCCUUCGGGUCAACUUCCCAAGCCUUUGACAUCGAUCACAACCCUUGCACAUGGCAUGUGCAUCUUUGAAAAGUGAGGGCCAACAGAAAACCGAUUGCAAGACCCUCAUAGUUGUCUUCUGAGAAGCAAAGUGGCUUCCACAAGCAUUCUCAUGGCAAUGAGAGAGAAUCCCCUGUUGCUUUUGUUCAGGAACACACUUUCUUAUUAUUUGAUCUGCACAAUACUUGAAUAGAAACGGUUUUUCCCAAUAGUAGGCAUGGAUCUCUGCAAAGAAAUGCUUCCUAUCUUGUGCUUUCCACUCACUUGGAACUUCUCCUGUAACUAGGUAGUUCGCAAUAUGAGCAUACCACGGAGUUACUUCCACCAACAUGAGAGAUUCCUCUGGGAAGUCAUCAUUAAUGGGCAAACUAUGGGAAUUAUGUGCAAUUGCAAGCCUUGAAAGGUGGUCAGCUACCACAUUUUCUACUCCCUUCUUGUCUUUGAUUUGAAGAUUGAACUCUUGAAGCAAGAGGAUCUACCUAAUCAGUCUUGCCUUGACAUCUUACUUAGUCAACAAGUACUUCAAAGCAGAGUGAUCGGUGAAUACCACUAUGAAAGACCCCACCAAGUAAGCACAAAAUUUGUCUAAGGCAAAAACUACCGCUAACAAUUCCUUCUCGGUGGUUGUGUAGUUUCUUUGUGCCUCAUUGAGUGUCUUACUGGCAUAACAGAUCACAUAGGGUUUUCCAUCUUCUCUUUGGCCCAACACAGCUCCAAUAGAAAAAUCACUAGCAUCGCACAUUACCUCAAAGGGUAAUUGCCAGUUAGGAGCUCACACAAUGGGUGUUGUUGUCAGAAAUGACUUUAAUUGCUCAAAACUUCUUUGGCAUCUUUCAUCCCAAACGAAUUUGGCAUCCUUGACCAAUAGUUCACAAAGAGGCCUUGCAAGCUUUGAAAACUCCUUGAUAAACCUCCUAUAGAACCCAGCAUGUCCAAGGAAUUGUCUUACUCCCUUGACAUUGGUAGGGGAUGGCAACUUGACAAUGAGUUCAACUUUUGCUUUAUCAACUUCAAUUCUCUCCUUAGAGAUGAUAUGCCUGAGAAUAAUCCAUUAUUGUACCAUGAAAUGACACUUCUCCCUAUUAAGCACCAAGUCUUUUUCAAUGCACCGGUUUAGAACAGAUUCUAAGUUUAUCAAGCAAUCCUCAAUUGCACUUCCAUAAACGGUGAUAUCGUCCAUAAAGACUUCCAAAAUUCACUCCACCAUAUCAUUAAAGAUGCUUAGCAUGCAUCUUUGGAAAGUUGCGAGUGCAUUGCAUAAACCGAAGGGCAUUCUCCUAUAUGCAAAUAUACCAAAGGGGUAUGUGAAAGUGGUAUUCUCUUGAUCUUCCAAAUCAAUCUCUAUUUGAAAGUAGCCAGAGUAGUCAUCCAAAAAAUAGUAGAAAUGAUGCCUAGAAACCCUUCCUUGUCACCGCAUUCAAUUUCCUGUAAUCGAUACACACCCUCCAACCGGUAGUAAGGCAUAUGGAGACAUCUUCUCCCUUAUCAUUCUGCACCACCAUGAUCCCAGACUUCUUUGGGACAACCUGGGUUGGACUCACCCAUAAGCUAUCUGAUAUGGGAUAAAUAAUACCGGCUUGAAGUAGCUUCAAAACUUCAGCUCGCACCACCUCUUGCAUGUGAGGGUUCAACCUUCUCUACGGUUGGCAAACUAGCUUUGCUUCCUCCUCCAUAUAGAUAUGAUGGGUGCACACCAAAGGGCUGAUCCUUUUCAUGUCCGAAAUUUUCCACCCAAUGGCCUUCUUACAUUUUCUAAGGACUCCGAUUAGAUAAUCCUCUUGAUGAAUGGAGAGAGCUGAAGAGAUCACCACAGGGCACUGCUUGUCUUCCUCCAAGUAUGCGUAUUUCAACCCAGUAGGAAGAAGCUUAAGAGUAAGCUUUGGGGACUCCUCCUUAGUAGCUCUGUGCGACUUCUCCUCAUUGAACAAAGGUAGAAUAUCUUCCUUCCUUUUCCAAUGAGACAUGGUAGUUAGCAAAUCUGAGGGUUCAGGUAACCCUUCAUCAAGAUCCCCAAGACUCUCAAUCAAAUCUUCCUCCAUGCUCUGUUCAUAGUGCUCCUCCACCAAAGUGUCAAUCAUGCACACUUCCUCUAGCCCUUCCUCUUCUUUCGGAUGGAGAUACUUCUUGCACAAAUGGAAGAUAUUUAGCUCCAAGGUCAUGUUGCCAAACGUGAGUUGCAUAACUUCAUUCCUACAAUUGAUGAUUGCAUUAGAAGUAGCGAGGAAUGGUCUUCCAAGUAUGAUUGGCACAUAGUUUGUCCCCGUGACAACUGGAUCACUAUCAAGAACAACAAAAUCUACUGGAUAGUAGAAUUUGUCAACCUGUACCAAGACAUCUUCAAUUAUCCCCCUUGGGAUCUUCACUAAUCUAUUAACUAGGGAGAGAGUAAUGGAUGUGGCCUUCAACCCCCCAAGUCCUAACUGCUUGUAAACCGAAUAGGGUAGCAAAUUCACACUUGUUCCCAAGUCUAGAAGAGCUUUCUCCACACAUGUCCCUCCAAUAUUUACUGAAAUGGUGGGGCAUCCUGGAUCUUUAUACUUCACUGGAGAUUGGCACUGGAUGAUAGCACUUACUUGUUCAGUCAAGAAGGCUUUCUUGGUCACAUUUAACCCUCUCUUUAUAGUGCACAAGUCCUUCAAGAAUUUAGCAUAAGUUGGAACUUGCUUGAUCAUGUCAAGUAAAGGAAUGUUGACCUUUACUUGCCUCAACACUUCAAAAUUUUUUGAUGUAUUCUUGGUUCCCUUCUUACCAUGUAAAGCUUGAGGGAAAGGUGGAGGCAUGUGCUUCUUCAUCAUAUCUUCCUUGAUGACUAUCCUUGGUUCUUCAUCCACACUUGAAUCAUGGUCACCUUCAUCUGACUUCUUCUCACCCAUGUCUUUCUUUGAUUCACUUCGUUCACCAUGCUUCAGCUUAGGUGCGGGUUGAACAACCUCCUUACCACUCCUAAGAGUGAUAACUAAUUUGACUUCCCUAACCUUUGAAGAUUCUCCCUCUUGAGCUUCUACUUCAUGAAUACCCUUGGGAUUUUGAUGAGGUUGAGAAGGAAACUUUCCUUUUUCUUGCACAGUAUUGAGGUUAGUGAGCCUUGAGAUGAAGUAUUGAACAUUAUCUAUCUUCUGAGAUAGAUCAUUUUGCAUCCCAUCCAUUCUCUUAUUCAAUGUACUCUCCACUUUAUCAAUUUUCUUAUUCAAUUGAGAGUUGAUUGACUUUUGCUCUCCCACAAAGUCUUCCAUAACCUUGCUAAGAUUCACAAUGGCUUAUUCAAGGUUUGAAGCUUGUUAAGGUGCUUGAGCUGGUGGUGUGUACUGAGGUGGCCUUGGCUUCCAUGAGAAAUUUGGAUGGUUCCUCCAAUUAGAAUUGUAGGUGCUUCCAUAAGGAGCAUAGUUGUUGGGCUUGAAUUGGUCAACCACAUUUGCUUGAUCACCAAACAUUUCUCGCACUGUUGGAAUGGUUGGACACUCCUCCACCAAAUGCUCAUAAGACUGACAUAUGGAACAAGACGUAGCUUGCACUCGUGUCUCGAAAAUGGCCUGUACUUCUUGUACUUUCUUCAGUUAUAGCUCUUCCAAUCUCCUUGCCAUAGUUGCAAAUUUUGCUUUCAUGUCCAUGUCUUCACUCAACACAUACAUUCCACCCUUAGCAUUGGGCUGAGACUUCAUCCUCCCCACAUCUCUGGUAUUCAGUUCAUCCCAUCCUCUUGAAACUUCAAAAACAUAGCUCAAGAAGUCCAUAGCUUCCUCUAGAUUCUUACUCAUGAAGUCUCCUCCACACAUGGUCUCUAGGAGUUGCUUCAUAGAGGAAGACAUACCAUCAUAGAAAUAACUCACUAAGAGCCAUGUAUCAAAGCCAUGGUGAGGACAAGCGUUGAAAGCUUCCAUGUACCUCUCCCAACACUCAUAGAAUUUCUCAUUCUCCUUAGCUGAGAAGUUCGAAAUUUGCCUUUUCAAGCCAUUGGUCCUAUGAGUAUGGAAGAACUUCUUGAGAAACUCAGCUUGUAAAUCAGUCCACGUUCUGAUACUCCUCGGCCUUAGAGAAUUAAGCCAAACCUUGGCCUUAUCCUUUAAGGUGAAAGGGAAUAGCUUGAGUCUCAUCAAGUCAAUUGUAGCUCCUCCUUCUUGGAAUGUAUUGCACACGUCUUCAAACUCCUUGAUGUGAGAAUAGGGGUUCUCACUUUCCAUCCCAUGGAAAGUAGGUAGAAGUGGCACUAUAUGAGGUCGGAUUACUAGCUGCUCAGUGGGAGGCACUAUGCAUGAAGGUGCACUCAUUCUAGGUGGAUGCAUGCGAUCCUUCAUGGAUCGGUAUGCAUUGAGAUUCUCCUCUUGCCUAUGUUGGCUAUGUUGAUCUUUGGGUGGACAAUCCAUGAUGUUCAAGCAGACUUCCAACUCAAUUUCUUAAGGAGUUUCAGUUUUCACAAGUCUUCCCUCAAUAUCUCUUAUCCAAUAAGGCAUUGAUUACUACUCAAAAAGUGCAUUUUUAUAAGCUUAAACUUAAUUGUAUUAAGCACUUUUGAGUAGUAGUUAGACCUUUUAUCCCAAUUGGCAUGUUAAGGACCUAGCAAAUGUUACUAACCAAUUUCUAGUAUGUUUUAGUGUUUUUGGUAGCUUUUUUAUCACUGAAACAGGCCAAGAUUGAGGGAGAGUUUGGAGCACAUGAAGAAUCCGAGCUUUGGAGCACUUCAAAACCCUUGCCAAACUUGGAAAGGGGUUGGAAAAGCUAUCAGUAGUAAGAUGGAGGAAAACAGAGCAUUUCGCAAGGCAAGAUCAUCAAUUUUGCAAGGUAUGCCAAAAUUUGGCAAGGUGUGCCAAAAUUUCACAAGGUGUGCCAAAGUUUCGCAGGGUGUGCGAAAAUCACUUUGUGCGCACCGACCUUUGAGAUUUUUCUCCAAAACUGUAAUUUUUCCUUUUUACUCCUUUUGUAAUAGACAAAUGACAUUAGGGUUUGUUUAAGAACUAUAAAUAGGGGUUGGAAAACCUCUCAAAUGAUGUUAUGGUAGAUAUUAUGUUUUAGAUAUUUUGGAAAGACGAGUUUUUCUCUGCCUUUCCUUCUCAUUUUCUUUUCACUUUCUCUCUAGCCAAACACCCUUUGAAGAUGAUUUCUUAGAGGAUGAGUGGCUAAGUUUCACGUUUCUUGGAGUGAUGGAAGCUAAGUAAAGGACCUAGAUGCAAAGGUGAAAGUUUUCCUUGCUUUAAAUGAAUGUAGUUGUGUAUCAUUAAUGGUUUAUAUUUCAAGUUUCAGCUUUAAUCCCUUAUAAUCACCUUGAAUGGCCAAUACUUGGUAAGCUUUUAGGAUUCUAUGGAUGCUUAUUGCUAGAUCCAUGGAUGUCCAUUAGUUAUCAAGUACGAGCCAUUGAAAGGUGGUUCAAGGUGAGGGUCUUUAGUGUUUAAAGCCAUUAAUGGGAAGCAACUACCAUUUUUCAAGAAUCCUUUGGAUCAAAACUUAUUUGCUAAAUACAAAUCCGGUUCGGGAGAUAACCAUCCUUUAUGUUAUUAUCCCCAAUGUAAGGAGAAGAUCCGGAAUUUCCCACUUUGCAACAGGAACCUGAUCCUAGUAACCUAUAGCUCCAAGAGACUUUCUCUUUAUAGUAAUUUCAGUUGUUUAUGUUUACUUAACUUAAAAUCAACCCUUCCACUCAAUCUUAUUUUCAUUAAAAACUAACUUUCAAAAAGGAAAUCACCAUUUCUCAUUUUAUUAAUGUCAUGUGUACAAAGAAAAUCCAUCCCUGUGGACGAUCCUAGAGCCACUAUACUAUAGUAGCUGUCUUUGCUACCCUAGUAUAAGGUGUUGUAGGUUUUAUAAAUGUUUUGAUAAACACCCAAAUGGGCAUGAAUCAGGCAUACACAACUCGAGAUUACUGAAACAAAAACAAAGAAAGCAAAAAAGACUACAAUUCUAGGAAAAGAUUUAAGGUUAGCUAAAAACUAAAUGAAAGAUAAGAUAAAAUAAAAACAAAGAAAAUGAGUUAGUGAAAGAAAAAUCACCAACUUGUGAUGAAGAUCAUGAGUACUCAUAAAAAGUAAUAUUUAUGUACUUAGGAACCAUCCCCGGCAGCGGCGCCAUUUGAUUCAUGCCCAGUCGGGUGUUUAUCAAAACAUUUAUAAAACCUACAACACCUUAUAUUAGGGUAGCAAAGACAAAGCUAUUAUAGCAUAAUGGCUCUAGGAUUGUCCACAAGGAUGAGUUUUCUUUGUACACAUGAUAUUAAUGAAAUGAGAAAUGGUGAUUUCCUUUUUUGAAAGUUAGUUUUUUUAAUUGAAAAUAAGAUUGAUUGGAAGGGUUGAUUUUAAGUUAAGCAAACAUAAACAACUAAAAUUACUAUAAAGAGAAAGUCUCUUGGAGCUAUAGGUUACUAGGAUCAGGUUCUUGUUGCAAAGUGGGAAAUUCUGGAUCUUCUCCUUGCAUUGGGGAUAAUAACAUAAAGGAUGGUUAUCUCCCAAACCGGAUUUGUAUUUAGCAAAUAAGUUUUGAUCGAAAGAAUUCUUGAAAAAUGGUAGUUGCUUCCCAUUAAUGGCUUCAGACGCUAAAGACCCUCACCUUGAACCACCUUCCAAUGGCUCGUACUUGAUAACUAAUGGACAUCCAUGAAUCUAGCAAUAAGCAUCCAUAGAAUCCUAAAAGCUUACCAAGUAUUGGCCAUUCAAGGUGAUUCUAAGAGAUUAAAGCUGAAACUUGAAAUACAAAUCAUUAACAAUACACAACUACCUUCAUUUUUAGCAAGGAAAACUCCCAUCUUUGCAUCUGGGUCCUUUACCUAGCUUCCAUCACUCCAAGAAACGUGAAACUUAGCCACUCAUCCUUUGAAAAAUCAUCCUCAAAGAGUGUUUGGCUAGAGAGAAAGUGAAGAGAAAAUGAGAAGGAAAUGCAGAGAAAAACUCGUCUUUACAAAAUAUCUAAAACAUAAUAUCUAACAUAACAUAAUAUCUGAGAGGUUUUCCAACCCCUAUUUAUAGUUCCUAAAUAAACCCUAAUGUCAUUUAUCUAUUACAAAAGGAGUAAAAAGAAAAAAAAAAUUACAAUUCUGGAGAUUUUUCCCAAAGGUCGGUGCGCACAUAGUGAUUUUCGCACACCCUACGAAAAUUUGGCACACCCUGCGAAAUUUUGGCACACCUUGCCAAAAUUUGGCACACCUUGCGAAUUUUGGCACACCUUGCGAAUUUGAUGAUUUUGCCUUGCGAAAUGCUCUGUUUCCCUCCAUCUUACUACUGAUAGUUUUGGCAACCCCUUGCCAAGUUUGGCAAAGGGUUUUGAUGUGCUCCAAAGCUCGGGUUCUUCAUGUGCUCCAAACUCUCCCUCAAUCUUGGCCUGUUUCAGUGAUCAAAAAGCUACCAAAAACAUUAAAACUUACCAGAAAUUGGUUAGUAACAUUUGCUAGGUUCUUAACAUGCCAAAUGGGAUAUAAAAGUCUAACUACUACUCAAAAGUGCUUAGUACAAUUAAGUUUAAGCUUAUAAAAAUGCACUUUUUGAGUAGUAAUCACAUAUUCAACUAUUAUUAUUUAUGUAUGGAUCUAACUUAGCUAAUUCAACUAUAAUUUAUUGAAAAGAGACAUUAUGUGUAGAUCUAACAAUUUGCUUAUGUUUCAUAGCAUGUUCUUCAUGACUAUGAGAAAAUUUUAAAAGGUUCAUAUUUAUUUUUAUAGAAUUUUCAUAAAUUUUACAAAGAAAAUUCAUUGAUCCAUCCUUCUUCUUCACAAAUAAAAAAGGAGCUCCCCAAGGUGAAACACUAGGUCAAUAAAACCCUUAUCUAACAACUCUUGAAGCUAAGCCUUCAACUCCUUAAGCUUCAUAGGUGCCAUCUUGUAUGGAGUCUUAGAUAUAGGAAUUGUUCUUGGUACCAAAUCAAUGGUAAAUUCCACUACCUUUUCUGGUGGCAAGCCAAGCAAAUUAUCUAGAAAAACAUCAGGAAAUCCCUUACAACGGGUAUGUCCUCCAACUUUAAAUCAUUUUCAUCACUCACCACAUAAGCCAAAAAGCCUUGACAACCCUUCCUAAGCAAAGAACUAGCUUGUAAGGCUAAGAUCAUACGGAGUGGUCUAUCUGCAUGCUUCUCCUCAAAAUUGAACUCAAAUUGACCAAGGAUGCUAAAUAUCACCCUUUUCCCAAAACAAUCAACAAAAACAUGAUAGGAAGCUAACCAAUCCAUUCCCAAAAUUACAUCAAAAUUCUUAAGGUCAAGAAGUACUAAGUCAACUGGCAUUUCCGUAUAACCAAUCAUCACAAGACAAUCUCUAAGCAUUUUACUGGUCACAACAGAAACUCCCAUAGGAGUAGCAAUCAAAUCAAAGUCCAUGUUAGCAAAAGGCAUACCCAACAAACCAACAAAACAUAUUGAAACAAAAGAGUGUGUUGAGCUUGGAUCAAUUAAGGCUCUAGCAAAUAAAGUGUUAAUUCGGAUAGUACCUGUCUCCAUAUCAGAAGUAGCCUGAGCAUCUCGAUGAGUCAUAGCAAACACCUGCCCUUGGGCCCUAGGCUUCUCUUUAUCCUCUUUAUUCUCCUCCUUAGGCUUCCCAAUGAUAAACUUUUUAUUCUCUGGACAAUCUCGAACCAUGUGUCCUUGCUUCCCACAACCAAAGUAAGCUCCAAUCUCCCUAUAGCAUAACUGAUUACUACUCAAAAAGUGCUAUUUGAUAGCCUAUAAUUAAUCCUUUUAAACACUGUUGAGUAGUAGUUUUGGCCUUUUAACUCAAUUGGCAUGUUAAGGACCCUUGAAAGCAAUUUUAAUCACUUUGUGUAAGUUUUGGUGUUUUUGUUAGUAUUUUGAUCACCAAAGCAAGUCAAGACUGAGGAGAGCUAUGAGGAAUCUUGGGCAAAGCUUAGAAGUCAUUUGCCAAGAGUAAAUCCGGAUUGCAAGGAGAAAAAGCAAAGAGAAUCUGCCAUAAAGCAUAUUCUUGAUGACAGUCAUAGCAGCCACUUUUGGAGCACUUUCUGAAGUCCAAAUGAUGCAUGCUAUAUACCAUUUCAAAGAUCAGGAAGUCAACAAUCCAAUGCUUCAAACGGUGUGUAAUUCGGAGUUGAAACGAAGAAGUUGCAGCCAUUACAAACCAAUCACUCCGAGCUGAAGGAAGCAUUUUGCAAAGUGUUGCGAAAUCACCCUUUUGUUGCGAAGUGAUUUCGCAGUCUUUUUGAACAGUGUGAUGUUUCUCCUUCUGAUGAUACCCGAUUUAUGCCGCGAGAAGGAAGCUGGGAACCUCAAGGUGGAAGCCAACUUCGCAGCCCUGUGAAGAUAGCUUGGUGUUGUGAAAUUAUUUCGCAGCCCUCUUGAGUGUCUGCGAAAUCUCGCAGACACCAUUUUUCUCCUGCGAAAUGGUUCCUGAAGCCUCCCGAUAUUUGCUACCGACAUUGGGAGAUAUUUUCCAUUAGAUUUUUGUUGUCUAAAUCCCAAAAUACUCCUUGUAAACCACCAAUUACAAGAUUCCUUAGCUUUUAAGUUAGUAAAAAGACUAAAUAUCUAUGUAAUAAUUAGUUUUAUAUUAUGUUCAUAUAUAUACCUCUCGGGAGCCUGUUCUCAGAGAGAGUUCCUUCUGUAAAAGUUUGGGUAAGCAAGUAAAGUUCAGUUCUUUCUACUGCCUUACCUUCUCACUUUGUAUUUUUAUUUUAUUUCUAAGUUAUGAACUCUCUGAGGAGUUUUCCCCAGAGAAUGAGUAACUAAACUUCUAAUUCCUUGGAGCUAAGGUUGCCGGGGAAGGUUCCAAGUGCAAGAAUGCAAAACUUUGUGGUUUUAGUUAGUAAUGAAGAGGAAGUGAAAUCCUUUAGUGAUUUCUAUGUUUUUAGUUAACUUAAAACACCUUAGAGUCACCUGGGCCAACACUUGGUAAGGCAAGUGAUUUCCAACCAUGGAAAUGCACUAGUUUACCCCUUGCGAGCCUCUGGGAGGUGACUUCAAGGUAGGAUUUUCUAGAAUAGCCAACACUUGGUAAGCUUUUGGACUCCUAGGAGACAUCCAUUAGUUAUCUCUUGUGAGCUUUUGACGGGUAAUCCAAGGUUAAAGAUCACCUUGAAUGGUUAAGGCUUAGUGAGAGGCUUAAACCAUUGCAAGUUGCAUCAGUGAGGGAAUUAAAGUGAAAUCUAAUUGAAGGAGUCUCUGUACAACACCGGUUAGAGAAUUGACUAUAUGUUGAAUCUCUAACACGAGGAAAUGAACCAUCUGACCAGAGCCGUGUCUUUUGCAUGAGGAACCACCCCAGUGAACCUAACUCUCCAAGGAAUGUUUUCUUCCUAAAUUAUUCCAAACUUCUGUUAUGUUAGUUAGUUUAAGUCUAAACCUUUACCAAUCAAAGUUUGUGUUUUACUUCUUAAGCUAACCAUGAAAUGAAACAAGACCAAUUCACUUGGAAUUGGUAUCAUUGAUUGCUUGUUAAUCAUUCCCAGUGAACGAUCCUAGAGCCACUAUACUAUAGUAGCUUUUUCUUUGCUACCCUAGUGUAUGGUGUUAUAGGUAAUAAAUUUUGUUGAUUACUCCCUCAAUCAAGGAGCACCAGCUGGACACAAAUCAGCUGAGACACCAAUUGGGCACGAAUCAAUAGCCUACCCAUGUGCUUCUUACCACAAGUAGGACAAAUCACAUCUGAAUUUUGUGUUAUCUUCCCUUUAUUCUGAUUUCUAGUAGAGGCAGACCUUUUCCAUGCUUAGUUACCAUGAGCACCAUCACUCCUAUUCUUCUUCCUCUGUUGUUCCCUAUACCAAUGAAGCUCUUUAUUAUCCUUUUCUGCAAUAAGGGCUCUGUUCAUAAUCUCUGAAUAGAUGCCAAGUUUUAGAAUAGAUAUCUUGUUCUUCAUGUAGGGCUUUAAUCCACCUUGAAAUUUUAAUGUUUUUUCUUCCUCUGUAGCAAUCAAUUGUGGGGCAAAUCGUGACAACUCUGUAAAUUUGGCCUCAUACUAGGCUACAGUCAUCUCCCCUUGUUCCAAAUGAACAAACUCACCCACCUUUUGUCGCCUAACACUGUCGGGGAAGUACUUCUUGUAGAAAGCCUCCAUAAAAUGUCUCCAAGUUAUAGGUCUCUGAUCGUCCAAAAGCCUUUUGAUCAUAUUCCACCAAUGAUCUGCUUAUUUGUCUAAUAUAAAUGUUGCAUAAGAGGCCUUUUACUCCUUAGAUCAAUCUAUGACAUCAAAGAAUUUCUCCAUCUUAAGAAUCCAAGCCUCUACUUCUAUUGGAUCUAAAGUGCCAGAAAAAUAAGGAGGACCUAGUUUCUUAAAGUCAUCAAAAGAGCUACCCCUAGAAAAUGAGGGUUGUCACUGACCAUUAGUCUCAACGGCUCUAGCUUGAUGCUCAACCAAAUCAGCUAAAGUUCCGGGAUACCUAUAAAGCCCUUCUUCAUUCAAGGGAGGCCAACCCUAAAGUGGAGGAGGUACAUCAUUAUUAGCCUGACUGUUUUGGGAAGAUGUUGUUAUUCUUGGUGCCAUGAUCUCCUAUAAAGCAUAAGGUAUAGCUAAAUUAGUUGCUAAGAAACCAAUUAGAUAAUUUGGAUUUAUAAGGGAAGAAAAAAGAGUUUAUACAAGAUGAAGUCAAAACUUAAACUAAUGUGUUACUCAUCUAUCCCCAAAGUAAACUAAAACAAGUUCUCAACAAGAUCAUAACCUAGUGCUCUGAUACCACUCUGUCACGCCCUAAAACCCAUUCCAAGGGCAUGAUGGUCAUUUCACACCUUAACCCUAAAGGCUCAAAGUGGUAAUGACAUAAACAUUCGUAUUGUAAUUAGAAAUUUACCAAUUACUGAAUUCCUAUUUAGAGUAGUAGAACAAAAGUUCUAAAAUCUCCAGAUAAUAACUUUUGAAACUAAUACAUCAAACCAAGUGUUAUUGUCCAAAUAACUUCAAACUCAAAUAAUUCUAAUGGAAAAUAAAUUUUAACAUCUAAACAAUGCUCAAAAUAAAGAGAGUUUUUGACAAAUGUCUUAACAAGCCAAUUUUCCUUCCUAAACAUCACUCCUUUCCCAAACUAAGGGUACUUGGAAAAUUAUCAACAAAGGGGGAUGAGCUCAAAGCCCAAUAAAGAAUAUUAACACGGUUUCAUAGAUCAAAUAUUUUCAAUUACACUUACAAAUAGGAGAUAUAACAUAUAAUCUAUUUAUAAAACUUUUGUAAUAAACAUGUAAAACAUUUAAACUGUUCAACAAACAUUUUCAUAUAUAUAAAAAUCAUUUCAUAUUCAUUUCAAAUCAAAUACAUUUCAAUUGUUUUCACUUUAAUUAUCAAAUAACAAAUAGUGCUCAUUUAAGUGGGACUUUACAAAUAGGUGGCCAACCUCAAAUGUUCCUUUCUAAGGUGGAUGAAACAAAACACUACUAGUACUAGUAACCUUAACCAAAGCCCUAGAGGCUAGAGUCCAAAUCAAUUACAUUCCCCAUCACAAAAAUGUAAAGGUAAAUUAUUAUAUCUCGUUGACAAGAGUCAAACAAAUCAGAGUCAAAUUCUUUAUUUUAUUUAUUCCAAUUUACUAAAGCAGAAAAUCUCUAAGUGUUUCAAUGUAAACAAAAUAAAUGUUAUAACACAUUUUUCCAUACAAAAAUAUAUUUGAUCCAUACUUAAAAGCAAAAAUAACAAUUACACAUUUCAAACAACAUAUAUAAUUUUUUUUUUUUUUUUUGCAAGAUCUGUAUUAAUUCCCCUUACCUCAAAAUAAGUCUUAAAAAACUUUGGAGAAAAAUAAUUUUGGAAAAUCUACUAUUUACCUAACAAAGCAUAACAAAAAUAACUAUUACUAUUUAUCUAAAAUUAUAAGUUUGACAAUCCUAAAAUUUUUGGUAUUCAAAUUAAUGUUUUUAAUUAUGAAAGAUAAUUUAAUCUAUUCCUAUUUUAGAAAAAUUAAUAAAUUUCUAAUUCAUAUAAAACUUAAAUUUUACUUUCAAUUUAUUUCUUGGGACACAACAUAAUUUAAUUAAAAUACAAAUUUAUUUCACUAAUUAAAUUUUAUGAUACUUAUUAACUUAACAUUUAUCGUUAAUCUAAUUAUAAUACUAUAAAUUUAACUAAUUUGUACUUGACCCCGUUUAUUUAUACAUAGUUUAUUCUACCACUUUCAUCAUUCUUCUAUCUUCCCAUACACAUGCAUUUUUUUUUUUUUUUGGCCACUGUUUAUUAUUAUUAUUAUACACUUUUAGAAAUCAACCAAUACAUUGAAAUCUCAAAUUUUUUCUUCAAAUAUUUUCCAAUUCCUUAAGUCACAUAUAAUCAUAUAUUUAUUUAACCAUUUAAUUUUUGAAAUUUCAUUGCUUAGAUCUAUUCAUCUAAGAAAAUUUGAAUUUCCUAUUUUCAUAAAUGGAACAACCUAUAUUCAUAAUUUAAAUAUUUUGAUCUAAAAUUUUUAAAUUGAUUAACCCUAGCCUAAAUCAAAAUCUUCCAAAUAAUCUGUUUUUUUUUUCAUCUAAAAACUUAAGGUUUCCCAUUUUUCAACAAUAAAUCAUCCCAUAAUUUUAAUAUUAAAACAAAUUAAAAAAUAUAUACUAACCCUAAUCUAAAUUAAAAAUUUUCAAACAAUAUCUAACAUGUUCAGAACUAACUAACAAAUAUAAUAUAUUGAUUUAGAGUUAGAAUCUUACCUGGAAAAAUCUAAACAUCAAACUCUAAACUUUAAACCUUUAACUCUACGAUCUCAAAUUCUCUAAUUUUGGUUAAUAGGGUUUUCUGAAUAAAGAAGACAAGAGGAAAAUCUAAUUUAUAUCUAACAUUAUCAAUUGUAAAAGGACUCUUUCACCUUUAAUGAGUUUAAUUAAUUACAUUUAAAUUUACUAUUUUGCCCCUAGAGUUAAUUUUGGGGUGUUACAAUUUUUUUUGUUUUCCCAAUUUUUUUUUCAAAAAUGUGUACUGAGCAUGUAAGUGACUUAAUUUGAUAUGGUGUUUACAUUUGCCACAAAAUAAAAGUGAAUAGAAGUAAUAAAAUGAUGAUAGAGUGAAUAAAGCCCUAUGGAGCGGGUAAGUGACUUAAACUCACAUAUGAGGUUUAAAUUUGGAACAAAACAAAAGUAAAUAGAUGUAACAAAAUAACGAUAGAGUGAGUAAUGCUCUAACACUAGAGAGUUACAAAUAUUAUAUAUAUUAUUUUUUCACAACUUGAAAGAGUAGACUUAAUUUUCCCAUCAAUUGAAUCUUCUUUAAGGUUACAUUAAUCAAUUAUUAAUUAUUCUAUACUACAUGGAGAUUCAAAGAUAAAUCCUUAUUUUUUGUGUUUUUUGUUAAAAGCAUAUAUUAUGUAAACUUUCCAUAUAAACUUUAUUUCAAUUUAUGAAAAAAGUUAUUUCAUAUCUAAUGUUAUUUCUAUAAUAUUAAUAUUAUUUAAAAUUUUAAUUUUGACUUUAAUUUAAGCUUCUAUUUUAAUAUAACUUUCAAAGAUUAAUCUUGAAUUAUCAUUAUUAUUGUUUUUAAUUUAGUUUGGAUUGAUGUAUUACACUAUUUAUAGAAUGUUAUUAUAUUGGGAUGAAGCCCAUAUCUAAGAAUAUAUAUUUUUGAGUAUUCUAUCUUUUUGUUUAUAUAAAGUAUUCUUAUUAAAAACAAAAAUGGGGCUUACUUUCUAUAAUAAUGAUCAAUUUUUAUUCUUAAACAUACAAAUCCUAAUAGAUGACCAAGAUAAUGAGUUUCUGAUUUUUAUUCUCUUUGUCAAUGUUCCCAACAUCCUCUUAUUGCAAAUAUUUUUCUUAGCAUAAUUCUUAUUCCCCCUAUCAAUGUUCCCAAUAUCCACUUGUUGAAAAUAUUUUUAUAGAAUAAUUAUAUAUUUGCUAAACCAACUUUUUCUUUAGACCAUAUCAUGGACAUAAGAAUAGGAUAGUGAUAAAAAUGAGAAUGAAUUAGCAUGUGAUGUUGACAUAAAUAGAUUUUGACCUUUUUUGAGGAUGAAUUUUUAUCCUUAUUUGAUUUUUUUAAUAAGUUAAUUAUAUAGAGAAAAAUAAAAUAGAUUUUUUUUUUCUUACUCAAAAUGUUAGAUCUUAAUGAAAUUUAGAUAGAAGUUCCUAAAUUAAUAAUUCCUUAGACACAAUUAAAAAAUAAUUAGUCUUUUUUUACGCAUUCACAAAACGUUUGAAUUGAUGUUAUUAGCUAUAACAUCUCAUUUUAUAAUGGAUUAAUAUUUUAUUAAAAAUUACCUAUUAAAAAAUAAUUGAUAUAUUUUAAAAUUUGGAAUAUAACAUUAAUGGGAUAUUCUUUUUUUAUGGAAUAUUAUAUUUUAAAAUCAUUGAUGGAGUAGAACGAUUAACCUACUAUCAUUAUUUUAUAUUUAUAUUAUCAUACAAAAAAUCCAUGGAAAAAACUGGUAUAAAUAUUAAAUAUAAAUAUCAAUAUUUAAUUAAGAGAAAGUUUAAGAAACAAGAAAGGGCCUUUCCACUGAAAGUCCUCGCACCCGGCCAACAACCCUCACAACACCCCCUCAUGCCUUGACAAAUCCAUGGGUUUGACACCCUGCAAACUAAUGCUCUGGACAAACUACUGCCCAUUGGUUUCAAUGUCAGUCAAAGCUCUGGCGCCCUACAAACUACCACCCUAGACAAAAAUUGAAAUCCUUGUUGAUAAGCCAAGAACAGAGGAGAACAAAGGAGUUGGUUACUGAUGUCACGAGAUGAAGCCCACUUGUUGUUAGCUUUAUUGUUAUUGAGUUGUUAUUUUUUUACCAGCUGUUAUUACAACCUGUCUCCAUCUAUUUUGAACACUAUAUAUAUAUAUUAAAUCUCUCUCUCUCUUGUUACUUUAACAAAGAGAGCAGAGUUUUCAGCUUCAGCUUUUCUAUCUUGGUAUCAGAGCUCUCAUUCAAGGUUUGAAUUUUUUCUUCUCUUUCUCACUUUCUCUCUGUUUCUCUCGAUCCAAACAUGGCCUCUACUCCGACACAGUCUUCUUCUUCCUCUGGUUCGAUUGGAUCUGGACAAAGCUCAACAAUGGCGUCCAUUCCUUCCUAUCAGAUGCUUAAUCACACUCUGCCUGUGAAACUUGAUCGGACGAAUUACAUCCUAUGGAGAUCUCAGAUUGAUAAUGUCGUUUUUGCUAAUGGCUUUGAGGAUUUCAUUGAUGGAACCUCUAUCUGUCCGGAGAAAGAUUUGAGUCCAGGAGUGAUGAAUCCAGCUUUUGUUGCUUGGAGGAGACAAGAUCGAACAAUCCUCAGUUGGAUCUACUUGUCGCUCACACCAGGUAUCAUGGCACAGAUCAUAGGCCAUAAUACUUCUCACUCUGCUUGGAAUGCCUUGGAAAGAAUUUUUUCAUCUUCUUCAAGAGCUAGGAUAAUGAAACUCAGACUCGAAUUACAAUCCACAAAGAAAGGAUCAAUGUCGAUGAUAGACUACAUAAUGAAGAUCAAAGGAGUUGCUGAUAAUCUAGGUGCUAUUGGAGAACCUGUCUCAGAACAAGAUCAGGUUAUGAAUCUUCUUGGAGGUCUUGGAUCCGAUUAUAAUGCUGUUGUUACUGCUAUCAACAUUAGAGAUGAUAAGAUCUCUCUUGAAGCUAUACAUAGUAUGCUAUUAGCCUUUGAGCAUCGUCUUGAGCAACAAAGCUCGAUUGAACAAAUGUCUGCCAAUUAUGUCUCUUCCUCUAAUAACAGAGGUGGUGGAAGGAAGUUUAAUGGAGGUCGUGGACAAGGCUACUCUCCAAAUAACAAUAAUUGCACCUAUAGAGGUCGUGGACGUGGAGGUAGAAAUGGACAAGGUGGAAGGCAAAAUUCCAGUCCAAGUGAGAAACCUCAGUGUCAGUUAUGUGGUAAGUUUGGCCACACUGCUCAGAUCUGUUAUCACAGGUUUGAUAUCUCUUUUCAAGGUGGUCAGACUACUAUUUCUCAUUCUUUGAAUAAUGGGAAUCAAAACAAUAUACCUGCUAUGGUUGCUUCUGCUUCUAAUAAUCCUGCAGAUGAGAGUUGGUAUUUGGAUUCUGGAGCAAGUCACCAUCUGACUCAGAAUUUGGGGAAUCUCACCAGUACUUCACCAUACACGGGAACAGAUAGAGUCACUAUUGGUAAUGGUAAGCAUCUCUCCAUCUCCAAUAUUGGCUCUAAACAACUUCAUUCUCAUACACAUUCUUUUCGACUCAAGAAGGUGUUUCAUGUUCCCUUUAUCUCAGCUAAUUUGAUUAGUGUGGCUAAGUUCUGCUCAGAUAAUAAUGCCUUGAUUGAGUUUCAUUCUAAUGCUUUCUUUGUGAAGGAUCUACACACGAAGAUGGUUCUUGCUCAAGGCAAGCUUGAAAAUGGGCUUUACAAGUUUCCUGUGUUCAGCAAUCUAAAACCUUAUAGUAGUAUUAAUAAUGCUUUUGCUUUUCAUAGUACUGUUGAAAAUAAAGCAGAGUUAUGGCAUAAUAGACUAGGCCAUGCUGGAUUUGACAUUGUUUCAAAAGUCAUGAAUACUUGUAAUGUUGCUUCUAGGAAAUAUAAAUCUACUGUUUGUUCUGAUUGUCAGUUAGCUAAAAGUCAUAGACUACCUACUCAGCUCUCAAAUUUUCGUGCAUCUAAACCUUUAGAACUUGUUUAUACUGAUAUUUGGGGACCUGCCUCAAUUAAAUCUACAUCUGGAGCGAAAUAUUUCAUUCUUUUUGUAGAUGAUUAUUCCAGGUAUACUUGGUUUUAUUCAUUACAAACAAAGGAUUAGGCCCUUCCCAUCUUUAAGCGAUUCAAGCUUCAAAUGGAGAAUCAGUUUGACACCAAAAUUAAGUGCUUACAGUCUGAUAAUGGUGGAGAAUUUUGAUCUUUUAUGUCUUUUCUUCAAGCAGUUGGUAUUGCCCAUCGAUUUUCCUGUCCAUAUAACUCAGCUCAAAAUGGUAGAGUUGAGCGGAAGCACAGACACGUAGUUGAAACUGGGUUGGCUUUGUUAUCUCAUGCUUCCUUGCCAAUGAAGUAUUGGCACUACGCUUUUCAGACAGCAACUUUUCUUAUCAAUCGAAUGCCAAGCAAAGUUCUCAAGUAUGACUCCUUACUUCACUCUUUUUAGAAGGCAUCCUGAUUAUAAAUCUCUUUGUGUAUUUGGCUGCCUUUGUUAUCCUUUCAUUCGGCCAUACAACACUCAUAAAUUGCAGUACAGAUCUAUCCAAUGUCUUUUUCUUGGCUAUAGUUUGAAUCACAAGGGGUUUUUAUGUCUUGAUUAUGCAACUGGAAGAGUCUAUAUUACUCCCCACGUGGUCUUUGAUGAAUCAACUUUCCCACUUGCUCAGUCCAAGUCUUCCAGUUCGUCUAAUGACACUUCAGCAGAAAGCUCUACCCCUGCCCUUAUAACUCCUCCUUCUUUUCCAUGUCUUCUCCCAGAUUCAAAAAUCAGUCAUGCUUCCAUAGAUUCUCAUUCUCUAUCCACAAGUGAAAGUCCUAUUCCUACAACCUCUUCUUCACCUCUGGACACAUCUAGUUCUUCUCCUGCUAUAGAUUUGUCACCUAAAUCUGUUCCAGAACCUCAAGUCACUGCUCUUGCUCCACGAAUGACAACAAGGUCCAUGUGUGGUAUAACCAAGAAAAAGACCAUUCUUGAUCUCUCUGCCAUAAAGGUUUCAGAACCAUCUACUCUCAAAUAAGCCUUCAAAGAUCCAAAUUGGACUAAAGCUAUGGAAAUGGAGAUUGCUGCUCUUCAUAGAAACCAUACUUGGGAUCUUGUUGAACAACCACCCAAUGUCAAUGUGAUUGGCUGUAAGUGGGUGUAUAAACUAAAACAUAAGCCAGAUGGGAGUAUAGAGAGGUAUAAAGCUAGGCUUGUGGCAAAAGGAUAUAAUCAGACUCAUGGUCUGGACUAUUUUGAGACUUUUAGUCCAGUAGUUAAGGCUGCCAUUAUUCGCAUCAUACUUACUGUUGCUCUCAGUUUUAAGUGGGAAAUUCGACAGCUUGAUGUUCACAAUGCCUUCCUCAAUGGUGAGCUAGAAGAACAAGUCUAUAUGUCUCAACCUCCUGGAUACUUUGACACUCAAUUCCCGAAUAGAGUGUGUAGAUUGAAGAAGGCUUUAUAUGGCUUAAAACAAGCCCCACGUGCUUGGUUUCAAAGACUCAGCUCUGCUCUUCUUCAGUGGGGAUUCAGCAUGUCUCGGACUAAUAGUUCUAUGUUUCUGCACUUUGGAAAGGCCACUACUUUGAUAGUUCUUGUCUAUGUUGAUGAUAUACUCGUAAUGGGCAGCUCCUCCACACAGAUUUCGUCUCUCAUAGCUAAACUUGAUUCAGUUUUUGCUUUACGAGAUUUGGGUCAACUCUCAUUCUUUCUCGGUAUAGAGGUUUCCUACAAUGAAGGCUCUAUGACUUUGAGCCAAACCAAAUACAUUUCAGAUCUGCUUCAUAGAACUGAAAUGUUUGAUACCAAACCGGCAAAAACACCUGGUGCUGUUGGGAAGAACUUGUCUAAAUUUGAUGGAGAUCCUAUGGCAGAUGUUACUCAUUAUCGAAGUGUAGUAGGGGCACUUCAGUAUGUUACCUUGACAAGACCUGAUAUAGCCUUUGCUGUCAAUAAGGCAUGCCAAUUUAUGCAACAACCAACCACAACUCACUGGCUCUCAGUCAAACGAAUACUUCGGUAUCUAAGAGGAACAAUGCAAGAUGGGCGAGAUGAAGCCCACUUGUUGUUAGCUUUAUUGUUAUUGAGUUGUUAUUUUUUUACCAGCUGUUAUUACAGCCUGUCUCCAUCUAUUUUGAACACUAUAUAUAUAUUAAAUCUCUCUCUCUUGUUACUUUAACAAAGAGAGCAGAGUUUUCGGCUUCAGCUUUUCUAUCUCUUGCAUCCCUAUACAUCACAUAAAUGAUAUCGAGAACAACACCAGAUAGCUGUAAUCACUGCAUUUACUGGUCACCAUCAGAGAGCUCUGAACUCUACCACCGAAAUUGUUUCCUGUUUCCUCACCCUGAAAUCUACCACUAAGAAGCCCUAACCCAACACUUACAGAUGAACUCCACAUGGGCAAACUCUAACAUGUAGGAUGUAAGUCAUUGUUGGAGGCUUCAAGGUCAUUCGGGUGACAUUUUCUCUAUAGACACUUCAUGUUAGCAAGGCUUCAAGGCUUCUGAUCACUAUGAAGUUUGAUUCUACCCUCAUUCUCUUACUAUGAAGUGACAAGAAGUAGAUUUUUUGUACCCUCGUUCAACAAUAUCUUCACACUAUGUUAAAGAAAAAAUAAAAAUCCAUCCUUACUUUUCAGUUCCCUUUGUACUAAAAACAAAGGUGGAUUUUAAGGUUGAUGCAUUAGCAUCUCAAAUGCAGAAAAUUUUAGUGCUUUUUUUCCGUGUUUGGUCACUGGCAAAAUAUAGGAAAUGAAAAUAAAAGGUGGAAAGGAAAUAAUAUUGAAUAAAGAGAAAUGGUUUAGGUUUAAGAUUCUUUUAUCAACCUCUAUUUGGUUUCUCAGAGAACGUGGGAAAGAGAAGUGAAUAUAACUUAAGUUUUCUUUUGUUUUUGUUUUCUUUCUUUCUUUAUUUUUUAUUUUGAUUAGUUAGAAAAAAUGGUGUUAACAGUUGACUUUAUUAAAGAAAAUGUAAGGUCUCAACAAGGCUAUAAAGCAAGCUUUUGGGAAAAAAGAACUUUGAAGUUUAUUGUUUUUUUCUUUAUUAUAUUUGUUUUUAGAAACUAACAUCAAAUGAAAAUGCAAGGUGUACUAUGUUGAUUCUAAGAUUAAAUUUUUUUUAUUAGCCUUUGUUUGGUUGCUAAGAAAAUGUAGGAAAAAAGGAAUGGACACUAGCUGAUUAGGUCUAAAAGUUCUUAAUCAAAUUGUAUCAUUAGCUCUAAAAAAGAAUUUUAAGUCAUAUAUACAUCUAACAAUCCAAGGUAAAAGAAAGGGUUAUAAGCACUACCAUCAUACUGAAAUUGGUUUGAACCAUGAGUUUAAAUUUUUUUUUUUUCUAUUUUUGGUGAAUUCAAGUUAGCUUAGGGAUAAAUAAUAUUACCUUCUGAAAUGAUUUUCAUGUGGUCCUAUAUAAGUUCCUACAAUUACGCAUAAUCUCAUUAAUUGAUAUAUGAAAUCUAGUUUUAGUUUGAUGGUUCUAUUAUAUAGUUUUGCCUACCAUGGUAAAAGAGCCUAGGGAUUUUACUUUGAUGUCAUGUUUUUAGGGAUUCUAGUCAUAGAAUUAGGCUUAGUUUUAAAAUAUAGACUGCAUUUGAAGUUACAUGAAUAAUUAUGAUUUGUAAGUCUAAUUAUUGUUGCCCAUGAUUGGUUUAUGAUUUUUGUUCAUCCUAGUUCACCUGAACUAACCUCCAUAUAAUAGUAAAUAUAGCAUAGGGAUGCCAAUUUAUUUGGAGAGAAGGUUUCAAAGUUGUUAUGACUAGUUGUCUAAAGCAACAUGCAAUUAGAGAGAAUUUGUGUUUUUGGUUAUUUUUCACAUAACAAUUGAAGAGCUUGUACCUUCCAUGAGUUCCUUCAAUUUCUUUUUACUCUUGUGGGAGCACAUUAAUUUGGUUUAAUUUCAUUUUAUGUAGGAGCUUAUUAUGAGAUACAUAUGUGUUGACUACUAUACAAUUCUUAAUUUUUAAACUAAUGCAGUUACAGUCUACUAUUGUUGCUAAAGCAAUAAGACUUUGCAUUCAAUGAAAUAAUAGAAACAGAGAAGAUUUAAUUUAUUGGUGAUUGAAAUGAUUUAUAUUGGAUGUAGUGAGGAAAACCCAUUUCCAUGAGGAUUCAAUUGGUUAUUUCAAUGGUAAAUGAUUUGAAAUUUUUGUCUAAAUGAAUCAUAUUGUAAUGUUGAUGAUUUUUCUAAAUCUAGUAUCCAAAAGCUCCAAGGCACGAGGAAUACCAUGAAUUUUAAUUUGGAGCAUUUUCAGUUAUCCUUUUGGCCUUUUUGAAAUAGUUUGUUACUUAUGCAUGUGCUUGGUGUGCAAUAGAGUUUUACUAUGGGUAGGUGGUCAUGGUUUAACUUUAUGAAAUUUUACUGUUAGUUAAUUUGAACACAGUUGCUUUAUAGAUUUUUUUUUUUUUUAAUGCGUUUCUUCACUUAACUAGUUUGGAACUUAUUUUUCAGUGGUAUGUAUCUUGUAUUUUGAAGUAUAGUUACAACAUAACUAAGGUGGUUUAUGAUAAUCUUGCAUUAACUUAUGAUGAUUUCAGUUACUGUUUCUAUUUCACGAAUCGAUGCAUUUCUUUUCUAUAUUUUGAUGUCAUCUAAGAGUCUUUUCUUACCUUCUUUUUUUUUUUUUUUUAUGCAGGCUUAAACUAAAAACAUGGAGUUAAAACUCAUUGAAGCCAUGAAUUCUAAAGAGACCUGGUUGAUGGUUGGUUCAAAAUUUGAGCCUAGGGUUCUUUUAACUCUCAAAUCAAUUGGGGAUGCCUUCAAUUCGUUAGCAAUUACCAAGGGGCUUGAACUCUUAAAAUAGGAUAUACUUAUUAAGGUAGUAUUCUUUAGAAUUUUAUGUGUUGAGAUAUUAUUUAUCAAAGGGUUUUGUAAUAAUUAUCAAGGGUUAUUGUUGCAUGUCUGAUACAAAUUUUUCUCCUAUUUAGUUUGAAAGUGUAGAAUCAAUUUUUUUUAAUUGUCUUUAUUUUUUAUUAAAUCUUGAACAUCUCAUGUUUCUAGUGUUGAGAUCUUCUAGGAAGGAAGAGCUUAUGAGAUGGUUUUUCUUGACCACACUGAAACUUUUGCAUACGUAAUAUCAUUUAAUUUUUUUUAAUCUUCCUUCUCAAUCCCUUACAAAAACCAAAAGGAUUUUUCUUUAUUAUUUUCAUUUUCAAACCAGACUAUAGUAAAAAACAAUGUGUUGUUCUUGUAGAGGGUACAUAAAGAAAAAGAGAAGGUGCCCUAGAAAUUAACAGAGAAAGUAGCUUUAUUUGGUUAUGGCAUUUUAGUUUCAUCAAAAUCUAAAUUCUCGAUUAGCCUAUCUCAAACCUAUGUGGUAUAUUUAACUCAUGAAUUGAUUUCUUAUCUUUCAUCUAUUACCAGUUGGCAAUGAUCUCUAUGGCAGGUGGUUAUGCACGAGUGCUCAUUGCUUAGCCUCUAUUGCCUUUUUAUCUAGGAUCUUUCCAUUAACACAUAAUUUUCUAUAAUAACUUUUUGUGUUGAGUCAUUUGGCUUGUACUUUAGAUUUUGGCAAUCCUUUGUGAUAUGCUAUCUCUGUUAUAGGGCCUCAUGGUAAAGUUGGUUAUGUUAUGCUCUCCAUUUUGAUUACUUCUAUUAGGUUUUGUAGUAGAAGUCAUUCAACAAGAAGUUAGGAGUGAUAGUCUCACUCUUAUACCUGAAAACCCUAUAGCGUUGUUGAUUUUUUGAUAAAGGGUAAGCAAUAUAAAUGAACAAGGAAGCUUUAUAAAAAAAAAAAAAAGGGAAACUUAUAUACUAAAUCUGCAAUGCCGAACAGUCUCACGAUAAUUUUCGUAAUGCAAAAUUUAAAGAAUGAAAUUAUGUGAUCAUCAAGACCCAAUGCUUUGAAUUCACAUAUUGGUAAUCAAAAGACAAAUAACAUCAGAUAUAGUCUACAAGCUAAUGGAGCAAAGACCACCAUACACACUACUCAUAGAUCCUAAUUGUGAUAUCAACUUUUGAUAUUAUUAUUUCAUUUAAAACAAACUAGGGUACCGUAGGAAGUAUUUUCAUUGGUAAUUUGCUUUCAAACUUCUUGAAACAUUGUUGAAUAUGACACAUUUCACUUUCAUGACUAUUGAGACAUAGUUUGAUUAAGGCAAGGCUAUAGAAACAAAGAGCAUAAACAAUUGAGGACUUUGAGUAAUGACGAUUCAUUGCAUUACUCUUCUUAUUUCAUUAAUGUGAAAUUUUUUUAGGGUUUAGGGCUUUAAGUUUUUCUUUAUAAUUUUACUUUAUACCUAAAAAGUCAACUUCUUUUUCUCUUUUCCAAUCCUUAUUCUAGAUUUCAAACAUAUGUAGAGACAAUUUUUCUUUUUAUUUAGCAUCCAUCAAAAAAAUUAUGGAAUUGAAAAACUUGGUGUAUAUCAUAUAUUUUUGCUAAACCACAUUAGACUACGACAUAGAUUGAUAGAUUUGGUGUAAAUUUUGGUAUCAUGUUACUAGUAUUCUUUCAUAAUGAUUGCUUGAGACUUAGGUGGUGUUUGUUUUUUUGGCUUUUUGCUAAAAACCAUUUAGUUUUAGAAUUUAGGUUGUUUGUUUUUUUACUUUUUCAUGACUUUUUAUAAACUUUUUACUAAAUAGAAAAAGCCAGAAUAUGUGGCUUUUUCUAAAUAAAAAAAAAAUAACACAAUGGUUUUUUUUACUUUUUAAUACUUAAUAGAAAUAAAAUACUACAAAAACAAACAACCUAAUAUUUAAUACUAUUAAGUAUUAAGGUUCUAUUUAGAAUUAAGUAAAAAAACAAACGCCACCUUAGUAAAUGAUAAGUUAUGAUAAUGGUUUUUUGAACUCCUUUAAUGGGUAUAGCAUUAUAUUCAUCUAACAUUAUAUUCAUCUAAUUGUUAGCACAAUGAAAUUGCAGGCAAGUAUGUAGUUGUGCUCUAGUGGAAGAUUUUUAUUUGAUUCUUGCCCCAGCUAUGACCACAAAUCAGAAGAUCCAAUUGAGAAGUGAUAAUGCAUUUUUCAUGAGUUUGUUUGAUUCAAAGUAGUUUAGCAUUCUGUAACAUGUGUUAACACAUGUGGAAUGUUAGCAUGUUAAAUGCUAGACAUUUUAGUAACCUAUGAAUUGAAUGUUAUAUAUGAUGAAAAAGCAAGUGUGAAACAAUUAAAGGAGUAUUUAGUAUGAAUAUGGUUAUUCUUUUGACAGUCAUCUCAAAACAACAAAUCAUUAUAUCAUUUUGGUUUACUUGUAUUUUUUAAUCGGUGAAGGUGAAAUCAAAUAACUCAAUAUAUAGAAAUUGUAAGGUGCAUUUCAUUCACUUCUAAGAUGAGAUUAAUAGGUAAUGUUAUUUUCAUAACAAAAGAAGGGUUUAUAAUUUACAACUCAAUUUAUAUAGCAAAUACUAAAAUAGAAAAUGAAAUAAAAGAAAAAGUAUAUAAGAUAAGAGUGAUUUGAAAAAAUAGUUGAAGAAAAUAGAUAACGAUCUUAUACAAAAAUACUAUAUUGAUUGAUGCAUUAUUAGGUAAUAAGUUACUACAUAUGUAUAAUUUAAAUUUUAUAAUCCAUAUAUUUCUCCAAAUAUGAAUUAUUAUUAUUAUUGUUAUUAUUAUUAUCAUUAUUUUUAAUUAUCAUUAUUUUAUAAUUAUGUUUUCAUUUGAGUCAAAAAUGUGAUCCUUAAAUACUUGGAUUCAAUGACUAUUUAUAUACAUAUCACAUUUUUUAUAUACUUUUGUAUUCAACACAUAUGUUGAUUUAAUAACUUAUUUUGGUAUAAUAUCUUCAUAAAAUUUAACAUCAUAAUAUUUUUUUUAGAUAAUAUAACAUUAAUUUAAAAAAUAUUUAAUGUAAUUAAAUGUUAAGAUUAUAGAGCAAUGCCUAACUAGUCAUACACAAAAUCAAUGGUGCAAAUUUUUUUACACUCAACCAUGCUCACAUUUGUAAGACUAUAAUCCAUGCAAAAGGAUCCUGUAAAUCAAAAUCUAGUAUAAUCAUUCAACCUCUCAUAAAAUCCAACCACUAAAGGUUACAUAUAUGAUUCAAAUCAAUAUAUUAUUAUAAGAAAUACAAAUUUAUAUUUGAAUAAUGUAUGGAUUGAAGAAUCUAAAAAUAAAUAUAUUUGAAUAUUAUAUAACAUCAUCUAAUCUAAAUUAACUAUAUAAUAAAAAAAAAAUUAAUCAUAAUAUUAAGAGACAAAAAUAUUAUGUUGUUGGAAACUAAACAUGAGUGACAAACAAAUUGUCUCUAAAUUUCUAUAAUAUUUUUUAAUAACAAAAAAUUCAAUAACAUAUUUCAUCACUAAAAUGUAUAUUUUGAAACAAAAAUUUUGUCACUAAAUGUCAAAUGUUGUCGCAAAUUAUUUUAUGAAUAAUUUAGUUGCACAAAUUUCUUCCCGAAAAUAUGUUUGGUGACAAAAGUUACAUUUUUGUCUCUAAAACUACUACAUGCAACAAAUAUUGUGAUGAUUUCUAAAUAUAGAAAUAUUUAGUGACAAUUUUUUUUUCUAUAGUAAAAAUUUGUCACUAAUUAUCCUUUUUCUUGUAGUGAAUUGGUAGAAUGAAGGACAAGGGAAUUCUAAAUCAGGCCUAAAAGGAGGAAGAGGUAAUAGUUUAACUCAAAAAAAUAAUAAAUCUCAUAUUCAAUGUUAUAACCAUAAAAAAUAUGAUCAUUAGAAGUCAAGAAUGUAGGGUUAGGAGACAUAAUAAGAGGAGCUUUCAAGCCAAUUGUCACAAGAUGCUUCAAAUGACCCUCCCCAUGGCUUAUAUAGGAGGUGAGAAGCUUCUAGAGACCCUUGGAGACAUCCACACUUAGCCACUAGUGGGAAGAGUGUGGAAGGUUCUAGAAAUGCCUAGAGAAGUCCACACAACUCUACACUAUGGUAGAAGGCAUGAGAAGGGUCCAAAGCUUUCUAGAGAAAUCUAGAAGUCUCUUGAAUAUUCUAGAAUAGUGUAGGACAUUCUAGAAUAUUCAUGAAUUAUAAGGAACCCUCCAAGGUUCUAGAGAGUUCCAUUGGUGCCUAUAAAUAGGUGAGGGCCUCAUUUGGCCAAGGCACCAAGCAAGUGAGCAUCCAAGCACUUGUAAAGGUUUCCUUGAGUUAGUGAAAGCUUCCAUUCUUUCAAAAGUUGCCUACCAAGCUUCUUAAGCUUUUGAGUCGCAAGUGUCUUAGCCAAGCAAGCUAAGCAUUGGGGAGCAAGGCUGACUUAGCAAGAUCAAGCGUCUUGGCUUGUCUAAGUACCGCACGAGCUUAGUGAACGACUAAGUCCGUGACAAGUGGUAUCAGAGCGCGGUUACAAGGUGGGCAUAGCAAAGGAAGCAUGUCGGGCUCUAACGUGGAGGAGAUUAGCAAGCAAACCCGUGGGAGGGAGACCGAGCCUACUGCACGGGGCAGGGGCAAGAAGGAUAAAUCUUGUGAUGUCGUCGCCAACAUGGAGGCAAGGUUAGCCAAGGUGGAGCUAGCCAUGACGGACACUCGGGAGGGGUUGGACUUGAUCGAGCAAGGCAUGGAGAAGGGCUUAGAGGAUCUAAGGGAGCAGAUCCAAGACCUUCGUGAGAGGGUGCUAGUCUCACAGGUUCAACCAGUGUCGCACGAGGAGUUUGUGUCCUUCCAAGGAAAGGUCUUGAGCAUGCUUGCUAGCAUGGAGUCAAGGAUAGAGGCCUUGGCCACUCGAAUGGAGUCCCGAGACCAGGAGGUUAGGCAAGAGUUGGCCAUCUAUAAGGCUGCUGUGUCGGCACGGGUCAUGGCCACACAGGAGGCAUCUAGGGUGGAGGUGCCGAAGCCACAAGGGUUUAGUGGCAAUCGGGAUGCCAAGGAGUUGGAUAACUUCUUAUGGCAUAUGGAGCGAUACUUUGAGGCUAUCGCAUUGACGGAUGAGGCGGCUAAGGUAAGAACUGCAACCCUCUACCUUACUGACACAGCUACUCUAUGGUGGCGUCGAAGGUUUGCCGAUAUGGAGAAAGACAUUUGCACCAUAGAGACGUGGGAAGACUUCAAGAGGGAGAUCAAGAGGCAGUUCUACCCCGAGGACGUGGCUUACCUGGCUAGGAAAAACAUGAGGCGUCUCAAGCACAUAGGUUCGAUACGCGACUAUGUCAAGGAAUUCUCUUUGCUCAUGCUUGAGAUUCCUAACAUAACUGAAGAGGAAUUGCUAUUCAACUUCAUGGAUAACCUGCAAGGGUGGGCCGAGUAGGAAUUAAGACGCCGAGGUGUUCAAGACUUAGCCACUGCCAUGGCAGUAGCAGAGUCUUUAACGGAUUAUAAGAGGGGAGACUCCUCCAAGGAUGAGUCUUUGGAGGAUAGCCACGCCAUGGGUGGGGGAGACGAGGUGCCAAGGGACCACAAUGCUCCUAAAAAUGGAUCAGGCAAGACGCCUAACGUCCGAGAAGGAAGGGGUAAGGCGGAAAGGAAGGAGUUCAUGCCUAAAAUCAAAUGCUUCCUAUGUGACGGUCCACAUUGGGCACGGGAUUGUCCAAAGAGGAAGGCGCUCAGUGCCAUGAUCGAGGAGAGGGAGCAGGAGGACGAAGCACAUAUGGGCUCAAUGCAGCUACUAGGUGCCCUCCAAUUCAACCCGAAGCCUAGUACGCCUAAGACCUCCUUACUAGCAGGGGUGCAAGUAAAGGAGGAAAAAGGGGAGCGAGCUGAGAGAGCCCGCACACACAUGGAAGAGGUCACCGAGGGAAAGGUGAACUCAAUGGGUAAGAGGAAGCAGCACUCUAAGCAUCGAAAGCGCACGGGUCUGCAUCCAUCUGAGGCCUCACGGGAGAAGGAGGUGAAGAAUAUCCUAGCUGAACGGGUCACUAGGAGACAAGGGGUCCCUCCUGUGAUAGAGUAUCUAGUCCGAUGGAAAGGACUACCUAAGAGGCAGGUAAGCUGGGAACAUGCGGAUGCCUUGAGAAGAUUCUGGAAACACAUCGAGAGGUUUCAGAAUGAGGCAACGACGAGGACGUCGACGGCUUAGGUGGGGGAGAGUGUCACAAGAUGCUUCAAAUGACCCUCCCCAUGGCUUAUAUAGGAGGUGAGAAGCUUCUAGAGACCCUUGGAGACAUCCACACUUAGCCACUAGUGGGAAGAGUGUGGAAGGUUCUAGAAAUGCCUAGAGAAGUCCACACAACUCUACACUAUGGUAGAAGGCAUGAGAAGGGUCCAAAGCUUUCUAGAGAAAUCUAGAAGUCUCUUGAAUAUUCUAGAAUAGUGUAGGACAUUCUAGAAGUCUCUUGAAUAUUCUAGAAUAGUGUAGGACAUUCUAGAAGNNNNNNNNNNNNNNNNNNNNNNNNNNNNNNNNNNNNNNNNNNNNNNNNNNNNNNNNNNNNNNNNNNNNNNNNNNNNNNNNNNNNNNNNNNNNNNNNNNNNNNNNNNNNNNNNNNNNNNNNNNNNNNNNNNNNNNNNNNNNNNNNNNNNNNNNNNNNNNNNNNNNNNNNNNNNNNNNNNNNNNNNNNNNNNNNNNNNNNNNNNNNNNNNNNNNNNNNNNNNNNNNNNNNNNNNNNNNNNNNNNNNNNNNNNNNNNNNNNNNNNNNNNNNNNNNNNNNNNNNNNNNNNNNNNNNNNNNNNNNNNNNNNNNNNNNNNNNNNNNNNNNNNNNNNNNNNNNNNNNNNNNNNNNNNNNNNNNNNNNNNNNNNNNNNNNNNNNNNNNNNNNNNNNNNNNNNNNNNNNNNNNNNNNNNNNNNNNNNNNNNNNNNNNNNNNNNNNNNNNNNNNNNNNNNNNNNNNNNNNNNNNNNNNNNNNNNNNNNNNNNNNNNNNNNNNNNNNNNNNNNNNNNNNNNNNNNNNNNNNNNNNNNNNNNNNNNNNNNNNNNNNNNNNNNNNNNNNNNNNNNNNNNNNNNNNNNNNNNNNNNNNNNNNNNNNNNNNNNNNNNNNNNNNNNNNNNNNNNNNNNNNNNNNNNNNNNNNNNNNNNNNNNNNNNNNNNNNNNNNNNNNNNNNNNNNNNNNNNNNNNNNNNNNNNNNNNNNNNNNNNNNNNNNNNNNNNNNNNNNNNNNNNNNNNNNNNNNNNNNNNNNNNNNNNNNNNNNNNNNNNNNNNNNNNNNNNNNNNNNNNNNNNNNNNNNNNNNNNNNNNNNNNNNNNNNNNNNNNNNNNNNNNNNNNNNNNNNNNNNNNNNNNNNNNNNNNNNNNNNNNNNNNNNNNNNNNNNNNNNNNNNNNNNNNNNNNNNNNNNNNNNNNNNNNNNNNNNNNNNNNNNNNNNNNNNNNNNNNNNNNNNNNNNNNNNNNNNNNNNNNNNNNNNNNNNNNNNNNNNNNNNNNNNNNNNNNNNNNNNNNNNNNNNNNNNNNNNNNNNNNNNNNNNNNNNNNNNNNNNNNNNNNNNNNNNNNNNNNNNNNNNNNNNNNNNNNNNNNNNNNNNNNNNNNNNNNNNNNNNNNNNNNNNNNNNNNNNNNNNNNNNNNNNNNNNNNNNNNNNNNNNNNNNNNNNNNNNNNNNNNNNNNNNNNNNNNNNNNNNNNNNNNNNNNNNNNNNNNNNNNNNNNNNNNNNNNNNNNNNNNNNNNNNNNNNNNNNNNNNNNNNNNNNNNNNNNNNNNNNNNNNNNNNNNNNNNNNNNNNNNNNNNNNNNNNNNNNNNNNNNNNNNNNNNNNNNNNNNNNNNNNNNNNNNNNNNNNNNNNNNNNNNNNNNNNNNNNNNNNNNNNNNNNNNNNNNNNNNNNNNNNNNNNNNNNNNNNNNNNNNNUCCAAAAAAUGACAUGAGUGGCAUGAUGGACAUCCAUGGAUCAAUAAAGAUGUGAAGCUCAACCUAUAAUAAGAGUUGUCAAAGCAUUCACUUGAUCAUAGAGUACAAAGAAUGGAUAUUAUGCAAGUUUAAGCAUCAAAAGAAUUUCCACUCUCAAAAGAUCCAAAUCAAAUUCUUCCACUAAAAUCUAAGUGUUAUUUAUUAGUUUCCGGAUAUAGUAUGUCAAACUAAUCUUUCCCCUCAACCUAGUUCUUUUCAAAGCUUAGCAAACUAAUCAACCUCCAAUAGGCUAAGAACGCACCUCUUUUCUUUCACAAUUUUUUCUUGUAGGAGUGCAAAGCUUAAAGGCAUUCUUUUCUAGAUUGUCCAUGUAACGGGGGUCCAUCGAUGACUCCCAACCAAUCAAGGUUUAGGGCAUCAAGCUUUAAGGAUUUUUCAACCACUAACUCCUCGGAUUUCACCCCGGACUUUUGAGAAUGAAUUUUUAAUACCCAAGCACCUACAACAUGUUAAACUCCACCUAUUCACCCUUGUAACGAGCAUUGAGGUCGGUGACUCCCAACCAAUUAAGGCUUAGGGCACCAGGUUUUAAAGAUUUUCACCAUAUACCCCUUAGACCUUGCUCGGGUUUCAAGGCAAGCAAACAUUUUUCUUUCUUUCUUUAUUUUCUUCAAAGACUCAUUUGCCUUUUACAAGGUGUCCCAACACUAUUAAAUGAGGUCAAAGGUACCAAGUCUAAAAUUUUCCUAAGUCAAGAGGGAAAUAGUUUUUCAUCUUAUAAACGGAACCUAGUGUGCACGGUGUGUGAUAAUAGCUUAAGGUGGAAGAGAUAAGUUUGCAUGCAAUGGGAGUUUCAACAAUUCAUCAACUUUUAGAAGAGCAUAAUACAAACUCUAAGACUCAUGUAAUCAAGUUGAAACUCGACUUCUCUCAUUUAAUUUUGAGAGUUAAUCCUUAAUAUCCAUGGAGUUUAAAGCAAAAAUUUUAAAAAUUUUAAAAAGUAGCUAAUUUAACUAAGUAUGAUAAAAAUUUAAACUAAUACUUACUUCCUCAUCUCUCCCCCCAACCGAGAUGAACAUUGUCCUCAAUGUUUGAAUCGAAAAUAAGGAUGAAGGAAGUGGUACCUCAUGUGAUGUGGACUUGGAGUUGGGAAGGUUGAACCACUUGUUUCAAAAUUCAAAAAUUGAAUGAGAGAGGAAUUUAUACUAAAUAUUUACAAAAAUGAUGAGUGGGCCCCACUUUGAGCAGCUGAGGACAAGGCUCAAAGGGUCCAUGCCAUGAUGGUAUACUCAUAUAAGUUGCAAUGACAUUUGAAUGUAGCUUGCAGGGUGUUAAAAUUGGAGAUUUUUGGCUAAAACAGGGGAAAACAAAGGAGGAGUGAACAGUGAGUGCCAAAAUUGGCACAGUCACUGUUCACCUCCUUUGAAGCCCGACUGUGCGUUUUCCAAGUUUUGGGAAAAAAUUCAAAAAUGGUUUUUGAAAAGGUAUGGUUAGGCUCUAAACAAGAUUCCUAAGGUGUUUGGGUAGUUUUUAAAUGAUGAAAAAAAAAAUUAAAUGAUGGAAAAUGAAAAUCAAAGUGGACGACCAUGCAUGGAAUGGUUUUGAAAUUCGAUUUUUAAAAAGUUUUGGAUGGAUGGGAUUUGAAAACAAAAGGUUUGGAAAUGCAUUCAUGAAUUUUUAAACUUGGAAAAACAUGGAAUUCAAGAAAAAGGCCUUCCCGAGAGCUUUGUUUUUAGAAAUUAGCUUGAAAAUCAUUUCGCACCAAGAUAAACAAGGUGCGAAAGUUUUCGCACUGGUAAUUGAGGUGCGAAGAUAGCAUCCUGGGAGGCUUGGCUUUCCAAAAUGUAUAGAAAUUCCUUUUCGCACCAUGCACUAUCACUGUGCGAAAAAUUCGCACUGAGUGUGUUCAUGGUGCGAAAUUCCACUGAGAGCUUUGCUUAUGCAUUUUGGCUCCCCUGUUUCCUCUGUUUCACCUCCAUUUCGAUUUUUGCAAGCAUCGUACCUGCAUGAACACUUCAAAACUCAUCUUAAAACCAUAUUAAAACUAAAUUAAAGCUAAGAAUUCAAACUAAAACAUGCAUAAAUUUAAAGAAAGCAUAGAAUUUAAAUGAAGCUGAUAGCAUGUACCCCAAAAAGAAGAUGAACUAUUUAGCUCAUCCUCACUCACACACCCACUUCAUGCUGAAUUCCCCCUGGAUCCCAAACAAAAUUGGCAUCAUUCCCAUUUGGUCCAAGGGAAUUCAUUUCUCUUCUCUUCCCUGGAGAAGUGGAUGCUUUAAAGGGUUCAGGUAACCCUUUAUCAUCUUGAACCUUAUGAUUUUCAAUGGAAGGUUGGUUCAUAGAGUUGUCAUAGCAAUCCCCCACCAAAGUGUCGAUCUUCAACACUUUCCUUGAUCUUUUUGCAUUGGUUCCUUGAAGGUUAUGGUGGGGUUGAGGAGGAAGCUUCCUUUUCCCCUUUGCUAUGUCGAGAUUGGUGAGCUUCUUAAUGGAGUCUUGAACUUUUUCUAUCCUUAGUGAUAGAUCAUUAUAAACCCCCUCCAUUCUUACAUUUAUUGAACUCUCCAAAUUAUCAAUCUUUUCAUUAAGAUGAGAGUUGAUCUUUUGUUGCUCACCUACAAAGUCCUCCAUGACUUUGCUUAUCUUCAAAAUGGCUUGCUCCAAUGAAGAUGUACUCAUUGAUGGUUGAGGUUGAGGUUGGGUUGCAAGGUUGGGAUGGUUUAUAUACUCAAAUGAAGUUGGCAUGGCUUGUGGUUGUGCUUCAGUAUGCAUAUUCCUCAAUUCAAACUCCUCUAUCCUUCUAGCCAUAGAUGCUAGCUUUGCCUUCAUGCUUAUGUCUUCAUUCAAGACAUACUUACUACCCCAUUGGCUUUGUUGAACUUGCCUUUUCCCUAAUUCAAUCCGAUCCCUCAUGGAUAAGUAUGCAAAUUUGUCCUUCUCAUGAUCAUAAUGAGAGCUUUGAUCUUCAUGUGGAAUUUCCAUUUCUAAAAAAAAAUGAUAUUCAACUAAGGUUCUUUUCUUCAACUUGUACCAGGGUUCCCUCUUGGUCUCGAAUCCAACAAGGAAUGCACAAAUUGAAAUUGAAACAAAAAUAAAAGAAAAGAGAAUGAAAAAUUUAACUAAAUAAAAACUAAACUAAAAAUGAAAGUUAAAAACUAAAAGAAAUUUAUCUAAACUAAGUUAAAAAUGUUCUAAAACUAAAAUAAAAAGUUAGUAAAUGAAAAAUGAGAUAGAAUUCACCUCACUCAUGAGAAGUCUCACAAGUUACCUCCGGCUGAUAUAUUCACAGUGAAGUAGCACCUUCCCCGGCAACGGCGCCAUUUGAUAACCCGACUCUUGGUAGCUUGGCAUGUAAGGGUAUCAACAAAAUUUAUCCCUAAGGUCCUUACACUAAAGUAGCAAAGCUACUAUAGCAUAGUGGCUCUAGGAUCGAACACUGGGAAGGGUUUUUACUUUAACUGGUGAAGUUCGGAGGAUGGAGUGAACUUUUCUUAAUAAAAAUUAGGUUAAGAUGAAAACAUAAAAAGAUGAAGGUGUUGUAAACUUAAACUAACAUGAAAAUAGGUUAAAAGAUGGAAAAAGAAGUUUCUCAAAGCUUUGGAUAGCCAUGCUUAACUCACUGUGUAAAAAUGGAGAUUUUGGGACUUUUCACCUCGAGUUGGGGAAGCAACUAAGGUGAUGCUUACUUCCCGAACCGGUAUGAGUUUAACAACUGAGUUUUAGUCCUUGAAAACUUACAAAAAGGGUAGCUGAACCUCAUAAAUGCCCUUUUAAUGAUAUAGGUCAUCUCCUCGACUUGCAAUACAAUGGCUCGUAGGAGAUAACUAAUGAACGUCAGUGGAUCUAACAAUAAGAAUCCACUGAGACCAAAAGAUUAUCAAGUAUUGGCCAUUCAAAGCAAGUCAGAGGGAUUAAAAGCUUUACUUUGAAUGAAAACAUUUAUGACGCUCAGCUACUUACAUUUAUGGCUUGGAAAUCUCCAUCCUGACACGGGAGCUUCACAUGGCAUCCAUUACUUCAAGAAACUAAAAGGUUUUAGCCUCUCAUCCUUGGGGAUUUCAUCCCCCAAGGAUGUUUGGCUACUAAGAAAAUGAGAAAGAAAAGAGAAAAGAAACGUAUGAACAAAAGUGCUCUUAUAACUUAUAAAGUUACAGGUUACAAGAUUAGAUGAUCUGAGGCUCUUCACCUCUAUUUAAAGACAAUAACAAGCUAAAUUACAAGAGCUAUUACAAAAGCAACCUAUUCAUUGGUUGAUUACAAGGGUAAAAUAGGUAUUUACAAAGCUAAAAAUCAAGCAAAAUAUCUUGGAGAACCGGUAGUGGAAUAACAUCAACAACGUCUCAAAACAGGGGAUUCAAAGGAAUUUCGCAAUGUGCCUAAAUCCUCCUUGCGAAAUUUUCGCAAGGUGUUUCUUCAUGGUGCGAAGUGGCAAAAUUUCGCACCAUGAAGAAAAUCUCCUUGCGAAAUUGGUCAUUUGACAUGAUGCAGUUGCCUUCCAAAGGCUAUAUCUUCCUCAUUUCAGAUCCAAAUCAUACACGGUUUGAAGCGUUGGAUUCUUGACUUCCUAAGCUUUCAAAUGGUAUAUAGCAUGUAAAAAAUGGACUUCGGGAAGUACUCCAAAAGUUCAAAGGAAGACUGCAGCUGUUUUCUUCACUCUGUUUUCCUCUUCUCCAUUGCUUGUGCUCGUGUUUCCACUUGAAAUUCAAGCCUAUAAACGUACAAAAUCCUUGCUUAACUCGCCCAAAUAGCUCCUCCAUCAAUUGGCAUGCUUGAAUUGGUUCUUAAGCUGAUAAAAACAUGUAAACUUGCCACAAAAUGGUUAAAACCAAUUACUAAGGACCUUAAUGAAUUAAUUGGGUUAAAUGAAUAUGAUUACUACUUAAAGGUGCUUAAAACCAUUAUAAUUAGAUCUACAAAAUAGCACUUUUUGGUAGUAAUCACUAAGUGCCGCACGAGCUUAGUGAACGACUAAGUCCGUGACACAAUGCUAUAAAAGGUAGUGGUGAAAAUUCAAAAUCCUUGCUAUUAGCCAAUGAUACUUGAAAGGAUGAAAACAAAAGUUCAUGGUUUCAGAUAUAAGAUGUAGUAAUCAUAUGUGUAGUAGGAAAGAGAUGUUUCAAUAGUACCAAUUAAGGGUAGAGUUAAGAUUUCUAUUAAAUUGAAGAAUGGAUUUCAAAAUUUUAUCUCUAAUGUGUUAUAUGUUCCAAGUCUUCAUCAAAAUCUAUUAAGUAUGCUACAACUUUCAGAAAAGGGGUAUGAUAUGUAGAUCUAUAGGGCAUCUGUACCAUCAAUGAUUAUUAGAAAGGACUAGUCACAAAGGUGAAUAUGACACAAAAUCGUUUAUUUCCAUUAAAUAUUAAUUGUGAAAAUUUACUUGCUUUAGUUUUAUAAUCGAUGAUAAAAAUUGGUUAUGACACUUACGUUUUAAACAUUUAAAUUGUGAAAGUCUAAAAUUACUUGUUGCUAAGAAGAUAGAUUUUUGGUUACCUUUUAUUGAUUCACCAAAUGAAAUUUGUGAAACAUGUGUUUUGGGAAAGAAAUAUGGAGAUCCUUUUCUUAUAGGAAAAUCACGGAGAGCUAGGAAGCCUCUCGAGUUGAUUCAUCUAAAUCUAUUGUCCAGCUGAGGUUCCCUUAAAUGGAAAUCAUAGAUAUUUUAUAACAUUUAUUGAUGAUUUUAGUUAGAAGGCUUAGGUUUAUUUUUUAAAGCAAAAGGGAGGUGCAUGUGAAAUUUUUUUUUUAAAAAUAAAGCUUAUGUGGAAAAACAAAGUGGGCAUAUCAUUAAAAUUUUGAGAACAAAUAGAGGUAUUAAAUAUAUUGUUUGUGAUAUUUUUUAAAAAAAAAUAUGGUAUUGAGCAUUAAUUGAUUGCAAGGCACAUUCCACAGCAAAACGAAAUUGCAGAGAGAAAAAAUAAAACAAUUAUAAGUAUGAUGAGGUGUAUGUUGCACUUAAAACAAUUGCUUAAAAUAUUUUGAGCCGAAACAGUCUCGUAUAUAAUCUAUUUAUUGAAUAGGUGUUCCACUAAAAGUGUUUAUGAAAAAAACCCAUAAGAAGUUUGGAGUCAUAAAAAACCUAACAUUGGUCGUCUAAGGGUGUUUGGUUGUAUAGCAUAUGUUCAUGUUCCUAAUGCAUUACGAAAAAAACUUGAUAAUAAAGGUGAAAAGUGCAUUUUUAUUGGUUAUAGCCAAGUGAUAAUAGACUAUAAAUUAUACAAUCCACAAACCAAAAUUUCAUUGUCAAUUAUGAUGUGGUUUUUUAUGAGCAAGUAGUAUAGGAUUGGUCCUCUAAUGGAAAAAGAAUAUCAAGUGUUCAAAUUCAUCUUGAAGAGUAAAGUGAAGAUUAAAGUAUGCAACCUACUAGUGCACCAAUUAUGACACCAUGUCUUGUAAAGUCAUUAAGGCAUCCACAAUGUCAACACAUUUUACCUACUUGCUUACAUGCUUAUGUGGUUGGUGAUGACAGCGACCCAACAUGUGAGGAAUUAACAAAUUUUCCUUUAUUUACAUAUUGUUAUUCAUUAAGUUGUGAGGAAGCUACUCAAGAUGAUUGUUGGCUUAAAGUUAUGGAUGCAGAAAGUCAUGCAAUUAAGAAAAAUAAUACAUGUGAGCUUACUAAUUUCCCUAAUUCUAAGAAGCCAAUUGGUAUCAAAUAGGUGUAUAAAACCAAGUAUUAGACAAAUGGAGAAGUCAAUCUCUUCAAGGCAAGAUUGGUGGAAAAAGGUUACAAGCAAAAACCAUGUAUUGAUUAUUUUGACGUAUAUGCUCUUGUUGCUAGACUUGACAUUGUUCGCAUGAUUAUCUCUCUUACUACACAAAAUAAUUAGAAACAUUUUCAAAUGGAUGUAAAAUUAAAUUUCUUAAAUGGCGAACUAGAAAAAGAGGUUUAUGUUGAACAACCUCAAGGAUAUAUGAUGAAAGGAAAAGAAGAAAAUGUCUAUAAGUUAAAAAAGAAAAAGCCUUAUAUGGAUUGAAACAGACACUAAGAGCAUGGUACACAGAUAUUGAUACUUAUUUCAAGAAGAAUGGAUUUCAAAGAUGUCCUUAUAAACACACUUUAUAUGUCAAAUCUAAUUUGCAGGGUGACAUUCUUAUUGUGUUUAUGUGUAGAUGAUUUAAUUAUCACUAGUAUUAAUUUCAAGAUGAUUGUGGAAUUCAAAGAGGUGAUGAUUAGUCGGUUUGAGAUGAUAGAUUUGGGAUUGAUGUCUUAGUUUCUUGGGAUUGAAGUAAUUCAAAAUAGAUACAAGUAUUUUUAUUUUUUAAAAGAAGUAUGCAAAUGAUAUUCUUAAAAAAUUCAAUAUGGAAUCUUAUAAUCCUAUUCUAACUCCAAUUAAAGAAAGAUUGAAACUAGGAAAAAGUAAGUAUGGUGAGUUAGUUGAUCCUACUAAUUUUAAAAGAAUAAUUGAAAGUUUUUGGUAUUUGACUUCUAUAAGACCAUAAAUUAUAGUUGGAGUUGGACUUGUAAGCAAAUUUGUAGUCUCCAUGUCAGUUUCACUUGCAAGUAGCAAACCAUUUCCUACAAUACAUUAAAGGUAUGCAAAGUGAUGGUAUUUUUUAUACAUAUUACAACUAAGGGUCUCCAACGGGCCGGGGCGGGCCACUGAGCCCGUUGACUGGUCAACGGGCCGGUCCGGGCCGGGCCCUUGAUAUAUCUAAGGCCCGUGGGCCCUCAAGCUGGGCGGGCUUGGCGGGCUUAGAGGGUCGGGCCUGGCGGGCCGGGGUAAAAAUUAAAAUAAUUUUUAAUUUUGAAGGGAAGGGGAUGGAACCAUAAGGGAGCUAGCCACCAACUGAGCUGACCCUCUUUUGUGUAACUAUUUUGCAUUAAUUAUAUAUAUAUUAGAAAUGUUGUAUGAUUUUUGAAAAAAAAUAAAAGUGAGUUGGUUGUUCAACGGUCACAUGACCGUUGAACAUGCCACUCAUAAUUCAAUUUCAAAUAUAUGACCGUUGAAUGGUGUUGAAAUUAAAAAAAAAAAAAAAAUUAAAUCCUAAUAUUUAAAUCCCUAUAAAUAUUAAAUACCCUCAAUUUUUUUCUAUUCUCUCAACUCUUAAGCUCUCUCUCAUUCCACAAUAUUUCCGAUUAUUGCAUUUUGUUCUCAAAUUAUUCAAUAUUAUUGGUGGUGAAAAACAAGCAUUGGUGGUUCAAAGAGUUCAAAUUUGAAGGAAUUUCUGCUUCGGUUCUCCAAUUUAGUAACAUACUUCACCUUUUCUUUUAUUUAUUUGUUACAUUUUAAUUUUACAUUUAUUAUUUUUAGUAUAAUAUUUUAUCAAUAAUUAUAAUUAUGGCAAGUGGUUCUUGUUCUUCAUCUAAUGCAUGUGAUAGCAAAAAAUUUACUUCAAAUAUAUGGAAUUUUUUUGAUAGAAUAGAAAUAAAUUUAGAAAAUAAUAAAAAAGAAAUAAAAGAAAAAUGUAAAAUUUGUAACAAACUUCUUAGUGGUGGCUCAAAUGCAAGUACAAGUCAUUUAAAAAGGCAUCAUGAAAAUUGUAAAACUAAAAAUAAUGUAGAUAUUAGAAAUUAUAUGCAAUUAGGUAAAGAUGAAAGUGGAAAUUUAAAAACAUUUUCUUAUGAUGAAUCUUAUUGUCGUGAAGAAAUGAUUGGUUAUAUAAUAAGAGCAUAACAACCUUUCAAUUUCACUAGUUCGCCAUCACCGCCAAGAGAUAAUGAUUAAAAUAUUUUACUAAAUGUAUGUCAUAUUUUUAUUUUUAUUUUUAUGGUUGAAAAGUACAAAUGAUUGACAAAUAAGUAGGUGCCAACCUAGUUGGGAUGUAUUUAUUUUGUAGUAAUGUAAAAUUUUCCCACAUUUUCAAAUGUUAUAUAUACAUUCAAUGAAUAAAAUAGUUAACAAUGAAUAUUUUUAUUAAUGUAACAUUUUCUAUUUCUUGAAUAUUUUUUUUAUAUAUAUAUAUUUUUUAAAGUGGCGGGCCUAUGGGCCGGCCCGAGCCUAAUUUGGGGCCCAUGGCCCGGCCCAUCCAGAAAUGGGCUCGGGCCUGCCGGGCUCGGGCCGGGCUUUACAUGUCUAAUAAUGGAACAAAAUGUGACUUACUGACUCCAUGCAAAUCCAUCUCUUAAACUUAACAACAAUCGUACCGUUAGCUCAGCAAGGAACUUGAGUGUUGCAUUUAUGCAGAAACUGUACACUUAAUUUGCGCUUUGUAUGCUUGUAUUUGAUGUUACAUGUGAGAUCUAGUGACUUAUUAGUUGUAAUAUGGAUGCAUAUGCAGGGCUUUAGGACGAUAUCGACCCAUUCUACAAUCUUCCCCUAGGGCCCCGAUUCAUAAUUUUGAGUCGUUACACUUCAUUUCAUAAGUUAUUGGACUUCGAUCAUGAUGCCGCAGACACAAGAAAGCGCUUGGCACAAAUAAUUAAUUUGGUUGAUUAAUACUCACUCUCAAGUGUCAUGAAGAAGUGGCAUAAUCAGGCCUCAGAUUAGGUGAGGGCGAAGGGCAAGGUCAUGUGCCCUUAAGAAAGUGUAUGGCAUAUGCUCUCCGUUAAAGCGAUGUGACGGACCAUGUAUAUGCAUCAACGCUCGGUUCACAUUGAGCGUGUGACCGCUUUUCUCAGGCCACCAUAAGCUUUUCUUUGGCCCGCAUUUACUUCAUGUAGCACCACAAACUUAAUAGGGUCUACUAAGCUUUCACAUUAAAGCAAGAGCAAAAUUCUUUUACCAUAGAACACUUUUUUUAAUCACAAAUUAAUUUACGGCAAAAUCCCAUAUUUGAGUUUCAAUGAUCUAGUUUAGGAAUUCCAUGGAUGUGACUUUCUAACUAAGGAAGUUGAAGCUAUGUAUGGGAAUGAUAAUUGACAAAGAGUACUGCGUACAAUAAAAGUCCACACAAGUGCAAGCUUUAAUCCAUUGUAUCAUUCACCACAUUUUUUUCCUUUCCUUUUGUUUGUCUUUUUGGGUUAUCGAGAAUGCCAUAAUUAGUGGGAAUAAAGGAGAGAAUAUAUGUUUGAAUUUUGUAUUGUCACGAAUGAAUGACUCAAUUCAUUGAAUGAGCUAGCAUCUUUUGGUCAUUCAACCUUUAUAUGUAAUGGUAGUUGUGUGGUAGAGUUGAUAAUUCUAAUUCAUAGGUUUAUGAAUCUAGACGCUUUGUUUGACGUACAAAUUUGGAAUUUGAUUUGACCAAUUUCAUUUAAUUUUUGUAAAAAAAAUAAUCUUCCCUAGGAUGUUAAGUAAUGUACCAAUGAUGCUUUCACAAACAUUUUUCUCAAUGUGCAUUACAUCCAAAUUAUGACGAACAUGCAAAUAUCUCCAAUACUCAAGUUCGAAGAAUAUGGACUUUUUCUUCCAACAAUUGGCAUAAGUCACAUUGGAUUUAUCAUGUCUUCCCCCUUUUUUCCCCCAUGGAUUACAAAUGACAUUCAUUUUCAAUAGUAUUUCCUCUCCACUUAACGGUUAUGGAGGUGAUCGAAACUCCUGCUCACCAUUGAAUGCCUUUUUAUGUUUUCUAAAAGGAUGAUUGCAUGGAAGAAAACGUUUGGCCUGUAAAUGAGUUCUUUCUCCCAUGCUUCAACCUAUGUCAAUAGGUUUCCGGUGUACAUAUUGGACAAGCAAAAUAUCCUUUGACUGUGCAACCAAAUAAGUUUCCAUAUGUAGGAAAGUCAUUUAUUGUCCAUAAUAGAACAACCCUUAAUGUAAAGACCUUUCUUUGAUAUGCAUCAUAAGCUUCUACCCUUAUCUCCCACAAGGUUUUAAGGUCCUCAAUCAAUGAUGCUAAAUAGAUAUCUAUGUCAUUGCCAGGUUUUUGUGGACUUGAUAUUAACAAAGAUAACAUCAUAAAUUUUCUCUUCAUGCACAACCACGGUGGAAGAUUAUAAGUGAUCAUGACAAUUGACCAACAAUUAUACCUGCUGCUCAAGGAACUAUGGGGAUUUAUGCCAUCUACUGAAAUGGCAAGUCUAAGGUUUCUAGGUUAUGCGGCAAAAUCAGGCCAUCUAUGGUUAAUUACCUUCCAUGAUGGCGAGUCAGAUGGAUGAUGCAUUUUUCCAUCAAAUUCUCCACCUUGUGCAUGCCAUAUGAGGUCUUUUGCGAUUUUUGAGGACCGAAACAUUCUUUUAAAUCGUGGGAUAGGUGGAAAAUACCACAUCACUUUAGCAGGAACUCCUUUACUCUUUUUAGUUCCUCUUCUAUUCACCUUCCACCUUGAAACUCCACAUGUAGAACAUGAAGAUGCAUCUUUUAACUUAUUCCUAAAAAGUAUGCAAUCAUUGGGACAUGCAUGUAUUUUUUCAUAUUCCAUUCCCAAUGCAUUCAAUGUUUUUUUUUGCUUCAUACAUAGACAAUGGCAACUCAUUGUUAACAUGCAACAUAUCACCAAGUAAGCUUAAUAGCUCAGAGAAGCUUUUAUCAGACCACCCAUAUCUUCAUUUUAGAUUAUAUAAUUUAACUAAAGCAGAUAAUUUGGUGAAGUUUUUGCAAUCGGGAUACAAAGGUUUUUCAGCAUCUUCAAGCAACCUUUCAAAUAAUUUUGGAUUAGCCUUACAAUCAUCUUGUGCAGCUUCAACCAUUUCUACUGUAUGAUCCUCAUUACCAAUAUGAAUUCUAUCAAAACAUUCAACCCUUAUAGUUGGGGGUCCACUACUUAGAGCUACCUCCCCAUGCCAAAACCAAGUAUGGUAACUUUGGCCAAUUCCAUAAAAGAAUAGGUGUUCUCUAAUCUUUUGAGGAGUAUUGAAUAUCAAAUUUCCACACUGUAGACAUGGGCAUUUGAUGGAGUUUUGAUGUGCAGAAUUUUGAACUGCAAAUGAAAUAAAAUUUUCAACCCUAUCCUCAUAGUCUUUUGAUCUUCUAUCUUUUGAUAUCCAGGAACGAUUCAUUUGCCUAUAAUAGGUGAACUCAAUUCCUAUAUAGCAAACAUGAACAAACAAUGGAAAUGGAAAAGACUUAGAAACGUUACCUUUAGAAAACACUCAAAACUUUUAGUUUGUCAUUUGUGACAUCCAAAAUUUCUUUUUAAUUUUCUAAGGACAAACAAUUAGGAUUCAGAUGCAAUAAAAAAUUUGAAUCCCAUCCUCAAUAAAAAAGGAUUAACAAUAUGACAAUAGAACCUUUUGAUGCAUGUUUUUAUGCCUUUUAACAUGUCCAACAUGUCCAACAUCCAAAAUCGGGUAGUAGUUCCUAUCCCAUGUAGGAAUACAUAAUCCCUAUGUGUUAACUGCCAAUAUACUCAAUUUCAUUUUGAAGAAAUUUCGGUAGCAUUUCCCCAUAGUUCUCCAAGUACACAAAAUGAACAAGGUAUAAUAUGUGACCUUGUUCAAAUAUGCACCCAGAGAACAAGAGGAAAUUAAAGACUACCAAAAUGUCUAAAAAGUGAAUUAAGCACAAACAAUUAACUUCAUAGAUAUUAUGUUUUCCUACACUGUCCAAUCGGACAAUUCAAGCAUCAUUGAAAAAAAAAUAUCUUUAUCACAUUCUAGACAAUUUAAAAGUUGUCAACUUGAAAGUGGCUUGGAUAAAACCUUUUUCACCUUUGACAACUUAAAUGUCUUUAGUAUGUAAUAAGAGAAACUUUUUAUCUUACAAUGAUAGUUGAAUGGGAACUCUAAGGUUUCAUGCAUGCAUGUUUGAUUAAAAUUAAAAUACAAUUACUUAUUGAAUAAUCUAAUAAUUAUAAAACACCUAAAGAUGUUCCAUAAUUAUUGGUAUAUUUCAUGUUAUCCAUUAACCAUUAAACAAGAUUAUUAUAAGAAAGAAUACGUAUGGCCCAUGAUUUGUGAAUCAAGUCACACCAGUCUAUGUCAUAGCCUUGGGUCAAAAUUUGGGCCUUGGUAUCAAAUUAAGCUGGGGAAUAACUUGUAGAAUUCAGGUACUCGAUAAGAUUUAAACAAAAUUUAAAAUAACGUCUCCAUUAUAUUCUUCUAACCACCUAAAGUAAAACUGGCAUUAUAAUUAAAAUAUGUUGGUCUGUAUAAAGAAAAAUAACGUACCUUUCUCAAUCUGUCUUUGUCUCAAGUCUUGCAUCACACACCUCUCGCAGUCCAAUGUAGGUCACUGUCCCUUAAAAUAUGUAUAUGUAAAACAAAUAAUAAAUAAAUAAAUAACAUAAAUCCAUUAGUAGAUAUUAACAAAUAAAUAAAAAAUAAAUUAAAAUAAGAAAAUAAACUAAGAAGAAAAGACAUAUAAGUAAGAAAAAAAUAUUUUCACACGUGCAACAAUGGUUAGAUAUUUUUGAAAAUUUAUAAAAUUAUUAAAAUCAAACUAUUUUAGUUAUUAUUAUUUUUAAAUGGUAAUUAAUACUCCUAUAAAAUAAAAUACAUGCAUGGUGAGAAAGCUAAGAAGAUUAUUCCUUGUGUCUCUUUUCAUUUGAGAUUCUGACUUUUGGUGAUGACUUAAUGGUGGGUGAAGUGUGAACCACACUGUCUGACCCGAGUCAAGUCCUUAGCUUUUGAAAGAUGGCUACAAGAUGGGUAGAACUUAAAUGAAUGAGAUAGAAAAGCCUGGUCUAAAUUAAGGUGGCUUAACAAUACCGUAAUCAUCUUGGCUAGGUUGUAUCAUAUAGUAAAAUAGACGUUACAGGCUAGGUCUUCAGCAUCCAGCAAUUCCACCCUUUGAUUUUUCCAACAAGUUACACCAUCUAAUAAUAAUACCUAUGAUCCUAUACCUUAGUUUUGAUUCCUUAUGUAUACAAAGUAUAUAUAGUUACACUACGUUAAACUUAUUUUUUUUUUCUCUAAAAAGUAAUGAGUGUAAAUUUUUAAAUUAGGCUAAUAUUCAUUUUUUUUCACUUCUUAUUUUUUAUUUUGAAAAUAGAAAAUAGUUACAACUCUUAUACAAAAUAUUUUAGUAUUUUUUGUUUUUAAAAUAGAAAGUUAGAAAUUGUAUUUUAAAAGCAAUAUUCUAUUUCAAUCCACAUAAAUCAUACAAGUUUGGAAAUAUUCCAUUACCAUAUUUUGAGUAAUAUUUUUAAAGGGUUAAUUUUAUUCAUUUCCCCUCAAGAUUUGACUAAAUAUAAUGGCCCUUAUUGGUUUAAAUUUCAUUAAAUACCUAUCUUACUUUGAGUGAGAGUAGAGUUGACCGAAAAAAAGAAAAAAAAAGAAUAGUAAAUAUGUUUGAUAAAAUUUCAAACUAAUGAAGAUUAGAUGUAUUUAGCUAAAAACUUAAAGGUGAAUGAAAUUAAUCUUAUUUUUAAAAGAUACUAUAUUUUUUGAAGUCUAAAAAUAUUCAACUACCAUAUAUUUUUAAAAAAGAUUGUAAUUUGGAGUAUUCUUGAAGCAUUGUAAACUACUUAUUUUCAAUCUAUGGAAAAACCUUAUGUAACUUUUGGUUAUCUCCUCAUCCUUAGUAAGAAAUUGGAAUUUUCAUAAUUUUGUAUUUGAUUUCUCAUAAUUUAGAUAUUUUUCCAUAAUUAUAUAUCAUUUCCUAAUUUUAUAUCAAUUAUUCUAAUUGAAGAUUAGUUUAAUAAGGAAAUUUCUAGAAAUUGAAAAAAAAAAAAUCUAAGAAGCUUUUAUCCAAUAAGGAAGACUUUUAUCAUUCAAGGGUUCUUAUAGAAUAAAUUUAAGGAAAUUAAAAUAAUUUUUCAGACUUAGGAUCCUAUCACAAAUUUUGGUAACCAAAUACUUGCAAUCCAAAAUUCUAAAAUUUACCAAAAUACACCUAUAAUAAAAAUUCUAAGCUAGGCAUUCCUUUUACUUAUUUAAUAAUUAUAAAUGCCCAAGCCAACAAAAACAAGAAUUACGAGACAAAUGCGUUCCUGACAAAUCAGACAUGGAGAACCCGUGAAAUCGUAGGAAUAGGGACAGUAGAAGGUGUACCCUUUCUUCUCAGGUGCCAUUGUCGGAUACCUGUUAAUAUAGUCUCAAGGUUGUCCACGAUUGUACGGUGAACCCAGUGAUACCAUUUCUAGACUAGGUUAUGCAAGUUGGCAAGUGAGAGCAAGGCAUAGAAGGCAUAUAGAAGGGCCCGUAAUGCAUCGGGCAACAAUACUGAUGCCAAUGAAGCCAAGGAGAGGGAACCAAAAAACAUCAUGGCAGUGCGGAGGAGAGCAACACAAGUAGGAGAGAGAUGAGAAGAAUGAAAGGUUAACUCAGUUCCGAAUGUCAAAACAAACGCCAGUAAGCUAGCAAAGAACAUCAUGGUGCUUAUAACAGGUUGACCAAUGAUAAUAGGAGGAACCAAACUCUUGAAAUGGAAAGCAAAGAACUGAUGAUGGUGACAGAGAACUUAAGAAAGCGUAGUCAUCCUGGACAUCUCAAGAAAUUAGAGUCUUAGACUUUGCAUUUUAUACGUACGUGUAGGUGUUUCUUACAAAAUUGAGUUCGAUUCUCUAAGGAUUAGAUGUUCUGUAGGCAAUAUUAUAUCGAUACGUCCAGAUUGUACAAGUCUUGUCUCUCUAGUCAUCAGUCAUCAUUCAUGACCCUGUAGGAGGGAUGAGGUGGACCAAACCAGGCCAGCUCGCAGGCUUGCAUUGAGCCAUAGUUACCUUCAGCCGGAUGGGCCCAAAUCUAGCCAUAUCCAAAAGAACAGACCAAACCCAGUUACUCACAUGUAAGGGCCAAAACAACUUUAAGGUCGGUGCUGGAACAUCACCUUAGCUACUCACAUGCUCCAAAUUACUCGUCCUCUUUUCUGUUAAUCGUGAAUGAGAAGCUACAAUUGACACUAGGAUGGUAAAAAAAAAUGUUAGAAAAACGAAAAUUUGGUUGAGAGGAAAAAGAUUGAUGUCUAUCAUGCUUUCGUUUCUAUGUGUCCGCAGACAAGUUUUGGAUUGGACUCUGACGUGCAGUCACCAAGCCCACACAUCUUUUGGAUCACGCAUGCCAAUUUCCACCCCAUGGGCUAUGAAAAUAAUUUAAAUAUGAUAAAUCUCUCUCUCUCUCUCUCUCUAUAUAUAUAUAUAUAUUGGACCUUCUCAAAGUGAACUAUUUCCAUAUGGACCCAUGGGACACGGGUCAAGAUACGGGGCGAGAUUGUGUGAGCACAGGAUUAGUCUCAGUGAGUGAACUUCUGAAGUAAGCCUCGGAAAUUCUUCAACUCCCCAAUUCACAUCGUAUGGUCCGAGGCCUAGGGUGGAAAAUGCAGAAGCUAAAAUGCCACAUGUUGUUUUUAUAAGUAGAGGAACCGAAGAACCCCUUUUAGAUUCUUUGUUUCCUUUACGCACAAAUGAUGAUUGAUGACAACACUAGUUGGGCCCCUUUCUUCGUUUCCGAUGAAAAAGAUAAGAAUAAAUAAGUAAAAAUUCUUUAAUUUUUUCAUCUCCCAUGUAAAACAACAUAUUUUUUUUCUCCGUUCCUUGGUUGCUUCCGGCUACAAAAACAGCGCCGUGUGGGCAUCGCCAGUGUUUCCUUUUCCCACGGCACCUUUAGGAGUUAAGGCAAUGAAAAAAGUUGAGAUUGGGCUUCAUCCUCUUUUAGUCCCUGUAGUGGCAGUUCGGGCUUUUCCUACCUCCUAAAGUAAAAUUUAAAUUGUGGAAAGUCUGCAGCCUGAUUCCAACCGAGCCAAGCCCAUAUAUUUUGGCCUAGUGCCUCAAACCUUGACUGCCCAACAACUAAGAUUCAAACCUAAGCCCACCAGAGAAAUUUUUAAAACCUGUCUUUUCCAAACAUGUCACUUCUUUGCCAGUUGUUCCCCUUUCAAUACCAUUUAAAAAAUCCCCCAUUUUGCAGCUUUCUCAACUGCUGCUUCUCCUUGGUGUACGAACACGGCACAUCCAUACCUACAGACGGCAGAGGCUGCACCUCCUUUCCCACCCUUGUGCUGCUACGUGAGCACCCACCACAUUAGCCCUAACCUCCAUCCCGAUCACCAUGCUUACUGCUACAUCUCCUUAGCACUACACAAGGCAAAAACAGGGUGACACUUCCCACCACAACUGAAAGGAGAAGUUGGAACAACCUACCACAACUUGCAAUGCACAAGGCAUAUUACUUCUAUAGAUGUUAUUUACACCAACCAUUUGGUUAUUUACACUAUUAUAUAACAACAAGAACAAAAAUGCUCUGUAUUUAUUCGGGAUACCAUUUCCCUGAUUUUGUCCUCCCAAAAUAAUUUCCCUAUCUAUGAAACAAUAAUAUCAGAUAUUUGGAACAAUAAAAACCCUUCCAUUUGUCUUCAUUUGUACUAAUCUAUUCAAGUAUGAGGAAAACAACAUUAGUUGAGAAAGAGAUUUACCUGUAACUAUGAUGCUCUAUAGUAGAUUUUCACAAUGGUAACCUCCCAUGCAUGGAAGUUAGACAUGACCAUUCCAAUGGAUUAGGCCAUUUUAGUGGUGGACUUUGCAAAGGGAAUAGAUUUUGGCAACUGAUGUGGAGUCAAAUGACUUUACAAGGGGAAUGGAUUAGGGCAUUUUAGUGGUGGACUUAGUGAGAGCUAUAGGGUUUCGGGGUUUCUUCAGUUCUAAAAUGGUGGAUGGAAUGUUUGGUGGGCACUUGUAGAAAGGGAAAAGCUUUUAAUGAAUAUAUAUUCAAAACAUAUAUAUAUAUAUACACUAUUAUUUAAUGUCACCUGAUAUAAGCACCAUGAAAUAUCACAACUAUGACAUUGCUAUAAAGUGUCAUGGCAUAACUAGUUAUUCUUAUAAUUAAAGGCCACAUCAAACAAUGAUACUUUAAAUAAGCGCCAUGAAAUAAAAAAAACUACUAUAAAAAAUGACCCUUUUGGAAAAACACCAUUGUAUAUCCCAAUAUAAUGAUACUUUAUGAAAGCACCAAGGAUUAAAGCGUCAUAAUUUUCCAUUUUUGUAGUAGUGAUCAAUCCCAAAAAUAACUUGAUCCAAACCAAAGGAAAUGCAAAAUAAAAUGAUUGUAAUAUGGAUAUUCACAAAUAUACGAAAUAAUUAAAGAAGUGGAACUUGAAAGAUGAGAUGCACCAAGUCAAACAACUAGAAAAUAUAUUUGCUCCCUGAUUUCUAUCGAAAACAUUUUUUGAUGAUCUUUUUUAACAGUCUUUCUCUUCAUCUUCUCAAACUCUCUAACUCUCUCUCAGCAAAGACUAAAAAUCACAACUAGAGAGAAAAAAAAAAAAAAAAAAAAAAACUCUUCUCCUUAUCUCUUUAACUUUCUCUUAACUUAGAUCCAAAAUUCUCUCGUUGAAAAAUCUCUUUCUAACAUUUUGUCAAUAGAGAUCCCUCGAAUGGCCAAAGAACGCUAACCUCCCAAUAGAAUACAUUUCCCAGAUUUUAUACAAUCUCUCAAAGACUCUAGAACCCUCUCUCUUCUCACGUGACCUAACCCUUUCACCCAAACGCAAACAUCUUGUACUUAAAAACCCGUUCCCUCUUUUCUUGGCCAAACAAGCCUUAGUUGAAAACUAAUUUUCCCGUCCCUUUUAUAUCUAAAAAUUUAAAAUACAAGCUUAAUUAUUAAGAGGAUAAAACCAAAAUCAUAAUAAUAAUAAUAAUACAAUCAAAACCAAUAAAAUAAUAAAAUGAAUGAAAUAAAUACAGUGAGCAUAGUGUGCAUGGCCAUGCAUGGCUUGCAAUGUUAAAGAACAACUGAAUGGUAUAGGGAAAAUCAUUAAAAAAUAAAAAAUAAAAUUGCCAUGUCCAAAUUUCUCAGCACACAUCAUUGACAUCUGAAGAGUCCAGCUUUGCCCACCGAAACUUGCUUUUGGACCACCAAUGGAGAGGAGCAUGGAGAAUCCAUCUCUGGCCACCUAAAAAAGCGAGAAUAGGUGAGUGAGAUUUGAGUUGCGUUUUAGGAAGAAGGGUAGGUUCCUAUGAUUUUUUGGGUGUGGUGUUCGGUUUAGAGAGAGAAGCAGCUUUGGUAGAGCAAUUGAUGGUACAUAGAUUGGAGAAGAAAAAAGCUUUGGUGGAGCAGUUGUGUUGCACAAGUUGAAGAACGAUGAAAAUGGGGUUUCGGUGGAGUUGAGGGUUGUGUUUUGUUUGGAAAAGAAACAUAAGCUUGAGUGGAGAUGUUGGUGGUGCGGGUUCUAUUAUAAAAGGAAGAUUGGGUUUUGAUGACCAUCGACAAUGAGGAUGGCUAGUGCACGGUUCUUGACAAAGGCUGGUUGUAAGAGUAAUGUAUCAAGCUAUAAGGCAUGGGUUAUGGCAACUAUGGGAUGAGCUAUCUUAUGACUAGGUUAUGAGUUGGUAGAGGACUCUUUAGGAAUGGCUAGGGACAACUACUAAAGACUAAGGAUAUGACAUGAUGUGAGGGGCUGCCAAGGACACCUUGUAUAGCUGUGGUGAAGUGGUCUUUGGGCAACUAAAAGAUGGGUUGCAGCAAGGGGAUUGGGGGUUGGUGAAGGCAAUAGCAAAGAUGUUAGGUUAUGGUUAAUAAUAAAAAUAAAAAAGAAAAGUUACGGAUGGUUGGUGCAUGAGUUAGUCAAGGUAGAAACGUAUCAUUAUAUUUUUUAAAUAAUCCAAAAGAUAGGCUUUUGAUAUAUCAAAGUGGCCUAAAUGUUAAGUAUAGAAUAAUUUAUGGAAAGAUAUAAGUAUUGUGUUUGUUAAAAAAAAAAUUAUUUUCAUUUUUGAAGUGUGAAUUUUGCUAGCUAUUAUGGACUUAAAUGUCUAUUUUUAUGUAAGGUUCAUGAUAUAUUUGUUUAUUAUAAAAAAUGUUUAUUUUUAUUUUAUAUUUGAAAAUAUGAAUUAGAUAGUCGUAACAAAAUCGAAUUUUAACAUAGCUAUAUUUUAUUUUUAUUUUUAUUUAUUAUUAUUAUUAUUAUUAUUAUUACUUUUUAUUUGGUUAUGAAUUAUUAAAGAAAAUAAAUAAAUAAAUAAAUGAGUAUUUCUGGUAUGUUUAUUAUUUAAGGAGACAACUUAUUUGAAUUUAUUUUAAAACAAUGAUUUAAUAUUAUUUUUUUAGUUUAUGGUUAAUGAUAAGUUCGAAUAAUCAAAAGAUCUUAAGCUACAAAUUCAAAGGUUUAUGUGAUUACAUUAAAGUUUCAUAGUUUAUCCUCUAAGAAGCUCUCGAAGAAGAAUCAGAGACUUUUCUUCGAUAGAGAUCACAAGUAUAAUGAAUGAAUCAUGGAUACAUGAGAAAUAAAUGAAGCAAAGUGAGCUAUGUCGAAGAAUAGAAAAAAUACUGAAAUUUUGCCCUAACACAUGACAUGGUAAAUUGAUAAGCAAAAACAAAGAGUAAGAAUGCGGAGACUAGGUAUGAGACAAUGUUGAAUCUAAAACAUUGGAAAAAAUAUACUAAAUGAAUUUAAAAGACACAAACAAGAGACAAAAGUCAUAGGCAACGAGAUCAUGUAAGUAGUCUAAGACGAUGAAUACUAAGAGGAUGAAUGACUUUGAAGACUGAAACAAAAAUACAAAAAUUCUAGACGUCAAACUAAAAACAUAGCUCUAUCCAUUAAAAGAUAACUCUGGUAGUUGAGCGACUCUGAAUGCUAAACUGAUAAAUGUGGCUCUAAAACCUAAUCUAGAAAACAUCUCUGAAUAAUGACACUGAAUGUCUUUGCUUUGAAAGUUGAUGAAUCGGCUGUAAAGGAGAGUGUAAUAAACAAACCCCUGAUCAAUCACAAGCUGUGAAAGUCCAUACUCUAAAUGAUGACACUGAAUGCCUUUACUCUGAAAGAUGAUAAAUCUGUCGUGAAAUUUGUGAUGCAUAAACCCCUGAUCAAUCACAUGAUUUGUGCUCUGAAUGAUGACAUUGAAUGCCUUUACUCUGAAAGUUGAUAAAUCGAUCAUGAAAGAGAAUGUGAUACACAAACCCUUGAUCAAUCACGUGAUUUGUACUUUGAAUGAUGACACUGAAUGCCUUUACUUUGAAAGCAUAGUUGUGAAAGGCACGCCUAGGCUCAGGGCAGCAUGACACCACCCUCCAAUGCCUCGCCUGAAGGGAGGGGACACCCUUUCACGAAGGCGCCGCUUAGGCGUGCAAGGCGGUCGCCUAAAUCACCUCCGACCAGGUACGCACUGCUUCUCCUUCUCCUUCUCUUUCUCUUUCUCCUUCUUCUUCUUCUACUUAUUCUUCUUCUUCUUCCGUCGGGUUGCAGAGCCCUAAUUUUUUAUUUAUUUUGUGAGUCCAAAACGACGCCGUUUUGGACCUUGUUCUUUUAAAUGAACAGUGUCCAAAAUGUCGUCGUUUUGUUCCUUUAUAAUUUUAAAGGAAUAGGCCAAAACGACGUUGUUGGAGCUUAUUCCUUUUUAAAAAAAAGGCCAAAACGGCGCUGUUUUGGCAUGUUUCUCCCUUCCAGCCUGAUUACUACUCAAAAAGUGCUAUUUGAUAGCCUAUAAUUAAUCCUUUUAAACACUUUUGAGUAGUAGUUUAGGCCUUUUAACUCAAUUGGCAUGUUAAAAAUCCUUUAAAGCAAUUUUAAUCACUUUGUGCAAGUUUUGGUGUUUUUGUUAGUAUUUUGAUCACCAAAGCAAGUCAAAUCUGAGGAGAGAUAUGAGGAAUCUUGGGCAAAGCUUAGAAGUCAUUUGCCAAGAGUGAAUCCGGAUUGCAAGGAGAAAAAAGCAAAGAGAAUCUGCCAUAAAGCAUGUUCUUGAUGACAGUCGUAGCAGCCACUUUUGGAGCACUUUCUGAUGUCCAAAUGAUGCAUGCUAUAUACCAUUUCAAAGCUCAGGAAGUCAACAAUCCAAUGCUUCAAAGGGUGUGCAAUUCGGAGUUGAAACGAAGAAGUUGCAGUCAUUACAAGCCAAUUGCUCCGAGCUGAAGGAAGCAUUUUGCAAAGUGUUGCGAAAUCACCCUUUUGUUGCGAAGUGAUUUCGCAGCAUUUUUGUACAGUAAGGUGUUUCUCCUUUUGACGAUGCACGAUUUAUGCCGCGAGAAGGAAGCUUGGAACCUCAAGGUGGAAGCCAACUUCGCAGCCUUGUGAAGAUAGCUUGGUGUUGCGAAAUUAUUUCGCAGCCCUCUUAGGUGUCUACGAAAUUUCGCAGACACCACUUUUCUCCUGCGAAAUGGUUCCUGAAGGCUCCCGAUUUUUGCUACCGACAUUGGGAGAUAUUUUCCAUUAUAUUUUUGUUGUCUAAAUCCCAAAAUACUCCUUGUAAACCACCAAUUACAUGAUUCCUUAGUUUUUAAGUUAGUAAAAAGACUAAAUAUCUAUGUAAUAAUUAGUUUUAUAUUAUGUUGAUAUAUAUACCUCUCGGGAGCCUGUUCUCGGGGAGGAGUUCCUUCUGUAAACGUUUGGGUAAGCAAGUAAAGGUCUUUUCUUUCUACUGCCUUACCUUCUCACUUUGUAUUUUCAUUUUCUUACUAAGUUAUGAAUUCUCUGAGGAGUUUUCCCCAGAGAAUGAGUAACUAAACCUCUAAUUCCUUGGAGCUAAGGUUGCCGGGGAAGGUUCCAAGUGCAAGAAUGCAAAGCUUUGUGGUUUUAGCUAGUAAUGAAGAGGAAGUGAAAUCCUUUAGUGAUUUCUAUGUUUUUAGUUAACUUAAAACACCUUAGAGUCACCUGGGCCAACACUUGGUAAGGCAAGUGAUUUCCAACCAUGGAAAUGCACUACUUUACCCCUUGCGAGCCUCUGGUAGGUGACUUCAAGGUAGGAUUUUCUAGAAUAGCCAACACUUGGUAAGCUUUUGGACUCCUAGGAGACAUCCAUUAGUUAUCUCUUGCGAGCUUUUGACGGGUAAUCCAAGGUUAAAGAUCACCUUGAAUGGUUAAGGCUUAGUGAGAGGCUUAAACCAUUGCAAAGUGCAUCAGUGAGAGAAUUAAAGUGAAAUCUAAUUGAAGGAGUCUCUAUACAUCACCGGUUAGAGAAUUGACUAUAUGUUGAAUCUCUAAAGCGAGGAAAUGAACCAUCUGACCAGAACCGUGUCUUUUGCAUGAGGAACCACCCCAGUGAACCUAAUUCUCCAAGGAAUGCUUUUCUUCCUAAAUUAUUCCAAACUUCUGUUAUGUUAGUUAGUUUAAGUCUAAACCUUUACCAAUCAAAGUUUGUGUUUUACUUCUUAAGCUAACCUUGAAAUGAAACAAGACCAAUUCACUUGGAAUUGGUAUCAUUGAUUGCUUGUUAGUCAUUCCCAGUGAACGACCCUAGAGCCACUCUACUAUAGUAGCUUUUUCUUUGCUACCCUAGUGUAUGGUGUUAUAGGUAAUAAAUUUUGUUGAUUACUCCCUCAAUCAAGGAGCACCAGCUGAACACAAAUCAGCUGAGACACCAAUUGGGCACGAAUCACAGCCCCCUUUUCUGGUCUUUCUUAACCUGAGACCACUCCCAAUCGUGCCCUAGCCUCAAUCGUGAUGGAGAAGUGAAGAAGAAGAAGAAGAAGAAGAAGAAGAAGAAGAAGAAAAAGAAGAAAAAUAGGGAAAAAUAGGAUUUGGAUAUGUAUUAGGCUAUUAGCAAUAUGGAUUUGGAUUUGUAUAUGUUUUUUGUUUAUUAAAUUGAAGUUUUGGUUGAUAUUUGAUGAUUUAUGUGUUUAGGAUAAAUAAAUGAUUGUUAAAUUUGAUUAUAUUAUAUAAAAAUAUAUAUGUAAAUUAGGGUGCGCCUCACUUCACUAAGGCCCGCGCCUUGUGCCUUAGGCUCCAGGACUACUUUGCGCCUUGGUGUGCCUUGAGCCUUUUAAAACUAUGUCUAAAAGCUGAUAAAUCCGCCAUGAAGAAGAAUGUGAUACACAAACCCUAGAUCAAUCACAUUAUCUAUACUCCGAAGGAUGACAUUAAAUACCUUUGCUUUGAAAGCUAAUAAAUCGGCCCUAAAGGAGAAUAUGAUACACGAACGCAUGAUCAAUCACAUGAUUUGUACUUUAAAUGAUGUCAUUGAAUGUCUCUUCUUUCAAAGCUGAUAAAUCGGCAUGUGAUACACAAACCCCUAAUCAAUCACAUGAUUUGUACCUUGAAUGAUGACACUGAAUGCCUCUGCUCUGAAAGUUGAUAAAUCGAUCAUGAAGCAGAAUGUGAUACACAAACCUGUAAUCAAUCAUAUGAUCUGUACUUCGAAUGAUGACAUUGAAUGCCUCUACUCUGAAAGCUGAACAAGUAAUGAACCCAACAACCUUAAGGUAUAGGAAAUAUACCCUAGUAUGCAAAGUCUAUGUAUUGUUAGUACAGUAAUACCAUAAUAUCUGGAUUGCUCUAAGGAUAGGCCAUCCAAAAAUACUCCAAGAGACCAAAGUGCCACUAGCUCAUCAAUACCUCAUCAAGAAAUCAGUAUGACCAAUCAGUCACUUAGGGAGACAACUCUACUAAGGAUCAUGAAGAAAUCAAAUAGUCAAAAUCAACAACCAUCAUCAUGAAACAAGGUGAAAACUAAUUUGAAACUAGCAAUCUCAAUGGAAAAAGGAUAUGCCUCAGUAUGGCAUUUGAUAUACAUAGCAGAAUGGGAAGUUAGACAACAUCUCUCAUCCAUCAUAAAAUCAAGCAAUCCUCUACAUCCAUCGCGAAUCAACUUUAGGCAUUAGAAAGCAUUCCCCAAAACAAGGAACAUGAUGAUGUCCAUACAUCAACCAAGUCCCAAGCGCUUGCCCAAGUAGAGACUGUCAAAGUUGACAUUUGAUCCUAUGGCCUCAAGGUGGUCUUAAGACAUGGGACGAAAUGUAGGCUAGGGUGAUAGGUAAAAAAAUGAAAGGAAACUAGGCUUAAAUACCCAAUGAUCAAGCCCAUACCCUCAUGUACAAAAUACAAUAUGUAUAGGAGAUCUCGUAAGCCGUGACCUUGAAGAUAUCUGGUGUGAGCAUCCAUGGGACAUAAAAGGUCUCAACAAAAUCAACGAUGAUAGAGAAAAAGUGAUAUAAGAGAGUAUCAAGCUAUAAAGGGAGAUGAUGUGAGAAGAAUAUCGAUCAUGGGAUGAUGAUGGAUAUGAAUGAAGGAUAAUGAAUAUAAGGUGCAUGAUGAUGAAUGUAAAGAAUAGAUAAGAUCCAAAGGAAUCAGAAGAGCUAUGAUCUACUCAAAAUAAGACAUGGAAAGUGAUCAAACCAUCGGUGAUUGAAGAAGGCAAUGAUUUAGAGUCUUUAGGAAAGAGUCACUCAUCUCUCAUACUUGGAACAUAUACAAGAUAAAUUUAAGGAUCACAAACUCUCGUGCACUUUCAUCAACUAAUGAACUCCACAUAAUAAACUCUCAAAUAUCUCAUACAUGAUCAAUUUCGUAAUACAUCUCAUGCACAUAUAUAUAUUUUUUUUCAUUUUUUAUCAUUUUUUUUAUGAUGGUAUGAACAUACUCUCGAACAAUGAUCUAAAAAAAGAUCGAGCUCUUUUUACUGAAUGACCCUCUUAACUAAGAUUCUCUAUAUCAAUGUCUAUGAGAUGAAAUGUAAGUGGUGAUAUGUUCAAUAUCCAUAUAAUGAAAUGUGAAAGAUCAUCACUCAAUAUAUGAGAAGAAACAAGAUGAAUCAAAUAAUAUGAAAAAGGUGAAACAAAGAACAUAAAAAAAGGAAAUGGGAAUGAAAUGGGAUAUCAUGAUAACAACAAAACAAAUGGGAGGAGUACAUCAAUAAUUCUAAGACUCAUGAAAUUCCUAAAUUAAGUAUAUGUACAUCAUAGGGUCCCAAGUAUAGAAACUAAAUAAGUUUAUUAGAAAGAAUAGGCUAUAAUGAUCAUGUAAGGCUCAAAGGGCUAGCAACGGUUUAGAUGUUUGAAAGGUGAUAGAGUAUAAACUAAUCGUAAUGAAGGCCACCCAUCAUAUGACCAUGGUCUCAAACAUAAUACUUCUUCAGUUGAUCUACAUAGGUUGGCUUUAAGAAUUGGUUUCUAUCUAGAUCUAUCAACCAUGCUGCACCCUCUAGAGUCAACUCUCUAAUGACAUAUGACCCACUCCAAGUCGGUCUAAACUUCCCUCUCAAGUCUCCAACCAAGCUUCUAAGACUUCUCAAGACCAAAUCUCCUUUCUAUAGUGGCCUAGGCUUGACCCACUUUCUGAAAGCACGAGCCAUCUUCCUCUAAUAAGCCUAAGUGUGGUUAGCUGCUCUCAAUCUGUUCUCAUCAAGAAGACUAAGCUGAUCAAAACAUGCUUGGGCCUAAUCUACCUAAGAUAUUUGUUGCUUAAGUGCUACUUGCAAAGAUCCCAUCUCUAUCUCAAUUGGUAACACUACCUCCAUUCCAUACACUAGAGAAUAGGGUGUGGCUCUUGUAAAGGUGUGAAAAGAAGUGCGAUAAGCCCAUAAUGCAAAAGAGAGCUUCUCUGACCAGUUUUGAGAAGUCUCAACCAUCCUCUGCAAAAUCAUUUUAAUAUUCUUAUUCGCGACCUCUAUUGCUCCGUUAGUCCGCGGUUUAUAUGCAAACGAACUAUAAUGUCGAAUGCCAUAUCUUUGUAACAAAGCAUCAACCUCUGCCCUAAAGUGUAUUCCUUUAUCAAGGAUAUCAACAAUAGUGUGGAAGGCAAACAACCUCAAUAAUUCCUAGGUGUAGACCCUCAAUUUUGUUCAUUACCACUUGCAUGUAUCUUGGUGGUGUCGUUUGCACUCAAUUCCUAUGUGUCACAACCAUGGAGCCUUUGCUGGGCUUAAUCGGUUCUCGGACCUCAUGUGAGUUCACCUAUGGUUCGAUUUAGUAUGAGCAUUUGGUCCAUUAUGAAGUGUCGUCAUGGUCGAUUCCUUGGUUCGUAUCAUUCUAUGGGAUAGAGGUUGAAGUCUCCGCAACCUUAGUUCAAUUGGAGACCAUGACAGAACACACUGGUUUGUUUUAAUCAUUUCUCCCUCAUCCAAGCUCGGAAUUGCUCACCAUUUUUUUGUUGGAUUCUUUGUUCCUGAAGGAACAUUCUAUUAAAAUUUGAGAAUUUUUCUCAACCAAUCGAUCGGAUGGGCAAUCGGCUUAACUGGUUCGACAAGUUUUUUUUUUUUUUUUUUUUUUUCAGGUGGUUGAUGAUACUGCUUGCAAACGGCUUUGUUUUUGGCAUUUUUGGUGCACUUUUUCUAGUUGGUUCAAGCCUUGGUGCUCUAGACAGGUUUGGAGAGUGGUUUUAGGUCCGAUUUGGGUCAUUUUGCAGGUGGAUUGUAACCCACCUUGAAUCCAUGUGGAUUCUUAGAGGGUAAGGAAUUAUGGAGUUAUGAAGGGCAACUGCCCACCUUGGGAAAGGGGGGAGCUAAAUGAGUUGGGGUUCCGAGGCUGAAGGUGAGGAUAAUCCAGAGCUGAAUGGGAAUGAAAAGUUGAGUUGAGGGAAAUGUGGCAUUUAAUUAAUUGAUUAAUGGAUACUCUGUCAUGGUGCCUUUAUAAUAUAUUUGCACGUUUGAGGGCACAUAAGCAUUGACAUGUUGAUUAUUUUAUAUAUAUGUUGCAUGUGCCUUACUAUAUAUUGACUCUUAUUAUCAUGUGUGUUUGUAUAUAUUGCUUAUGUUUAUAUAUAUAUAUAUAUAUUUUGUAUGAUUAUGUGUUGCAUGAUUACCCAUUUUCUUUAUAAUGCACGUUUUGUUGUUAUAUUCAGUUGCAAUAUUGACAUGUUGAUUACGUUGAUUGAUUCUUUUGUCUGCUUUAACAUAGCAACUCUUCUUGUUAUAUGAUUAUUUUGCUCUCCUUAUUAGGUAUAUUCUUAUUUUUGUAUAUCUAAUUCAUCUUAGCAUGAUUUAUUCUCUUUAUCAUAUAUUAUCUUAUUUGUCUUAACAUAUUGUUUAUUCUUCUUAUGUACUUAUCUUGCUUAUCCUAUUCCUACCUAGCAUGUGUGUAUAUAUGAGUGAUAUGCCUAUUCGUUGUAUGAUUGCUUCUUGCAUGAUUGCUCUUCUUUUGUGUGAUGCAUGUAUUACUUAUUUGUGUGGGACACAUUUAUCCCCUUAUCUCCAAUUCCCUAGUCUUGGUCGACUUUGUUUUCCUUGAUAUUGUAUUUAUGAGGCUUGUUACUUUGUUUGUUCUCCGACUAAGCUAGUGAUUUGAAAUAAGGUUUAGUGAUGUGUUAUAUUUAUGUUUAGGAGCAUUCUGGAGGAGGCCAAUGCAUUGAUGAUGAUUAGAGUCCAAUCUUUGAAGACUUGUAUGGCCUAGAGCUAGAUUUUAGGAUAUUUAUGUGACCUGUGUGUUUUCUUUCCUCUUAGUUUGAUAGGAUUUUCAGAUGCACCCACACCAUUCACUAUACACCUUAGAUUAAUACUAAGUGUUAAGAGAUGUGAGAGCCUUCACAAUCAAGAAACCCCCUAGGAUGCGAGGUAAUGCAUGUGUGGAGGUGACGAUCACCUUGCAUGGAAGCACCCCAUCUCUUGAAGGUGUGUAAGAGUUUGUAUACCUUCGGAGGGUAUGAUCGUUUUUUCUCUGCUAGGGAUCCUUUAAAGAUCACAAUUUUUUGUUUUUAAAGUCGCCUUGGCCUCGUAGGUUGAGCCUUAGAUCUUUUUAUUAGGAUUCUUUUCCUAUACGUGGGUGCAUCUGAGAGCCUUUGGGGAUGCUUUAGUCACAAUUUGGACUUGGUACUCUUUUUUUGGUCUUCUGUUGAGAGCGCUUAGAGAUUAGUGUGAGUUUGAGUAUCAGUUGGACCACCAUUUUUCAUUUAGUGUUGACUUCUUCUUGUUGCUUGUUGAGUCUAGCACACUUUCUCCUUAGGGCUUUAGACAUGUUUCAUUUCUUGAGUUAGAAUUAUUUCGAUUGAUUGUCACUAUGCUUGACAUUUUGGGAUAUGCUCCUUGAUCAUGCUCACCCUUUUACAUUUUUCAUCUAUCAUGGGCUUAAUACUUCAUUCUUUGGUCGAUUCGUCUGAUUCUAUUUUCAACUUGAUAUUUUCAUUACAGAAAGGUGAAAAGCAUGAUUUCACAUUCACACCAUUUUUUCGAGGUUCACCUUUAUCUCCUUAUCAUUUUUCUUUUUAAAGCUCAAGUUGAAAGUAGAGUUGGGAGAUAUUUAUCUAGAGAUGGAGUAGUAAUCUCGUGAUAGUGACGUUCUUCACACCUCCUUCAUUUUUUGGAUUAUUGAUAGAAAUUCUUUAGUUACAUUUGUAGCCAUCUCAUAGUGGACACCUUUAUGACCUUAGUGUUGUUGUCAUAUAUCUAGUUUUAGAUUGCCAUCAUAGGACCAUAUAUCAUAUGAUGUGUUUUUUUUUUUCAUUUGAGGCAUUUAUUCACAUGCACAUUGUGAUCUUGGGACUUGACCCAUCAAGGAGGAUAUUGAGCCUAUUAGCCUAAGAUCAGAGACUUGACUUAGGGAGUUUGAGACUAUGACCCAUCUUCUUUCAAUCAAAGCAAUACCUUACUCGCUCCCACACUUGGUCUUUGUUUCAACCUACAUCUACCUAUUUUGAGCUUUACACAGUAUCAUCCUUGACACCAUUACAUGUCCUUUCCAUCACUUGCUAUUCUACCUUUGCACAUUCCUUCUCCGAUCUGACUAGGUAGAGUGUGAGGAGUUUGAGCUCAGGGUUGAUUUUACAUGGCGAUGGAUGACUUAUGAUCUUUGGCUGGUUUAUGAUGUGAGGAUUGGUUAAUCACCUGAUGGGAUUGUUAUUUAUUUUUCCAUGAGUAUAGAGAUUGAUCUUGCAUGAUGAAAGUUGACUUGUGAUAAGCAGUUGUGCUUGAUGAGAUCAUCAUUUAUUUUGCUUUGAGAUGAUCAUCUUUGAGAAUAUUACAGAGCAUUUGGAGUAGUGUUUGGCGCACGAUUUCAAAGCGUUGACGUGGUUAUAUCAUGUGGACAUUGAUCUUUAGUAUUGAUAAUUUGAGGGUUUGAGAGCAUGAUGUUUGAGAUUGUGGCCAUAGAAUGGGUGGCUAUCAUUUUAGUUAGUUCACAACCUAUUACCUUUAUUGACAUUUGUACAUUUGCUAGCCCUUUGAGCCUCGCAUGAGCAUCAUAACUUUAUUUAUUUAUACAUUUUUUCUUAUAGCCUUGCUCACCUUUUACCCCAAGAUAGGGGCCCUUUUGUGUAUAUAUGCUUUAUUCAAGAGUUUCAUGAUUCAUAGACUUAUUGACUCACCUUCUUCAUUAUUAUUAUUAUUUUUCAUCUUACCAUUAUUCUUCAUUAUACCUCAUUGUUUAUAUCCAUUGUUCCACCAUUUGUCAUUUUCAUCGUUUUAUUUAUUUAUUUUAUUUAUUUUUUAUUUUUUAUUUUUUAUGCCAUGAGUAAUGAUCUUUCACAUUUUAGUGCAUGGAGGAUGGUCAUAUCCCCUUCCACUCCUAUCUUAUGGACAUUGGUUCAGAGAUCCUUAGUUAAGAGGGACAUCUUGUUAGAGAUAGUUCGUCUACAUCAUUGUUUGAGAGUAUAUCCAUUUGAUUAUGUAUUCUUAGUGGAGCUCAUUUGUUGAUAUUCAGAGUAUGCGCAAGUAAAAAGAAAGAAAAAAAAAAAGAAUAAGCACAUGUAUUUAUGCAUGUAUACAAUAUCUUUCUCCAUUGAGUGUGUAGAUUAGCCAUUGAGAGCCAUUUUUUUAGCCAGUUGGCUAUAAGAGUUUGUAUGUGAACUUUCAGAUACCCUCAUCUCCUUGUGCUUAUCUUGUUUAUGUAUUUUAUGUGUGAGAGACAGAUGACCGUUUCCUAGGGACUCUAAAUUAUUGUCUUCUCCAUCAUUAAAAAUAUCGAUGAUUUGACUAUUCUCUAUGAAUUGAUUUGAGAUGAUCAGUGCUCAUUUGUCUUCUUUUGAUCUAUUUGUUUUUCUCAUGGUAUCUCAUUCGUCUUACUUAUAUUGUUAUUUGUUCAUAUAUCAUUACAUUCUAUGUUCGAUAUUUUCCACACAUCACUAUUAUACAUCUUAUCAUCAAUUCGAUAUAUUUUUUUUUUCACUACCGAUAUAUUCAUUUUGGAUUCUUUCUUCCUCAUCGAUACAUUCAUAUCAAACAUCCUCAGUCCAUGAAUUCUAAGAUUUUUUUAACAUAUUACAUUUUAUACAUGAGGAUAUGAGAUUUUAUCAUUGGGAUUAUUGAGCCUAGUUUCCUUUCAUUCUUUACUCUAUUACCUUAUCCUAUGUUACAUCCUAGGUCUUAAGACCACCAUGAGGCCAUGAUAUCACACAUUAUGUUUUGAUUGCUCUCACAUGGGCGAUACUUGAGAUCAAUCAGUGAGCAUUUUGAUUAUGAUUGUUCAGGAGUUGUGGUAUGACACUAUGGACCCCACAUUUUUAAUGAUGCGUUCCCACUCGAUUCGCGAGACUCGCUUUUCGUUUAUUUGGUGAAAAAUAUGAUUUUUAGAAAAGACUUGGAGUCGCCACUUACUUUUAUUUAUUUUUAAAGGGGAAAAAAAGUAAGAAAAAAACCCCUAAAUAGACUCCUGAUUUUUUUGGAAAAGCUAUCUACGAAAAACCUGAGUCUGGGUCUAGGGAUCAGGUUACUUAUUGGGAAGGUAUGAUAAAGACCGUAUCACCCCUCUAAGCCCCUAAAAAAUGGGCCUCUACUAAAUAAGGUGAAGCAGACAUGACAAUUAAUUAGGAGAUUAAUGGAUACCAAAAUGAUCAUAGUUAAAAAAUAAGUCAUGAUAACAAAAUAAUAAACAAAAUGAGAGUGAGAGUGUACCUUAGUAGCAGGUAAUAAAGAGUUGUAAUGAAAACAAGGUUAGUGUAUAAUGAUAAGUGUAAAAAAUCUCAUACAAAACCAAAUCAAAAUCAAACAAAAUCGAGCGCACAACUUGAAUUAUUUUCGAAAGAAAUGUUAUGAAUGUUGGGCCCCCACCAAAAGUCAAUUUAUUUUUGCUAUAGAUUAAUUCUCAUAAAUUCCAUCAUUUUGGAAUUAUGAAAACUUAUUCAUUUUUAUAUUUAAAAAAAAUGAAAAUGGGAGUUUUGAAAAUUAAAUUUGAAAUUUUGGAAAUGGAUUUUUUUAAAAAAAUUAAAUUUGGAAUUUUGGAAAUUUUAGAAGUGGAAUUUUAAAAAUAAGUUUGGAAAAUUUGGAAAUCUAUCUGAGAAUGGUAUUUCAAAAAAAAAAAAAAAAGAGUAAAUAAAUACAUAAACAAAAAUAAAAUAAAAUAAUAAAUAAAUAAAUAAAUUUUGAAUUUUGGAAAAUGGGAAUUUUGAGUAGAAUUUUGGAAAAUUAAAUUAAAAAAAUUGGAAUUUUGGAAAAAUUAUUUUGAAAAUAGAAUUUCGGAAAAUUAACUUUUAAAAAAUGAAAUUGUGGAAAAUUGGAAUUUCGAGAAGGAAGUGUUGGAAAAUUAAAUUUAAGAAAAAAAAAUUGAAAUUUUGGAAAAUUAAGUUUUGAUAUCAAAGAUGAAGACUAAAAAAUAGGAUGAAAUGUGGUCUUUGAGUGGUUCAUUGGAGGGUGACCAUGCAUGGCCAUGCAAAAGUGGGGCACAGGGUGUUGGUGGUGAGUUGACCUGGCACUAUUCAUAUUAAAAAAAAUUCCAAGAUUCCACUUAACUUAUAAUUUUCACAAUGCAUCUUUCCACCACUAUGAAACAUACUGACAUUCAAGAAAGGUUAUUAUCAGGAAGCUAAAUAUUUGACAUUCUAGAAAACUUAUUUAACAUAAAAUCAACCUAAAACCAAACUACUAACAAUAAAUCUUAAGAAUCAUGGAAUAGCAAGAUUAAUGGCAUCGAAGCCUAGAGAUGUUAGGAACAUGCACUUACAAUCAAAUAUUGAAAACUAGUAACUAGGAAAUAUUGAAACAUGAGAUAUUAAAUCAGUGAAAACUAGUCCUUAAAAUAUUAAGAACAAGUACUAACAUGAAAUGUUGAAAAUCUGACAUCUAGAAUAUCAAAACGUGAGAAAAUAAAUUAAUGGAAACUAAACCUAAAAUCAUUAAGAACAUAUAUUAACAUGAAACAUUUAAAAAAAAAUCGACAACUAGGGAUAUUAAAAACCUAAAUUAAUGAGGAACAACCAAACUAAUGUUAGAGAUGAUAAAAACAUGAACUAAUUUAGGUUCAAUAAGAAGGAAUAAUUGGAAAAUAAUAAAAACUAACAUCUAAGGAUAUUUAAAUCCCAAACUAAUAAGAGGUAAAUAAAAACUAAAACCUUAAGAUUUAAAGAAAACUAUUGAACAACAUGGAUCAAACAAAAUACUAAUUAAUUAGUCAAAGAGCAAUAUAAAUCAACAUGUAUCAACCAAAAUAAAAAACGAAAAAUUCAAGAAGCAAUAUAUACUAACAUAGGUUAUUAAAAUCAACAAUUAAAAACUCCCAGGUAUUUACAAAUUAUCAUAGGUCAUCAAAUUAAAAACUAAAAAUUCAAAGGACCACAAAGAAUUAACAUGGAUCAUCCAAAAUAACAAUUAAUAAUUUUAAUGACAAAGCAAAUUAACGUGGAUCGACCAAAAAUAAAAAUAAAAAUUUAAGGAGCAAUAUAAAUUAACAUAGAUAUUUAAAAUUAACAACAAAUGAUUUUAUGAAAAUGAAGAAAAAAAUAAACAAACAAAAUUUCAUGAAUAUUAUAAAGCUACAUGGAUAUUAGUUUUCAUUUCUUUCAUUUUAAAUUUAUAACAAUGUAAACCAGUAACACCAUGAUCCACCACAUUCACUUUAAUUUUUAAUUCAAUGAAACAAACCACUAACAUACUUGAGACAUCUCAUGGCCGGCCAUAUGUAUAUACAUCAAUCUCACUUUGAAUUUUAUUUUAACAAUGUAAACCAAUGACACCAUGACCCACCACAUUCAUUUUAAUUUUUGAUUCAAUGAAACAAACCACUAACAUACUUGAAACAUCUCAUGGUUGGCCAUUAGCAUCCAUACAUUCAUGACUCUAUAUUAUAUUAAAAAAAACAAAACUCACCUAUGUGUGUUCCCAUGAAGCGGUGCAUGCCGAAGCUCCUUUGUGAUGGAGAGAUGCCAACAAUGGUUUCAAAGUGGCAGCCCCUCAAUGUGGCAGCCUUAUUUUAUGUGAAGAUGACAACUGAUUCUGUUGGUUUUCCGGUAGAGAGUGCGUCCCAAUGACCAAGUGAUCAACCCAUGCAUGAAGAUGGAGAGAGGUUGUCGAUGGUGUGUUGGUUCUACAAUUCUGGUGGUGCGCGCUAGGAUGAUGGCUCUUUUGCUGUAUCUUCAUUUCCAAAAAAUUCUGAUUGUUGUCUCGUAAAAAAAAAUUAUGAACAUCCACCACUCUAGAAAUUCUGAUUGUCAUUCUAAAAAAUGGAGAGAGGACCACCCUCUGUGUGUGCGAUCUAUUUUCUAAAAAAUCCUCCCAGCACUUUGAAUUUCUAAUCCAUGUGUACCCCUCUUUAGAUUAGGGAAGUGUUGUAACCAAAUAGUAAAAGACACAAGCUGUUGUAUGCGUGCAAUAGAGUUCAACAACAAUAAGUUUCACAAUCUUGGUAAGCAUAUAUAUAAUUGAUUCGUGUGUUCUUUUCCAUCUUUUAGAAAAAAUCUGUGACUUUCCGCACCCUAAUCAACCUAAUCCAUAAGAGGUACCUCACUUUUUCCUUUCUCCCACAAGCCUUGUAAAUAAUAUCCCAAGACAAACAAUAAAUUAAAUCAAUGACAAAACUAGAUUUCAAAUACCUAAGUGCAAUAGAUGUGCACUUGCAGACCAUGUGGUAAGCGUGGGUAUCUCUAUAAGUGAGGAAAAAUUGGAUCACAAUGUCGAUAAGAAAAACAAUCUGGCUAGCAAUGUCCAGGAAAACCAGGUCCUUUGGCAAUCCUCUAAAGAAUCAAAAUUCCAUGGGUGUGAAAAAUAAAGAGUACACUGCCCAUAACAAUAUGAACUUCGUCCAUGUUCUAUACCACCUCCAUCAUAUUUCUUAGCAAUUUUGAGAGCUCGAGAUGAAGCAAUUUCGGGUGCCUGGGCAGUAGGUACAAUAACCGGAAAAAUGGCAUCAUUGUGCUGAGCAUAGUCACUCACCAAUGUCUCAUCCAUUGAUCCAAUCCAAGCAAAUCAACCAGUUUCAGAGGAGGUGUUGUACUAGUCUGUAGCUUCAAAUAUAUUUCAUCUCGGCUCUUGCCUGAGACACUACCCAACCUGUCAUAGAGAGAAUGUCGAAGAGCACUUGCAGAAACUUGUUGAGAUUUGUCGUCAAUUUGUAAGAUGAUCGACUUGCUGCUUAGGGAACCAUCUUUUUGUAAAUCAAUACAUAUUGGAGCCUAAGUAGCACCAUUUUCUUCAAUAGGCAAAAUAGGAUGUCCAAUCAAAUUGUUCAAAACUGCAGAUUUACCAGCACUGACAUUUCCAAGAGCAACAACGUUAAGAAAAGUCAAACCCUUGCGAGAAGAACUGGAACUCGAAUUCUCGUCCACAUCUUCAUCUGCCGGCAGCUUCGUGACCUGACACAUAGACCCUGAUAGCUGAACGAGCUUUCCUAGGAAUCGGAACACCGAUCAUUUCCCCAGUAAUUUUCCAAGCUGGAGUUUGCCUAUCGACUUUUGCCUCUGGGGGGAAACUCCUCCAGUUGUUAUGACUUGACGUCAACGAUGAUGAUGUAGUGAGCGAAGGAAUCACCCCAAGCCGCUAUAUCAUCUUCUUCUCUUCCUUUCCUCUAUGAAACGCUCUCUCUGAGAAUCCCUUCUCUCAAAACCUCUGUCUUUCUUAUUUUUUCCAACGACCCUCUCUUUGUUUUUUCUUCUUCUCCCUUCUUCUUCUCUCUCUCUCUACUCUGACCUCCACUUCUCACGAGUUUAAGCUUUAGUUUCACCACCACCCAACAGUAGCAACAAGAUCAGACAACCUCACUAGAAUCUUCAUUCAUUAGUACCUCAAGGGCCUCAAGCUCUUCUACCCAAAAGUUGGUUUUUCUUCAUCGAAACCUCACCACUCUUCACAUCCCCUCCAAUCCCACUUUGAAUAUGCGUUCCCGUCUCCAUCUCUUCUUCAUGCCGAGAAAACCCCUCGGGAACCUUUCUUUUUCAAUCGAUCUUUUUCUUCUUCCUUUAAGACUCCCCCACAUGGCUCCAUUUUCCCACAACCCCUUUUUCCUUUGGAAAACCCCCCAGCCUUUAUUCUCUUCAAAGCUCCCUUUUUCCAUGCAGUCCUGGUUCCCAUGAUGCCACUCAAAUUCCCACAAAAACCCUUUAAUUCUAAAAAAAAUAAAAUCUAGACUCUCUCCUGGUGUAAUCACAACAUCCCUACAAAGAACAGGGGAAUCUAAUGGUCCAGAAAAAAAUCCCACUUCCUCUGCCUAAAGCCUGCCCAUACCUCUACCUUUUAUCAUUUUUAAGAAAGGCGUCUGAGCCCACUAAAGUUCCUUGAGCCCACUUGUUGAAAAAAUCUCAUAUAAAAAAAUCUAAGAAAUACGAGGUAGAAACUUGUAACAUAAUAAAAUAAAAUAAAAUAAAUGGAAAUCAUGAAAAUUUUUAAAAAAGAAAAUAUUUCAUUGUAAAUUAAAAAUAAAGUCACCAAUCUCAUAUAAUUUUCUAAAAAUAAAAAAGUAGAUGAAUAAAUAAAUAAAACAAGAAAAUAAAUGAAUAUUAAAUGCAUAUAAUCAAGAAUAUAAAUAUUAAACUAAAACACAAUAAAGAAAAUGAAAAAAAAAAACAAAACAUCAAACUGACACAAUUAAAUAUAAAAAAUUCAUCUCAAGUAAUCAAAAAAUCAAAAUCAAGCCAAAUACUCACCUAAUCCCAAAAAAUCAAGCAAUCAAGAAAUCAAUCUAAGGGAAUUAAGCCUAAACAAAACAUCUAAGUGACCUAGGUGAAAAAGUGCCUAAGUGGAAAGUGUCAAGGUGAACUAGGAGUGUACCUAAUGGGCCGAGUGCAUCUAAAUGAGCCUAAGGUGCCAAAGUGGGCCUAAGGUGGUGCUUAAUGGGUCACCAAGGAAUUAUUGUAAAGUAUCAAACAAACAAGUAAUAGGACAUGUGCUAGUAGGACAAAAAGAAGGGUUUACAAACCCCACACUAGGGCAUAGCCAUCUCAAAGAGUUUGUUGGAUAUGCAAACUUGGGCAUACCCUUUUCAACUAGUUAUGGAUUCUUGAGAUGACAGUUUACACCGAGACAUGCUCAUUCUUUAGAGGAGAUUAGACACCCCCUUCAUAUUAGUGUGUGGGAUGACUAGGUAAUUUCAUUUGAUAUCACUAUGUCGGGACAUACCUCCUCAUUGAUGUUGAUUGGUUCUUGAUGAUUAUACAGGGGCAUACCUCUCUCAAUCAAUGAUGGUUUUUGAGGCAUAGUUGUUCAUUGGAGGUGAUUAGAUUCUUUUUACAUUGGAGUGUGAGGCAUGGAUAAGAUAUUUCAUUUGAUGUUCAUACAUAGGGGCAUACCUAUCUCAAAUGAUGAUAGAUUUUUUUUUUUUUUUUUUGGGAGCAUGGCCCUCUCAUUGGUAUUGAUGAAGUUUUUAAAUGAUUGGAUUAGGACACAAAUAUUCUUGAGAGCUUAUUGUGGAUUUUAGUCAUUUCAUAGAUUGCUUUACAUUGGGUCAUAACCAUUUCAUUGGCUAAUGACCUUGGAGAUACCGACUUACAUUGGGACAUGACCAUGUCAUAGUGCAUUUAUUUGAUGCAUACCACUUUGCUUGAUAUUUUCACAUUGGGACAUGCUUUUCUUUAGAGGAAGUUAAAUAUUCUCUUCACAUUACCAUGAUGACUUUGAGGAGUGGAGAUUCAUUUUGAUCAUAUGAUGUAUGAUUGGUUGUAUUCCUCUUAUCCAUGUUUGAUUUUGAGAUGCUUACACUGGGGCAUAACCCACUCAUUGGUGAUAGAUUUUGUGAGAUGACAGUUUAUGCUAGACACAUACUUUUUAGAGAUUAUUUUGCAUUAAGGGCUUACCCAUUCCGAGAGGAUGCAUUCAUAUUAGGGUAUAACCAUUGACAUUGAGACUGAACCUUCUAUUCAUGAUUGUUAUUUUCAAUGGAUCAUAGAGUUAUUGACACCCUAGGUUUAGUCUUCUCAACAUACUUGGCUCAACUUGGAUACCCACUUUCCUUUGUUGAACAUCUAGACAUCCUACAUUUGACACCAUUAUACUUGCAUCCGUCUUGUCAGAGCCUGAUCGAUAUUAAACCUACCUAUUUUUUCAUCCUACAUGACCUUAUCCCAUUCUUUUGAUUAGAGAAGGAUAAAGAUUAGUCUUGAGCUUUCUGGUGAAGUUUUCACAUGCCUUUGGACAUUAGGUUCAACAUCAUCCAUGAUGGAAGGGCCUAGUAGAUUGUUGAUGUAUUUGUGAUGAUAUUUUGACAUUAAUAGUUGACAUAUUGUGUCUUGACUUACUUACAUUUUAGACUUAGAGUCUUAGUCAACAUUUGUUUGGUGCAUUAAUUUAGUUUUGCUUGUCAACAUAGUUUUGAUUAUGCAUGAUAUUGUUUAAGUAUUUGGUUGUUAAGGUUAUAUAUAUGUCUUUAUUGCAUUGUCAUUGAGCAUAUCCUAGAGUGCCUUGUAUGGUGACAUUCUAUGUCUUAUGUUGGUCAUUAUCUUACACUAAGGCAUAUCCCUCUUCAAGUUCAUCAAAUCUUCUGUUGACUUCAUAGCUGCUCGACCCAUUUGCUAAUACUUGUGAGUCAUUACACUGAGGCAUACCCUUCUCUAGGUUCUUGAUCCUUAUAAGUUAUCCUUUGGGACAUCCCCCCUUCUAGAGCUCUUUUACUAGGGCUUAUCCCCUUUUCAUUGAGUUCAUUAUCUUAGUUGCUCAUUCUCUUGAGUCCUUUAGGCAUUUAGAGCUACCUCUUUUAGUGUAGGCAUUCAAAGUUGUAGUUUAGACAUUCAAAGCCACAAUUUUAGGUGUUCAAAGCCACCUUUUUCAAUUUAGACAUUCAAAUCCACAAGUUUAGGAAUUCAGAGAAACCCUAUUUUAGUUUUAGGCAUUCAAAGCCAAUUUUUUUCAGUUUAGGCAUUCAGAGCCACAACUUUAGGCAUUCAGAGACACCUCUUUUAGUUUAGGUGUUCAGAGCCACCUUACUCAUUUUAGGCGUUCAAAGCUACCUUGCUCAAUUUAAACAUUCAUAGCCACAUUCCUUAAUUAGGCUUUCAUAGUCACCUUUAUUAGUUUAGGUGUUCAGAGUCCUAGUUUUAGGCAUGUAGAGCUUUCUUUUAUAGCCAUUAGCGUUUAGAGCCACUUAUUUCAGUUCAGGUAUUUAGAGCCACCCUUUUUUAGUUUUAGGCGUUCAGAGCCAUCUUUUUCAGUUCAAGAGUUUAGAGCCACCAUUUUUCAGUUUUAGGCAUUCAGAGCCAUCUUUUUCAGUUAAGCCAUUUAGAGCUGUAGUUUUAUGCCUUCAAUACCACUUUCUUUUAGUUUAGGCAUUCAAAACCACUUAUUUUUAUUUUUAUUUAUUUUUAAUUUUUAGUUUUAGGAGUUCACAGUUAUCUUUUUUUAGUUUAGCCAUUUAAAGUCGUAGUUUUAAGCAUUCAGAGCCACUAUUUUAGGUGUUCAAAGCCACUAUCUUUCAUUUUUAGGCAUUUGAAGUCGUAGGUUUAGGUGUUUAGAGCCACCUCUUUCAAUUCAAGCAUUCAAAGCCAUCCAAUUUCAGUUUUAGGCAUUCAGAGCCAUCUUUUUCAAUUUAGGCGUUUAGAGCCACAAUUUUAGGCAUUCAGAUCCACCUUUCUUAGUUUAGGCAUUUAGAGCCACCUUGUUUAGUUUAGGUGUUUAGAGCCACCUUCAUCAGUUAGGCAUUCAGAGCUAGCUUAUGUAGUUCAGGCGUUCAAAGCCACCUUCUUUAGUUUAGAUGUUCAGAGCCAUCUUGUUCAGUUUAGGCAUUCAAAGCCAUCUUUUUCAAUUAGGCAUUCAAAGCCACCUUUCUUAGUUUAGGCAUUUAGAGCCACCUUACUUAGUUUAGGCAUUCAGAGCCACCUUGCUCAGUUUAGGUGUUUAGAGCCACCUCUUGCUCAGUUUAGGUGUUCAGAGCCACCUUCCUUUAGCUUAGGCUUUCAGAGUCACCUUCCUUUAGCUUAGGCUUUCAAAGCCACUUUCCUUAGCUUAGGUGUUUAGAGUCAUUGAUGACAAACAAUGUUAAUACUAUAUCAAGUGAUAAAAACCUAAUUAAAGUCUCCAAAAGAGCUUAUACUAUGUCACUAGUAGUAUUUAAUUCUAUGUGAAUGUCACUUUAUACUAUGCUAGAUCUAGGAGAAUCUUGUAAGACCAACUUAGUCCCCCGGAAUAAAAGAUAAUGUAUUAAUUUUUGUAAAGUCGUAUGGACGUACAUUAUAAAACUAGAAGUUUUUAUCUAGUGACUAGUCUACCUAUACACUUGAAAGGUAUAAUGGCAUGUUGUGCAAAUUAUCAUUUUAAUGAGAUAAUUUUCCCACCGUUAGGGGGAGAAGAGCCAAUUCCAGAAGAAUGAUGUGAAAUUAUUUGGAAUGCAUUGACUUUGACUCAUCUUGAUCCUUGUACUAAUCAAUGUGGACUGAAAGUUCAAAAGAUUAUUCUUUUGCAAGGACUUGUAAAUCAACUACCAAAUGCUUUCAUUGAUUCAAAGAAAGUGAUGAAUCGUUGAUGCGACUCAUGGUAGCUUAGCUUUAAAGGCGUAUCAACAAAAUUUAUACCUUAAAUACUAUUACUAAAGUAGCCAAGCUACUAUAGCAUAGUGGUUCUAGGAUCGUUCACUGGGAAGGGUUUUCGCAAACACUAGUGAUAUUCAAAUUAGGAAAAUAGGUGAUUUUCUUAUGGAUGCUAGCUUUAAAAGAAGAUGUAAAUGUUUUAGAAAGAUUUAAAUUAGCUAACAUUAAAGACUAAAAUGAAAGGGUGUAAAAACAAGUUUCUCAAAGAUAGGAUAGCUAUGCUCUGGCUCUUAUGCAAAUUGGAAAUCUCAGGAUAGGCUCCUCGCGUUGGGGUUGCAACUAUGGUGAUGCUUGCUUCCCGAACCGGUAUGGAUUUAACAAAUCAAGUUUUAAUCCUUUAAAAUGGCAAAACAGAUGGUAGAGAAUUUCAUCAAUGGUUAUUCACCUUAGACUUCCUUUCAAUGGCUCGUAAGAGAUAACUAAUGGUCUAAAGCCAAAAGCUUACCGAAACUCAAAGUCAUUCCAGGUGAUAAACUCACCUUUCAAUGGCCAUUGAAAUUGGUUCUAACGGAUUAAUGCAAAACUUGGAAUUGAAAACCUCACCUUCUAAUAGCUCGUAGGAGAUAACUAAUGGAUAGAAAUCCAAAAGCUUAUCAAGUAUUGGCCGUUGGAAGUUGUCCAAAGGAAAUAAAAACCAAACUUUGCAUUAAUGAACCGUUAAUGAAAAACGACUACCUUACCUUCCAGUUGCGAGAAAUUUCCAUGGGAUUGCAUCCAAGCCAUCACAUAACAUCCAUACUUUGAGAAACUAAAAGUUUUAGCCAAUCAUCCUCUGAGGAAAAGCCCUCAGAGGCUGUUUGGCUACUAAGAAAAUAGAAAUGGGAAAGAACAGGAGAAGAGAGAAAAACAGAGCUUUAUAUAUAUUCCUAAGUUAAUGUAUAGAGGAUCGAUCCCCCAAUCAUCCCAUAUCUUUUGGAGGUGUUGUGCACCUCUAUAUAUAGCAAAAUUACAAGAUAAAGCUUUAUGUCGGUUGAAUACAAGGUUACAAAAGGAAUUUACACGAGAAAAUAUCAAGCUAAAAAUAUUUGGGAAGUCGGUGGUGCGUGCGUGGAGAAACAGAGGAUUCAAAGGAAUUUCACAAUGUGCCUAAAUCCACCUUGCGAAAUUUUCGCAAGGGGGUUCUUCAUGGUGCGAAGUGGCCAAAUUUCGCACCAUGAAGAAAAUCUCCUUGCGAAAUUUUCGCAAGGAGAAAUUCACCUUGCGAAAUUGGUCAUUUGACAUGAUGCAGGUGUCUUCCGAAGGCCAUAUCUUCCUCAUUUCAGCUCCAAAUCAUACACGGUUUGAAGCGUUGGAUUCUUGACUUCCUAAGCUUUCAAAUGGUAUAUAGUAUGAAAUGGACUUCAGGAAGUGCUUCAAAAGUGCGAAAGAAGACUGCAGUUGUUUUCUUCACUCUGUUUUCCUCUUCUCCAUUGCUUGUGCUCGUGUUUCCACUUGAAAUUCAAGCCUGUAAUCAUCCAAAAUCCUUGCUUAACUCGCCCAAAUAGCUCCUCCAUCAAUUAGCAUGCUUGAAUUGGUUCAUAAGUUGAUAAAAACAUGUAAACUUGCCACAAAAUGGUUAAAACCAAUUACUAAGGACCUUAAUGAAUUAAUUGGGUUAAAUGAAUAUGAUUACUACUCAAAGGUGCUUAAAACCAUUAUUAUUAGGUCUAAAAAAUAGCACUUUUUGGUAGUAAUCACAAUGGCGUCGUUGCCGGGGAAGGUGCCAGAGAUGAGGAAGUAAGUAUUAGUUUAAAUUUUUAUCAUACUUAGUUAAAUUAGCUACUUUUUGUUUAAAUUUUAAAAUUUUUGCUUUAAACUCCAUGGAUAUUAAGGAUUAACUCUCAAAAUUAAAUGAGAGAAGUCGAGUUUCAACUUGAUUACAUGAGUCUUAGAGUUUGUAUUAUGCUCUUCUAAAAGUUGAUGAAUAGUUGAAACUCCCAUUGCAUGCAAACUUAUCUCUUCCACCUUAAGCUAUUCGCACACACAUACAUUAGAUUCCGGUUAUAAGAUGUGAAACUAUCUCACCCUCUAAGCUUGAGAAAUCAUAAUUUGACACCUUUAACCUCUCUUUAAUAGUGUUGGGACACCUCAUAAAGACCAAUGAGUCUUUGAAAAAAUAGAAAAAAGAAAACGAAAAAGAAAAAGAAAAAGAAAAUAUAAAAUAAACUUCUUUACUUGCCUUGAAACCUGAGCAUGGUCCGAAGGGGUGGCGAAAGCCUUUAAAGCCUGGUGCCCUAAGCCUUUAUUGGUUGGGAGUCACCGAUCCUCUGCUUGUUACAUGGGUGAAUUGGUUAAGUUUAGUAAGUGAAAAGAAUUGUGAAUAAGAGGUGCGUUCCUAGCCUAUCAAGAGAUGGUUAAUUUUGCUAAAGCUUAAAGAAAGACUUAGGUUGGGGGGAGAUGAUAGUUAUCCAUACUAUACUCGAAAGCUAAUCACAUUAACACUUAGCUUUUAGUGGAAGAAUUUGAUUUGGAUCUUUUGAGAGUGGAAAUUCUUUUUAUGCUUAAAACUUGCAUAAUAUCCAUUCUUUGUACUCUAUGAUCAAGUGAAUGCUUUGACAACUCUUAUUAUAGGUUGAGUUUCACAUCUUUAUUGAUCCAUGGAUGUCCAUCAUGCCACUCAUAUCAUUUUUUGGAGUGAUUUGCAUGAUCCCUUUUAUGUAUAUUAUUAUAGUUUACUUAGUUUUUAUCUCCUCCAUUGCUAAGGGACUAGCAAUGAGUCGGUUGGGGGGUGUGAUUACUACUCAAAGGUGCUUAAAACCAUUAUUAUUAGGUCUACAAAAAGGGUGUAAAAACAAGUUUCUCAAAGAUAGGAUAGCUAUGCUCUGGCUCUUAUGCAAAUUGGAAAUCUCAGGAUAGGCUCCUCGCGUUGGGGUUGCAACUAUGGUGAUGCUUGCUUCCCGAACCGGUAUGGAUUUAGCAAAUCAAGUUUUAAUCCUUUAAAAUGGCAAAACAGAUGGUAGUGAAUUUCAUCAAUGGUUAUUCACCUUAGACUUCCUUUGAAUGGCUCGUAAGAGAUAACUAAUGGUCUAAAGCCAAAAGCUUACCAAAUAUUGGCAACUCAAAGUCAUUCUAGGUGAUAAACUCACCUUUCAAUGGCCAUUGAAAUUGGUUCUAACGGAUUAAUGCAAAACUUGGAAUUGAAAACCUCACCUUCCAAUAGCUCGUAGGAGAUAACUAAUGGAUAGAAAUCCAAAAGCUUAUCAAGUAUUGGCCGUUGGAAGUUGUCCAAAGGAAAUAAAAACCAAACUUUGCAUUAAUGAACCAUUAAUGAAAAACGACUACCUUACCUUCCAGCUGCGAGAAAUUUCCAUGGGAUUGCAUCCAAGCCAUCACAUAACAUCCAUACUUUGAGAAACUAAAAGUUUUAGCCAAUCAUCCUCUGAGGAAAAGCCCUCAGAGGCUGUUUGGCUACUAAGAAAAUAGAAAUGGGGAAGAACAGGAGAAGAGAGAAAAACAAAGCUUUAUAUAUAUUCCUAAGUUAAUGUAUAGAGGAUCGAUCCCCCAAUCAUCCCAUAUCUUUUGGAGGUGUUGUGCACCUCUAUAUAUAGCAAAAUUACAAGAUAAAGCUUUAUGUCGGCUGAAUACAAGGUUACAAAAGGAAUUUACACGAGAAAAUAUCAAGCUAAAAAUAUUUGGGAAGUCUGGUGCGUGCGUGGAGAAACAGAGGAUUCAAAGGAAUUUUGCAAUGUGCCUAAAUCCACCUUGCAAAAUUUUCGCAAGGGGGUUCUUCAUGGUGCGAAGUGGCCAAAUUUCGCACCAUGAAGAAAAUCUCCUUGCGAAAUUGGUCAUUUGACAUGAUGCAGUUGUCUUCCAAAGGUCAUAUCUUCCUCAUUUCAGCUCCAAAUCAUACACGGUUUGAAGCGUUGGAUUCUUGACUUCCUAAGCUUUCAAAUGGUAUAUAGUAUGCAAAAAAUGGACUUCAGAAAGUGCUUCAAAAUUGCGAAAGAAGACUGCAGCUGUUUUCUUCACUCUGUUUUCCUCUUCUCCAUUGCUUGUGCUCGUGUUUCCACUUGAAAUUCAAGCCUGUAAUCAUCCAAAAUCCUUGCUUAACUCGCCCAAAUAGCUCUUCCAUCAAUUGGCAUGCUUGAAUUGGUUCAUAAGUUGAUAAAAACAUGUAAACUUGCCACAAAAUGGUUAAAACCAAUUACUAAGGACCUUAAUGAAUUAAUUGGGUUAAAUGAAUAUGAUUACUACUCAAAGGUGCUUAAAACCAUUAUUAUUAGGUCUACAAAAUAGCACUUUUUGGUAGUAAUCAAUCGUUUUCAUUAAUCAAGAAUAUUCUAGUAUGAAUUGAUCUUCUUGAAGGACAAUUAAAUAAUGAGUCUAAGGCAUGCUUGAAGUGUGGUAGACCCUAAAGAGGCAAACACAUUCCCUAGAAGAGGAAAACACAAUGAAAGAUAUAUGAAAUGUGACACUCUUGAAGAAGUUGCAUAUAAAAUGAGUUAUUGAAAUGACUGAUCAAUCUCAAGUAGCGCCAGAAGAGGCAUAUUUUAUACAGUUAGCUCUUAAAGAGGUACAAGUACCUGAUAAUGAUGAGAUCUCAAUUAUUUACUUACAUAUGGAAAAAAAUGGGAUUGAAAUACUCUUGUUAUUGACAUAAUAAGAAAUGAUAAUGACCAUGAAUCAUAGAGUGUGGAAGAAUGCCAACAUAGAAAACAUUAGCCAAAAUGGAAAGAAUAUAUCUCAAAAAAAUUAGACUCAUUAGAAAAAUGAGAAGUAUUUGGGCAUGUAGUCCAGAUGCCUAAAUUUGUUAAGAUUGUUGGAUAUAAAUGAGUAUUUAUAAGAAAAUGCAAUGAGAGAAAUGAAAUCACGAGAUAUAAAGCGUAUGUGACUCAUAACUCAAGGUUUCUUAUAGAGACCGGUAUUGAUUGCAAGGAAACAUAUUCUCCUAUGAUGUUCACAACCACUUUUAGAUAUCUAAUUUGUUUAACAACCUCAGAAGGACUAGAUAUGCAUCUCAUGGAUGUCCUUAGUGCAUGUUUAUACGGAUUUUUAGAUAAUGACAUAUAUAUGACGUUAAUGCAUGUCCCUGAAGGAUUUCAAAUGCUUGAAGCAACUAAUUCAAAACAUUGUAACAUAUACUCAAUUAAGCUACAAAGAUCCUUGUAUCAAUUAAGCAAUCCAAAGGCAUAUGUCCUUAGAGAAUAUUUGAAAUGAUAAGUAUAUGUGCAUUACCUUAUUUGCUUAUGCUUAUUCAUUAUGCGGAAUAUUUGCAAUUGUUAUAGUAUAUGUGAAAUAUUUGAAUUUUGUUGAAACUCUUGAAGAGCUUACAAGAAUAGUUGACUAUUUGAAAAGUAAAUUUGAAAUGAAAAAUCAUGGAAAAUAAAAUUUUUUCCUUGACCUGCAGAUCAAGAACUUUUCAAACGAAAUAUUAGUUUAUUAGUCAACAUAUACAAUGAAAGUCUUGAAUCACUUUCAUAUAGGUAAAUUACAUCCAUUAAGUUUUCUAAUGAUAAUUUGUUCACUUAAAGUGAAAAAAAAAUCAUUUCCCUCUUAAAGAAGAUAAUAAAAAACUACUUGGUCCGGAGUACCAUAUUAUAGUGUUAUUGGUGCACUGAUGUAUCUUGCAAAUUAUACACGACUAGAUAUUGCAUUCCUUGUUAACUUGCUUGCAAGAUAUCGCUCUACACUAACUUAGAGACAUUGGAAUAGAGUUAAACAUGUAUUAUAAUGGCAUAAAUCUAUUUUAUUUGGAAGGAUCAAAAUCUCAAUUGUUUAAAUAUGUAGAUGCUAACUAUCUUUGAAACUCCCACAAAGCUCGAUCUCAAAUGAGGUAUAUAUUUACUUAUGAUGGUAUGACAAUAUCAUGAAGAUCAAUCAAACAAAUAAUGGAAACAUGUGGACUGCCCUCCAUUAGAGGUAAUGCUACCAAUUUAUAAGAAGAUAAUGUUGCAUGCAUUGCACAAAUUAAAGAAGGACGCAUUAAGUGUGAUAAAAUUAAGCAUAUAUCACCCAAGUUCUUUUACAUUUAUCAACUCUAGAAAAGUGAUGAAAUUGUUGUUCAAUGAGUAAGAUCAAGUGACAAUUUAGCAUAUCUAUUCACAAAGGUAUUGUCAAUUGCAAUACUCAAGAAGCUCAUUAGAAUAUGUUGACUAAAAAAUCUCCAUGAUAAACUACUAAAAAAAUUAUAAUCAUAUGAACAUGAAAGAGAGCUAACUAAUAAAAUUAUCACUACACAGUACUCUUUUUCCAUUUGUCCAAGUUUUGUUCCAUUGAGUUUUAUUGGCAAGAUUUUUAAUGAGACAAUUGUAGUAGUCCAAAAGAAUAUUUUACUCUUUUUUCUUCAAUAGGGUUUUUCCUACUAAGGUUUUAAUGAACCCUUUUUUUAUAAUCAUUCAAGGGGGAGUGCUAUAAAAUAUGAGAUUUUAUAGCAUUAUGGUACCUUGUGGAUGAUCAUUCGUAAUAAUAUAUAUUUCUUUGUGACUCUAUAUAAAAGGGGAGACCUCUAAUGAAAAUUCAUUCAUUUUUUUUCUACUAUACUUUUCUUUGAGGAUUUCUGUUUAUUAUCUCUCUUCUUUUUUUCUCAUUGUUUUAUUUUACAAUAUAUAUAUAUAAUUAAAAAAUUUUAUGGUAAAAAAUAAUUCACAAAAAUUUCAUGUAUUUAAAACAAGAAUAUCAAAUUUUCACAAGCCCCAAUUACCUUCUAAAAGUGAAUAAUCUUUACUUAAUUCCUUGGCUUGGUUUUCCAAUGCAGUAGUAAUUAUUAAUAAAAAAAUGAUAUUUUAAAAUUUAUAUUUAAAAAGCAAAAAAGACACUGAUACAAAGCAAUAUGAUACAAAUUAAUAUUAAAUAUGAAAAAUUAAUAAUUAAAAUUAAUUUUGAAAGAUUAAAUUAUUGAUAUUCUAUAAAUGAUUAUUAUUAAAGAAUGAGGAUUGAGUGGAUCAUUAAAUAGAGGAUGAUUUAUAAUUGAUUCAAUCAAUGAAUUGAGGCAUUGAGACGCUAUGAAGAUGCCAUGGAAGAUUACAAAUGGGAAGGAUGCUGGACCAUGGGUGUGUGGUUAGAAAUUUUUAAUUAAGAAGUUCAAAAUUUUUUAACUUGCCUUUGUUUUUUUGAGAAGGAACACUAAAUUGGGGCUAUUAACUUAACUACAUAAUAAUACGUCCGUUGUAUCAUUGUAUGAUUGGAGAAGGAGUUUCACACCAUUCUAACCACCACUUACUUUCUAAAAAGUCGUUAUUUCCUUACUGUUAGCAAUUUUUAUUUUAAAAAGGUGGCCCAAAAUGAGUCGUAGUAUUUUCUAAACCCUGCCAGCUUAAAGGAGUAUGAACACCCUACGCUUAUGCCAAAGGCCAAAGUCCUCUGUUAUUUUGACCACCAGUUCUCCUCCAAUUCACAUAUGGCCUGCCUGUUCUCCAGUUCAGGGGGUUUAUCACCAGUCUCUGUCAAGUGGGUUCAUGUAUAAACAUGGUAGCUUUGAGAGAGAAAACUCAUGAAAGGAUAGCCGAAAAGUAUGCUGAGGUUGUAUAACCAAAAAGUAAUGUUACAUAUGUUUCUAAAGAAGCCACAACUUAGCAAAUACAGCGCCUUCUUUUUUCCAAAUGAUAAUAGUAUAUUUUCAGUCCAAAGAAAAUGUGCACUUUGUGCCCUUUGUUUUCUUAAUCCAGCUUUAACUUUCUUAAAUAAUCAUAAUGAAUUAAGCUAAUUUAAGAUACUCCGGUGUUAAGGGCCUGAAGACGUGAGCAGCCUCCGUCUCAAUCAACUCUAUUUGGCCUUUCAAGAGAUGUACGUACACCACCCAGUCACCAUCUCUCACCGGGCUUGGCAUCGGCAUCACAUACCCAGCUUCCCCACCCCAUGGAAAAUGGUAUGACCCCAGAGCCGGCCUUCCCCACCCGAAAUUCACCUUUGAUACUGGGAAUCUCUGUCCUGAUGACACCACGAAUGCCGGUCCAUCAUUGCUUCCACUGCAAUAUAUCUUUGCUACAGCUGGCUCUGGACGGUGAGCCUCCACCCAGUCUAUGAGCCCCAAGAAAUGCUCCCUCGUCACUGCCCCUUCCAGAUACUCAUGAACGGCAUCUCCCACCCAACUCAAUGGUUUCUCUUUCAGCUCAUCUAUUAUCUUCUCGCCAAAGGGAACGGACAGCACAUUACCAAAGUAAUUGGCCAUCGCAGCAGCUUUAUCCUCAUCCCCACUGCUUAAUCGCCUUCUUCCAUCUACCACGAUCCCCAUCUUGCAUAUCUUUUUGUUAUCAUCGUCCAAGUCUGCACUUUUGGCAACCAUCUUCCACAAGAAAGCACUGAGAGACUCUAGUUUAGUCCUCUUGCAGGAGCUACUCUUGCUGGUGGCUAGCAUUUGGAGUAGACUGAGCUGUUCGGCCGUGACAUAGUAAAGCCUGCUCAUAAGAGGAUCAGCACUGGGCUGUGGAGCUUUGGAAGGAGGUAAGGCUGAGAUGGGGACGUACAUGUUGUCAAAGGAUGGAUCGUAGGAGCCUGGACGUCGAGUGUUGAGGAGAGAGCGCCGGAAGGCUGGUGUUACAGAUAGUGGCUUGGACUGAGCCAUCUCAGCCCACGAAACUAGGAACAUAUUGGCAGAAUAUGCAUCUGCUAUCCGAUGAUCAAAUGUACAGGCCACCACAACCCCACUACAUUUGAGCUCCGUCACCUGUCAUUGUCUCAAUGUUAGUUAAUUUGUCACAAUUAGCCUAUUAGAAUUACAAUUAAUUAGGAUUAACACAUGCAGAGAGAGAGAGAGUGAGAGAUAACUACCUGUACUGAGAGGACGCCAUUCUCCUUCUUAGGGACAAGCUUGCCUUCAAUGCUGACAUCAGGGUUAUACAAGUUGAGGUUUUCCAGUCGUACAUCCGCAUGAGCCUCCAUGAAAUCUACCCCACGGUUGUUGCAUAGAAGCUCAGGCUCACCCGCUGAGUUACUCACAACUUCCCCAGAAAAUGCGUAAUAGGACACCAGUGCUUGGGACAUGGCUAUUUUCAGAGCCCCAACCAUGGACCCAAAACUGAAGCCAUGACGUCCAUUAACACUCUGAUCAUGUGGAUUCUUAUAACAGAAAAACACACUCACAUCUACUGGAGGCAAAAGCAAGUCGAGGUUGGACAGUGGCAGCCAAUGCUCCUGCAUCGGUAGCAUUGCUUCCACUACUUCUUUCUUGGUCAGAGUCACAGUGAAGUCUCCUCCACCACCCGUGAUUUCUAGAUAUGAAUUGUAUUUGUGUAUAUGUGUGAGUAGGAAACAGAGAUGGAGGGAGAAAAGGAAGAAUAGUGAAUGACUGUUUGUAGAGGAGAUGAGUAGUGGAUUUAUAGGCAAUGUUUCGUUAAUCUGUGAAACAGAGAUGGAGGGAGAAAAGGAAGAAUAGGGCAUUCUUUCUAGGAAACAACAAGAAAAGAAGUAAACGAGUGGUCCACUAGAGUCAACAUUAUCACAACGUGAAACAUGUGGCUUCCCACUCUUGGAAAGAAUAAGCAGGCAAUGCUCCUGCAUCGGUAGCAUUGCUUCCACUACUUCUUUCUUGGUCAGAGUCACAGUGAAGUCUCCUCCACCACCCAUGAUUUCUAGAUAUGAAUUGUAUUUGUGUAUAUGUGAGUAGGAAACAGAGAUGGAGGGAGAAAAGGAAGAAUAGGGAAUGGCUGUUUGUAGAGGAGAUGAGUAGUGGAUUUAUAGGCAAUGUUUCGUUAAUCUAUGUAACAGAGAUGGAGGGAGAAAAGGAAGAAUAGGGCAUUCUUUCUAGGAAACAACAAGAAAAGAAGUAAACGAGUGGUCCACUAGAGUCAACAUUAUCACAACGUGAAACAUGUGGCUUCCCACAAUAGUUAAGAAUCCUCAGGCCAUAACUUCAAACAUAGUGUUCUCAGCUAAACCACAAUAGUUUUCUUUGAAAACAAGUCUCACCUAAAUCCGUUAAUUGUAUUAAGACUCUCAAACCACCCUCUUAAUUAUAUGAAAAUCCAUCCAAAACCCUGGGCAAGGAACAAAGAUUUGACACUCAUUGCACUCAAACAUCUCAAAAAAUCUCCAUGGAAUCUAAGUCACCACUCAUGUNNNNNNNNNNNNNNNNNNNNNNNNNNNNNNNNNNNNNNNNNNNNNNNNNNNNNNNNNNNNNNNNNNNNNNNNNNNNNNNNNNNNNNNNNNNNNNNNNNNNUAGGAAACAGAGAUGGAGGGAGAAAAGGAAGAAUAGGGAAUGGCUGUUUGUAGAGGAGAUGAGUAGUGGAUUUAUAGGCAAUGUUUCGUUAAUCUAUGUAACAGAGAUGGAGGGAGAAAAGGAAGAAUAGGGCAUUCUUUCUAGGAAACAACAAGAAAAGAAGUAAACGAGUGGUCCACUAGAGUCAACAUUAUCACAACGUGAAACAUGUGGCUUCCCACUCUUGGAAAGAAUAAGCAGGCAAUGCUCCUGCAUCGGUAGCAUUGCUUCCACUACUUCUUUCUUGGUCAGAGUCACAGUGACGUCUCCUCCACCACCCAUGAUUUCUAGAUAUGAAUUGUAUUUGUGUAUAUGUCUGAGUAGGGAACAGAGAUGAAGUGAGAAAAUGAAGAAUAGGGAAUGACUGUUUGUAGAGGAGAUGAGUAGUGGAUUUAUAGGCAAUGUUUCGUUAAUCUAUGUAACAGAGAUGGAGGGAGAAAAGGAAGAAUAGGGCAUUCUUUCUAGGAAACAACAAGAAAAGAAGUAAACAAGUGGUCCACUAGAGUCAACAUUAUCACAACGUGAAACAUGUGGCUUCCCACUCUUGGAAAGAAUAAGCAGGCAAUGCUCCUGCAUCGGUAGCAUUGCUUCGACUACUUCUUUCUUGGUCAGAGUCACAGUGAAGUCUACUCCACCACCCAUGAUUUCUAGAUAUGAAUUGUAUUUGUGUAUAUGUGUGAGUAGGAAACAGAGAUGGAGGGAGAAUAGGGAAUGGCUGUUUGUAGAGGAGAUGAGUAGUGGAUUUAUAGGCAAUGUUUCGUUAAUCUAUGUAACAGAGAUGGAGGGAGAAAAGGAAGAAUAGGGCAUUCUUUCUAGGAAACAACAAGAAAAGAAGUAAACGAGUGGUCCACUAGAGUCAACUGAAAAGGUGAAUCUCAAUAAUGGACUAAACCACAAUAGUUUAGUCCUCUGACCAUAACUUCAAACAUAGUGUUCUCAGCUAAACCACAAUAGUUUUCUUUGAAAACAAGUCUCACCUAAAUCCGUUAAUUGUAUUAAGACUCUCAAACCACCCUCUUAAUUAUAUGAAAAUCCAUCCAAAACCCUUUGCAAGGAACAAAGAUUUGACACUCAUUGCACUCAAACAUCUCAAAAAAUCUCCAUGGAAUCUAAGUCACCACUCAUGUUAUAGGCAUUACGUUGGGUUCAAUCUUCUCAAUCCAACUUGACCAGACUAACAAGUUAGGGAGUACUAUACAUAGCUCAAAUAAAUAGAUUUUAGGGCUAUAAAUGGACAAUUACUAUAAGGCUCAAAUGGAUAAUAUGUAGGACUGUGUAACAACAACAAGGUAGGUGGUAUUGUACUAAAUAGGCCAAAAUACUGAAACAACAAUUUAGAAUCAUAAUAGGUAGAUAGGUUAUAGGGCUACAAAGUCAAGGAAGAAUCAUGAUAGAUGGGUAAAACUUUACUUUUUUAUCAUGAGACAAUGAAGUCAUAGUCGUGAGCUAUAUAAGUUGUUCCUUUGAUCCUAGGUCGAUGAGUUCAAUUGUUUCCCUGAUGAUAAGUCUAAUUGGAUGGUAGAUGAUAACAUUAACAACUUGAUGCUUUGAAAUUACUAACCGUUUUCUAUAAAAAAAAAAAAAAAAAAAACCCUAAAACUGUUGUGAAUUUAUAUUGUUACUUCAUUUAGCUUCCAAGGUUGAUUUAUGACAUUAAACAUACUAGAGAUAUAGCAUGUGAUAAUUCACAACUACUAGUUUAGUAAAAAAAAGUUCAAAAAAAAAAAAAAUCUAAAUUAGGUCUUAUUAUAAUGAAUCAUAAUGUGAAAAUAAUAUUUGUAUUGUAAGUGUAGUGAAUCUAUGUCAUACUUAAAUUUUUUUAGGAAAAAAAUAGUCUUAGAAAUGUCUAUUUAUACAUCUAGUCCUUUGUAUUAACACAUUAAUCCUGUGCAUUAACACAUGAAUUCUAUUAUUAUAAGAAAUGCAUGAUAGUCAUCUAUUGCUAUAAAAAGUAUUUGUUGUACAUAAGGCAUGCUAGAGAGUAUAACAAGAUAACCCACGACUAUUAAUUCAUAAAAAAGUUAGAAAUUUUCUAAAUUAAGUUAUAUCUUAAUAUAUCAUAAUGUUAGUAUAUUUAUUUUAAGUAUAGUGCAUUUGUAUUGUACCAAUAUUUUUAGAGAUGUUUAUUAACAUCAUAUUGGCAUUUGGUAUUAACACAAUAUAUCAGUAAGUUAGCGUUGUCCUCUCAAUGCUUUUGAAAUUGUUUAAUGAUUUAUAUUGUAAGUGUAGUAAAUUUGCAUUUGAGAAAAUAAAGGCUAUGCUUAGUUAAGAAAAACACCCAAAAGAAGGGGGGGGGGGGGUGAAUUGGGUUUUUAAAAUCUUUUCAAUCACAAAAAAUUCAAACACAAUAUAAGCAAAGUAAAGAGAGAGUUUAGAGAAUUCAAACUCGGGUUUAUAGUGGUUCGGCACUUCCUUGCCUACGUCCACUCUCCUCAACCUCCUAACCGAGUGAGGGUUCCACUAACUUGAAGCUUCAACCAAGCUUCCAAUCUUCUUACACUUAGAUUCUGGCUCCAAUGUGCUCUUAUACAACCUCUUCAAGAUUCAACCCUCUUGAAGGUUUUAACACUCAGAUUGUUACAAGAUAUAAUCACUCAACCUAGCUUAAGGAUGGCUCAAAUACAAGACAAAGCUAGGAUGACACACAAGAGUGCACUAAAGGAUAUGCAAGUAGUGAUUUAAUGCACUAUGAAGGAAAUGAGAGCUUUUUGAUCAAGAACAGGUAGGUAGGCUAUUGAAUACAAGUGUUCUCUUGUCAAUAAAUGAAGUGGAGCUCUCAAUUUAUAGGGUUCUAAGCUCGGGAGUCAAAAACAGCAAAAGGUAACCUCGUCCGGUCGAGCUAGGGGUCGACUAGUUCACUAGCCGUUGGAGCAUUUAAUGCAUGACAGGUUACCGUUGCCUCAACCAGACCUCGACCGGUAAGAGAAACACCUCAACUAGGAAAAGAAGGCUACUGGGAGAGAGAAAAGGUUUUUGACCUUCCUCGAUGGGACGACCACAACCAGUCGACCGGUUCCUCAAUCGGUUGAGCCGGUUGGGCCUAGCCUCAACCGGUUAAACCUUUUUGGACCCAAAAACCUAUUUUUUGAUUCCUUUCUUUUCUAACACUUAGGCAAGGACUUUAGGUAAAUUAUUAAGCCAAUUUUGAAACAUUUUGCCUAAGGUACAUUAGUUAAAAACUCGGGUUUUAAUGAAAUCGACGUUUUAAAGAAUAAACCGAGUUUUCAAAGAUGCAUGAAACGUGUGAAAAUCCUAAGUGCACUCAUGCAUUCAUCUUACAUUAGUUUCCUAUUAUCACAAGUCUUCUAAGCAUCUCAAUCUUUUAUCCAUUUGGUCCUUUGAUGAAGUUUCAAGUUUAUACCUGAGAUUCUUAAACAUUUAAACCAGUUAGUCACUUAACCAGGGUUUGUUAUCAUCAAAACCCGAUUAGGAGAACCCUUGGGAUAACAACAUUGUACCUAUAUUUUAUGCUAAAAGUAAUAGCUUUAGCGAUGCCUAUUAAGCUUUUGAAAUUGUUUAAUGAUUUUUAUAAAAAAAUCCUUCAAACUUUGUGAAUUGAAAUUAAUAUUUUAUUUGGUUUUUAAGGUUGGUUUAUGACAAAAGGCAUGCUAUGAUAUAUAUGACAAUCACAUAAACCAUUAGUCUUGUCAAACAAUUCCAAAUUUUUGGUAUUAGGUGUUAUUGUAAUAUAUUGUAAUGUUAGUAUAUUUAUGUUGUAAAUUUAUGUAGUACAAUUGUGUCAUUCUUAUAAUUUAAACAAAACUAAUUGUCAAAGAUGCCUUUUGCCAACACAUUAUAUCAAUGUAUUAGCAUUGUCCACUUGAUGUAUCAAAAUAUGAAAAAUAGGGGAAAAAAAAAUCAAUGUCAAGCAAAAUACAUGUCAUACAAAUGAAAAAAAAAUCAAAUAUGAAAAUAAAAAAUUAUACAAAUUUUGAAUUAUUUCAUUAUAAAAAAAUAAUUAUUUGAAAAUACAUUUUCCUUAAAUUGUUGUUUUUUUUUCUUUUUUUUCUUUUUGUUUUCCUUUAUUUUUCAAAAACUAAGAUUGUUGUAAAAAAAAAAAAAAAAAACCUGAUUUCCAAUCUCUAAAAUAAAAACCAAACCCAAGAUCAUUGGAUGUGUUUAUUUAAAAUACACCAACACCACAUUCCUUACAAUAGAAAAACAUUUUUAUUUAAAUUUCAAACAACACAUCCAAAAAAAAAAAAAAAAAGGAAAAAUAUGAACAAAAUAACCCUAUUCUAACUUUGUUGGGUUUAUUCAAGCAUAAGCAAAGGGCUUUAGUCAUGUUCAAUAAAUCCAACAAGAAAUCAAUUUAUCUAAUGCUUCAAUCACCAUGGAUGUGUGAGGAAGACUCCUCACUUACCUCUAAGUUUCAAAUGAGAUGAUAAUAAUUUAUCUAAUGCUUCAAGAAAAGUAUCAUAAGAUCGGAACAAUAUGAAAUUGUUUUAAUGCAAACUUAGAUGAAGGGUUUCAAUAAUGUUUUAUUAGCUUCCAUAUCACCAAUAUAUAUUUUUAUGAAGCUUUUUAACACUUUGGACCAUUAUUUUCUUCAUGGCCUAUAGAGUAAUUUUUGCAAUUUUUUCUUAUCCUCCACAACUUAUCAAAAUGAGUGACCCUUCCCUUAGUAUCACCUCCUAUUGGCCCUAUUUGAUAUUUUUUUUCAAUGAUUAAUAUUCCACUAUGAAUAGGCUGUAGGAACUGAUAGUGACCUACCUCUAUGUAUGAUUAAAGUUUAAAUGUUCAAAGGAGAGCCCCGACACAUGCACAACAUGGAUCUCAAUCCACCACCAUAAAAGUGGGUAAGCCAACAUAAUGUACUAAAGGGGUUGCUGCCACCUUAAUGCCAUAUGCUUGGUUUAUUGGUUCCAAAUCAUCAUAGGUGGCCUUCAAGAGGACAAGUACCCACACAAGGGAAAAAACAACCGUAAGUAUGCUCAACUUCUUGUAUUGACCUGCUUCCAACUAUGUAGAUAUUAUUUGCUUUGAACCUAAGGGGUCCUCACCUCUUUAAAAUGUGUUUACAUGGUUAAAAAGAGUCCAUACUUAUAUAACACUAGGAACUUCCUCCCAUAUUUGAUGUGAGAUAUCAGUCACCCCCUACGUCCUUAUAGUGCCCUAUGAGAUUGUAGAGCCAAAUAGACAAACACUCCUCGCCAAACAAACUCCCAGACUGGGGUUAGGAAUCAACUCUGAUGCUAUUUUAACUAAUCACUCCAAAUUGUGUAGAUAUUAUCUGCUCUGAGCCCAAAGGACCCUCAUGGCUUUAAAACACAUAUACUUAGUUAAGAAGAGUUCAUACUUACAUAGUUCGAAGAACUUUUUUCCUUGUCUGAUGUGGGGCAUCACAAUAACUAACCCCCCAUACAAACAUAACGUUCUUAUUAUGUCCCAUGGGAUUAUAGGGCCAAAUAGACAAACAAAACUCAAGGGGUUAAACAAAGCUCUCACAUCUGGGUCAAGGAUCAACUUUGAUACCAUUUGUAACAAUCUGUUCACAACCGUAUAGAUAUUAUCCACUUUGGACCCAAAGGGUCUCAUGACUUUAAAACGUAUCUAUGUUUUGAUUUGGGAAUAUCAUAUGAUUUGUUUGAUUGUUACGAAAGGCAAUUUUACUUUUCUUAAUUAAUUAAAUGAUUUUGGAAACUCUAGAUAUCAAUGGCCCUAAUUAAUAGAGGCUAAGUUGUUGACCUUCAUUGCCCUUGGUAGGGAGAGUGAUACAGUGCAAUCCUGGCCAAUAAUGGUGUUAUUAGCCUUUGGUAUACCAUUGAUUGGAAAUUGAUAUGUCCACUAGUAAAAGGAACAUUUUAAGGUUAACCACCUAGUGCAAGUCCCAAUAUUUAGUCAUAGUAUUAGUGGACCAAAGUAAAAUGUUUGUUUGUGAAAUUCUUUUGAAUAUGAAUUGAUUAUGUGUAGACCCCUCUUUUAGAUCGGAGAGUAAAGAUAUUCUCUAUGGAGAGGAAUGAUAGACCAACAAUUGGACGGAUAUUCUACAAAAGGUGGUUUUUCUCUUUUUGGGUUGGUUAGGGAGAGAGAAAAGGUAAGCCAUAAAGAGGGUGACAUGUGGAAAGGGGAUUUUCCAGGCCAUUAGGGCUUAGGAAGAGAGAAAUGUUUUUGGGAAGUUUCAUAGAGAGAGAAGGAAGGACUGUAGGUGAGGAGAGUAGCUUGAGGAGAAAGAAAAAGGAUUUUAGGGAGAACUAUGAAUGAGGGUUGGAGAUGAGAGAGAGAGAAAAAAAAAGAGGAGUUGAGUAUGGUAGAUGUGUUUUAUGAGAUUCAGGGGUUUGAGUGAGAGAUGGGAAUAGGGAAGAGAGAAGGUGAGCCUACUAUUUUUGUUGGGUUUUAGAGAGUGAGUUAGAGUGGUGGAUUUGGAGCUGAGCAGUAGAGAGAGAAAAGAGAGCUGAUGGAUUGGAGCAAAAGGUAGAGAGAGAUGGCUUGAACAGGGAACUGCAGAGGAUGGUGAGCUGGGCAAUGUCCUUAGCAAGAAGAGGUCGAAGGAGAGAGUAAAGAAGGGGGGGGGGAUUCAUUAGCUUGCAUGCUCUGGGAGGUAAGUUCUUCAUUGUAAAAUAUCUGCUCCUUUAUGCAUUUCUUUCAUUUGCAAUUGUUAAGGCUUGUUGGAUACUUUGACAUGGCCAUCAAAGGCCUAUAUGCUUGCUAUUAAUUUUAGGUAUGGGUGUCAUGUUAUGCAUUUGAUCAUUUUAUUGAUCUUUAGACUGUUUGGGUCGAGCUAUAGGGUGUUCAUGUUUCAUUUUCAUUUGGAUUUGUUGAGAUUGAUUAAAGCUUUGUUCUAGUUUUACAAUAAGAUGCUUGCAACCAUGUUUUCAUUUAUCUAUUCAUUCAUCCAACUAUUUAUAUUUAAAGUCCAUUUUGGUCUUUCCCACCAGUUAUCUAGCUCAUUGAUGACCCAUGAAAAGGGGCUUCAUUUGGUGUUUUCUUUAUUUGUUUUUUUGCUUUGUUUCCAUGGUUUCCUUCCUACUUUUGUCUUCCCCUAUUAUUGGUAAUUUUUAUGGCAUGCAUGAAUAUGUGCCUCAACGAUUGAUGAUGUCGGAGUGACUUCUGGGUGGAUUUGGGAUUCUGAUUUGUUAUAUGAGACUAGUGAUUAAAAUAUCGGGAUAUUUCGCCGAAAUAUCAGUGUGUUGGUACAUAUGGAUAUGAUAUUUUCAACCGAAAUAUCGUUGGUCAACGUAGAGUGUUGACUAAGUCAAAGCAGCUAAAAAAUGAGAGAAUUUUGCUGUUCCCAGGACUCGAUCCCUCAACCAAAAGGUUGGGGCCAACAUCCAUCAACCAUUAGGGCAAAUUUGCCCUUUGUUAAUUACCAUGCACCACACACACACACACACACACACAUAUAUAUAUUAAAAGUGUUCAUAUACACAAAAUAUUAAAACAAUCCUUUAAACAAUGAAUUAAUUAUAAUUAUUUUAUAAGUAAAUAUUUUUUUUUUCAUUUAAUUAAGUAGCAAAAAGUUUUUUAUAUCAUUAAUAUAUUAAUUAAAUAUUAAAAAUUAUACAUUUAUUAUCAUUUAAUACAAUUAAAUUAAAUAUAUCAUAAUUUUAAUAUUAAAUAUAUUUUAAAAUUAAACAUAUUAUAAUCAAAUAUCAUAAUAUUAUUAUUGAAUAAUAUUUGAUGUAAUUUAAUAAUCAAUGUAGACUUAUAUAUAUAUAUAUAUAUAUUCAACAAAACAACUUUAAAAUGACUAUUAUACUUCUAAUUUCAUUUAUAAGAGCUUUGUUUUAUAUUUUCAUAAGUUUUGAUCAAUUUUAGGCUAAUCGAUAUUUUGUGUCAAAUAUCCGUCGAUAUAUCCAUAAAAUCGAACUACCGAUAUAUUUGUGAUUACCGAUAUUUUUAUUCUUGUCUGAGACUUCACCUUUUGAAACAAGGAGAUUGUUGAAUGCUCUCCCUUAGUUUAAUGGUUCUUGUGAAAUUCGUGAUUCUGUAUCAAAUAAAUGGGUGGAAAUAUAGUCAAUGCUAUAGAUGGAGGGCAUGAAAUGAGUGGUCAUAUUUUUUUUAUUUUUUUUUUGUCGGCCAAAGCUGAGAUUGAUUCAUUUCAUUGUGGGAUUGAGCUCCAUAAAACGGGGUCCAAAAGGAGAUUGUAUAGAUAUCUCUCAGAUGGGAUUCACGAAGGUCAAGGCUCAUGGAAUAUAAAAUACCUGUGUUUAUGUCAUCAAGAAGCACAAUGCAAGCUUCUGAUUGAAGUUCACAAAUUAGAGAAGCUAUGUCACGACCCAAAUUCCAAGCAACCCAGAAUUUGGCCCAUGACCCCAGGUUAAAGGUUUGACCCUAAGGGUUCCUCCUAAUCUAUGUUGGCAGUCAACCAAAAUACUCUGAUUUUUUUUUUCUACACAUAAAUAACACUAGAGCUCCCUCCAACUAACAAUCCAAUUUAUCAAUAUACCAACCACUACUUAAGAGCAACAAGAUAUAAUAAUUAUCAUUAAAGUUUAGAAAUAGGAGUUCACAGUUGAGCCAAUUAAUUAGAAUAAAGUCUCUAUAUAUAUAGUUUCAAAGUUUGCUAAUAUAAAUUCCAAAAUAAACCAACAUAACAAAUACACUACAAUCUACUAUGUUGCUCCAAAAUCUCCUAAGGCAUCUUGAAGCCCUCCCUGCCCCAUCUGUGGAUCCUUAGGUGUCACAUUUGCAUCUAAAAAAAUAUAAGAAGAAAGGGGUGAGCAUUCCAUAUUGCUCAGUAGGGUGCCUUACACCCAAAGGGUUGAUUGGGAUUAUUAAGUUUCAAGUGAACACAAAAGAAACAUUCCAUUAGCAUUAAUCAACAAACAUAUUUUAAUUUUAUGAUUAUAACAAUUUAAUAAUUUUCCACAAUUAAAUAAAAUACAUGUGGAUAUGUGACACACAAUCAUACAAUGCACCGUCAUUCUCGGGGUCCGUACCUAAAUACACUCCCCAUUCGGAGUCUUCCUGAGGUAGAUUUUUGGGUCUUUUACCCUAGGGAUCUUACUCCCUUCUUAAUUUGUCUCACACGGGCCUUUACUUUUCAUUACAAUUUUUUUUUUCUUUUUCCAUUUCAUGAACUUUUCACAGUUUUUAUUUUUCUUUCACUCAACCAUGAUGUAAAUGAAAUGCAAUAAGGUUAAUUAUACUUUUUCACAAAUAUCACAAAUAUCAAAUAAAAUUCCAACUAGUUCAAAUAUCAUUGAAAUUACAAUUAUACUAAAAUUCCAUAAUUUUCCCACAACCCCUAUAAUUCCAAUAACCAAAUGUAAUUAUUUUCUUCACAAUAAAAUUACCCAAAAUAAUCAAAUAAAUUUCCAAUAAUUCAAAUCUCAAUUAAACAUAAUCUCUACCAAAAUUUCAUAAUUUUUCCACAAACCCAAUAAUUCCAAUAGUUAAAUAUAAUUAUUUUCUCUACAAUAAAAUUACAAAAAACAACCAAAUAAAUUUUCAAUAAUUCAUAUCUCAAUUAAGCAUAAUUUCCACCAACAUUCCAUUAUUUCUCAACAAUCCCAAUAAUUCCAAAAGUCAAACACAAUUAUUUUCCAUAAUUAAACACUUCCAUUAUCACACCAAAAAUCCCAAGGAAAAUUCCUAAAUCACCCAAUAAAAUUUCUUACAUCAUAAAUAUUACUUAUUUACCUUCCAAUAACAAGAUUUAUAAUUUUUUUUAAAAAGAAAAGUGCAUUAAAUAAAAGUUUUAAGGUUAAGUUUUCCUACCACAUAUCUAACAAUCUAACAGUUGAAAAUGAAAUCAGCCAUCGUAGAAAUGUUCCUUGCGUCGAGUAGAACUUUUCCUCAAAAUUUCACUCAAAAAGGACGACAUUCGGUAGUCCAAACAGACGGCCAAAGGUAGCAAUACUGUGACUCUGCCCUUGCACCUCGAUAGCCACUACAAAGCCCUUUCUUUUUAUUCUUCUUUUUUCUUUUCUAUUUCUUAUUUUUUUUGCUUUUAAACCUCGCAACCACCAAGUGGCCCACGACCCAACACCAUUCAAAAGCCUUAAUAUUAUUUGAUUUCUUUUGUUUUUUUUUUUUCAAUUCAUUUCACUUUCUUUUCUUAAUUCAUUUUUCAUUUCAUUUCAUUUUCAUUUUUUAAAACAACACAAAAAAUAAAUUAUUAAACACCAACCCAAAAAUUUAUUUUUCUCAAAUUUAUUAUUAAGCAAUUUAAUUUAAUUUUUACUUAAUUAGUUCUAGUUAAUUUUAAUUAUUUAAUUUUUCGUUUUUGCUUUUUGUUUUCAGAAAUUUUCAAUUUCUACAAUCCUAAGAAAUUUUCUACCCUAAAGCUGACAUGAAACAAAAAAUUCAACUCAAUUAAUUGACUAAAAAAAUAUUUCGAAUUCCAGCAAUUCAAAUUUGACACGUGUUCUCCAAUCAUUUUUUUUUUUUUUACUUUUCAACCAUUGUUCAAUAGAAGACUUUUCAAACUAGAAAUUCUAACGUGGCCUAAAAUAUAUGGUCAUUACAUCCUAUCUCCCUUAAAGAAUUUUUAUCCCAAAAUUAAAACGAGCUUACCUAAAAAAUUAUAGAAGAGUUGUGGAUAGUGUCAUCUCAUUUCUUCCUUAGGUUCCUCAGUGUUUUCUUCCAUCCCAUGGUUUUGCCACCACAUUUUGAUUGUGGGAAUCACCUUGUUUCUGAAUCUAUGCUCUCCAACUUCCAGAAUUUGCAAAGGUUCCUCCACAUAAGAAGUAUCUUCGCAAAUUCGAACAUUUUGCAUGUCAACUACCCAAGUUGGAUCUGGAGUACACUUUCUUAGCAUCGACACAUGGAAGACAUCAUGUAGGUGGGAUAACUAUUGAGGCAAGAUUAACUUGUAUGCCACUGGGCCAACUCUCUUAUCGAUUUAAAACGGUCCCACAAAUCUAGAGGCUAACUUCCCAUUUUUUCCUAAAUCGAAAUAUGCCUCUUCAAGGAUACACUUUUACAAACACCCAAUCCCUUUCCUCAAACUCCAAGGGCCUUCUCCUUUGGUCUACAUAGCUUUUCUAUCUAUCUUGAGUAGUCUUAAGCUUUUCCUUGAUGAGUUGUAUCUUUUCUGUAAUAUCUUGGACAAUCUCAGGUCUUAACAAACGACUCUCACCCAAAUCUAUCCAACACAAGGGCGAUCUACAAGGUCUCCCAUAGAGUGCUUCAUAUGGUGCCAUUCCAAUACUAGAUUGGUAACUAUUGUUAUAAGCAAACUCUGCCAAAGGUUAGUAGUCUGCCCAAUUCCCUCCAAAGUCCAAAACACAAACCCUUAACAUGUCUUCUAAGAUUUGGAUCACUCUUUCUGAUUGACCAUCUAUUUGAGGGUGAAAAACAGUGCUAAAAUUCAAUUAGGUGCCCAAAGCCCUUUGUAAACUUUGCCAAAACUGAGAAAUAAACUUAGGGUCUCUGUCAGACACUAUAGACAAAGGUAUCCCAUGCAAUCUCACAACCUCCUGUAUAUACAACUUAGCCAGAGAGUUCAUGGAGUCAGUAGUCUUCAUGGCUAGAAAAUGAGUUGACUUAGUAAGAUGGUCCACAAUCACCCUAACUCCAUUUUUCUUGCUUCUAGUUCUUGGCAACCCUAUCACAAAGUCCAUAGUGAUAUGAUCCCACUUCCACUCAGGUAUAGGUAAAGGUUGCAACAACCUUGCAGGCCUCUGGUGUUUAGCCUUCACUUGUUGACAAGUUUGAUAGUUGGCUACAUACUGAGCAAUGUCUCUCUUCAUCCCACUCCACCAGAAUUGUCUCUUUAAGUCUUGAUACAUUUUGGUACUCCCAGGGUGGAUGGUAUACUUUGCCCUAUGAGCAUUUUCUAGAAGUUCAUUCCUCAACUCCACAUCCCUUAGCACACAUAAUCUUCCUUUAAAUCUCACUCUCCCAUUUACAUACAUAGACCAAUUUUCAUCUACUUCACCUUCUACCAACUAGGCUUUAACUUUUUCUAAAAACUCAUCAUGAACUUGGGUCUCCACUAUUCUUUGGAUAAUUAUUGGUCUAGCCGAUAUACUGUACAAGCAUGGACUAUAUCAUUCCUAACCAAGACAUAGCUUAAAAUCCUCAAUAACUGUAUGCAUCUCAAACUCUCUCAACCAUAAGCUAGGUAACUGACCAUAACUUUUCCUAUUCAAGGCAUCUGCUACAACAUUCGCCUUUCUAAUAUGGUAUGAGGAGCAAAAUCAUAAUCUUCCAAUGUCUCCACCCAUUUUCUUUGCCUAGAGUUUUGAUCAUUUUGAGUGAAAAUGUAUUUCAAACUCUUGUAAUCAAAGUACAUCUCAAACUUCUCUCCAUACAAAUAGUGUCUACAAGUCUUAAGGGCAAACACCAUUGCUACAAGCUCCAAAUCAUAUGUUGGAUAGUUCCGCUCAUGCGAUUUUAAUUGCCUUGAGGCAUAAGCUAUCACCUUGUCUUGCUGCAUUAGCACACACCCUAGCCCCACUGUAGAAGCAUCACAAUAAACCGUAAACAACUUUCCACUAAUAGGAGUAGUUAACACUGGAGUAGUGGUUAAUUUCGCUUCAACUCCUAAAAAGCAUUCUCAUACUCCUUAUAUUAUUCAAACUUCACUCAUUUUCUAGUCAAUUGAGUCAUCGGUGCUGCAAUUCUAGAGAAGUCUUCCACAAACCUCCUAUAAUAUCUAGCCAGCCCCAAGAAACUUCUAACCUCAAAUACAUUAGAAGACAUUUGCCACUCCUGCACAGCUUCCACUUUGGAAUGGUCCUCUACUAUUCCUACCUCAGAAACCACAUGGCCUAAGAAAUUCACUUCAGUAAGCCAAAACUCACUUUUAUCCAACUUUACAUACAAUUGAUGUCCUCUUAAAGUUCUAAGGGUGGUCACCAUAUAUUGCUUAUGCUUCUCUAAACUCCUUGAGUAAAUCAAGAUGUCAUCCACAAAGACAAUCACAAACUGAUCCAAGUAAGCACAAAAUAUUCUAUUCUUUAAAUCCAUAAAAGCAACAGGGGCAUUAGUUAACCUAAAAGGCAUGACUAAGAAUUCAUAAUGCCCUUAUCACGUUCUAAAAGAGGUUUUAGGGGCAUCUUCUCUAACCCUCAAUUGAUGAUACCUAGUUCUCAAGUCAAUCUUACUAAAUACUUCGCACCCUUCAACUGAUCAAACAAGUCAUCUAUCCUUAGAAGAGGAUACUUAUUCUUCACAUUAACUCUAUGUAACUUCCUAUAGUUAAUACACAAUAUUAAUGUGCCAUCUUUCUUCUUCACAAACAACACUUGGGCUCCCCAUGGCAAUGUACUUGGACGAAUAAAACCGUUACUCAACAAUUCCUCAAACUGAGUUUUCAAUUCCUUCAACUCAAGAGGGGCCAUCCUAUAGGGGGAUACUGAAAUAAGAUCCGUUCCUGGAUAUACUUCAAUAGAGAAAUCAAACUCUCCAUGUGGUGGUAAACUUGGUAGCUCAUCUAGAAAUACAUCCUGAAACUUUUUUACCACUCGAAUUUCUAUAAUGUCCUUUUGGGCUUUCUCCUUACCACGAAGGCAAGCUAAGAAAUUUAUUAAUCCAUUCCUCAACACAUAUUGAUAGCACAUAUCAAAUUGCGAAAAAGGCAAACUAACAUACUUCCCCUCAACGAAUCAAACCUCAAAUCCAUCUAGCAGACAAAAUAUUAUCCUACGGCAAUGACAAUCAAUAAGCGCUCUAUACACUAUCAGCCAAUCCAUUCCCAAGAUAACAUCAUAUCCAAUCAUAUCCAAAAUCCUCAAAUCCACCUUAAGUGCUCUAUCUACCAAGGUAAUAACGCACCCCUUACAUAUUCUAUCAACUCUAGAAUUUGUACCCAUAGGGGACUCGAUAAGUAAUAGAUUUUCUACACUUUCCGUUUUCAACCCCAAUGCAUUAGCACAAGAUGCAGAAAUGAAAGAAUAAGUUGUACCAGUAUCAAACAAAACACACACCCAAGUACUAUAGACCAAAAUCAUACCUUCCACCAAAAGGGCGUCAUCAUCUAGCUCUGUUGGGGUUAAAGCAAAAACUCUACCUAUCGCCUGCCUUCUCCUACCUCUAGCACUCGACCUCUAAGAAGAUUGAGUCUGACUACUCAUAGUGGUUGUCCGGGCUCCUUGCACUGUUGGGGGUAACUACGACAUCUAGUAGUAAGGUAUGUGAACCUGAGGGGGCUAGAAAGGCACUGCUAAUUGCUAUUGAAGGCCUCAUUGAGGCUGAAAUUGAGUCGGUUGUGUGCCCAUUAAUGGGCAAGCCCUCCAUAAGUGAUCUUUCACCCCACAACCAUAACAUACUCUAGUAGUAGCUGCCCUCUAAGCACUCUGCUCACCUUCUACAUAGAAUGAAGAAUGUCCCUCAAAUUGUUGACAUUUCUGCCUCUAAUGCUGGCUCUAGGAUCUCCUCUAGGAACUUUCUGCCAUUUUUUGUUUUCCUUUUCUGUCUCCCAUUUGUUCCCAAAUUUGAUUGGUUUCCUCUAUGUCUUGUUCCACCAAUAAAGCUCUCUUGACCAAUUCAGAAUAGUCCCUUAUAGCCAAUGAGACCAAUCUCUUUCUAAUAGUAGGCCUCAACCCCUACUAGAAUCUCUUGGCCUUCUCUCCUUCCUCACUAAUCAUCCCCAAGGCAAAUUUAGACAACUCUGAAAAGCGAGAUUCAUAUUCCAACACUGACAUAGUUCAUUGGAUAAAGUGCUCAAAUUCCAUCCUCUUGGCAUGCUUAGCCACCUCUCCUAAAUAUUUGCCCAUAAAGAUUCUUUCAAAUUCCUCCCAAGUCAUCACCUCAAUGUCGUAUACUCUCUUCAUUGAUUCCCACCAAAAAAUCUACUUUGUCUACUAGCAUAUAUGCCGCUUAACUUACCCUCAUUUCCUCAGGUAUGUCCAAUCCCACUAGCAUUCUCUUCAUUCUCCUCAACCAAUGUUCCGCUGCUUCAGCAUUGGGCUCUCCAUUAAAAGAUGGAGGUUGCAUCACCAUAAACCUCUUCAUUGCCUCCAUUUGGCUCAUUACUGGCCUUAUAAAGUGACUCAUGCUUUGGGAGUGGUCUGAAUCCUCCUGGCCUUGUGUACCUCAUGACUUUUUGGAUCCUUGGCCUCUCAUUAACUGAGCGGUCUUCCAUAAUUCCCUUCUUACUUUCCAAAGUUCUUCCCUUACCAACUCUAACUCCUCAUCUCUUUUAGUUCUUCCUUUUCUUGGCCUUCCUGCCAUUUCAAUCCCAAUGAGCCCUAAUCUAACCACACUUCCAAGGUGAGCAAAAUAAAUUCACAUAUAACCAAUUAACAACUUUAACAACUACUAAAAACUUCACUUUCAUACAAUUAUAAUAAAUUUUUCAACAUAAUUAAAACCAUAACACUUCUUACUAUCAUCAACAAACACCACAACAAGUUUUUUCAAACAUCAGGAAUAAGCAAUUAAAUAAUUUAAUUAAUAAUCAACUCAUUAACUAAAUACAUAUAGAAAAUAAAAAACAUAGCAAUACACAUGAACAUACACAAACACUGACCCCAAUGUAUUAUUGCAACCUUGGCUUUGAUACCACGUUGUCACAACCCAAAUUCUGGGUGACCAAAAAUUUAGCCAAUGACCCUAAGUCAAAAGUUUAACCCUAAGGGUUCCUCCUAAUCCACGUUGGCAGUCAACCAAAAUGCUUUGAAUUUUUUUUUUCUACACAUAAAUCACACUAGAGCUCCCUCCAACUAACAAUCCAAUUUAUCAAUAUACCAACCAGUACUCAAGAGCAACAAAAUAUAAUAUUAUCAUUAAAGUCUAGAAAUAGGAGUUCAUAGUUGAGCAAAUUAAUCAGAAUAAAGUCUUAUUACAAAUAUAUAUAGUUUCAAAGUUUGCUAAUAUAAAUUUCAAAAUAAACUAGCAUAACAAAUACACUACAAUCUACUAUGUUGCUCCAAAAUCUCCUAGGGCAUCCUGAAGCCCUCCCUGCCCCAUUUAUGGACCCUCAGUUGUCACAUCUACAUUUAAACAAAUAUAAGAAAGAAGGGGUGAGCAUUCCACAUUGCUUAGUAGGGUGCUUUACACCUAAGGGGUUAAUUGGGAUUAAGUUUCAAGUGAACACAAAGUUAGACUUGGGUACUACCUGUGUGAAGCCUCGAAACUUUAGUUGUGGAAAUUACUUACUUGAUUUGUGAACAUUAGAGCAUGACAUUAUGUGCACCUUUGAUAUAGCUGUGGUUGUACCUUAUGUACUACCUUAAUCUACCUUAGGUACUACCAUGGAUUGAAAUAUCGGUAAACACGAAUAUAUCGGUACUUGGAUUUUAUGGAUAUAUUAGAAAUAUUAGAGAAAUAUCGGUGGAUAUUUUUACACAAAUAUUGGUGAGACAAAAAUUAUCCAAAAUUGAUGGGAGUGCUUAGAAAAAUCCAAAGAAUGAUAAAAUAAGCAAGAAUAUACAUGUUAAAGUUAUUUAUAAGUGUAAUUGACAUAAAUAUGGUCAAAAGAAAAAAAUACUGGUAAAUAGUUUAUGAUACUUGAAUUUUAAGAAUAUAAAAUAUGAAUUUUGGAAUUGUACACUAAGAAAGUUAGAAUUGAGUUAAGAAAUAUUUGAUUUUAUUAAAUGAAAACAAUUUACACAUAAACAUAAUACAUAUAACAUUUAAAUAGUCCUUAAUACUAAAAUGAAGAUCGAUGUGGUUCCAUCAUAUUGUUAGAUGAAGAGAGCCCAUCUUGUUGAAGACAAUAUUCAUACUAGGAUAUGGAGUUUUGAUAAUAUUGAUUGUAAGUACGAACAUGCCAUGUAUAAAUGAGAUAAAUAUAAAAAGUGUUAAAAAAUAAAAUGAUAAUAUAGAUUUAAAAUAAAAAAUAAAAUAAAAAUGAAUAAUGAAAAAAUAACAAAAGAUAAAUAUUUUUUUUUUUAAAAGAAAGCUUUCAAAAAAAUCUUCGAUAUUUCCCCGAUAUAUCCGAUAUUUUCAUUGAUAUAUCCGAUAUAUUUGCCGAUAUAUCCAAUAUAUCAUCGAUAUAUCUCCGAUAUUUUGACAGGCUUCCUCCGCUACUUCGUGUGUCACUUCAUGCUUGAUUUUUUUCGUCGAUUUAUCGGUUCCAAAUCGAUAUAUCGUCAAUAUUUUGCCGAUUUUGUCGAUUUUGCUGAUUUUUUGUUGAUAUUCCUCCCAUUCGAUAAUCAGUGUUGAAUUUCAUUUCGAGGCUGCCUGAUAUCCGAUAUAUUGGCGAAAUAUUGCCGAUAAAAUCCAUUUUUUCAAUCCAUGGGUACUACUUUAACCGACCUUAGGUACUACCUUAGCUAGACUUGGAUACUACCUGUGUGAAGCCUUGAAACUUCAUUUGUGGACAUUACUUGAUUUGUGAACAUUAGAGCAUGACAUUAUGUGCACCUUUGAUAUAGUCGUAACUGUACCUUAGGUACUACCUUAGUAGCCCUUAGGAACUAUCUUAAUCUACCUUAGGUACUACCUUACCCAACCUUAGGUACUACCUUAGUUAGACUUGGGUACUACUUGUGUGAAGCCUUGAAACUUCAUUUGUGGACAUUACUUACUUGAUUUUUAAACAUUAGAGCAUGAUAUUAUGUGCACCUUUGAUAUAAUUGUGACUGUACCUUAGGUACUACCUUAACUGAAUUUAGCACUACCUUAGUUAGACUUGGGUACUACCUGUGUAAAGCCUCAAAACUUCAUUUGUGGACCUACUUUGUUUGUGAACAUUAGGAAGUUUCUUUAUCAACAUUAGGUACUAUCUUUGUCAACCAUAGGAUUGACAAGUUGUAUUCAAUCAAGAUGGAACUUACAACGUCUUUAAUUGCACAUAGAAUUUAGUAUGACAUUAUGUUUUAUUAGGGUGGUUAGUUGGUUCACCUUAGGUAUAGUGGUUACUGAACCUUGCGUACUACCUUAAUCAACCUUAGGUACUACCUUAGUGAACCUUAUGUACUACCUUAGUGAAUCUUCAAAACUUCAUUUGUGAACCUUAGUUACUUCAUUUGUGAACAUUAGGAAGUUCCUUUGUCAACCUUAUUGAACCUUGUUUUUUUGUUGUAAACUGGCUACUAUGCUUGAUUUCUACUCGCUUAUAAUUUAUCAUUUGCUUAGUUUUUAAUUAUCUUAAAGAUAUUGUUCUUCACUGCCCUCUAGCAUUAUGUUUAUGGUCUUGUUUACCACAUGAUGUCAUUCAAAUGUUUAUAGUCUUGUUUGCAUUCAUGUUGAAGUAGAUGAUGUUUUUUCUUGGAGUCAAUAGAAAAUUUUAUAAAAAUUUCAUUUUCAUACCCUGUAGUUGCAUGUUAGUCAUUGAAAUGGUCAUAUUAUUGGGAAAAAACUUCUAGAAUGUUUGGUCAUGGUGGUAUGCAAACUUAUGUCUUCCCCUUAAAGUAGGAACUAAUGAAAUGUUCAAAAAUGUUUAUUUCCCUAUAUCACUUACAUCUAUGGUGCAUUCCUCUAUGACACAAUAUUGUUAGCCAUAAGGAGUAUGUCAUUUACUCUAUAGUCAUCCUGAUCCACACUUCCUGAAUUAGACUAUUUUAUUUUGUGAUGAUUGAUAGAUAACAUUUUUUUUUUUUGUUCAUUUUUUACCUUUUAGCUGCUUUUUGACGUAAAGGUCCAUGAGCACUUACAUGAAGAGAUGUGCUGGCAAAAAUUCAAAGACAGAAGAUUUGUGGAGUGUUCUUUUAGAAGAACUUAGUGUUCAAGUGAACUUAAUGAUUAACACCUAGACAAAGCAAAAAUGAUAUCAUAUUAUUUUUGCAAAAUUCAAACAUGCUUCUGUUAUAGGUUUUUCCAUUAUAUAUACUUAUAAAUUGCUAAAUUUGAUGUAUUGCUUAGGUUGUGUUGUCCUAGGUUUUUUCAUCUAGUUCGUUUGUUGAGGGACAAUGGAUUGUUCCGAUAAGCUUAUGUAUUGGUUCACACAACAGAAACAAAAAUUUCAUAACAAGUUAGAAUAGUGGAUAUAUCUUAAUUGCUUUAUUCUUAUUAUCGUAAUUCGAGUUCAUCAAAGGGAAAUGAUUAGUGCAAAUGCAAGAAACACUCAUGGGUUAAAAUUAAUGUGUAGCAGAUUGGUUUCUAUAACACACACUCUAAAAGAAUUAUUUUUUUUUAUAACCCCACUUGGCAUAUGUCAAGAAUUCCUAACCCACUCUUGGAUUAGACACAUUGAUAGCUGAAUAACCCGUCCAAAUUGCAAGUAUAGUAAGAUUCAAUCGGUUUGCAAGGGAAUCCAUGCAAUAGCACCAAUAGUUUACUUCAAACUUUUUUAUUAGUUUCUAGAAUUAUAUGCUUUUUAGUUUUCAUCCUAUGUAUGUGUCAAAGACGGCAGUAGGUAGCAUAUUAUGUCCAAAAAGUUACAGAACAUGAUUGAAUAAGAAAAAAUAGAUUGUCUUGAUAGUUGGUGAACCUUACCAUGGAUGAUGGACAAAGAACAAGUCUAAACCAAAAGAAAAAAAUCUUCAAGAAAUCUUGUUUGUUUUGCAAGAAAUGAAAUCUCAUUCCUCAUAAAAUGGGGUUAUUUGUUCCCAAAAAGAUGGAACAAAAUCUUUAAAUUUUCUUUCCUUCAACCAAACAAAACAUAACAGAAAAAAUAGCUAUCUUCUCAAAACUAUGAACAAAUACUAAGACUUUUUUUAAAAAAUUAUUCCAACACACACCUAAUGAAUAAACCAAAAACACAAGCAAAACAAACAAGCUCCUGUGUAUCAAUACAUUUAUUCGAUCGCAGACAUCUAAGACGAUGACUUCAUCUCUGAUUUGAUAACAACAACCAACUAAUCAUAAGCUUCUGCCCAUGCAUUCUUCAUUUUUGGUGAUCACAUUUCAGGAACUGCUUCCUUUAUUAUUUCUAACAAUGCAAACUUUGUAGCCUAUAUGAUCAGAAUAAUUAAUUUUUCAGGUUCAAAAAUUGUGUGUACAUCAUUAGAUUGAAAGAGUUGCAGCAUCUUGAAAAUUUCAUACACUUUAUGUUACCUGAUAGUGUUCAUCAAGGACACCAGAUUUGUAGUGAACAACACCUAAUUUCUUCAAGGUUGAGUCUCUCGCUGUCACUUUGUUGGCUUUUCAAAGUUGACAUAUUCUAUCUUGGUGGGGUUUGGUUGAAAAGUCCACCUAUAUUAUGAGCUAUAAAGAGGUAGAAUUCACAUCUAUAGAUGAUUGGAAUAAGGGUUUUUUUUUUUUCUUUCUAAUUAUUGUAAUGUUCAUAAUCCUCAAAUUUUGUAUAUGGUCAUCUUUAAUAACCCAUUUGAGGGUGGGGGGGAAGAGUAACCUACCAUAACAAAAAUAGCCAUGGCAUGGGACUUGAGCUUUGGGUUCUUCUCUAGAGGAACCUUUGAGUUUUUCAGGAAUGAGAACCAUUUCUGAUAUGAUGGAGCAAUCUCAAAUAUUCUAUAAAAAUUGAAUCCAACACUUCCCAAUCAGAAACCAAAGCUUUAUUCAAUUUUUAUAUAUCAUCAAGAAAUUAGGUAAUUAUCAACAUGUAGAGAAGAAUAAAGAAAAUUUGAUUUACUUCAUGAUUCAUGCCCGAUUGGUGUUCCAAUUGAUUCAACUCAAUUGAUGUGCUUUGAUCUCAAUCCUCAGACGGGAGUAAUCAACAAAAUUUAUAAACCUAUUUCACCAUAUACCAGGGUAGCAUUUAGCUAGCAUAGUAUAGUGGCUCUAGGAUCGUCCACAAAGAUGGGUUUUCACUUCGCAAUUGAUAUUAGUUCAAAAACUGAAUUGGUGCUUUUUCUUUUCUUUGUUAGCUUUAAAAGAAGACAUAAGUUUGAAUGAAAACGGAUGGUAUUAAGCUAACCUAACAUAAAGUAACUAAAAUUAACUAGAAAGAAAUUAGAAAGAAAGGUGUUUCUUGGGAUUUCAGAUUACUAGGAUCAGGUGCCAACUACAAAGAGGGAGAUUCCGGUCACUUGAAUCUUUUCCUCGCAUUCAGAAUUUAACCUAUAGUUAUUUCCCGAACCGGUGUGAUACAGAUGCUUGCCAUUAAUGGUUUCAAUGCUAAAUCCCUCUCACUGAUACACCUUGCAAUGGCUUGUACCUCUCACCUAGUAUUUGCCAUUCAAGGUGAUCCUUACCAUCGGAUCAUCCUUCACAAGCGAACAAGAGAUAACAAUUAGACCUCCAUGGAGCAAGAUUGCAAGCAAUAAGAAUCCAUGGAAUCCGAAAGCUUACCAAGUAUUGGCUAUUCAUGGUAAUCCUAGUUAACUAAAAAUAUAAAAACCAAAAACGGAUCACACUUUCUCUUCAUUAAAAAAGGAAACAACAAAAUCUCACACUUAUGUAGUCGGAACCUUACUUAGCUUCUUUCACCCAAGAAACAAAAAGCCUAGCCACUCAUCCUCUGAGAAAACAUCUCAGAGAAUGUUUGGUUAGCAAGAAAAUGAAAAUGAAAGAGAAGGAAAAAUAGAGCAAGGCUCUGUAUAUUCUAUAUAUUGAUCGAUUCUACAUACUUAUAUAUCUAUAUUUUUUACAAUGGAUGCAAGAGAAUAUAUAUAGAGAAGUUUUUCCAACCUUCCUAACUAAGAAAUCUUAUGGUUGGUGGAUUACAAGGAGAAGAAUGGAAAUUUAUACACAAAUAUCUAAAGAAAAGAUCUAAAAGAGUUGGUGCACAAAUAUCCCAGUUCGCAUGUAGAUUUCGCACGUUGCAUGGUGACUUGCGAAAAUCUCGCAAGUUGAUUUCGCAACUUGGAAUCUAUUUUCGCACGUUGAGCUCCAAGUUCGCAAGUUGCAAAAUCACUUUUGCAAGUUGGGCUUCUCUGUGACUGUGCGGCUGUAUUCCAUUUCCAUUUCGCAAGGUAGGCUUUAAUUUCGUACGUUGGAGUUCCAAAUUCGCAAGAUGCGAAUUUGUCCUUCAGCUGGAUGCAGUUGUCUUGCGAAGGCCAUAUCUUCCUCAUUUCAAAUCCAAUUCAUACACCGUUUGAAGCGUUAGAUUCUUGACUUCCUGAGCUUUGAAAUGGUAUAUAGCAUGUAGAAAAUGGACUUUGGGAAGUGCUCCAAAAGUGUGAAAGAAGACUGCAGCUGUUGUCCUCUAUUUUCUUCACUCUGUUUUUCCUCUCUCCGUUGUUCUUUCCUUGCAUACUUUGAACGACUUUGGCAAAGUGCUAUGGAGCUCCAAAGCUUGGUUCUUCAUGAAUUUGAGCUUCCAAAAGCUUUGUCAUGAACUAUAUACAGCUCUCCCUCAUUCUUGGAUUGCUUUGGUGUAGCUAAAAGCUAUUAAAAACACCAAAACUUAACACANNNNNNNNNNNNNNNNNNNNNNNNNNNNNNNNNNNNNNNNNNNNNNNNNNNNNNNNNNNNNNNNNNNNNNNNNNNNNNNNNNNNNNNNNNNNNNNNNNNNAUUUGAGCUUCCAAAAGCUUUGUCAUGAACUAUAUACAGCUCUCCCUCAUUCUUGGAUUGCUUUGGUGUAGCUAAAAGCUAUUAAAAACACCAAAACUUAACACAAUUUGAUUAGAAACGAUUGCAAGGGUCUUUAACAUGUCAAUUGAGUUAAAAGGUAAUAAUUACUACUCAAGAGUGUUUAAAAGAGUUAAUUACAAGCUAUAAAAUAGCACUUUUUGAGUAGUAAUCACUUCAAGAAGAAUUUAAGACCCAACUCUCCAACAUUCUUCUUCAUUGAAUUCCAAGACUUCAUCACAAGAGCUUCUUACUCCUCUAUGAAACCUAUUAUAUUGCAGAGGAGUUUGUCUGUGGAAGAAAGAUAGGAAUUUUGAAAACGAAAAAGAAAAAAAUAAAACAAUCUAAAAAAAAAUUCUUAUUUUUCUAAGAAUUAUCAAUUUUUGAAGGUUGGCAUCUUUGAAAAUGUAAAAAGUAAUAUUUGAAUUUUUUUUUCUUAAAAAUAAGUUCUAUUUUCAUAGGAAAAAAAAGGUUAAGCCAUAGUUUGCAAGAUUACUCCAUUUAAAUAUAUCUAUUUUGUGAUUUCUAUUUUUAAAGCAAAAAUCAGUUCCUUUUUUGAGACCCAAAACCACAUAAUGAAAUAAAUAGAUAUACAAUCAAACUAUAAGCCUCUAAACAAAAGUAAAAAAGAGAAAUAGUAAUAAUAAUACAUAACACUUACAAAUGAGUUAAGAAUUCACCUCAUAAACAAAAACAACAAAAUUUUAGGCCAUGAGAGCAUUCAAAAAGGUUAGUGAAUUCUAUAUUAUAGUAUUUACAGUGUGUGCAGAAUGGUCAUCUUUAAUAAUCCAUUUAGGGGUGAGGGGAAGAGUAAUCAACCAUAACAAAAACAGCCAUGGCACGGGACUUGAGUUUUGAGUUCUUUUCCAGAGGAACCUUUUAGUGUUUUAAGAAUGACAACAGUUUCUGAGCUAAUGGGCCCUAUAUACUAGGGCCUUCCCACCAGUCUCACCAAACUCAUAGCAAAGCUAGAGGGACUAAAUGGUAAACAUUAUAAAUAGAUUUCACAAACUAAACUUAGUAAGAGCAUUCAACUUUAAACAUGUGUAGUAACGGAUACCAUAACUAUAUGCCCCAACAAAAUAAAUAAAGAGUAACAUACUAAGCCAAAAACUAAGAUGAUAUGUAAUUAUUUACACUAUUAACAAAAAGCAAUUAAAUUAUAUUAAAACUAUAUACCUUGGUAUAAGCAUUGAGGUUUAUAAAGAUCUGUAUCUUGUCUUCAUUGAUCAGUUUGGCAAUCAUAUCAGAUGACAUGGCAAAAACAUCUAAAAGUGCUCAACUUCUGACUGAAUACGAUGUCUCUAUUCAGUUGAAUCAUUUGGACUGAAGGCAUAAUAGAACACCUAGCACACAAAAAUGACAGGAAAAAAAGAAGUUUUUACAUUCUAAUGCAUAUGGCAAGUGAGAUAAGGUUCUUAGAUUGGGAAUGUCGAAUUGUUCACUAGCAACAAACCUUAACAUUUUCUUUGUUGUGCACGCCAAAUACAAAGGCCAUGAGGUAUGAUAGGGGGUGAUUACUAAAGUCACCGCUUAAGUAUCUGCAAAGGUAGAAAAAUAAUUAUAAGAUAUAGAAACAAUGAAAUGAAAUAAUUCAUUUAUAACAUCAAUAGGUACCAAAUCCUUAGUCUCUCAUUUCUACCUUCACUCUUUACAGGAGCAGGAUUUGGAUGGUUGAAGGGAGGAAGAGCAUAUCAAGAUGCAAUUAAGAAGCAGUAUGUUGCAUAUUUUCGCCUUAAAACCAAAAGAAGACCUUGAGUUAGAAACUAUAGCAAUAUGUUGUUAUAAACAUUGUAUUAAGAUAAAGAAUUGACCUUAUUUAUAUAAAUAUUAGCAAAGGGAUUCAUGCAACUAGGCUCCAAACUAAUAAUUUUUUACUUUUUUCUUGUUGCCCUCUUUCAACAUUAGCAUUAGUACUAUCAACAUGAACAAGAAUUAGUGAAUUAGUUCAACAUUAGUGCUAUUAUUUGUGAUAAAGAAAUAAAUAAAAGUUACAAACCAAUAUAACUGACCAGCAUCAUAGUAACCUCUUCCAAUAUGUGCUAUCAUUUAUAAGAAGUUAUGACUACAAUAUGAACCCGUAAAGUCAUUCACAUAAAAAGGAAAAAAAAAAUGAAUGGAAAAUUCAUAAGGAAUAGAAACACUACAAGAUUGUGAGAUCAAGAACAUAAGAGUUUUUCACUAACCUGAUACCCAUGUCAAAAAGUAUAGAUAUGAGGACAAAUUGAGCCUCUGUUUCUGAGUUGACCUUCCAGAACAUUACAAAUGUGUCUUCCAUCUUCAAUAACCCCAUCAGUAAUGACGAAAAUGAGAGGCAUUAGAUAGUAACAAAGGAAAAAAAAAAUCUAAAUUUAUUCUUAAAAUGAAAAUAUUAUUAGUUUCAGUUUCACUAUCAAAGAUUUCACCAAAGAGGUUUAGGCUCUAAACGUUGAGAGAGGUAAUAGAGAAAGGUGGAAGCGUUGGAUCUAAAGAUGGCAAUGGAAAUGUGGUGAAGUAGGGCAAAAUGAGAGGAAGACAAAAAUCUUGUUUCAGAAGUAGGGAAAUUUCAAAUGACAUUCUGUUCGAGUGAUGAAGAAGUCAAAGAAAGAGAGAAAUGUUGUUUGGGAAAUUUCAAACUGCAAUAAUGCAACAUGGAUGCUGAUAUGGAGAUUGGGUAAGGGCAAAGUGGGUAGAAAAAGACCACUCAGCACAGGGUGCAUAAAAAUCAUAUAUUUUUCCAUAUUAAUAGGGGAAUCAUUCCCAAUUUUUGGGUUUUGAAAACCCUAUUAUCUCCGAAUGGGCGGCCCAAAAUACAAGUUUCCCAACCUUUUAUCACACAUCAACUAGAAUGCAGCAAUUGCAAAAACCUACACUCAUUUUGCAAUCUAAAAAAUGAAAAAUUUUCCCAAUUGAAUACUCCCAUUCUCAUUUUUUUUUUAUUUUAAAUUUUCACAUUGUUUAAAAAUUUUUGUUUAAUUUUUUUUUAAAUAGUACUUUAUUAGGUUCAUAUUUGUCUCAUUUUCUAAGCAUAUAAAAAAGACUUGUUACAUGGAAAUAGUUAUAUUCUUUAAAGAUUUAGUAAAUUUUUUAUUAAUAACAAUUUUUUUUAAAAAAAAAAUUAAGAUAUUAUUAAAAUGUUUUUUGUAAAGUAUUUUAAGAAAUAAUUAAAAAUAUGAAUAAUAUUGGUAUUAGAAAUUUGAUGAUAAGUUGUUCAUUAUGAAUCUUAGAAGUUUAAAAAGUGUCAUUGUCUUUAAAAAUUCCGCUUAAUUGGGUUACACCUUUUUCAUUAGUCAGACCCAACUCCAUAAAUUUCAACUACUUCCUAUUUGUCAAAACUAAUCCCACAAUUAAUGUAUGAUUUAAGUUCAUAGAGAAUUUUGUACAAAGGAGGAAAACUGGAAUAGACAAGGCACAAAAAAUCGGGGCUUCUAAAUCAGGCGGGCUUCUUCUUAAACGGAUAUUUAACAUUAAGCCGAUGACAAUCAGCAAAUAGAGAUGGAAAUAGAGAUUGAGACAAUAACAAAUAUUGUGGGAGACAGUGAACAAAUAGGAAGUGAUGAAUGUAAGCUAAUCUGAGUUGCUCAAGUUGAGAUAUUCAGAAUUUAAAGGUCUAAAGAUGUGAGCAGCCUGAGUCUCAAUCCACUCUAUCUGCCCCACGGAGAGGUGCAUGUACACCACCCAGUCUCCAUCUCUGACAGGACUCGGCAUUGGCAUCACGUACCCAGCUUCCCCACCCCAUGGAAAAUGGUAUGACCCCAGAGCCGGCAUACCCCACCCGAAAUCCACCCUUGACACUGGGAAUCUCUGCCCUGAUGACACCACGAAUGCUGGUCCAUCGCGACUGCCACUGUUGUAUAUCUUCGCUAAAGCUGGCUCCGGACGGUGAGCCUCCACCCAAUCUAUCAGCCCCAGGAAAUGCUCCUUUGUUACUGCUCCUUCCAGGUACUCACGAAUUGCAUCUGCCACCCAGCUCAAUGGUUUCUCUUUCAGUUCAUUUAUUGUCUUCUUACCAAAGGGUAUGGACAGUACAUUUCCGAAGUAAGAGGCCAACAUUGCUGCUUUAACCUCGUCUCCACUGCUCAGUCUCUUUCUUCCAUCCACCACGGUGCCCAUCCUGCAUACUUUUUGGUUUGCGUUUUCCGUGACUGCACUUUUGGCCACCAUCUUCCACAGAAAAGCACUGAGAGACUCUAGUUUGGUCCUCUUGCAGGAGUUACUCUUGCUGGUGGCUAGUGAUUGGAGUAGACUGAGCUGCUCGCCUGUGACAUAGUAAAGGCGGUUUAUGAGAAGAUCAUCACCAGGCUGUGGAGCUUUGGGAGGAGGUAAGGCUGACAUGGGGACGUACAUGUUGUCAAGGGAAGGAUCAUAGGAGCCCGGACGUCGAGGGUUGAGGAGAGAGCGCCGGAAAGAUGGUAGUACGGAUAAUGGCUUGGACUGAGCCAUUUCAGCCCAUGAAACUAGAAACAUAUUGGCAGAAUAUGCGUCUGCUAUCCUAUGAUCGAAUGUACAGGCCACCACAACUCCGCCACAUUUGAGCUCAGUCACCUGUCAUUAGUUCAUUUACAUAACAAUAAGCAUGUCACGAUUACAACUAAUUAGGAUUAGCAUAUCACAGAGAGAGAGAGUUACCUGGACUGACAGAACGCCAUGUUUCUUCUUAGGGACAAGCUUGCUUUCAAUGCUUUCAUCAGGGUUAUACAAGUUGAGGUUUUGUAGUUGUACAUCCGCAUAAGCUUCCAUGAAAUCAACCCCACGGUUGUUGCAAAGGAGCUCGGGCUCACCCGCUGAGUUACUCAAAACUUCCCCUGCAAAUGGAUAAUAGGACACCAGUGCUUGGGCCAGGGCCUCCUUCAGAACGCCAAUCAUGGACCCAAAUGUUAAAUCAUGUGGCUUCUUGUAACAGAAAAACACGCCCACAUCUACUGGAGGCAAAAGCAAGUCCAGGUUAGACGUUGGCAGCCAGUACUCCUGCACAGGCAGUACAGCUGCCACUACUUCCUUUCUGCUCACUGUUACUGUGAAAUCUCCACCACCCAUGAAUCCUAAUUAAUUCUAAGUGUCUUUGUAUGCCAGAGUGAGGGAUGGAAGAGAAGCAGACUUGUAAGCGUGCGUCUGAGUGAAAAAUAGCAGCAAGAAACAUGGAUUUUAUAGCACAGGGCAGUACUUGUCCCAAGUCCCCACUGACAUUUUUUCAGAUAUUGAUAAGAAAGUUCGAAAGUUUGAAUGAUGGAUAUGAGAAUGACUACAAAGACCAAGAGUGGUACGAAGGAAUGAAAAUAUUUGUCUUAAUUCUGUUGUGGAUGAGAAAUAAUGAAUUGAUACAGGUUGUAUAUACUGUUACAUAAACCCCAAGGGGGACUCCUUGAAAUGGAAAAAUAAAUAAAUAGAAGGCUGCAGAAAAGAUCUGAUAUACAUUAAUUUCCAUACCUAGGGUAUCCUUGGAAAAGUAGCUAAUAAAUUUGUGGCUUCUCUUUGGUCAUGAGAGGUUAGAUGUCUUCUAAUUGUGGUACAUAUUUUGGUUGGAUAGCUCAUCAAUUCAGUGACGACAAACUGAAUGAAAGUGAAAUUUCAAAGCGAUGCCAUUUUUCAUUUGUCUUAAUUUCCUGAAAAUGAUCGAUGGGGUUAUUUUAGAAGUUGGGAAUUUUCUUGGAAAUAUCUGUAGAUAAUUCUUUGAUCAAUCAAAUGAUUGAUAACUUCAACACCAUUACAUACUCCAUGACGGGUUUCACUUCCUAUUUGUGGUUGAAAGAGAAGAGUUCAAAGACAGAAAAUCUCUGCAAAAUUACACAGCAUAAUAUAUAUACCUAUACUAGACAUGAGGGUAUAUAUAUUUAAUUGAUCUCUGGAAAUCUCUGGAAAGAGACGAGUUCGAAGACAGAAAAUCCCUGGAAAACACCCCUGCAUGACAUGAGAAAGAGACACUUCACCAUUUUACUUAUUUAAUUGAUCGAUUGAAUUUUGGGCCCCCUUGUACCUAAAUACAAGGGUACAGACCUAAAUACAACCUAAAACCGUGAUCACUUUUCCUCUCAAAUUAAGACUCGCAUCUGCUGGCCUUUUAAUUGCAGUGAUCCUACCAAAGAACGCAUGCAUGGGCCAUGUGAGACUGAUAAUUACAAAGGUGGUGUGGUGGUGUACAACUCUAGUCCAUGCAUGGGAUUAGGUCACUCUUUCUUCCUUCACGACAAUGGAAUUGAUUUUAUGGCACUUACCAAGGUUUGGUAAUUGAGAUUUUCGUAUUAUUGGAAGUAUGACAAUGACUUAUAGCGUAGAUAUUUCUAUGCAUCUCUCUUGUAUAAGAAAGGCAUCCAUGCCUUUCUUGAAAAUGUUGGAUUGUUUAUUUUUAAAAGUAAUUUGGAAAAUCGUUUGUUUUAGCUCUUGUCACAUCUUUGAAAUGAUGGGCAACCAAUAGUUAGGAGCUUCACAAAAGAAAAUCCUUGGCAUAUCUUAAGUUCUUAAAUGAAACAACAAACACUACAAUGUUCUCUAAACACAUCUUAAUUAAUUUGAAGGGUUUUGGCCUUUCAAAUAUUAUUUAAUUUCUCCCCCAACAAUUUAUCCACAUUAAAUUUACAUUCAAACAGGACUGGCUUGGUGGGAAACAUUUUUUUGACACAUGAACGCCCAAUAAAUUGCUGAGUUUGUUGAAAGAAUUAGCAUUUUUCAUGGUUUAACUGUUUGAAUGACUGGGCACUAUUCCACAUGUUGUUGUGAUUCGGUUAUUCCUAUGUUCGUACUAUCUUAUUUCUCUAUGGUGGGAAUGUGGUAAACCAGCUAGUUAUUCUCUUGUGAAAAACAAGAAUGAUAAUAGGGAUAUAAAAAUAAGAUGAUGAAAACAGAAAAUAUCAAUGAUUUACAUGAUUUAGCCUAAAACUUAUAUUUAUAGGUGAAAGGAAAGAAGAACUUCCAUUAUUAUUAAAAGAUAUGACAACUCUUGAGUUCCUCUAAUCCCAAAAAAGAGACUUUCUCUCGGCCAAAAUUUCUUUCUAUAUAUAUUCCUAAUUUCAUAGUAAUAUUUCAUAUAGAAAACUAAUUAUAUAACUAUCAAAAGUAUUUAUUUCUAAAAGAAUAUAUCACUAUAUGAUAUUUCCUUUAUGACAAUAGGAAACUCCCUUACAUGAAUGUAUCCUAUAAAGAAAAUAUCGAAAACUUAUCAAUUGACUCAAAUUAGAAUUUGAGACAUUUUUCUAUAUUGUUCACAUUGCCUCAAAUUCGUAAGCUUUGAAUAAACUCGGAAGUCUUACGUUACUUCACUUUCACAGUACCCCUAAGGGACCUUGAAAUCUAUCAACACCCAUUGAGUUUAAGCAAUGUCUGAACUUAAUUAAAUGUAGAAAGGAGUAUAGUCAUAUCAUAUUUGAUGGAUUAUCCAUUGUAAGAAUCUUUUUCACUAUAGUAACACCCUAUGCAAUCCCAUCCUUGAUAAAAUGCAAUCUAACAUCAAUAUAUUUGGUCUUCUUAUGAAACAUCUAAUUUUUAGUUCAAUAUACGACAUUUUGGGUAUCACAACACCCAAUAGAAAACUCUUGUUGUAAGUCUAAAUUGUCAACUAAACCCUUGAGCCAAACAUGAAAUCAUCACUUCCAAGAAGGAAAAUAUCCCCAUUAUAGAAGGAGAGUCAUUAAAAGACUUUCAAAACAUAAGUCAUGUUAAACAAAAUCCUGGCUUACAUAAAUGGAUUUAAAUUGAAUCUUGUCAUACUAAAGACUCUAAAUUGAUUUGAUGAAAUAAUAAGGUUGAUGAAUUAAGGAUGCCAGGUACCUAAGGUGUGUGGUUGUUUUUAACUAUGGAAUUGAUCUAUCAGUUAUUUUACGUGUCAUAUUCCUUGCUAACUUAACUAAAUUAAUUUGAUUCAUUAUAUAAUAUUAUGAAAACAAUUUACUAUUAUAUGGAAUUGAUAUUUUCCUCUCUUAUUUUCCAUAAUAAGCUAGCUAGUAGCCUUAUCAGGCCUACCCUUUUAUAUCGAUUUACAACACCUUACCGCUAUCCCAUUGGCAACUACAACUUGAUGCAUAUGUGUGCAGAUGUUACAUGAUGAUGAUUAAAUUUUAAUCAUUACAAAUUAAUUAACUCAUGUAGAUUCUCAUUAAGGAUGAUCAUCUCCAUUGCACUAGAGUUGAGUUUGGCAAAAAUUCUAAGAAAUGAUAAAAGUAAUAAUAGAUAUUUUGAAAUUAUUUUAUCGAAGAAAAUAAUAAUCUGUAGACAACACAAUCUUUCCACAAGGCUUGCAAGUUAUGACAACAUCAAAAUAGGAAACACGUCUAGCAAUGGGCAAUGACUGAUGCCAAGGACACAGAAGACUUCGCUCUCAGUCACCAAAGUCUUUCCAUCACAAGCCAAAGUGGGAUCUACGCAUAGAGAUCUCUUUGGUAGCUGCCUAGUCACCUAUAAAUCCACCACUCCUUCUCAUCCCCUCUACAAUCCAUCCCCAUUUUUCCGUUUCACUCUAUCUCUCUUAGCUGAAAACCAUGGGUGGUGGAGGAGACUUCACUGUAAUUAUGACCAGGAAAGAGGUUAUGGAAGCCCCUAUGUAACCUUGAUUUGAUUUUUCCUCCUGUAGAUGUGAGUGUGUUUUUCUGUUACAAAAAACCCCAUCAGAGUGUUAACGGAGGUGAUGACUUACCUUUGAGUCCAUGGUUGGGGUUAUGAAGAAAGCCAUGGUCUAAGCACUGGUCCCCUACCAUGGUUUUGCAGGGGAAGUUGUGCGUAACUCAGUGGGUGAGCCUGAACUUCUAUGCAAUAACCCAGGGGUAGAUUUCAUGGAGGCUUAUGCAAAUGCAAAACUACAAGACCUCAGCUUGUAUAACCCUAACAACAGCAUUGAAGGCAAGCUUGUCCCUAAGAAGCAGUGUGGUGCCCUCUGUGUGCAGGUUGUUCUCUCUCUCUCUCUCUCUCUCUCUCUGACACAUCAUAUAUUGUCGUGGCAUUAUUACUCUAUGUGAUAAAACAAAUGAAGGAAAAUGACAGGUGAUUGAGCUCAAAUGUGGUGGAGUCGUGGUGGGCUAUACAUUCCAUCAUCAGAUAGCGGACGCAUAUUCUGCUAGUAUGUUCCUAGUUAAUUUCAUGGGCUGAGAUGACCCAGUGCAAGCCAUUAUCUGUGGUUCCAUCUUUCCGGCGCUCUCUCCUCAACAUCAGACGUCCGGGCUCCUAUGAUCCCCCCUUGAUGACAUGUACGUCCCUAUAUCAGCCUUUUUUGUGUGGAGAAAUUGUUCUUGUGCUAGAAAGAUGAAUUUUUGUUGCUAACACAUAAUAAAGUUUAAAGGAUUGUGUAUGAUAAUGGUAAAGCCCUAAGCUAUAUUUGCUUCCUAGAAAAUUUGAUAGAAAAUGCAAAGUAAAUAAAAUAGAAAGAAAUUAAAAAAAAUAAAAAAUAAAAUAAACAACAUAUUUAAAGUUAAAAAUAAGUAAAUAAAACAAAAGUCGAUUAAUUUCAUGUUUCAAAUUCAAUAAAUUUAAAAUUUGCCUUAAUUGGGUGAAGCUCUAGAAGACAUGAUAACCUUAACGAAGAACUGACAAGAAGAGUUUGUGAGGCUAUGCCAGCUUUAAGGGUCAUCAUUGUCCUGACAAGGAAAUGACCAAAGACUGAAAAAAUCUGAAUCAGGAUUACACUAAUCAUUCAGACAGCAACAAGGGUCCAAGAAUAAUGCCAUCUUACCUCCGAAAAGGGAAAGGUGUUGAAAUUAUGGGUUGUUCAUAUAAUUCUAAAUAACCAUUUAAACAUCGAUCAGUAUUAAAUUGGUUGUUUCUGUUUCUGUUUUUCCUAUGAUAUGCUAAUAUCUGAGUUGGAAAUUUGUUAUAAGCUAGUUACAAGUUACAACCCAUCACCAUGCUCCUGAUAUAUAGCUUUCUUGUUUUUAAAAAUUUGAGAAAGUUCUUCUUGCAGUCCUUUUUAUUUAUAUAUAUAUAUAAGAGUUAUUCUCUACUCCGCUAUCUUUGUUUCUUCCCUUUUUUCUCUUUUCUCUUAUCUAAUGGCUUGAGGAGGCAACCAAAAUGUCAACAAUGACAGUUGUCAGUUUGUGCAUUCAUCAAAUAUGUCAUUAAUGGAAGAUUAUGGAAGUCCUUUUUAUCUACACAAUUGUGACUAUCUAGGUCUAGUUUUGGUUUCAUACCAUUUAAUUGGAUCUAAUUACAACACUUGGAGUCGUUCGAUGUUCAUGGCUCUUACUAUAAAGAACAAAGUCGGUUUCGUUGAUGGAAGUAUCACUCGACCAAUCUAUGAACAUCUUCUCUUCAACGUUUGGACUCGUUGCAAUAGCAUGGUAAUUUCAUGAAUUCUUAAUGUUAUGUCUAGAGAAAUAAGAGAUAGUCUAUUAUACAUAGACAAUGUGCUUUUGAAACCUGGAUGUUUAUCUUUGUGAUCAUUUUCACCAAAGCAAUGGUCCUCAAAUUUUCCAAAUCAAAAAGCAGCUUAUUGCCCUUAACCAAGGAUCUCUUGAUGUCAUAGCUACUUCACCAAAUUGAAAAUUCUUUGGGAUGAAUUCAAAGAAUGUCAACCUGUGCCUAUUUUCUAUUGUGGAAGAAUAAAAUUGUGGAUAGAUUUUCAAUAAUAGAAGUAUGCUUUGAAAUUCCUCAUGGGGUUCACUGAGUCCUAUGCUCAAACCUGUGCUCAAAUUUUGAUGAUGACUCCUUUGCCUUUUGUGUCAAAAGUCUUUUCUUUGGUUAUUCAAGAAGAAACAAGCAGCUAAUCAUGUGUUUCAUGAACAUACUAAAUACAUUAAGAUUGACAGUCAUGCAUCUAGUGAGAGAGAAAGUACAAGUUGUUCACCUGAAGAUCCUACAUGUCUCUUCACAAUAUCAGAUUGCAACCUUGCUAACUAAACCUCUCCAUCUAAAUCAUUUGGCUUAUCUUCUUAACAAGAUGAGAAUUCAUAACAUUCAUUCUCCAUCUUAAGGGAGAGUAUUAAACUAAUUGUUUAUGUUUAUGUUUUUAUCUAUCCCUCAUUUUUUUGUACCAAUUUUUUAUGUAGUAGAUUUUCUUCUCCUCUAUCGGUGGUUUUUCCAAUCUAAGGUUUUCCACUUAAAUUUGUGUGUUCUCAUUCUUUUUUUUUUUUCUUAUUGCCUAUCCCUGUUAUUUUGUAACACUCGAUGAAUAAGUAUGUGUGUAUUAUUUUAUGAUGCCAAUUCUUCUAUUGAAUUGACUGAUGCAUGUGCUCAUUUGUUAUUUACAAAAGAAUUAAUUCUGCCACAAGAAAAAUUUAAUAUAGAAAAUAAUUGGUAAAGGAGAAACUAGAUUAUUUCGAAGGCCAAGACCCUCCAAAAAUAUUUAGACAAAACUCCAAUCAUAUAAAAAUGAAUUCACAUGGACCAUCAAGACCCACCAAAUUGAUUCCCUGUGAGAUUAUAUAUUGGCAUUGGAACAUGGGUUUGAUAAGUUUUUACCUAACCUUUGCCUUUUGAACUUUUAAAAUCCUCACUCAACAAAUCUUUUUCUUGAUAAGUUUCAACUACUUUUCCUUUGUCAAAAGUAGUGGUCAACCAAUUUAAAAAAAUUCUCUCUGUUGGAGCAUGAGUUCUAUAAUAUUCAAACCAUGCACCUUUUAAUUAUUUUAAAAAGUUGUGCAUUGUUUUUUCUUUAAAUUAAUCCCACAAUUAAUCAUUAUUUAUGUUGUUGGAGUAUUCCAUAUAAGGACUUGAGAGAAAAUGACGAGCUAUGAGAUUAAAAUCGGCGACCCACCAAAAACUAGGGCUUUUAAAUUGGACUUCUUUCUAAAGAAAUAUUUGACAUUAAGAUGUUUUUAUCCAUAUAAAACAUUUUGAAUUAAUCAAAUAAUAAAAAAAGACAAACAAUUUGUUUUCAUAGAAAGGCUAAAACAAAGCAUGUUGUGGCUAAAAAUAACAAUAAGACGGUUUUUUUUUUUUUUUUUUUUUUUCAGAUACUUGUUCCUAAUAGGAUGGGUUUGAGAAAUAUGUCAAUGGUUUUAGCAUAUGUUUAUAAAAAAUAAAAAAAAAUUAGAACUCAGGACGUGUUUAGGAUGGAUUUGGAUUUGACUUUAUCCCAUCCAAUCACAUCCCGAUUAUAUAUAAUAUUAAAUAAAAAUUAAUUUUAAUUGAUUUUUUCUUCAUUUUUCAUUUUUUAACAUAUGUAAAAUAUUGCUUUUAUAAAAAUAAAUUAUAAUAUUUAUUAAUUUAUAAAUUAUAUUUAUUUUUAAUAUUAUUUAAAAUUUUAUAAGUAAAAAAAAAACACUAAAAAAAAUUGAACAAAAGUAAAAAAGUUAAAUAAGACGAAGUGAGAUGGAUAUGAGAAUUUCCUAUACUGGUCCCACCCUACUUCAUCACAUUUUAAUUUGUUUUUUAAGUGGGGAUAGGAAUGGAUAUAAAUAAACGUGUUGAUGAUGGAAUGGAGAUGACUCGUGUCAAACCCACCCAAUUAUGAUCCCUAAUUGUAACAAAAGGGCAAAAGAUGGGUAGUAGUUGUAAUUUAUAGAGUUUUACAUUUAAAUAAAAAGAAAAUUGUAUGUAUCCUCAAUUUAAAUUCUAUAUUCAACUCAAGUCUAUGUGUAUUAUGGGAAUACGGGAAUGGUUUCUAUAAUAUAUAUAUAUAUAUAAGCAUUAGUUUUGCCACUAGAAAAUUUGAAUAUCAAUAAUAAUUGGGGAAGGAGAAAUUAGAAUAUUUCAAAAGCCAAAACCCUCCAAAGCAUUUUGGCAAAACUCUAAACAUAUAAACAUGAAUGCACAUGGGGGAAAAGAGUGAAAAGACUCAUGCAAUUGACUUUUUGUACUGCUCAGUGCUCAUUAUAGCUGUAUUGACUAGUAAGUGAGAUUAUUGGCCUUGGCACAUGGGUUUGAUAAGUUUUUUUACCUACCCUUUGUAAAUAACUGUUUGGAUCUACAACAAAGGGUAUCAUCCCUUCCUAGGGUGGCUGAAUGGUUUGUGGACAAACCUUUUAGAAAAACUUGUGUUUUGGGCCGCCCAUUUGGUGAUAAUAAGGUUUUCAGAACCUAAAAAUUAGAAAUCCAAGAUUCCCCCAUUAAUAUGGAAAAAUAUAUGAUUUUUGUGAACUCGAUGCUAAGUGGUCUUUUUAUACCCACUUUGCCCUUACAUAAUCUCCAUAUCAGCAUCCACGUUGCAUUAUUGCAAUCUGAAAUUUCCCAAACAACAUUUCUCUCUUUUUUUUAUUCCCUCAUCACCCGAACAAAGUGUCAUUUGAAAUUUUCCUAUUUUUGAAACAAGAUUUCUCGUCUUCCUCUCAUUUUGCCCUAACCCCAACCUAAGAUAGUCAAUUCAAUGAAAGAAACUCGAGCAUUCCCCUCAAAUCGUCUAUUUCCUACUCACUAUCACACCUACCAUAGGCAACACCUCUUCCUCACUAUCGUUGCCACAUUUUCCCUUGCCGCCUCCAAAUCCAAUGUUUCCACCUCUCUAUGUUACCUCUCUUAAUGUUCAAAGCCUGAACCUCUUUGGUGAAAUCUUUCCUAGUGAAACUUAAACUAAUAAUAUUUUCAUUUUGAGGUUAAUUAAAUUUAGAGAUUUUUUUUUUUUUUUUACUUCGUUACUUUCUAAUGCCUCUCAUUUUUUUUUUUCAUUACUGAUGAGGUUGUUGAAGAUAGAAGACACAUUUGUAAUGUUCUGGAAGGUCAACUCAAAAACACAGGCACAAUUUGUCCUCGUAUCUAUACUUUUGGCAUGGGUAUCAGGUCAGUGAAAAAUGUUAGAUUUCAUAUUCUAUUCAAUGAUCAUACAGGAUCGUAUGUUGAAUCACGUGAAGAAAUUAUGUCAUAAUUACUAUUAAAAAUUGUACCAACCUGAAUCCAUGUGUGAAUUUGAAGACGGUACGGAUCUUCUAAGGCUGAUGGAGGGCACCACCUUUCUCUGGAUUCUCUCAGGCAAUGGGAGCGGAAGAGAGAGCGGUUCUGUUCUUUCAAAAGGAUGUGAUAGAUCCAAAAGACACAAGCCUAAGCCUUUUAUACCCUCCUAUCUUAGGGACCAUACCCAUUGGUUAUUGGGCCUCAUGGGCCUUAGGCCCAUCAUCUAAAGCCCGUGAUGGCAUUGGGCUUUACACUUUAGGUGGUCCAUACUCAAGAUUAAAUCAGAAAUUGCAUGUUAAAAGAUAGCUUAAUCCUGGACAAUGUUUAAUAUAUUGUCGGUCCACAUUUAUUCUAUCAAUCUCCCACUUGGACCACAUAUAUAUUACAAACAAUGUUCAUGAUAGUACUUUAUUGAGCUCAUCUUUGCUAUCUUAUUCAAAAUAUCCUUAAACAAUCCGGUCUACUAAUUAUGCUAACAUAGGAUUAAAGCGGCCUUCGUUAAUCAUAAUUAUAACUUGACCUAUCAUCAAUCACAACAUUAACAAAAUUAGCAACAUGGAUCAAGUAUGGAUGUGUAGUAUGGAAAUUAUAUAGAAUAUGAUCUUCAAUAUGUCUAUUUCCAAUUGGUCCUACUUUAUGACUAAAAGAUAGCCAAAUACCACUUUCAACACUUGAUGCUAAACUGCUUUUGAAAGUCAUCAUUUCAAUUUAGAGUGUUCAAAUACAAUAGUCUUUAAAAUCAAGAUCUGUACAGAUAACACAACAUAAUAUCACAUCAAGAGAAUAAACACAAAAUCUAGAUACAAACUCCCACUAUUCUGACACAUCAUCAAUGUGUACAACACCCAUAUGUGUGACGUGCUCAUGAUAUACUUUGGGUGGCAAACCCUUAGUGAGCAGAUCCGCAAUCAUGGAGUUUGUACUUAUGUAUUCAAUUGAUACUUGAAGACUCUGAACUCUCUCUUUCACAACCAAGAACUUGAUGUCAAUGUGUUUGGACUUUGACGAACUUCGGUUGUUCUUAGAAUAUAAUUCUGCGGCCUUAUUAUCACAGUUAAUUCUCAACGGUUUCUCAAUCUCAUCAACUAUUCGUAACUGAGUGACAAAAUUCCGCAGCCAUAUCCCAUGGUUUGAUGCUUUGUAGCAAGCUAUGAAUUCUGCCUCCAUGGUGGAAGAAGCAAUAAGUGUUUGUUUAACACUUUUCCAUGAAACUGCUCCUCCAGCCAACAUGAAGAUGUAGCCUGAAGUGGAUCUCCUACUGUCAAGACAUCCCGCGAAAUCGGAGUCCGAAUAUCCCACGAUUUCUAAACGACUUGAUCUACGGUAUGUGAGCAUGUAAUCUUUAGUUCUUUGUAAAUACCGCAUAACUCGUUUUACCUUUUUCCAAUGAUCCAUACCUGGGUUACUUAAAUAUCUGCCUAACAUUCCAACAAUGUACGCAAUAUCCGGACGCGUACAAACUUGUGCAUACAUGAGACUUCCUACUACCGAGGCAUAGGGAAAUCUCUUCAUAUCUUUCUUUUCAAGUUCAUUUUUCAGACAUUGGUGCAAACUAAACUUAUCGCCUUUUGCUAUAAGCGUGUCUCCUGGUGCACAAUUGCUCAUGCCAAAUCUACUCAACACCUUAUCGAUGUAGGCCUUUUGUGAUAACCCAAGUAUACCUCUUGAACGAUCCCUAUGGAUCUGUAUACCCAGCACAAAAGAUGCAUUACCAAGAUCCUUCAUGUCAAAUUUACUAGACAGAAAUUGCUUGGUUUCAUGCAAAAGUCCCACAUCACUACUUGCAAGUAGAAUAUCAUCAACAUAUAACACCAAGAUAAUAAAUUUGCUCCCACUGAACUUGAGGUAUAUGCAUUGAUCAACGGUGUUCUUCUUAAAACCAAAUGAAGUAAUCACUUUAUUAAACUUUCGGUACCAUUGUCGGGAUGCUUGCUUUAAGCCAUAUAUGGACCUUUUUAAUCUGCAUACAAGUUGCUUUGAAUCAUUAGACUCAAAGUUCUCCAGUUGCACCAUGUAUAUUGUCUCAUCAAUGUUGCCAUUAAGAAACGCAGUUUUAACGUCCAUUUGUACUUGAGGUUCUUGAGGUUGUUGAGUUACCUCUUGAUGAACUUCAAUCGGUUCCAUAACUUGAGCAGGAGGAAUCUCAGGUGUUUCUUGAAUCCCUAUUAUCGAUUGUACAUUUUGAAUAGUGUCAUCAAACAUAAUAUAACCAUGUCCAGUCGUAAUAAUAUGAAUAUUAAUAAUAGGAAUAUUAACAGAUUUUUCUUCAAAGACCACCUUUCUUAAUGGCUCUCUCCCACUUAACUCAACAUCCUUAAUGAACUUAGCAUUGCCCGUUUCAAAGAAAGAUCUAGUUGAGAGAUCAUAAAAUUUGAAACCUCUCGACCUUUUAGAAUACCCUACAAAGUAGCAGCUUACUGUUCUGGAGUCCAAUUUCUUUUCAUUUGGCUUGUAAGGCCUAGCUUCAACUGGACAACCCCAGACAUGCAAGUGCCUAUGUAGACCCUCAAUUUUGUCCCUUUAGCACAUGUCUUUAAAAUUCAUUUUCAAUGCUCUGACUCAUGCCCAAUUGGUGUCUCAGCUGAUUUGUGUUCAGCUGGUGCUCCUUGAUUGAGGAAGUGAUCAACAAAAUUUAUACCUAUAACACCAUACACUAGGGUAGCAAAUACAAAGCUACUAUAGUAUAGUGGCUCUAAGGAUCGUUCACUGGGAAUGAUUUGCAAGCAAUCAAGGAUACCAAUUCCAAGUGAAUUGGUCUUGUUUCAUUUCACGGUUAGCUUAAGAAGUAAAACACAAAGUUUGAUUGGUAAAGGUUGAGACUUAAACUAACUAACUUAAUAGAAGUUUGGAAUAAUUUAGGAAGAAAAGCAUUCCUUGGAGAUUUAGGUUCACUGGGGUGGUUCCUCAUGCAAAAGACAUAGCUCCGGUCAGAUGGUUCAUUUCCUCGCAUUAGAGAUUCAACUUAUAGUCAAUUCUCUAACCGGUGAUGUACAGAGACUCCUUCAAUUAGAUUUCACUUUAAUUCUCUCACUGAUACAACUUGCAAUGGUUCAUGCCUCUCACGAGCACUUACCAUUCAAGGUGAUCUUUAACCUUGGACUUCCCUUCACAAACUCGCAAGAGAUAACUAAUGGAUGUCUCCUAGGAGUCCAAAAGCUUACCAAGUGUUGGUAAUUCCAGAAAAUCCUACCUUGAAGUCACCUAACAGAGGCUCGCAAGGGGUAAACUAGUGCAUUUCCACGGUUGGAAAUCACUUGCCUUACCAAGUGUUGGCCUAGGUGACUCCAAGGAGUUUUAAGUUAACUAAAAACAUUGAAAUCACUAAAGGAUUUCACUUCCUCUUCAUUACUAGCUAAAACCACAGAGCUUUGCAUUCUUGCACUUGGAACCUUCCCUGGCAACCUUAGCUCCAAGGAAUUGGAGGUUUAGUUACUCAUUCUCUGGGGAAAACUCCUUAGAGAAUUCAUAACUUAGAAAUAAAAUGAAAAUACAAAGUGAGAAGGUAAGGCAGUAGAAAGAAAAGAGACUUUACUUGCUUACCAAAUGGUUACAGAAGGAACUCCUCUUUGAGAACAUGCUCCCGAGAGGUAUUUAUAUCAAAGCAAUAAAAAACUAAUUCUUACACUGAUAUUUGGUCUUUUUACUAACUUAAAAACUAAGGAAUCAUGUAAUUGGUGGUUUACAAGGAGUAUUUUGGGAUUUAGACAACAAAAAUCUAAUGGAAAAUAUCUCCCAAUGUCGGUAGCAAGCUUCGGGAGGCUUCCGGAGCCAUUUCGCAGGAGAAAAGUGGUGCCUGCGAAAUUUCGCAGACACCCAAGAGGGCUGCGAAAUUAUUUCGCAAGACUGAGCUAUCUUCACCAGGCUGCAAAGUUGGCUUCCAUCUUGAAGUUUCUAGCUUCCCUCUCGCGGCAUGGUUCGUGCAUCGUUAGAAAGAGAAACACCUUACUGUACAAAAGUGUUGCGAAAUUCUCGUAACAAAAGGCUGAUUCCGCAACACUUUAGAGUGACUGGCUUGUAAUGGCUGCAACUUCUUCGUUUCAACUCCAAAUUGCACACCGUUUGAAGCAUUGGAUUGUUGACUUCCUGAGCUUUGAAAUGGUAUAUAGCUUGCAUCAUUUGGACUUCAGAAAGUGCUCCAAAAGUGGCUGCUACGACUGUCAUCAAGAAUAGGCUUUAUGGCAGAUUCUCUUUGCUUUUUCUCCUUGCAAUCCGGAUUCACUUUUGGUAAUUGAAUUCUAAGCUUUGCCCAUGAUUCCUCAUAGCUCUCCUCAUUCUUGACUUGCUUUGGUGAUCAAAAUACUAACAAAAACACCAAAACUUACACAAAGUGAUCAAAAUUGCUUUAAAGGAUCCUUAACAUGCCAAUUGAGUUAAAAGGCCUAAACUACUACUCAAANNNNNNNNNNNNNNNNNNNNNNNNNNNNNNNNNNNNNNNNNNNNNNNNNNNNNNNNNNNNNNNNNNNNNNNNNNNNNNNNNNNNNNNNNNNNNNNNNNNNNNNNNNNNNNNNNNNNNNNNNNNNNNNNNNNNNNNNNNNNNNNNNNNNNNNNNNNNNNNNNNNNNNNNNNNNNNNNNNNNNNNNNNNNNNNNNNNNNNNNNNNNNNNNNNNNNNNNNNNNNNNNNNNNNNNNNNNNNNNNNNNNNNNNNNNNNNNNNNNNNNNNNNNNNNNNNNNNNNNNNNNNNNNNNNNNNNNNNNNNNNNNNNNNNNNNNNNNNNNNNNNNNNNNNNNNNNNNNNNNNNNNNNNNNNNNNNNNNNNNNNNNNNNNNNNNNNNNNNNNNNNNNNNNNNNNNNNNNNNNNNNNNNNNNNNNNNNNNNNNNNNNNNNNNNNNNNNNNNNNNNNNNNNNNNNNNNNNNNNNNNNNNNNNNNNNNNNNNNNNNNNNNNNNNNNNNNNNNNNNNNNNNNNNNNNNNNNNNNNNNNNNNNNNNNNNNNNNNNNNNNNNNNNNNNNNNNNNNNNNNNNNNNNNNNNNNNNNNNNNNNNNNNNNNNNNNNNNNNNNNNNNNNNNNNNNNNNNNNNNNNNNNNNNNNNNNNNNNNNNNNNNNNNNNNNNNNNNNNNNNNNNNNNNNNNNNNNNNNNNNNNNNNNNNNNNNNNNNNNNNNNNNNNNNNNNNNNNNNNNNNNNNNNNNNNNNNNNNNNNNNNNNNNNNNNNNNNNNNNNNNNNNNNNNNNNNNNNNNNNNNNNNNNNNNNNNNNNNNNNNNNNNNNNNNNNNNNNNNNNNNNNNNNNNNNNNNNNNNNNNNNNNNNNNNNNNNNNNNNNNNNNNNNNNNNNNNNNNNNNNNNNNNNNNNNNNNNNNNNNNNNNNNNNNNNNNNNNNNNNNNNNNNNNNNNNNNNNNNNNNNNNNNNNNNNNNNNNNNNNNNNNNNNNNNNNNNNNNNNNNNNNNNNNNNNNNNNNNNNNNNNNNNNNNNNNNNNNNNNNNNNNNNNNNNNNNNNNNNNNNNNNNNNNNNNNNNNNNNNNNNNNNNNNNNNNNNNNNNNNNNNNNNNNNNNNNNNNNNNNNNNNNNNNNNNNNNNNNNNNNNNNNNNNNNNNNNNNNNNNNNNNNNNNNNNNNNNNNNNNNNNNNNNNNNNNNNNNNNNUUUUUUUUUUUUUUUUUGGAAAUUUUAGUUUUUGAUUAAUUCUUUGUGUUAAAGUUUAUAUUUUUUCUUUUUAAAUCCCCAAUUAGUUUAAUUCUAAUCUAUCUUUUAGUUUAAGUUUGUUAAUGAUUUUAAUUCUUAAGUUUAAAUAAUCAUAUUGAAUAAAGUUUGUAUUUUUAAUCCCAAUUAGUUUGAUUUCAAUUCGUUUUUAAUUUAAAUGCAUUAGUUGAUCUUAAUUCUUUGUUUUAAAUAAUCACGUUAAAUAAAGUUUGUAUUUUUAAUCCCAAUUAAUUCGAUUUCAAUUCGUUUUUUAGUUUAAAUGUAUUUUGUUGAUCUUAAUUCUUUAGUUUAAAUAAUCAUAUCGAAUAAAGUUUGUAUUUUUAAUCCCAAUUAGUUUGAUUUUAAUUUGUUUUUUUUAGUUUAAAUGUAUUUUGUUGAUCUUAAUUAUUGACUUUAAAUAAUCACGUUAAAUAAAGUUUAUGUUUUUAAUCUCAAUUAGUUUGAUUCCAAUUCGUUUUUAGUUUAAAUGUAUUUUAUUGAUCUUAAUUCUUAAGUUUAAAUAAUCAUAUCGAAUAAAGUUUGUAUUUUUAAUCCCAAUUAGUUUGAUUUUAACUUGUUUUUUAGUUUAAAUGUAUUUUAUUGAUCUUAAUUCUUAAGUUUAAAUAAUCAUAUCGAAUAAAGUUUGUAUUUUUAAUCCCAAUUAGUUUGAUUUUAACUUGUUUUUUAGUUUAAAUGUAUUUUGUUGAUUUUAAUUCUUAAGUUUAAAUAAUUGUAUUGAAUAAAGUUUGUAUUUUUAAUCCCAAUUAGUUUGAUUUCAAUUCAUUUUUAAUCUAAAUGCAUUAGUUGAUUUUAAUUCNNNNNNNNNNNNNNNNNNNNNNNNNNNNNNNNNNNNNNNNNNNNNNNNNNNNNNNNNNNNNNNNNNNNNNNNNNNNNNNNNNNNNNNNNNNNNNNNNNNNNNNNNNNNNNNNNNNNNNNNNNNNNNNNNNNNNNNNNNNNNNNNNNNNNNNNNNNNNNNNNNNNNNNNNNNNNNNNNNNNNNNNNNNNNNNNNNNNNNNNNNNNNNNNNNNNNNNNNNNNNNNNNNNNNNNNNNNNNNNNNNNNNNNNNNNNNNNNNNNNNNNNNNNNNNNNNNNNNNNNNNNNNNNNNNNNNNNNNNNNNNNNNNNNNNNNNNNNNNNNNNNNNNNNNNNNNNNNNNNNNNNNNNNNNNNNNNNNNNNNNNNNNNNNNNNNNNNNNNNNNNNNNNNNNNNNNNNNNNNNNNNNNNNNNNNNNNNNNNNNNNNNNNNNNNNNNNNNNNNNNNNNNNNNNNNNNNNNNNNNNNNNNNNNNNNNNNNNNNNNNNNNNNNNNNNNNNNNNNNNNNNNNNNNNNNNNNNNNNNNNNNNNNNNNNNNNNNNNNNNNNNNNNNNNNNNNNNNNNNNNNNNNNNNNNNNNNNNGUAGAGACCUCUUUAGGGCUUAGAGGGGUGCUACCUCCUAGAGGUACCUUCCCAAUAAGUAACCUGAUCCCCGGACCAAGACUUGGGUUUUCAAAGACACGCUUUUCCAAAAAUUAUGGAGUCAUUUUUUUAGGGUUUUAUUUCUUGUUUUAUUUUCCCUUCAAAAAUAAAAAUAAAAUAAGUGGCGACUCCAACUUUUUUUCAAAAAAUCAAAUUUUCACAAAUAAAUAAAAAGCGAGUCUCGCCGAUCGAAUGGGGACGCACGUGAAAAAUGCGGGUCCACAGCCUAAUACUAGGUUUCUUGCUAGUCCAUAACUCAUAUGGGGUUUUGGCUACUGCUUUGCUUGGUACUCUAUUCAAAAUAUAAACUGCAGUUUUAAUGGCUUCGCCCCAAAGUGAUUCUGGUAAGGUGGAAUGAUUGAUCAUACUUCUUACCAUAUCCUUAAGAGUACGGUUUCGCCUCUCUGCUACACCAUUUUGGCUCGAUACCACACUUCAUCAAAUAUUUGGCGAAUGGCCCUGGACGUUGUUCUCCGGAUCCGUCAUAUCUACCAUAAUAUUCACCUCCACGGUCAUAUCUGACAGCUUUUAUUUUCUUGCUUAGUUGGUUCUCAACUUCAGCUUUGAAAUUCUUUAACACAUCCAAUGACUGAGACUUUUCAUGAAUCAAAUAAAGAUAGCUAUAAUGCGAGUAAUCGUCAAUGAAAGUGAUAAAAUAUUGUUGUCCAUUCCAUGAAGGGGUAGGAAAUGGACCACAAAUGUCUGUAUGUAUCAAUUCCAAGACGUCACUGCACCUAUUGGCAUUCUUUUUCUUCAUAUUUGUUUGUUUUCCUUUAAUGCACUCUAUACAGACUUGAAAGUCUGAGAAAUCAAGUGGAUCGAGAAUUCCAUCUGACACAAGUCUUUGUAUUCGUUGAUUUGAAAUAUGACCCAAACGCUUGUGCCAUAACAUUGAUGAAUUCUCAUUCAUUAAUUUUCGCUUAAUGCAUAAUUACUUGAAUGCAAGGUUUCAUUUCCAUUAGUGGCCUUUAUGUUCAAUUUAUAUAGUUUGUUUGUUAGACUACCUGUACCAAUAAUAUUUGAAUUUAGAUAAAGACUAACCAUUCCAUUUCCAAAUGAACAACAAUAUCCAAAUUUGUCCAAACAUGAAACAUAAAUUAAAUUCCGUCUAAACGACGGUACUACAAAAAUCUCUUCCAAAUCCAAUGUACAUCUAGAGUCUAACUGUAAUCUGAAAAGACCAAUAGCCUUGACUGCAGCCUUGUUGCCAUUUCCCACAUAGAUGUAUCUUUCACCAUCAGUUGGCAUUCGGCUCCUUAGGCAACCCUGCAUAGUGACACUAAUGUGAGUAGUUGUACCCGUAUCUAUCAACCAAGUGUCAGUAGGCACUACAGCUAAAUUAAUUUUUGAACAAACAAAAUUGAGAAGUGUACCUUUCUUUUCAUGCCACUCAGCGUAUUUGGUACAUGUCUUCUUCAUAUGAUCAGCCUUCUUACAAAAGAAACAAGUGAUCUCCUUAUCUUGUUUCUUUUGCUCCUUUUGCUUUGAUGUCCCAAAAACUACAGUUUGUUUUCCUUUAUUGUCCCUCUUUCUUUUCUUGUUGGUACCAAAUCCCUGAGAUGUGGAAGCCAAGUGAGCACUUUCUAUCUUUUCUUGCUUCAAUCUCUCUUCCUCUUGCACACAUUAAGCAAUAAGUUCAUUCAAAGUCCAUUUUUCCUUUUAUGUAUUGUAACUGAUUUUGAAUGGACUGAAUUAUGUAGGCAUAGAGAUCAAGACCAAGUGCACGAGUAUGUCUUUCGACAACUCUAACUUUAGUGCCUUGAGUCUCGUCACAAGAUUAGACAUUUCCAUAAUGUACUCUCUGAUAUUCUUUUUCCCUUUAUACCGCAUAGAGACAAGCUUACUAAGAAUAGUGCUUGUCUCAACCUUUUCGUUUGCAGCGAAUCAGUUUGCUAUCUGGUCCAAGAAUGCCUUAGCUUGGGUUUCCUCAGGUAUUGCACCCCUUAUUGCUUCUGGAAUUGAGUGCUUCAUAAUCAUUAGACUCAUGCGAUUGGAUCGCUCCCAUUUUUCCAUAGUAGACCUUUGCUCAACAGUGUUGGCACUAGUAAGAUCUGAAGGGCGAUCCUCCCUUAAUGCAAAGUCUAAAUCCAUGCACCCGAGCACAAUUAUAACGUGCUCUUUCCAUUUCUUGAAGUUUGUGCCAUUAAGCACAAGAAUGUUAUUAACAUUUGCAGAUAUAGAAGAUGCUGAAUUCAUAAUAAUAAAGCUCACAAUCAGUCACAUAAGCAUCAUACAUACAUGAAUAAAUAUACAUCAUGCAAGAUACCAGCACAAACAUUAAUAUUCAGUCUUUGGACAAAAAUAUUAACUUGUAAUUGGUAUCCUUAUACAAAAUUAAUUCAUAAAUAUUGACAAUAAAAUCAAACACAAUAUGUCUGUCUUUGGACUAACAUAUCAAUGCAAGAUAAACAUUAUAUGUCACAUAUUUAUGACUACUUUAUCUAUUAAAAUAAUCUUCCUUUGGGCCGAUUAUUUUAAAUAAUAAUAAUAACAUGUUUCAUACUUCAAAAUGAAUAAAAUUAUAUAAUAUAAGUCACUUUGGCAACAAAUAUAUAGAUAACCUAUUCAUUUUGAAACGUUAAACAUAAACGUAAUAAGAAAUAAUAAAUUCUAUAAAAAAAAAGAAUACAGAAAUUCAUCAAAACCAUAAAUUUAUUAUAGUACAAAAUUCAUAAAUAAACAUAAGAGUCUCAUAGCCUAGUUGGUCAAGCACAAGGUUGAAAACCUUGUGGUUGUGGGUUCGAGCCCCAUUGGUGGCCUUACUCAUUUUUCCAUUUUCUUUUUUUCUUUUUUUUUUAUAUAUCAAAAACGCCAUUCAUGGCGUUGGAGGCCGCCCCUGAAGCGCGCACCAGCCGCACCUGAAUUGGCGCUGCAAAAGUUGUCUGCAGCGGCCCAAGAUAAAUGGCGCUCGAAGUGCGCCAAAACGGCGUUGGAGAUGGCACUUUGACGGCGCCUGGACGUUGCCUGAGACGGCAUUUGGACAACGCUUCCCAGGGCGCCUGAACGGCGUCACCGUUGGUGCCUUAACGGCGUCAGAAACAACGCCUAAAGCAGCACCCUAAACCGCGCCUGAAGGCGCUGGAAUGACGCGCCUGAAACGCGCCAGUAGUGUUCUUGAAACGCACCUAAACCGCGGCCUUAAACCUCACCUGCAAUGGCCUGCCUAAUCUGCACCCAAAUGGCUCCUGAAGGCGCUGGAAUGGUGCGCCUGCAAUGGCGCCUGCAUCGUGCCUCCAAGGCACGUGAACAACGCCUCCAAAAGGCGCCUGAAUUGUGCCUUGACUGGCACCUUAACGCCAUCGGAGAGACGCCCUGAAGGGCGCUGCAUAACAACGCCUUUACGGCGCUGAAGAGGCACUUUAAUGGCAUCUGAGUGGCGCCUGCACUGACGCCUUCUCUGGUGCCUCCAAAUGCGCGUGAAACGCACUUCCAAUGGUGCUGAAUCCAAUCAAAAGGAAAAACAAAGGCAGUACAAUUUUUAUUGCCCUAAUAUACCAUUUCUAAGUGAUUCAACAUUGGGCUCUGAUACUAAUUUGUAAGAUUUCAUAUUCUAUUCAAUGAUCAUACAGGAUCGUAUGUUGAAUCACAUGAAGAAAUUAUGUCAUAAUUACUAUUAAAAAUUGUACCAACCUGAAUCCAUGUGUGAAUUUGAAGACGGUACGGAUCUUCUAAGACUAAUGGAGGGCACCACCUUUCUCUGGAUUCUCUCAGGCAAUGGGAGCGGAAGAGAGAGCGGUUCUGUUCUUUCAAAAGGAUGUAAUAGAUCCAAAAGACACAAGCCUAAGCCUUUUAUACCCUCCUGCCUUAGGGACCAUACCCAUUGGUUAUUGGGCCUCACGGGCCUUAGGCCCAUCAUCUAAAGCCCGUGAUGGCAUUGGGCUCUACACAUUAGGUGGUCCAUACUCAAGAUUAAAUCAGAAAUUGCAUGUUAAAAGAUAGCUUAAUCCUGGACAAUGUUUAAUAUAUUGUCGGUCCACAUUUAUUCUAUCAAAAAACUCUUAUGUUCUUGAUCUCACAAUCUUAUAGUGCUUCUAUUCCUUAUGAAUUUUCCAUUCAAUUUUUUGUCUUUUUUAUGUGAAUGACUUUACAGAUUCAUACCAUAGUCAUAACUUCUUACAAUGUUAGCAUAGAUUGGAAGACGUUACUAUGAUGUUGGUCAGUUUAUUGGGUUGUAACUUUAUUUAUUUCUUCAUCACAAAUAAUAACACUGAUGUUGAACUAAUUUACUAAUUGUUGUUCAUGUUGAUAUUACUAAUGCUAAUGUUAAAAGAGGGUAACAAGGAAAAAGUAAAAAAUUAUUAGUUUGGAGCCUAGUUGCAAUAAAUAAAAAUUAAUUACUUUUAAAUUUCAGGUAGGGGUUAGGGAAAAAUGCAACAGAAUGACAGGAAGACGAUAUAUUUUUUUUAAGGAAACCAAUAUUUUGGAUUUCAACUUUUCGUUCAGUUACACUUUGCUAUAGCAAAAUCAGAAUCACAGUUGUGCCUAUUGAAGUUGUCUUUUAAUUGGGUGUUCUUAGGAUGAAGUGCUACAUUUGGUUGCUAAGAAAGUAGACAAGAAAGAAAAAUGUAGGUUGGAGUUUUGGAACCUUUAGUAACCUUUAGGUACUACCUUAGUAACCUUUAAGUACUACCUUAGUGAGAAAAUAAAAGCUAAUCUUAAAUGAGAAAAACACCCAAGAGAGGGGUGAAUUAGGUUUUUCAAAAACUUUUUCAACACAACAAAUUCAAGCACAAUAGAAAUAAAUAUAAAGAGAUAGAGUGAAUUCAAACUCAUAUUUUAUAGUGGUUCGACACUUCCUUGUCUACGUCCACUCUCCUCAAUCUCUUAACCGAGUGAGGGUUUCACUAACUUGGAGCUUCAAACAAGCUUCUAAUCUCCUUUACACUUGGAUUCUGACGCCAAUGAGCUCUUAUACAAUCUCUUCAAGAUUCAACUCACUUGAAGGCUCUAACACUCAAUUUACAAGAAUGAUCUCCUCUCAACCUAGCUCAAUAAUGGCUCAAAUACAAAUCAAAGCUAAGAUAACUCACAAUGGUGCACUAAAAGAUAUGCAAGUGAAGAUUUAAUGCACUAAUAAAGAAAUGAGAGCUUUUAAGAUAAGAACAAGUGGGUAGACAAUUAAAUGCAAGUUUUCUCUAUUUCAUGAAUGAAGUGGAGCUCUCAAUUUAUAGGUUUCUAACAUCGGGAACCAAGAAAAACAAAAAGUAGUCUCAACCAAUCGAGCUGGGGUCGACUGGUUCACUAGUCGUUUGAGCAUUUAAUGCUUUGGCAGGUUACCGUUUCUCUAUGUCAUUAAUGCUUUGUCAUUUCCUAGAACACUCACUUGUUUCAUGGCAUAGUAAGAAGCAAAAUUCGGUAGCUUUGUCUACGGCAGAAGCCGAAUAUAUAGCAGCCGGUUUAUGUUGUGCACAAAUCCUUUGGAUGAAACAAACACUUAGUGAUUUCAAUUUGAUUUUUGAGCAUGUUCCUAUUAAAUGUGAUAACACUAGUGCCAUAAACAUUUCAAAAAAUCCAGUGCAACACUCUAGGACUAAGCAUAUAGAGAUUAGACACCAUUUUCUUAGAGACCAUGCACAAAAGGAUGACAUUACACUUGAAUUUGUAAGCACAAAAGAUCAACUUGCCGAUAUUUUUACAAAACCCCUAAGUGAAGAGCAAUUUAUUGAUAUUAGAAGACAACUAGGGGUGAUUUCUUUAUGAUCAAAUGAUUGCUUAAUGAAUUCUUGAUUGAAUAUACCUUAUGAUUGCGUGAAUUUCAUAUCAUAAGCAUCAUAUAGAAAUAAUCUUAGGAAAGAGGUCAAAUUUUGACCAAAAAUCAAAAUUCCCGUGACAUUGGACAUAAAAAAUUGGAGAUUUCAACUGAAAAGGGCAGUGGGAGGAUCAUGAGACAAGAAAAUGCAAAAAAUUGGACCGUUGACCGUUGACCGUUGACCGUUGACCGAUGAUCUUUGACCAAGCGAUAGACCGGUUGAGGAAUCGGUCGACCAGUUCGUCGGGGCUGGGAAUUUAAAAAGACCCCCGCGUGUUAUUUCUCUCACUAUUCUCCUUCACUCCUUGAAAACCCUUCACAUACCUGCUUCUAAAGACCAUUUUGGGUUGGAUUUUGGACUGAUUGAAGGCUUUGGAGUUGAUCUUGGAACGCUUUAGGCUAGGGUUUCAUUUUGAAAGGAUUUUCAGAUUUGGGUGCUUCUUCUCUCUGACCGCACACCUCAAGCUUGGAUUCAGCCUCAUUUCCGUGCAUUUAGGGCUUCAGGUUGGACUUCAUUCCCUCUCAUUUGGUUUCAGCCUCAUCUCCGUUCAUUUUCUCCCUUUUUCGUUCCUUUGAUGGCUCCUAGGCGAGAGACGGGCACCUCCAGGGCUCAGGGCAAGCACCCUACUGAGCCAUCUCAGCCUGAGCAGACGGAGGCUCGCCGAAAGGUGAGGUAUGACACGACCCUCUUCAGUUCUGUCAAAAAUUAUUAGCGAUACAAGCAAAAGUUCGCCUAAAGGAAAGUCAUCCUGGGGAGAAGUAUCAAUUUCUCCCAACUUUAGCACUUCGGGUUUGAGGGACUCUUCAAUAGGAUGGGAUGGCUACCAGUUGUGACGAUUUUUGAGCAGAUCUUCCCGACUCUAGUGCAGGCUUUUUAUUCACGGGUGACCUAUGGGCUUGGAGGACCGGUAUUGUCCACAGUUAAAGGAAUUGAGAUCAGAUUGAGCCCAUAGAGUAUUUGCCGCAUUCUCGAUAUUCCUUCAGUUGGACUUCGAGUUUAUGAGGCAAAAGCGUGGCCCACUAUGCCGGGAUUCGAGCCUAAAGAGGUUGUUCAGAGGUUGUGCGGACUCACAAAUGCCCAAGGGAUGGGCAAACCAUCGGCACACAGCCUGACCGUGCCCAAUCAGGUCCUUCAUCACAUGAUCUGCUCCAUCUUAUUGCCACGAGGAGGAGAUCGAGACGAGGUCUCCUACCUUGAGGCCUUCAUUGUGGACUCGAUUCUGAUUGGGAGACGGAUUCACGUAGGGUAUCUGAUGAUGAUGCAUAUGAUAUCCUGCAUUGAGAGCACGACUUGAGUACUCCCCUACGACUGUUUCCUUACCCGUGUAUUCAAGGAUACCGGGGUUGACUUGAGCAGAGAGACGGUCUUCGAGGCCCCUACUAGCUAUGACACUUAUGAUGAGCAAUCCUUGGAGCAAAUGAAGUUCGAGAAGGCACCUGAUGGCUCCUAGGUUAGGAGAGUUAAGUGAUAGGCCUGAGGACAGGGACAAAUGCAUCCCGGAGCAGAUGAAAAGGCCGAGAUCAGAGAGAUGGAGGAUGGGUUAGACCCUUAGAGGGAUUUUGAGCAGAGAGGGCUCGAGCUUGACAUUCCGCCUCCACCUCAGUCAGAAGGUAUUCAUGUUGAGGCCACUUUCUCAGAGCCUAUGAUGACUGAGUCGUCUUACACAACAGGACCAUCAUCUCAGCCAUCAUUUGUUGAGCUUCCUCACACAAAGCUACCAUCUCAGGCACCUCACACCGAUUACUACCAAAAAAUGCUAUUUUGUAGAUCUAAUUAUAAUGGUUUCAAGCACCUUUAAGUAGUAAUCAUAUUCAUUUAACCCAAUUAAUUCAUUAAGGUCCUUAGUAAUUGGUUUUAACCAUUUUGUGGCAAGUUUACAUAUUUUUAUUAGCUUAUGAACCAAUUCAAGCAUGCCAAUUGAUGGAAGAGAUAUUUGGGCGAGUUAAGCAAGGAUUUUGGACAAUUACAUGCUUGAAUUUCAAGUGGAAACACGAGCACAAGCAAUGGAGAAGAGGAAAACAGAGUGAAGAAAACAACUGCAGUCUUCUUUUGCACUUUUGAAGCACUUUCUGAAGUCCAUUUUUUUGUAUUCUAUAUACCAUUUGAAAUCUUAGGAAGUCAAGAAUCCAACGCUUCAAACCGUGUAUGAUUUGGAGCUGAAAUGAGGAAGAUAUGGCCUUCGGAAGGCAACUGGAUCAUGUCAAAUGACCAAUUUCGCAAGGAGAUUUUCUUCAUGGUGCGAAAUUUUGCCACUUCGCACCAUGAAGAAACACCUUGUGAAAUUUCGCAAGGUGGAUUUAGGCACAUUGCGAAAUUCCUUUGAAUCCCCUGUUUUGAGACGUUGUUGAUGUUAUUCCACUGCCGGUUCUCCAAGAUAUUUUGCUUGAUUUUUAGCUUUGUAAAUACCUAUUUUACCCUUGUAAUCAACCAAUGAAUAGGUUGCUUUUGUAAUAGCUCUUGUAAUUUAGCUUGUUAUUGUCUUUAAAUAGAGGUGAAGAGCCUCAGAUCAUCGAAUCUUGUAACCUGUAACUUUAUAAGUUAUAAGAGCACUUUUGUUCAUACGUUUCUUUUCUCUUUUCUUUCUCAUUUUCUUAGUAGCCAAACAUCCUUGGAGGAUGAAAUCCCCAAGGAUGAGAGGCUAAAACCUUUUAGUUUCUUGAAGUAAUGGAUGCCAUGUGAAGCUCCCGUGUCAGGAUGGAGAUUUCCAAGCCAUGAAUGUAAGUAGCUGAGCGUCAUAAAUGUUUUCAUUCAAAGUAAAGCUUUUAAUCCCUCUGACUUGCUUUGAAUGGCCAAUACUUGAUAACCUUUUGGUCUCAGUGGAUUCUUAUUGUUAGAUCCACUGAUGUUCAUUAGUUAUCUCCUACGAGCCAUUGUAUUGCAAGUCGAGGAGAUGACCUAUAUCAUUAAAAGGGCAUUUAUGAGGUUCAGCUACCCUUUUUGUAAGUUUUCAAGGACUAAAACUCAGUUGUUAAACUCAUACCGGUUCGGGAAGUAAGCAUCACCUUAGUUGCUUCCCCAACUCGAGGUGAAAAGUCCCAAAAUCUCCAUUUUUACACAGUGAGUUAAGCAUGGCUAUCCAAAGCUUUGAGAAACCUCCUUUUCCAUCUUUUAACCUAUUUUCAUGUUUGUUUAGUUUACAACACCUUCAUCUUUUUAUGUUUUCAUCUUAACCUAAUUUUUAUUAAGAAAAGUUCACUCCAUCCUCCGAACUUCAGCAGUUAAAGUAAAAACCCUUCCUAGUGUUCGAUCCUAGAGCCACUAUGCUAUAGUAGCUUUGCUACUUUAGUGUAAGGACCUUAGGUAUAAAUUUUGUUGAUACCCUUACAUGCCAAGCUACCAAGAGUCGGGUUGUCACACACUCUUGAUCAUGCGCCUUGGAUGGAUGUCUCAGCUCAGAUCAACUCCCUUGGGACACGUAUGGAAGAGCUUACUCUAGUCCAUGACACUCGCUUCUAUUCUAUGGAGGAGCACAUAGGUCAGUAUCAAACUGGCUUCACUUCUCGAUUUGAGCACUUCUAACAGAGAUUUGAGCGCAUAGAAGAGCGUAUGGAUCAACAGCAGGCUACAUUCGAGCAUCUCCAGUAGAGUAUUGAUCACAUUGAGAGUCGCCAGGCGAGUUAGCAUGAGGAGAUGAUGGCUUACCUUCGCUCUGUAUUUCCUCCUCCACCCCCUCAGCCUUGAGAUUAGCUAGAGUUCCCCCUCAAUUUCUUUUUUAUGUUGCCAAAAAGGGAGAAAUAUAUAGGAUCUAGGAGACCCUCAUGCAUAUCAUUGUCAUCAUUGUCAUAUUUAUCUUGUUUAACAUAUGUUUUCAUGUACAUGUGAAGUUACCAUAUAUAUAUGAUAUGAUAUUUUUAUGAUCCAUUGUUUCCUAUUCAAAUUUUCGUGUUUUACAUUGUUUCCUAUUAAAAAUUGUUUGAUUGAUCCAUGAUUGGUUUGAGGGGGAGAUUUUUUUCUCUCUUAGAUAACCAAGGUUUGUCAUCAUCAAAAAGGGAGAGAUUGUUAGCCCAAGGGUUCUCCUAAUCAGGUUUUGAUGAUAACAAACCAUGGUUAAGUGACUAAUUGGUUUAAUGAUUAAGAAUCUCAGGCAUAAACUCGAAAAUUCAUAAAAUGACCAAAUGGAUACAAGAUCGAGAUGCUUGGAAGACUUGUGAUCAUAGGAAACUAAUGUAAAAUGAAUGCAUGAAUGCACUUAGGAUUUUCACACAUUUCAUGCAACAUAGAAAACUCGGUUUAUUCUUUAAAACUUUGAUUUCAUUAAAACCCGAGUUUUUAACUAAUGUACCUUAGGCAAAAUAUUUUAUAAUUGGCUUAAUAAUUCACCUAAAGACCUUACCUAAGUGUUAGAAAAGAAAGGAAUUAAAAAAAAAAAAGGUUUUCGGGGUCAAAAAGGCUCAAUCGGUCGAGGCUAUGGCCAACCGGCUCAACCGAUUGAGGAACCGGUCAACCGGUUGUUCUUGUCCGGUAGAGGACCGGUCGAUGGAUGCCAAAAACUUUCUCUCUCUCCUAGUGGCCUUCUCUUCCUGAUCGAGGUGAUUCUUUUCCUGGUCGAGGACCGGUUGAGGCAACGAUAACCUGUCAUGCAUUAAAUGCUCCAACAGCUAGUGAACCGGUCAACCCCUAACUCGAUCGGACGAGGUUACCUUUUGCUGUUUUUUACUCCCGAGCUUAGAAACCUAUAAAUUGAGAGCUCCACUUCAUUUUUUUAUAAGAGAACGCUUGCAUUCAAUAGUCUACCUACCUAUUUUUGAUCAAAAAGCUCUCAUUUCUUUCAUAGUGCAUUAAAUCACCACUUGCAUAUCCUUUAGUGCACUCUUGUGUGUCAUCCUAGCUUUGUCUUGUAUUUGAGCUAUCCUUAAGCUAGGUUGAGGGAUUAUUUCUUGUAAAAAUCUUAGUGUUAAAGCCUUCAAGAGGUUUGAAUCUUGAAGAGAUUGUGUAAGAGCCCAUUGGAGCCGGAAUCCAAGUGUAAGAAGAUUAGAAGCUUAGUUGAAACUUCAAGUUAGUGGAACCCUCACUCGGUUAGGAGAUUGAGGAAAGUGGACGUAGGUAAGGAAGUGUCGAACCACUAUAAACUCGAGUUUGAAUUCUCUAACUCUAUUUUUUUAUUUUGCUUAUAUUGUGUUUGAAUUUGUUGUGAUUGAAAAGAUUUUAAAAACCCAAUUCACCCCCCCCCCCCUUUUGGGUGUUUUUCUUAAUUAAGCAUAGCCUUUGUUUUCUCAACAUUCUUAUUGUGUGUUUAUGUGUAGAUGAUUUAAUUAUCACUAGUAAUAAUUUGAAGAUGAUUGUGGAAUUCAAAGAGGUGAUGAUUAGUCGGUUUGAGAUGACAAAUUUGGGAUUGAUGCCUUAUUUUCUUGGGAUUGAAGUAAUUCAAAGUAGAUACAAGUAUCUUCCUUUUUUUAAAUAAGUAUGCAAAUGAUAUUCUUAAAAAAUUCAAGAUGGAAUCUUAUAAUCUUAUUCUAACUCAAAUUAAAGAAAGACUUAAAUCAGGAAAAAGUAAGUAUGGUGAGUUAGUUGAUCCUACUAAUUUUAGAAGAAUGAUUGAAAGUUUGUGGUAUUUGACUUCUAUAAGACCAGAUAUUAUAGUUAGAGUUGGACUUGUAAGCAUAUUUAUAGUCUCCAUGUCAGUUUCACUUGCAAGUAGUAAACCACAUAUCCUACAAUACAUUAAAAUUAUGCAAAGUGAUGGCAUUUUUUAUACAUAUUACAACAAGAUUGAGCCUAUUGGAUACACAGAUAGUGAUUGGGCAGUUUAUAUAGAAAAACAAAAAAGACCUCCGAGCUAUAUGUUUAAUCUUAGCUUAGGAGUUUUUUUCAUUUAUUUAUUUAUUUAUUUUUGUCAUCAAAUAAAUAACAAGUAGUUGUUUUUUCAGUAGUAGAAGCAUAGUAUAUUACAACCACUAGUGGUGCUACUCAAGCAAUAUCGUUCCAUCAAAUGCUUUUUGACAUAAAGCAUACUCAAGAAGUUCCCACAAAGAUUUUUGUGAUAAUAAAUCAACAAUCACAUUGACCAAAAUCUGAUUUUUUUAUGGAAGACGCAAACUUAUUAACAUCAAGGCCUAGUUUCCAUGGCCUACUUACAAAUGUAUACUAUUCCGAAUGCCUUGGUUUUCAUAUCAAAAAAAUAAUAAUUUCUUUUAAUAUUGUCCUAUCUGUGAUCUUAUCCUCCUGCUUCUAUUUUGCCAUGCUUUUUUUUUUAAUCUAUAAAAAUCUUAUAUAAUAUUUUAUAUGUAUUUGUUACAUGCAUGUCUUCCUAAUCAUUUUCAAAAGAUUACUUUUUUUAUAUAAUAUAGAAAUAUUUGGUUAAAAGGGAUGAAAUAAUUUGUAAAUUGUGAAUCUAACCCUUUUCAUGUUUUUUUCUUGAAAAGUAACCCAAUUUUAACAUAAAUGUCAUUUAUCAUUUGAAAUAUUUACAUGUAGGUUUUUAAAGAGAUGGUUAUUUUUACAAGAAAAAUAAUGAAGGCAUUUGUCCAAAUGAGGCCAAAAGAUGAUGGAAGGUCAAACUUAAAAAAUUGGGUAUUCAAAAAUCCUUUUAAUCAAAUAACCCUAUAAUAUAUUACCAAAGACUAAUAAAACACUUUUUUCUUGUUAAUUUCAAUCCAUUAAUUGACUUUUUUUUUUAAUGAAAGCGUUGCUAACAAAAGUGCUAUAAAUAAAGACAUUUUAUGGUAUUUGUUUGACAACAAAUUUUAUGAGAAUAAUUUUUUUGUAGUAAAAUAUAUUUGACCAAAAAUUUUAUUUUAUUGUAAAAGGGGGAGCUUCCACCAUAAAUUUUAUUUUGGCAAAAAGUUAUUUUUUGAUAUGUCGCCAUAAAUUGUAUUUUGUGGUGAAAAGUGACUUGUUGUCACAAAUUUUAUUUUGUAGAGAAAUUAUUUAUUUUAUUAUGAAAUUAAAUUUCAUGGUUAAAAAUAAUUGUUUAUGAACUUACAAUAAUAAAUUUGCACCAAAAUAAUUUUUUGUGGAAAAAAAUCUUUUACUAUAGAACACUUUUUUUUUUAAUUACAAAUUAAUUUACGGCAAAAUCCCAUAUUUGAGUUUCAAUGAUCUAGUUUAGGAAUUCCAUGGAUAUGACUUUCUAACUAAGGAAGUUGAAGCAUGUCCUAUUGAACAUGCAAGCUUUCUUCCAUUGCAUCAUUCGCCACAUUUUUUUUCCUUUUCCUUUUGUUUGUCUUUUUGGGUUACCGAGAAUGCCAUAAUUAGUGGGAAUAAAAGAGAGAAUAUAUGUUUGAAUUUUGUAUUGUCACAAAUGAAUGACUCAAUUCAUUGAAGGAGCUAGCAUCUUUUGGUCAUUCAACCUUUAUAUGUAACGGUGGAUGCGUGGUAAAGUUGAUAAUUCUAUUUGAUAGGUUUCUGAAUCUAGACGCUUUGUUUAACGUACAAAUUUGGAAUUUGAUUUGACCAAUUUCAUUUAAUUUUUGUAAAAAAAAUCAUAAUGAUUUAAUGCAGAGGAUGGAAGUCAGCAUGGGAAUAGUGUACUAUCUCAAAAAAGUUAUAUAUAUAUAUAUAUAUAUAUUUUGAAACUUUUACUUUUGACUCUUUAAUAUUUAAAUUUUUCUUUUGUUUUUUUCUUUUUAAAGUUCAUACAUUUUGAGGAUCGUAUUAUUCACUUUAAUAGUUAAAAAUCAUUAGCAUGCCAAAAGGCACCAACUUUUACUUUUUUUUUUUUUUUUUUUGAAGUUUAUACAUUUUUAGUAUGGAAUUAUUCACUUCAUUAGUCAAAAAGCUUAUCAUCCAUCAUGAUUAAUUUUAUUUUAUUUUUUAAAUAUGCACUUUUUUGUUUUUUGUUUUUUUUUUAUAUGUUGGCUUCAUAAAAUUUUUUAAUUUCAUUUUUUGCCACAAAUUUUCAUAUUUAUUGAUUUUAAUUAUUUAUGAACAUUUUAAACAUAAAAUAAUAAUAUAUAAUAAAUCAUUAAUGGGAACAAAUUUAAUAUAAAAAUAAAUACAUAACAACACAUUUAGAGAUUUAAGACAUAAGAUUUUUUAUAUUCCUAAAAAAAUUAUUUAUUUUAUAAAUCUUAUUACAUUGUCAUAUUAUUUUAUUGUUUGUAUUUUUUAAUAUUUUAAAAUUUUUUUAUGAAAAUCUGAAUCGAUGAUUAUGAUUUUAAUAUUUUACUUGUAAAUUUAACUUGACUACGGUUUUAACUUAUAUAUAUUAAAAUGUUUAAUAUUUUUAAUUAAAAAUGAUAAAAACCUGGUUGUGAUUUUAACUUUUAACAUUUUGCUUUGCCAAAAUUUAAAAUUAUUUAUUUAUAUAAAAUAAAAAUAAAAUAAAAUAUAUUUUUAAUUAAAAAGAUGUAUUUAAUCUUGGUGGACACCGAUUCAAUUGAAAUUACUCAUAACAGUGAUAAAAACAAUCCUCUGAGGAUUGCUUUUUCCAAAUGUCAAAUUCUCAUAGUCAUGACCAUUGCUAAUUGGAAUAAAAAACCCUUCACUUGCAAGGCUUUUAGUCAACCUUUUCAUCCCAUGAGCUACGAUUACAUAGAUUAUAUGGAUGCUUGGUAUAAUAUGUUUCAUUUACAAAGCUAUCAACAUUCUUGGUUCAUCCAAUUUUCAAGAAAUUGCAAUACCAAAUUUCCUACUUGGUUUCAAAAAUGGUGGACUUUCUUUGGUCUACUAGACUCCUUAUUUCCUCCCGAAAUUCAAGAAAAAUUCAACUUCUAUAAGAGUAAGACUUCAUCUCAGUCUAUCACUCAGCCUAGACUCCUGACUUUCUGUUCAAGAUUAAGAAUUCCAUGAAUUCUCUCAUGGAAUAUUAUCAAGAAGCAAGAGCAACCUCCUCCAUUUCCAUUAUCUCUUUCUAGAGAAUUCAGCAUCAAAUGGUGGGACAAAUUCAAUCAUGAUUUUGUAUGUCAACAGAAGAUUUUGCAAUUAAUUUCAAUAAGGCCAGGAUCAUCAAAUUCAAAAGAUUCAACUAGUUCCUCUCAAGGGUCGACUCAAGAAGAAUUCCUAACUUUGAAAAGCAAAUGUCAAGCUUCAGUAGCAGCCGCUAUUGAUUUAGAGCAAUAUCGUCAAUGACUCAUUCAAACCCUCAAACAGUUUGGAGAUCAAGAAAAUGAAGAAAUUGAAGGUACAGUUUUAUCAGAUUUUCAAUAAAUAAAAAAAUAGGUUAAAAGUCUUGAAUAGUAGAAUUUGUCUACUUUUGUCUACUACUUUACUUUGCAAGCAACGUGGAGAAUGGGAAAGCAAAGAGAAUUUUUUCUAUUGCUUUUCUUGAAGUUAAUGUUGCAAUUCUUUUAAGGGGUUUCCUAUAUUUGAAAAACCAAAGGAAAAAAGGAAUAGUUAUCCUAACUUGUUGCAUAUAUUUUUCAUAUUGUUUUCUUAAAGCAUUUCUAACUUGAGGAGGAAGUUGUUGAAAAUAAUUUCUUUUUGUAGUAUUUUCAGGAGAAAAAUAAUUUGCUUUGAUCAAUUCUACUUCAAGAGCAAAAGGAUUUCUUUUAAUAUUUCUUUUUCUAAUGAUAUUUAUGUUUAAAGGAGGUUCAUCAUGAGAGAGAACAAUUGACUCGGACUCUUCUUUAAAAAGAGGAAUUUCUGGAACAAAGUUUGACAUAUUUUUUAGUUGAUUUUCUAUUUGACUCAUUUCUUCAUCUAAUUUUGAAAAAUUAAAUUUUAUGUGGUGACUAUAAAAUGAUGCAGAUGAUGAUGCAGCUAAUGAUGCAGGUGAUGAUGCAAUAAAGCUGAUUAUCUUAUAUGAAGACCUUUCUAAAUCAUAUGUAGAAUUAUUUAAUGCAGAUGUAGAACUAUCAUGGGACUUAAGAGAUCUGGAAGAAUUAGUUCUACUUAAUUCCCUAAUAAAUUACUCAUUGUCACAGAAAAUAAUCAUAAUUUUAUUCUUAAUCAAUUCAAAUAAUUUCCUGAACAGGGACCACCACAAGCCGAUCAACAUGGGACUUACGCUCCUUCUGCCCUUAAACACCGCUACCACAGGCUAACCAAUCUGUUCACAGGAAAUUCAACCCGAACUAAGUCAGGACUAAAUCUGUGAUUAAUUACUAUUCCAACUCGUAACACCACUCGGUUCUCAAGUAGAACGUGUCUCUGAUACCAUUUGUACUCAGGACAUACAACAGUUCAUUCACGCAAUAAUUAAUUCUGUCUAAUGAACUCCAAGCAUAAAAAUAGAAAUAUUUAAUGUCUAGUUCUGUCUAAUUUAUUGCAGAAAUUUAAACAUAAAAAAAAAUUGUUAGAGUAACAAAACUCAAAUCCAGAUGAGUCAAGUAAAAAAUCAAAAAAAGAGUCAAGUAAAACAAAAUUUAAUCAAAUUUUGUUUUCUUCUGCCCCGGGAGAGGUGGAAGAAUCAAAUAUAGAAGAAAAAACAAUAAAAGAAAUUAAUGAAAUACAAAAAAUAGAAAAUAAAGAAAAAACAAAAACAAUAAAUGUAAUAUCUUCAAAAGUAGAUAAGCAAAUUUUUUUUAUGUUGUAGAUAUGAAGAAACACAAAGAAACUAUUUUAAAAAAAUUUUAAAUUUAAUUCUCAAUGAAGAUUCAAAUUAAACCUACCCAAUAUUCAAUGGAUGAAAUUUAUAAUAGAUUCAAAAAGACUCAAAGGCCUACAACCAUUAGAGACUUGGAAGAAGAAAUAAAAGAAAUAAAAAUUCAAAUAAAUCAAUUAAAAUUAGAAAAUGAACAAAUAAAACUAUAAAACAAAAUAAUAAAAAUAAGAAAAUGAACAAAUAAAACAAGAUUUUGCUGAAACAUCUAAUAAUCAAAAUAAUACCUAAUAAACAAACUCCUAUACCAUCAUUUAUAAAUAAAAUAACAAAAAUAGAUUUUCAAAUAUGGUAUACAAAUAUAAAACUCAUAGUAGAUGAUUUUGAAAUGGAAAUAGUAGCAUUAAUAGACUUAGGAGCUAAUAUGAAUUAUAUUCAAGAAGGAUUAAUUCCUAUUAAAUAUUAUGAACAAACUAGACAAUAACUUUUUGCUGCAAAUAAAGGAAAAUUAGAAAUAGAAUUUAAACUUCAAAAUGUUCAUUUAUGUCAAAAUAAUUAUUGUUUUAGAACUUAAUUUAUAUUAGUACAAAAUAUGACUGAACCUUUAAUCUUAGGAACCCCUUUUAUUACAUUACUUUACCCUUUUCAAGUAAAUGAUGAAGGUGUAAAAACUACAAUAUUAGGAAACACUAUAUUUUUCCCUUUUAUAUAUCCAUUAACUAAAAAGAAAUACAUCAAGUCCAAAGUGAUUCAAUAAAUAAAAUAAUAAAUUUAAUUCAAAGAAAACAAGCUCAUAUAAAUUAUCUAUUAAAAGAAAUUCAAUAUAAAAAGAUAGAAGAACAACUUAUAGAAGAAAAGAUUCAACAGAGAAUAAAAAAAAUCUGUUCUGAUCUUCCAAAUGUUUUUUGGUUCAGAAAGAAACAUGAGAUAAGUUUGUCUUACAUUCAAAGUUUUGAUGAAUCUAAAAUUCCUACUAAGGCUAGACCUAUUCAAAUGAAUGAAAAACUUUUAGAAUAUUGUAAACAAGAAAUUGAUUCAUUAUUAAAAAAGAAAUUAUUCAGACCCUCAAAAUCUCCUUGGAGUUGUACCGCUUUUUAUGUACAAAAUGUUGCUAAGAUAGAAAGAGGAGCACCAAGAUUAGUCAUUAAUUAUAAACCUUUAAAUAAAGUAUUACAAUGGAUAAGAUACCCUAUUCCUAAUAAGCAAGAUCUACUCAAAAGUCUACAUAGUUCUGUAAUUUAUUCAAAAUUUGAUAUGAAAUAUAGAUUCUGACAAAUUCAAAUUAAAAAAGAAGAUAGAUAUAAAACUGCUUUUACUAUCCCUUUUGGUCAUUAUGAAUGGAACAUCAUGCCUUUUGGUCUCAAAAAUGCCCCUUCUGAAUUUGAAAAUAUUAUGAAUGAUAUUUUCAAUCCUCAUUUUCAAUUUAUAAUUGCAUACAUUGAUGAUGUUUUAGUAUUUUCUAAUUCAUUAGAAAAACAUUUUAUUCAUCUAAAGAAAUUUUUUAAUGUCAUUAAAGCAAAUGGAAUGGCUUGUUAUGCUCCAAAUAUGAAAUUAUUUCAAACAAAAAUUAGAUUUUUAGGACAUGAAAUUUUUCAAGGAAAAACAAAACCGAUUCAAAGGUCAAUAGAAUUUUUUGACAAAUUUCCCAAUGAAAUAAAAGAUAAAAAACAAUUGUAAAGAUUUCUAUGUUGUUUAAAUUAUGUUUCUGAUUACUUCAAAAAUUUGAAAAUUAUUUAUGAACCCUUAUACAAAAGACUUAGAAAAAAUGCACCUGCAUGGACUGAACAUCAUACUAGUUUAGUCAAAGAAAUUAAACAAAUGGUAUGUAUCACUCUUUUAUAAAUAAAAAAUAACAUUAAAAUAUAUUAAUAGUACUACUUGAUAUAAAUGAUGUACUAUUUUUCUUUUUCUUUUUUAUAGAAAAAAAUGAUAUCACUCUUUUAUGAAAUAAGUAAUACUAAAAUGUAUUAAAAGUACCAUUAUUAGUGGGAAUGAUAUAUAAUUUUUCUUUAGUUUAUGGUAAGAUAUGCAAAAAAUUUAUUUUUUAAUAAAAUUAAGAGAAAAUUAAUAUAAAUGACUAAAUACAAAUUCUUUAUGAAAAAUAUAUUUUUAAUUUUUAUUUUAUAUAAUAAAAAAUUGAACCACAAUCAAGUUUUUAUCUUUUUUAAUUAAAAAUAUUAAACAUUUGAACAAAAAAAAGUUAAAACCAUAACAAAUUUGCUUAUCUUUAAAUAAAAAGUUAAAUAUGUUUAUUAUGUAUUUAUUUUUAUAUUCAUUUUUUUCAUUAAUUAUUUAUUAUAUGUUAUUAUUAUUAUUUUAUACAUUAAAGUGUUCAUAAAUAAUUAAAAUAAAAAAAUAAAAGACUAAAAAAAUGAAAUUAAAAAUAUUUUAUAAGAAUGUGUAACUAGAAUAUUAUAAAAAGUCAAAAGGUAAAAAUAAAGAAAGAUGACAAAAAAAAAAACAAAAAUAAUAUUACAUGUUGAUAGGUCAUAUAUGAAAUUAAAAAAAAAAAAAAAUUGAUAAACAUGAUUGAAAAAAAAAAAAAAGACAAAAAAAUUCUGUGGCGAUUGUCAUAUGUUAAUUUUUUUUAAAAAUUGAAAAUUUAAAAAAAAAUAUAUAUAUGAAAAAAGAAAGAGGAAUGGUAGUUCACGGCUAGUUUCGGAAGAGAGAAAAGGUCAAAAAGGAUGUUGAAAUUUUUUUCAUGUUACGCAUGUUUACCAAAUUAUUUAAUUGCAAGCUAAGUCACUAUCAGCAUUCUGUUGUCAUUUUCUUGUCACUGUAUAUCCUUCGUUGGUUCGAGGAGUGGCUUGCGAUACAUCUACAUAUACCUUUUAUUAAAUUUUUAUGUUAAAAAUAAUAUCUGAGGAGUGAGGACAAUGAUUUUAGAUUAAAAUCAAAAUUUGACAAAAUGUCAGUGGGGACUUGGGAAAAACAGUGCCCUGUGCUAUAAAAUCCAAGUUUCUUGCUGCUAUUUUUCACUCAGACGCACGCUUACAAGGCUGCUUCUCUUCCAUUCCUCACUCUGGCAUACAAAGAGACAUAGAAUUAGUUAGCAUUCAUGGGUGGUGGAGAUUUCACAGUAACAGUGAGCAGGAAGGAAGUAGUGGCAGCUGUACUGCCUGUGCAGGAGUAUUGGCUGCCACUAUCUAACCUGGACUUGCUUUUGCCUCCAGUAGAUGUGGGGGUGUUUUUCUGUUACAAGAAGCCACAUGAUUUAACAUUUGGGUCCAUGAUUGGCGUUCUGAAGGAGGCGUUGGCCCAAGCACUGGUGUCCUAUUAUCCAUUUGGAGGAGAAGUUUUGAGUAACUCAGCGGGUGAGCCCGAGCUCCUUUGCAACAAUCGUGGGGUUGAUUUCAUGGAAGCUUAUGCGGAUGUACAACUACAAAACCUCAACUUGUAUAACCCUGAUGAAAGCAUUGAGAGCAAGCUUGUCCCUAAGAAGAAACAUGGCGUUCUGUCAGUCCAGGUAACUCUCUCUCUUUCUCUAUGAUAUGCUAAUCCUAAUUAGUUGUAAUCAUGACAUGCUUAUUGUUUUGUAAAUCAACUAAUGACAGGUGACUGAGCUCAAAUGUGGCGGAGUUGUGGUGGCCUGUACAUUCGAUCAUAGGAUAGCAGACGCAUAUUCUGCCAAUAUGUUUCUAGUUUCAUGGGCUGAAAUGGCUCAGUCCAAACCAUUAUCAGUACUACCAUCUUUCCGGCGCUCUCUCCUCAACGCUCGACGUCCGGGCUCCUAUGAUCCUUCCCUUGACGACAUGUACGUCCCCAUGUCAGCCUUACCUCCUCCCAAAGCUCCACAGUCUGGUGAUGAUCUUCUCAUAAACCGCCUUUACUAUGUCACAGCCGAACAGCUCAGUCUACUCCAAUCACUAGCUACCAGCAAGAGUAGCUCCUGCAAGAGGACUAAACUAGAGUCUCUCAGUGCUUUUCUGUGGAAGAUGGUGGCCAAAAGUGCAGUCACGGAAAACGCAAACCAAAAAAUAUGCAGGAUGGGCACCGUGGUGGAUGGAAGAAAGAGACUGAGCAGUGGAGACGAGGUUAAAGCAGCAAUGAUGGCCUCUUACUUCGGAAAUGUGCUGUCCAUCCCCUUUGGUAAGAAGACAAUAAAUGAACUGAAAGAGAAACCGUUGAGCUGGGUGGCAGAUGCAAUUCAUGAGUACCUGGAAGGAGCAGUAACAAAGGAGCAUUUCCUGGGGCUGAUAGAUUGGGUGGAGGCUCACCGUCCGGAGCCAGCUUUAGCGAAGAUAUACAGCAGUGGCAGUCGCGAUGGACCAGCAUUUGUGGUGUCAUCAGGGCAGAGAUUCCCAGCGUCAAGGGUGGAUUUCGGGUGGGGUAUGCCUGCUCUGGGGUCAUACCAUUUUCCAUGGGGUGGGGAAGCUGGGUACGUGAUGCCAAUGCCGAGUCCUGUCAGAGAUGGAGACUGGGUGGUGUACAUGCACCUCUCCGUGGGGCAGGUAGAGUGGAUUGAGACUGAGGCUGCUCACAUCUUUAGGCCCUUAAGUUCUGAAUAUCUCAACUUGAGCAACUCAGAUUAGCUUACAUUUAUCACUUCCUAUUUGUUCACUGCCCCCACAAUGUUUGUUAUUGUCUCCAUCUCUAUUUGCUGAUGGUCAUCCGCUUAAUGUUAAAUAUCCGUUUAAGAAGAAGCCCGCCUGAUUUAGAAACCCCGAUUUUUUGUGGCUUGUCUAUUCCAAUUUCCAACCUCGUUAAUUUUCCUCCUCUAUACAAAAUUCUCUAUGAACAUAAAUAAUACAUUAAUUGUGGGAUUAGUUUUGACAAAUAGGAAGUAUUUGGAAUUAAUUUAUGGAGUUAAGUCCGACUAAUAAAAAAGACGUAACCCAAGUGGUAUUUUUAAUACAAAAAAACAUUUUAUAAAUAUCUUAAUUUAAAAAAAUAAAAAUAAAUUGUUAUUAAUAAAAGAUUUACUAAAUCAUAAAGAAUAUAACUAUUUCCAAGUAACAAGUCUUUUGUACGUGCUUAAAAAGUGAGACAGAUAUGAACCUAAUAAAGUACGAUUUUUUUUAAUAAAUUAAACAGAAUUUUUUAAACAAAGUGAAAAAUUAAAAAUCAAAAAAUCAAAAUGAGUGUAGGUUUCUGCAGUUGCUGCAUUCUAGUUGAUGUGUGAUAAAAGGUUUGUCCACAAACCAUGCAGAUCCAGACAGCUAUUUACAAAGGGUAGGUCAAAAAACUUGUCAAACCCAUGUGCCAGGGCCAAUAAUCUCACUCUCUAGUCAGAUAUAGUGAGCACUGAGCAGUACAAAAAGUCAGUUUCAUGAGUCUUUUAACUCUUUAUGCCCCAUGUGCAUUCAUUUUUAUAUGCUUAGAGUUUUGUCGAAAUGCUUUGGAGGGUUUUGGCCUUUGAAAUAAUCUAAUUUCUCCUUCCCCAAUUAUUAUUGAUAUUCAAAUUUUCUGGUGGCAGAACUAAUGCUUUUAUAAAUAACAAAUGAGCACUCACUCGGUUCAAUAAAAGAAUAUAUCAUCAUUAAAUAAGGUUAGGUAAAAACUUAUCAAACCCAUGUUCCAAUGCAAAUAUAUAAUCUCACAGGGAAUCAAUUUGGUGGGUCUUGAUGGCCAUGUGCAUUCAUUUUCAUAUGAUUGGAGUUUUGUCUAAAUAUUUUUGGAGGGGGUUUGGCCUUCGAAAUAUUCUAAUUUCUCCUUUACCAACUGUUUUGUAUAUUAAGUUUUUCUGGUGGCAGAAUUAAUUCUUUUAUAAAUAACAAAUGAGCACAUGCAACAGUCAAUUCAAUAGAAGAAUCAGCAUUAUAAAAUAAAACACAUAUACUUAUUCAUUGAGUGUUACAAAAUAACGAGGAUAGACAAUAAGAAAAAAAAAACUCAUAAUAAGAACAUAUAGAUUUAUAUGAAAAACCCUAGAUCUAAUAAGUCACCAACAUAGGAGAAGAAAAUCCAUUAUGUGAAAAAUUGGUACAAAAUGGGGAGAAAUGUGAGUGGCUACAACAAAAUCAUAAACAUCAUAGCCUUUCAAAAUUAUACAUCAUCGCAUAUAAAUAAAUAAAUAAAUAUACCACAGACCCCAAAAAAAUCUCAUAAUUUUAGUUUUAUCACAUAAUGUUGCACCACGAACUUUUGAGGUUGGACCAAAUAGAGUUCGGGUCAUCAAACUCUAACAUUGAUAAUUUUUUAUAUGUUAUGAUUUGAGUAUAUAUAUAUCCUAUAAGUAUGGUUUGAAAUAUCAAUAAAUAUGGAUAUAUCGGUAUUUGAAUUUUAUGAAUAUAUCGAAAAUAUUGAUAGAUAUUUUGACAAAAAUAUCAGUCAUGUGAAAAUUAUUCAAAAUUCAUGAAAAUAUUAGAAAAAAAACCUCCAAAAAAAUAAUAAAUGAGUAAAAAUAUACAUGUUAAAGUUAUUUUAUAAGUAUAAUUGACAUAAAUAUGAUUAAAGAGAAAAAUAUUAGUAAGGAAUAAUAUAUUGAUCUUAAUAUAUAAUUUAUUAUAUAUCUUAUUAAAUUAAUUUUAAUUUAUAAAAUAUUAGAACUCCAUUAUUUUUUUAUAUUUUAGUAUUUUUUUUAAUAAUUUUAUAUUUUUAAUAGUUUAAAAUAAAGACAUUUAAAAUUAAAAUGAUAAAUAUAAAAAAUUUAAAAGUGAAGUAAUAAUAAUUUUUUAAAAUAGGAUUAAUGAGAUAAAUAAUGAUAUAUUAAAUAUUAAACUAUAAUUUAUUUAAUUCAAAUACAUUGAAUCAUAUAGAAUAAAUGAUGAAACAUAUAUGAUUUUUUAAUAUUUAAUUUUUUUAUAUUCAAUUAUCUAUAAAAGAUAUAAAAAAAAGACUUGCUAAGAAAAUUAUAAGAUUCCACAAAAAUCCCAUAUCCGAUAGGCAAAAUAAGUAUAUUAUUUCUCGGGGUAAGGAAAUUUUUUAAUUUAAUUUAUGAAAAAAUAAAAUAUGUUUUAAUUAUCGGAGCUGGAACCAAUAGUGACUUAUAGGCUAUCUCUAUGUAUGAGUGUAUGAUUAAAGCCCAUCUGUUCAGACCGGAGCGCCAACAUAUGGAAAAGAUGGGAUGAUUCUCAAUCUGCCAGCAUAAAAAUUGGGAGUUUAAGACCAAAAUAAUAUAUUUGUAAAAAAAAUUGAUAAGAAUAGUAUCCAUUUGAAAAUAUUUGUCAAAGUAGUCUUCUUUAUCCACAUAAGCAUCCAUAUGGAUUUUAAGUGUAAAGAACCACCGUUGGUGACUGUGGUUUUAGAACUUACAAAAAUUUUCUUAAAACCACAGUUAUAGACUGUGAUUUUACAAUUUCUCUUAGAACCACAGUUACUAACUGCGGUUUUAAAAGAAGUUUCCUUAAAACCACAGUUACAAACUAUGGUUUUAUAAUUUCCUAACUUUACAAUUAUUUUUAAUUCGUUCCCAUUUUAAUGGUGUUAUAAUUUUAAUAUUAUUUUUAAAAUAUUUUUUUUAUCAAAACAACCAUAAAACCACAGUUAGUAACUGUGGUUUUACUAAUGGUGUUGUAAUUCAAAUUAGUAAUGUUAUGUUAUUCACAUAUUUCCUUUAUAAUUUAAACAAAUAAAACUCAAAUGCAUCCUAAAGUCUAAAUGAAAGAAAUUCUAACUAAAUAAAUUAUUACAACCAUUACCUAUUUUUCUUUCAUAUAAUUAAAAAAUUAUACAUUUUAACCAAGACAUAAGUUCAAAUCAUACUUAAUAAUAAAUAACCUAAAAUCAUAAUCACCGGCAGUAAUUUUCAUAUGAAAAGAUAAAAUUUUAAAAUAAUAUAAACAAUUUCUUUAGUUAUUUUAAAAUUUAAAAAUAAUAUGAAUAAAUAAUUUUCUUUAGUUCAUAUGUGAAAAUAUUUGUAAAACAAAUAAAUAUUUUAUUUACUAUAAAUAUAUAAAUUUUUAUGGGAAUGCAUGUAGACCAAAUUAUUUUCUCAAAAUUUCAAGGAAAAUAUGAAAAAAUAAAGAUAAUAUAUAUAUAUAUAUAUAUAUAUAUAUAUAUAUAUAUAUAUAUAUAUAUAUAUAUAUAUAUAUAUAUUUUUCUAAACAGUCGUAACAAAAAAAUUUGUGAAAAGCAAAGUUCUAAAAUCCCAUACUUUUUUAUACAUGAGUCCCCUUAAAAAUAUUUGUGAAAAUUACAACAUAAUUGUAAUUUUGAUAAAAAAAUAUUUUAAAAAUAAUAUUAAAAUUACAACACCAUUAAAAUAUAUGCGGAUUGAAAAUAAUUGUAAAACCACAGUUACUAAGUGUGGUUUUAUGGGUAUUUUGAUAAAAAAAAUAUUUUAAAAAUAAUAUUAAAAUUACAACACCAUUAAAAUAGAUGUGGAUUGAAAAUAAUUGUAAAACCACAGUUACUAACUAUGGUUUUAUAGUUAUUUUGAUAAAAAUUAUUUUAAAAAUAAUAUUAAAAUUAUAACACCAUUAAAAUAAGGACGGAUUAAAAAUAAUUGUAAAACCACAGUUACUAACUGUGGUUUUAAGGAAACUUCUUUUAAAACUGCAGUUAGUAACUGUGGUUCUAAGAGAAAUUGUAAAACCACAGUUUGUAACUGUGGUUUUAAGGAAAUUUUUGUAAGUACUAAAACCACAGUCACCAACGGUGGUUCUUUACACUUAAAAUCCAUGUGGAUGCUUACGUGGAUAAAGAAGACUACUUUGACAAAUAUUUUCAAAUGGAUACUAUUCUUAUAAUUUUUUUUUACAAAUAUAUUAUUUUGGUCUUAAACUCAAAAAUUGGUGCGUAAGCCAACCUAAUGACUAACGGGGUUGCUACCACCUAAGCCCCAUUGGCUUGGUUUGCUUGUUCCAAAUCAUCAUCAGUGGACUUGAAGAGGACCAGUACCACUAACACAGAAGAAUAGACAACCUUAACUCUGCGCAACUUCUACUACGGGAAAGUAAUGUGUUUAACUAAAGAUGGCAGUGUAACCAGAAAUUAAAUUUCAAAUCAUGUCUCUGCAAUGAAGACAGCACACUGACACAUAGACACAGUCACUAUCGCUACCAUAAUCACACUAGUUGUGGGGUUACUUUCUUUUGUCAAUAGGGACGAAGGAUAUACUAGCCACUCGCAUAAAUAAAUAUCUAUAGAAGGAUGGGAAAAACUGAAUGAACUAGCCCUUAGGUUGCCUUAGCAAUGGCUUGGCAGCCUCAUUCUCAUUCCUGAUGCUUUUGAAUGCAUCAGAAGGGAUUAGUUGAGUGAGAUGGACAAGUGGAUAAUAAAAAAUUAAGAAAUAACUGAGAGAAUUCAUCCAGGAAUAACUUUAUAUGCAUACAUGUUAAAAUACUAUUUUGAGUAUUAGAAAAAAUAAGGAUUGCAAGAGGAACUUUCUCAAAUUUUUAAUCUAAAUGGGGGCAAAUAUAAGAAGGUUAUACCAAUGUUUUCAGAAUCAGAUCGAUCAUUGAAUCAGAAAAGCUAUUAGUUCAUGGUUCACUAGUCGGACCGACAGUCGAACCGCGGUUGAAUCAGUGACGUCAUAAAUAUAUAUUUUAUUAUUUUAUAUAUUAUUAAAAAUUAAUAAAUUAAUAAAUUCUAUCUAAAUUUUGAUAACAUCUACUUUGUUUGUUGAGUUUUUCCACAAAAAUUUUUACUUUUAGAAUUCAUCAAUCAUCAUGUAUGAUAUCUAUAACAUAAUAUAAGAUGUUAUAACAAUUUUAUAUGAAAGAAAAAUAUAUAAUAUAUCAAAUUGUUUAAUCAAACAUAAAAAAUAAUAAUAAAAAAUUUUAAUUUAAUUUAUUGAAGAAAUGAAAGAUAUGUUAGGAUAGGAAGAAAAUUUUAAUAUUUAAUCUCAAUAAAAUUUAAAUUUGUUUAAAUAACUAAUAUAAGUGAGUGAUGAAUAUUUUUGUCUAAUAAUUAUUUAUAAUCUAAUAAUUAAGUGUUUUAAAAAAUAUAAUUUAAUUUAUUAAAGAAAUAAAAAAUAUGUUUGUAAAAAAAGAAAUAAUUAAUAAUAAAUAUUAAAUAGAUUUUAUUUAUUUUCUCACAACAUAAUCAAAUAUAAUUUAAAAUACUUCAAAUUUGUUAUUUAAAAAAAAAAAAACUGAUUUUUGGGAGAGUUGCAAACAGAGCCCAAUCGUCCUCCGUCUAGUUCUGAAUCCAAAAUCCGAAAACACUCCAUUGAUGAUUUCCUACCAAAAUCAAACUUAAAAAAAUAAAAAUAAAGUAGACUCCAUGGUUGGGAUUGAUAAACAAUAUUGGUGGAUUAUGGGUGGCGAAAACCAAGUUUUUGAGCAGGCGCUGGUUAUGUUCCUGGAUGAGACGUUGGACCGCUAGCAGAUGGUCAUCGAUCAUGUGAUGAAAGAUAGUUGAACCAUUGUAAGGUCUUCGAUCUUGAGAACGGAAGGGAGUCGUGCUAGUUGAAUCUAUAGGUUUUGUGGUCGCCGAUAACGUCACGGUCUACGGUUAGGCUUCAUUGGUCUCUGACAAUGUUUGAGACCAUAACUCCGGGCCGUGGGGUUUAGAGGAAAAAACAGAUUCCUAGGAACUGUCAUCGGGUUCAGAUGAAGAAGCAGAAGUUGGAGAUCGUCAAGGGGAGCUGAAUGCACAAUUUGAGAGGUCUAUUGUUUUACAAGGGGUACCUAGUAGGAAUGGCAAUUUCGCGGGUUUCUCGGGUCACCCGUCCCGACCCGCCCCUAUUGGGACGGGUAUAGGAACAUGGCAAUCAGGGAUGGGCCGGGUUCAGGCUUUAUUAAAAAACCCGAAUCGGGUUCGGGGCGGGGUUGGGUGUAGUUAUAAUUUGACUUGCCCCGCCCCGCACCGAAUAUGAAAUUACAACUUUACCCUCCACUUAUAAAUAUUAGCUUCCUCUCCUCAUUGUAGGUCUUCUUCUCUCAGUUCUCGUUCCUGUUGACGCUAGGGUUUUUCCUCCCACUCAAUGGAGAAAUCCAUCAGAUAAUCCAUUUGAUUCAUCCUUGUUUAUCCCAUAUUCACAAGAAAUCAAGAAUCACAACUAUUAUUUUCACGUAUCUACAAACCGAUAAGAUUUUUUGUUGAUUUUUUGGUUGAAUGAUGCCUUGAUUUGGCAUUGUAGUCCGUUUCUAAUUUGGGAAAGAGAUACGAGAUUUGGGAUUUUUCCAUUUCCAGUUUCAGAUUAUUGAAAGAUUUUUUUUUCUAUUAGUUUUCGGGUUGCUAUUUAGGGUUUUGAAUCCGUUUCUUGCGAAUCUUAAUAGGAACUAAGCAGAUCUUAUCGUCAAAUGCUUCCACUCCCUUCAUAUUGAGAAACAGAUCUUAUCGUCAAAUUUUUCUAGGGUUUCAUAUUAAUAGCAGAAUAACGAAGUACAUAAGUAUCCCUAAAUACCAAAUAUGCAGUUAUUCAUUGAAGUUCUUAGCUUAACUCUUUUGGGCAUCUAGUUGUGAACAAAACUAGAGCAUCCAAAAAUUUGAAGCUAUGAUAUGAUAUGUCAUGACAUGGAUGAAAGCAUUGAGUGGUUGUUUCAGAAGGAUAAAAAUUUCUGCAUCUAGUAUUUGCUAUUAUUUUUCUAUUAGUAGGAUUCUGGUAGUUUGAUAGACUUAUGAAAUAGCUUUGUGCUCCACAUGAUACUCACUCCUGCCAUAACACCUAGGAAUGAUUCUUGGAAUGUUAGUCAUCUCAAAGUACGCUCCAAAAGUUUUAUAUUAUGCAAAACAUAAAAGGAAGCAAAUCUAUGUGCAUUUUUGUGCAAUUUUGAAUUUUAAAGCUCUCACUGAUCUACUUUUGUAACAGUGACUAAUUUAUAUUCAACUAGUCCAUAUUUUCUUUUUCCAAGAUCAUAACCACACCUUUUGGAACAUGGACUAAGGCAUUGCAAUUGCUCAAAGAAACUUUAUUCUACAUACUCAACUACUAAACCACUCAAACUGUUCUCCAAAUACUCGUGACUUAAAAUGAGGGGGAAAAAAUUCAAGUGAUGUCAUUGAAGGAAAAGGAAAGAAAGAACAUGAAACAAACCGGAUACUUCUUGGCAAAAAAGAUAAGAUUCUCCAAUGAUAUAAAUCUGCCACCCCUAAAAUGUGUUUGACCAAAUUCACAUUAAUACACAUGAACAUGAGAGAAGUAUGUAAAUACCAGAUGUUUAUAUAUAGUCCUCUACCCACUUAAAAUCUGUUGAAGGAUCAAUACCUUGCCAACCCAUCUCCUUCCAGAGCUCUGACUUAAGAGAGGGGAGCUCCCUGCCAGGAUAAGCUAAGCUCCAAAGUUCUCUAAGUGCAUCCUGCAAACCAAUUGAUAAAUUCAUUAAACUUGAGAAUAAGGAAAAAGAAUCAUGUUUUCUCUAACUAGUGCUUCUUUUCCCUCUGAACAUCUACUAUGCAUUCCAUCAAUGAACCCAUUUCUAGUGCGUAUCACACUAAGAUACAAUCUAAUGACACUAAUAUUCAUGUGCUUUUUACUAGUAACUAUUACAAAUGAGUCAUUUGCCCUUGUUUAAUUUUUAUGAAACUGUCACUUUUGCUUCCAUGUUAAAUCCUGUUCAAUAUUUUUCAGCUGUAUGUGUUUUGUGCUAGUGGUCUCCAUAUUGUUCCAUUUAAUAUAGAAUUAUUCUUCCCUAAAAUUCUUUUGUCUUUAAAGAAUUUGAUUUGCAAAUUUUGUCCGUUAAUAGUUUUGAUAUUGGUUAAAUAUUCCUAAUUUCAAGGUUUUGUUUUGUUUUCUGGUUAUUACUUUUUAGAAUAUUCUUUGUUUGCUUUUGUUUGCUUUGUUUUCUGUUUUUUUUUUCUUAUUUUCUUCUCACUUCCUGUGGGCUGUCCAUAUAAACUGCAUGUGUCUUUCGGUUGCACUGCCCUCGAUGCUUUUCUAUUACAUUUAUUUUCCUAUUAAUGGAAACUAUGUUGACAUUUUGCAAUUCUUGGAGGUUAACCUAAAUACAAUCUUGCCUUUUAAACCCUUGCUUCAAGCCCUAUCCAAGCUUUAGGUUAUUAAUUUAGGUUUGAAUGUUUUACUUAUAAACUUUAUUUUAUAUUAAGAAAAAUGACAUCAGAAGAAGGGGAAAACUUUUCCAUGCCAAGUGCGGGUUCAACUCUAAUUACAGGCAGUACUUCAACUACUGAUGGAACCUUGGUAUCUAAAAGAAGAAAGUUGACUUCGGUUGUUUGGAAUGAUUUUGAUAAAAUCAUGGAAGAUGGACAAGAUUAUGCUAUUUGUAAGCACUGUAAAGGAAAGCUUAAAGCUGAUAGCAAGAAUGGGACAAAACACUUACAUGUACACAUAGAUAGGUGCAUGAAACAAAGAAAUGUUGAUAUUAGGCAACAAUUAUUGGCAGUAGAGAGAAAAGGUCAUGGAAAAGUUCAAAUUGGUGGUUUUACCUUUGAUCAAGAAAUCUCAAGAGAGAAGCUUGCACGUGCAAUUAUAUUGCAUGAGUACCCACUUUCAAUCGUUGACCAUGUGGGUUUUAGAGAAUUUGCUACUAGUCUCCAACCUUUGUUUAAGAUGGUUUCCCGCAAUACGAUUAAGGGUGAUAUAAUGAAGAUUUAUGAGGUUGAGAAAGAUAAGAUGAUUAGCUACUUAGAGAAACUUCAAAGUAGAGUUGCUAUCACAACUGAUAUGUGGAUAUCAAAUCAAAAGAAAGGCUACAUGGCUAUCACUGUACAUUACAUUGAUGAGUCUUGGUUACUACACCAUCAUAUUGUAAGGUUAGUUAUGUUAUUUUUUUUUUAACUUCCAAAGUGUUUUUUUAUUUGAUCCUUUAAUGAUAUUGUUUGUGUUAAUGAUAUUUUUUAUUCUUAAUUUCGGUUUGUUUAUGUACCUCCUCCACACACAAAAGAAGUUCUUUCAGAUGUAUUAAUGGAUUUCUUAUUGGAUUGGAAUAUGGAAAGAAAAGUUUCUACAAUCACUGUGGAUAAUUACUCAAGUAAUGACGGAAUGAUCAAUAUCUUGGUGGAGAAUUAUCUUUGAGCGAUUCACUUUUAUUGAAUGGAAAAAUUUUCCACAUGCGAUGUGCGGCACAUGUGUUGAACUUAAUUGUUAAGAAAGGUUUGGAUAUCAUUGAAGUAGAAAUUGAAAAAAUUCGUGAGAGUGUUGCAUAUUGGUCAGCAACCCCAUCAAGAAUGGAAAAGUUUGAAGAUGCAACUCGCCAAUUGUGUAUUCCAUGCAAUAAGAAGUUAAGUCUUGAUUGUAAGACAUGAUGGAAUUCCACAUACUUGAUGUUACCAAUUGCUAUAACAUAUAAAGAUGUGUUCCCACGUUUGAAGCAACGUGAAAAAUACUACAUGGUUGUGCCAUCAGAGAAAGAAUGGAAUAUGGCAAAAGAAAUAUGUGGAAGAUUGAAAUUGUUUUACAACAUUGCAGAGUUGUUCUCAGGACGAAAUUAUCCCACUGCAAAUACUUUCUUCAUCAAAGUGUGCGAAAUCAAAGAGGCAUUGUAUGAUUGGUUGAUAUGCUCCAAUGAUGUUGUGAAAACGAUGGCAUCAAGUAUGUUGCAAAAGUUUGACAAGUAUUGGAGUGGGUGUCAUAUUGUGAUGGCAAUAGCAGCUAUAUUUGACCCAAGAUACAAGAUAAAGAUUUUAGAGUUUUACUUUCCACUAAUGUAUGGGUCUGAAGCUUCAAAUGAGAUGGAAAAAAUCCAUGGAAUGUGUUAUGAGUUGCUUUCUGAGUAUCAAUCAAAGUCUAAUUUGGGGCAAAAAACUUCAUCCUAUGGUACUUCAUCAGGUUCAACUCUUUUGGAGUUAAACUAUGAUGAACAAGAUCCUCUUUCAAAGUUUGACUUAUUUGUCAUAGUUCUCUAUCACUUCAUUUAGGACGAGGAAUGUCAUUUUCAGUAUGGUGUAUUGUAUUGCUUGUUUAUUGGUAUUGCAGUUUCUAAAAAAGAUGAAGUUGGUGCAUCAGACAGUUUCUGUAUUGAUCCAGUUGAUUUGAAUAGCUUUUUUGAAGAAGAUGGCAAAAUUUAUGGUUACCAAGGGUUGAAGGUAAUAUAUGUACAUUGAUUAAGGCUCUGAUAUUAAUGUUUUUAUUCUUUGGCAUCUAUCAUUUGAAAUUAGGUUGCCUGCAAGGUUUAGUAAUCAGUAGUGAUCUUUAAAAACGAAAAAUACCCUGCUUGUUUUUUUUAUUUACUUUUUGCGUCAAUGGUUUUUAUUUUUAUUUUUUCUUUUUUGCCAGGCAGGGGAAUUAUUGCUGCAUGCUAUAGUCUAUUUAUUUCAUAUAGAUGACAUAAAUUGACUGGAUGGACCUGCUUUGUUCUUUUUAAUGCAGUUGUGAAAGAGAGAAAGCAAAUACCCUAGACCUAAUGAUUGGAUAUAGAUGAUCAAUUUAGCUGGAAUACACAUGCAUCAUCAUCAUUUUUAUUAUUAUUUUCUUUUUAAAUAAUAAGAUCUUUCUUAGAUAAACAAGUAGGUAGCUAUGUAUUGGCAGAAGUUGGUGCACAUUAAACCUUUUAUGGCAUGAGUUUUACCUUUUUGAACUUGAACCGGUGCUUAAAAGAACUUUAUUUUAUGCUGAUAUUCUGAUACUAAAUGGAAAAUUCCCUUUAUCCUUUUCUUAAUGCCAGAUAAUAGUUAGGGAAGGAAUUUUAUAAUAAUACCUCUAGUUUUGAUGGAAUCUGUGCAUUUAUCCCAUAUGUUUCAUAUGUUCUCUUUCAGAUUCUGCUUGGGCCCUCUAGAAUCUAUCAUCUUUAGUUUUUUAUUGGAAGUAAUUCUCUGAAACAUCCUUUUAGUCCUAUUUAAAAUUUCUAUCCUUUAAAGCAAAUUGUGGAUAAGUUGCAAAAGAAUCUUUAAAAUUUAAGAAAUAAAGAAAAAUAUGUCCAUUUCUUGAAAGAGAAACAUCAAUUGCUAUUAGCUUCUAUGAAAGAACUUUUUUUUUUUUUUACAGAUAUUUUAGUUAUGUUAAUUUUGAAUGUCAUACUGAUUUAGUCUUCUAAUCUCAUUAACUUUUCUACAUUCCAUUUAUUCCCAUUGUCUGGAAUCUGAUAUUCAUUUUGUUUCUUCUCACAGUGAUCUUUCCUAUAAUAAUUUUACUUGGCCGGUUGAUUGCCAAGAAAUUCAGUAAGUAGAUUUAUUCAUAAGCGUAGCAUUCAAUAUAGUUACUACUUAACUUCCUUGACAUGAUUUUUCAUCAUGUGAAUUAGAAAUAUAAAUCGCUACCAAAGCUCAUCUCAGAAGUACAACUUGUAAGACUCUUUUCUUCUCUUUAAGAUUUGUCGUAAGUUCUAGAUAUAAUGAGUGAAUAGUAAUGUUAAUUGUUUGGUUUCCAACUCAAGUGAGGCAAAUUUUGAGCUUACAUAUAAAAACAAUUUAGUUUGUAAUGCUAAAUGAAGUAAAUGAAAUAUAAAAACAUAAGUUUCUUUUGGGUUCCUCAGUUAUCUAAGUUUUUUUUUUUUUUUUUUUAAUUUCCUCGUGUUGUGGAGAACAAAAUAUUAUUGAUUCAUCUUUUUUUUUUUUUCAUUUCCUGCGUCUUGCUUGUGCCCCUUCUCCUCUCUUUCCUCUGUUGUCAUGGCAUUGCCUUUUAAUAUAAUGUUUUUAUGUGCAUGUAUUAUUAUUAUUAUUUUUGAAUUUAAGAGUGUGUACAAUGUAAUUUGGGCUGGAGUUCUUGGAUGUUGACUUAGAUUUAUGUUUGUGGUUUGGGCUGUGUGGUGAUAUAGGCAGGCAGCAGAUACUUUUGGUGGGUCAGAGUUGGCAAUUCCUGGGCCUGAUAGUGUUGUGUUUUAUCUUUCAUUUUGUCAUAUAUUUGAGAAAGUUUACUUAUAUGUUUCCAGUAUGACUCUGGAUAGAAGCAGAAGCCCACCACGAGCCAAGAGGCUUCGUAGCAGUGACCGUGCUUCUUACCGAGACACACCUUACCCAAGGCAUCGUCGAGUUCACCGGUUUGCUCCUUUAUCAAUUCAGCAAAAUCUAACUAUUAUUCCUUUUAUCUAUACACACACACACUUAUAGCCCAUGUUGCAUAAAUGUUAUAGUUACAUGUUGCGGUUCUUGUUUGAAAAGUGUGCUCUUAGUGAUGAUUAUGUUCUUUUGUUUGUUCCAUUUCUCACUUGUUCUUAGAUACAAUUUUCCUUUUUUCUUUUUUCUUGGGCCUUGCUUAUUACUAGGAAUCACUUAUGUUCGGGUGCUUGUAGUGCUAAAAGAUAAAACUUAUGCUUUUAUCAUGUAUUCACAUUGUGUAUGUCUGCCUCUGAUUGGUGACAUGAAGAGACUAAUUUCUCUACAACUAUUGCAAAAUUGCAGUGUCCUUAUCUAGUUCUGGAAAACACCAUAUAUAGGAACUUAAUGUGUAUGCGUGUGUAGAUGGCUUAAAAUUGGGUGGAUGCUUUCUUGUUGUAACUUCAAAAUUCCAUGCAAAAGUAAAAAAUAAAAAAGGAUACAUGAAGGUGAAGAAAUUGAAAAUACCAUAGAUGAGAAUAACUUGAAUAGGGCAUGUGAUCCUCGAGUCUUGCUUUGGAGUGAUUACCUAAAUCAAUGUAUGGUUAUUUUCUAACAAAUAUAUUAUUUUCUUAAACAAUUUGAAAGAGCUGUUGUAAUAGAUAAAAUUGAGAAAGAAAUCUCCUCUGGAAUUCUAUUGAACAUCUACUUGUAAACACAUUAACAUUGUCUGUGGUAGUCCAAGCCUGCAGCAUUGGAGGUUGGUAUCUUCAAUAUGUUGAUUUUCUAAAUGUGUUCCUCUCAAAAGUGGUCUCCUUGAUGUGUGGACUCUACCUUUGUUAAAACCAAGAUCUUUUAGUUGUUGCUGUCUUUUGGUUUAAAUUAUCACAAUUCACAACCAAUUAUAUUGUUAAUUUCCAGGCAAGAUUAUCUGUGCAAUAAAUGUAAGAGACCAGGGCAUUUUUCCAGAGAUUGCCCAAAUGUGACUAGAUGCAACAACUGUGGCCUUCCUGGGUAAGAUGAAUUCCUCCCCUUCUAGUUUCUCUAGAACAUUUCAUGUUUUAUGAGAGAACAAUUUCUAGAAUUAAAAUGUGUCAAUACUUGGUUGAUGUAUCAUGUAUGGUGGUUCCUCAGGAUAGUUUAAACCCUGAUUCACACACCAAACUGAUUUCUGGCAAAAACCUGAUUUAAUAUGUUCUCCUUUGUAGCCACAUAGCUGCUGAGUGUAACUCAACAACCAUUUGUUGGAACUGUAAAGAGUCUGGACAUCUUGCAAGCCAAUUUCCUAAUGAUCCAGUGUGCCAUAUGUGUGGAAAAAUGGGUCACCUGGCUCAGGAUUGCUCAUGCCUAGGUCUACCUGCUCAUGAUGCGAGACUCUGCAACAAUUGCUACAAGCCAGGCCACAUUGCUACGAACUGCACCAAUGAGAAAGCUUGCAACAUAUUCAUGUAGCCAGUUACUAUAUCAUAAGAAUAUAUUUAUCUAUUUUAAGGAGAAUUAUUGAUUGGGACAUUUUACUUCAGGGCAAGUUGGUGUGGGAGGAUUUCAAUAUCAUGGAGGAGGCAAAUGGAAUUGGUAAAGAAGUCAUUAAACAAACUAAUGUGACUGUGACGAACAAUACCCUAGAGAUCCGCUUGUAUUGGGCUGGGAAAGGGACAACAUGUAUCCCUAAGAGAGGAAGAUAUGGUCCUCUAAUAUCUGCUAUUUCUAUAUGUGCCAGUAAGUUAAAUAUUCAUGAGCCUCUCCUUUCAAAAUUAGUACAAUUGUUGCAGCUAAUAAUUGUGUGUUCUUUUUUUAUGUUUAAUUUUCCUUAGUCUUACUGUUUGGAAUUUAUACUGGGAAUAUAGUCCGUGGCUGGGUUUUCAUGCAACAAAUUAGCUAAAAAAUGCUAAUGCAAAAUCAAGUAAAGGAAUGAUAGUUUUUACCAUCAAAGUUGAAACAUUAGAAAUUGAUAAAAACAACACUUAUAAGUAGUUUUCUACAACCAAAUAAAAGUGGGCUACCCAAGGCUCUGGUUUUUAAGGUAAUGAGGGUUAUAUUUGCUGUGGUUCUUUGAGGUAUUUUAUGGGUUAAUACCAAUAGGAAAAGCUUGCUAAUAUUUAUGAAUGGCAAUGGAACUCAUUUCAGUGCUAAGCUAGUGUCAUUAUUUCAUGGUUAGGAUUUAUGAUCAACAGGUAUCAAUAUAGAGGUGAUGUCUGCUCUAUUAGGCUCCAAUUGAUCAAAUAUGUGAAAGAAUGGAAUCAUCUGUGUUGCCUUUGGAGUUCAAUGGGAACACUGAUCGGUGCAUAAUUCAAAGUGCAAUGUCGCAAUCUGUCCAAAGCAAUGUUUCUAGAGUUGUGGAUGCUUCUACUUUUGGGGUGUCUAUACAUGAAUGUUUUAGGACCACAUCAAUGUUUGAGAAACAGGCUAAGGUGGAUGCCAUACUUCUAAAUUUUUGUAUUAUUCCUUGAACUUGCUUCCAGAAAUAAUCUGGAUUUGAAUAGCUUGUAAUGGGCGUUUGGUUUUUUGUUCAUCAUCAUCAAGCCUUUUAUUGGCAAUUUACUUGCUUUAGAGCUCUUUAUUGUUAUUGGGUUGUUCAUUGUCUUUGUAGUGGGUGCAUUCAUAACAUGGAGGACAUUGGUGUUAACGGGUAUCUUCAAAUGCUUUACAAUUGUUCUUGUUAAAGAAAGAUAUUUGACAACUAUUUGGUUUCAUUAAUAACCCCAGCCCAGCCCAGCCCAGCCCNNNNNNNNNNNNNNNNNNNNNNNNNNNNNNNNNNNNNNNNNNNNNNNNNNNNNNNNNNNNNNNNNNNNNNNNNNNNNNNNNNNNNNNNNNNNNNNNNNNNAAAAAAGGGGGGGGGGGGGGGGGGGGGGUUGGAAAGACCUCUCUAUAUAAAUCUCUCUUUGGAUAACCUCAGGACGAGAGGAGGAACACUUUUAAAUUCCCGUACUAAGAAAUAUAUAGAGCUUUUGCUCUGCCUUUCCUUCUCAUUUUUGUUUUCACUUUUCUUGCUAGCCAAACAACCUUUGAGGAUGAUUUCUCAAGGGAUGAGUGGCUAGGUUUUACGUUUCUUGGAGUGAUGGAAGUUAGGUGAAGGACCUGAAUGCAAAGGUGGGAGUUGUCCUUACUUUAAACGAAAGUAGUUGUUCACCAUUAAUGGUUUUUAUUUCAAGGUUUAGCUUUAAAUCCUUUAAAAUCACCUUGAAUGGUCAAUACUUGGUAAGCUUUUCAGAUUCUAUGGAUGCUUAUUGCUAGAUCCAUGGACGUCUAUUAGUUAUCAUUUACGAGCCAUUGGAAGUUGGUUCAAGGUGAGGGUCUUUAGUGUUUGAAGUCAUUAAUGGGAAGCAAUUACCAGUUUUCAUGAAUCCUUUAGAUCAAAUCUUAAUUGCUAAAUACAAAACCGGUUCGGGAGAUAACCAUCCUUUAUAUUAUUGUCCCCAACGUGAGGAGAAGAUCCGAAAUCUCCUCCUUUGCCUAAGGAACCCGAUCCUAGUGACCUAAAGCUCCAAGAGACCUUUUCUUUGUAGUUAACUUCACUUAUUGUUUUUUCUUAACUUAAAAUCAAUCUUUGCAACCAUAAUUCCAUUUUCUUUAAAAGCUAACUUUCAUAAGAAAAAACACCAUUUUAUUUCCUUCACUAAGUCAACUGUACGAUGAAAAUCCAUCCCUGUGGAAGAUCCUAGAGCCACUAUACUAUGUUAGCUAUGCUACCAUAGUGUGAGGUGAUUUAGGUUUUAUAAAUUUUGUUGGUAACACCCGUUUAAUCCAUAAUCAAAUGGCGUGAUUGCAAUUGGGACAAAUCAAAUGGCGCCGUUGCCGGGGAUUGAACCCGGGUCACCCGCGUGAUAGGCAGGUAUACUCACCACUAUCAUUGGUUGAUUACAAGGAGAAAAUAGUAAAUUACACAAAAUAUCUAGAGAUAAAAAUCUAACGGAGUUGGUGCACAGGAAGAUUUUGCAUACCAUGCGAAAUUUCGCAUGGUGUGUGAAAUUCUUUGGCUACUUCUUGUGGUUUCGCAUGGUGUGCAAAAUUUCUUUCUCUAGUUUUCUUCCUUGCAUCUCUAUGAUUGGCUUGGAAAAGGGCUAUGAAGUGCUCCAAAGCUUGGAUUCUUCAUUGAUUACUACUCCAAAAGUGCUAUUUGAUAGCUUGUAAUAAACUUUUUUAAACACUUUUGAGUAGUAAUUAUCACCUUUUAACCCAAUUAACAUAUUAAGGACCCUUGCAAUCAAUUCUAAUCAAAUUGUGUUAAGUUUUGGUGUUUUGAUAGCUUUUUGAUCACCAAAGCAAUCAGAGAUUGAGGAGAGUUUUUUGGAAUCCUUAGCAAAGCAAUGGAAAGCUCAGAAACAUGAAGAAGCGAAGCUUUGAAGUCCUUUGCCAUAAGCAAAUCCGGAAUGCAAGGAGUAAAAGAUGUCCGGACACACCAUCGGAUGGCGGCGGAAUUGAAUGAUCCGGACAACAUAUCCGGAUAGGAGAUGCUAUCGUCCGGGUGUGAUGUUCACAAGUAUCGUGUGCUUCUCCCUGAGGGAGUCCAGAUAAGGGAGCGCGCCACAUGUGCUCUUAGGGAAUUCGGAUGGAGUUGAUCUGGAUAGCCUUGCGCACUCCGUGUCAUCCGGGAGAGGGGUCCCUACACCUUGCACACACAGACAGUCCCCUUUGCGCAGCAUAGUUCAGUCCACCUGGGGAGGAAUUCCGUGCGCUGACAUUUCAUAUCCGGAAUUCCAUGCGCCGACAUUUUACAUCCGGAUAUCUCACAGCCGGAUGGGAGAGGAGGACGUUUCAACUUCUCCGGUCAGACAUAUCCGGAUCCUCUGAUAGCGCUUACCCGAAGAGUUUUUCUCUCAGUAUACAGUGCUGCGGUGUUCUCCUGAAGCUUCCUGAUAUUUCCGACCGACAUCUUGAGAUAUUUUGCUUUAGAUAUUUGUUGUCUAAAUCCCCAAACUCUCCUUGUAAUCCACCUAUCAUAGGAUUCCUUAUUCUUUAAGUAAGAACAAAGGGGUGAAUAACCUUAUAUAUAUAGUUUGUACUUUUCUUUACAGAGGAUAUUAUGUAAUCAGGGGAAAAAAGAAAUAUAUUUCAUAGAACACUUGCUCUGUUUUUCCUUCAUAUAAUUGUUUUCUCGUUAGUUUUCCUACUAGCCAAACAAGCUCUGAGGAAGUUUCCUCAGAGAAUGAGUGGCUAGACUUUUAGUUCCUUGGAGUUAAGGUUGCCGGGAAAGGUUCCAAGUGCAAGAAUUAGUAACUUUGUGGUUUCAGUCAUUAAUGAAAAGAAAGUGUGAUCCUUUAAUGAUUUCUAUGUUUUUAGUUAACUUAAAACACCUUCAAUUCACUUGAGCCAACACUUGGUAAGGCACGUGAUCUCCGUCCAUGGAGAUGCACUUGUUUAUCUCUUGCGAGCUUUUGAGAAGUGACUUGGAGGUAGGAUUUUCUAGAAUUGCCAACACUUGGUAAGCUUUUGGACUCCAAGGAGACAUUCAUUAGUUAUCUCUUGCAAGCUUGAGAAAGGAAGUCCAAAGUUAAAGAUCACCUUGAAUGGCAAAUGCUAGGUGAGAGGUACGAGUCAUUGCAAGUUGCAUCAGUGAGAGGGAAUUAGAGCUGAAAUCCAUUUAAAGGUUACAUCUGUGCAACACCGGUUAGAGAAUUGACUAUAUGUUAAUUCUCUAAUGCGAGGAAAUGAACCAAAUGACUAGAGCUCUGUUUUUGCAUAAGGAACCUCCCCUGUGAACCUAAACCUCCAAGGAAUGUUUUUCUUCAUAAGUAAUUUCCAUUACUUUCUUUUUAGUUAGCUUUAAACAAACCUCAUUUAAACAAAGUUUGUGUUUUAUUUCUUAAGCUAACCUUGAAAUGAAAAAGCACCAAUUUACUUUGAAUUGGUAUCAAUUGUGAGUUGAAAACCCUUCCCAGUGAAUGAUCCUAGAGCCACUAUGCUAUAUUAGCUAAGCUAUCCUAAUGCAUGGUGAUAUAGGUUAUAAAUUUUGUUGAUUACUCUCUCAAUUAAAGAGCACCAGCUGGACAUGAAUCAGCUGAGACGCCAAUUAGGAACGAAUCAAAUGGCGCCGUUGCCGGGGAAUGUGCCAACUUCAUAGUGAUAUUAUUUCAGGGUACUUGUGGUUUUCAUCACAAGUUUGGUGAGUUUUCUCUCAUUUUACUAACUCUUUUAGUUUUUUCUUUUACUCGUUUUUAUUCUAGCAUAGUUUUUAAUUUAGUUUUAGUUAAUCGAACUCUUUUUGGUAGUUUUGUUUCUGUUUUCCUCUGUUUUUGUUUUUUUUCUUUGUUACAGUUGAUACUAGUUGUGUAUGCCAAAGUGGAUACGAGAUUGUGGAGGAAGGCUUGUUAAACUUGAAACACCUCAUAACAAGGAGUUGGAAGUAAUCUUGAACAUCAUGGAAACUGCACUUGAGGAUCAGCAUAGUCACCAUGAUCAUCAAGACAAUCCCAAUGAAUUUAGAUCAAUGAGGGACCGUAUGCAUCCACCUCGUAUGAGUGCACCAUCAUGUAUAGUGCCCCCUAUAGAGCAGCUAGUGAUCAGACCCCAUAUUGUGCCACUUCUGCCAACUUUCCAUGGAAUGGAAAGUGAGAAUCCUUAUGCCCAUAUCAAGGAAUUUGAAGAUGUUUGUAAUACAUUCCGAGAGGGAGGAGCUUCCAUCGACCUGAUGAGGCUUAAACUAUUUCCUUUUACUUUAAAGGAUAAGGCCAAGAUUUGGCUUAAUUCUUUAAGGCCAAGGAGUAUCCGUUCUUGGACUGAUUUACAAGCUGAAUUGCUCAAGAAGUUUUUUCCUACUCACAGAACAAAUAGCUUGAAAAGACAAAUUUCAAACUUCUCAUCUAAAGAGAAUGAGAAAUUCUAUGAGUGUUGGGAAAGAUACAUGGGAGCCAUUAAUACUUGUCCUCACCAUGGCUUUGAUACAUAGUUGUUGGUGAGUUAUUUCUAUGAUGGGAUGUCUUCCUCAAUGAAGCAACUCCUCGAAACAAUGUGUGGAGGGGAUUUCAUGAGUAAGAAUCCUGAGGAAGCUAUGGAUUUCUUGAGUUAUGUAGCUGAAGUCUCAAGGGGAUGGGAUGAACCGCACAAAGGAGAAGUGGGAAAGAUGAAGUCUCAACCAAAUGCUCUUCAUGCUAAGGUGAUUACUACCAAAAAGUGCUAUUUCGUAGACCUAAUAAUAAUGGUUUUAAGCACCUUUGAGUAGUAAUCAUAUUCAUUUAACCCAAUUAAUUCACUAAGGUCCUUAGUAAUUGGUUUUAAGUAUUUUGUGGCAAGUUUACAUGUUUUUAUCAGCUUAUGAACCAAUUCAAGCAUGCCAAUUGAUGGAGGAGCUAUUUGGGCGAGUUAAGCAAGGAUUUUGGAUGAUUAUAGGCUUGAAUUUCAAGUGGAAACACGAGCACAAGCAAUGGAGAAGAGGAAAACAGAGUGAAGAAAACAACUGCAGUCUUCUUUCGCACUUUUGAAGCACAUCCCGAAGUCCAUUUUCUACAUUCUAUAUACCAUUUCAAAGAUCAGGAAGUCAAGAAUCUAACGCUUCAAAUCGUGUAUAAUUUGGAGCUAAAAUGUGGAAGAUAUGGCCUUCGGAAGACAACUGCAUCAUGCCAAAUGACCAAUUUCGCAAGGAGAUUUUCCUCAUGGUGCGAAAUUUGGCCAUUUCGCACCAUGAAGAAAUACCUUGCGAAAAUUUCGCAAGGAGGAUUUAGGCACCUUGCGAAAUUCCUUUGAAUCCUCUGUUUCUCCACGCACGCACCACCGACUUCCCAAAUAUUUUUAGCUUGAUAUUUUCUCGUGUAAAUUCCUUUUGUAACCUUGUAUUCAGCCGACAUAAAGCUUUAUCUUGUAAUUUUGCUAUAUAUAGAGGUGCACAACACCUCCAAAAAAUGAUGGGAUGAUUGGGGGAUCGAUCCUCUGUACAUUAACUUAGAAAUAUAUAAAGAUUUGUUUUUCUCUCUUCUCCUGUUCUUCCCCAUUUCUAUUUUCUUAGUAGCCAAAUAGCCUCUGAGGGCUUUUCCUCAGAGGAUGAUUGGCUAAAACUUUUAGUUUCUCAAAGUAUGGAUGUUAUGUGAUGGCUUGGAUGCAAUCCCAUGGAAAUUUCUCGCACCUGGAAGGUAAGGUAGUCGUUUUUCAUUAACGGUUCAUUAAUGCAAAGUUUGGUUUUUAUUUCCUUUGGACAACUUCCAACGGCCAAUACUUGAUAAGCUUUUGGAUUUCUAUCCAUUAGUUUUCUCCUACGAGCUAUUGGAAGGUGAGGUUUUCAAUUCCAAGUUUUGCAUUAAUCUGUUAGAACCAAUUUCAAUGGCCAUUGAAAGGUGAGUUUAUCACCUGGAAUGACUUUGAGUUGCUAAUAUUUGGUAAGCUUUUGGCUUUAGACCAUUAGUUAUCUCUUACGAGCCAUUCAAAGGAAUUGUAAGGUGAAUAACCAUUGAUGAAAUUCACUACCAUCUGUUUUGCCAUUUUAAAGGAUUAAAACUUGAUUUGCUAAAUCCAUACCAGUUCGGGAAGCAAGCAUCACCAUAGUUGCAACCCCAACGCGAGGAGCCUAUCAUGAGAUUUCCAAUUUGCAUAAGAACCAGAGCAUAGCUAUCCUAUCUUUGAGAAACUUGUUUUUACACCCUUUCAUUUUAGUCUUUAAUGUUAGCUUAGAUUAGUUUAAAUCUUUCUAAAACAUUUGCAUCUUCUUUUAAAGCUAACAUCCAUAAGAAAAUCACCUAUUUUCCUAAUUUGAAUAUCACUUGUGUUUGCAAAAACCCUUCCCAAAGAACGAUCCUAGAACCACUAUGCUAUAGUAGCUUGGCUACUUUAGUAAUAGUAUUUAAGGUAUAAAUUUUGUUGAUACGCCUUUAAAGCUAAGCUACCAUGAGUCGCAUCAUAAGGCUGGGAUGUACACCUUGAAUGAAGAUGAUGAUAUGAAAGCAAAAUUUGCAGCUAUGACAAGAAGUGGAGGAGCUAGAACUGAAAAAGAUGAAUGAAGUGCAAACUAUUGCUGAAAUACCAGUGCAAGUAAAGCCAUGUUCUAUUUGUCAAUCUUAUGAACACUUGGUGGAGGAGUGCCCUUCAAUUCCAGUUGCUAGAGAAAUGUAUGAAGAACAAGCAAAUGUCAUUGGACAAUUCAAGCCCAAUAGCAAUGCUUCGUAUGGCAAUACUUAUAACUCAAGUUGGAGGAAUCAUCCAAAUUUUUCAUAAAAGCCAAGAGCACCUCAGUACCAACAGCCGGCUCAACCAUCUCAACCAUCCCAACAAGCUUCAAGUCUUGAACAAGCAAUAAUGAAUCUCAGGAAGGUUGUGGGAGAUUUUAUUGGAGAACAAAAAUCCAUCAACUCUCUGAUUACUACUCAAAAAGUACUAUUUCAUAGCUUAUAAUAAACUCUUUUAAACACUUUUGAGUAGUAGUUAUUGCCUUUUAACCCAAUUAACAUAUUAAGGACCCUUGCAAUCAAUUCUAAUCAAAUUGUGUUAAGUUUUGGUGUUUUGAUAGCCUUUUUGAUCACCAAAGCAAUCCGAGAUUGAGGAGAGUUAUGAGGAAUCUUGGGCAAAGCAAUUGGAAGCUCAGAAACAUGAAGAACCAAAGCUUUGAAGUCCUUUUCCAUAAGUAAAUCCGGAAUGCAAGGAGAAGAAGCAAAGAGAAUCUGCCAUAAAGCAUAUUCUUGAUGACAGUCAUAUCAGCCACUUUUGGAGCACUUUCUGAAGUCCAAUUUAUGCAUGCUAUAUGUCGUUUUGAAGCUCAGGAAUUCAAAAAUCCAAUGCUUCAAACAGUGUGCAAUUCGAAGUUGAAAUGAAGGAGUUACAUCCAUUGCAAGUCAAUCACUCUAAGUUGAAGGAAGCAUUUUGCAAAGUGUUGCCAAAACACCCUUUUGUUACGAAAUGAUUUCGCAGCCUUUUUGCACAGUGCUGUGGAAUUCCUCCUGAAGUUUCUUGAUAUAUGCGACACGUUGGAAGCUGAGCAUCGCAAGUUGAAAGCCGACUUCGUAGCGCUGCGAGAUUAGCCUUUUGCUGCGAAGUGAUUUCGCAGCCUUUUUUGUGUGUCUGCGAAAUCUCGCAGACAUCAUUUUCACUUGCGAAAUGAUCCUUAGUGCGUCCUGAUAUUUGCUACCGACAUUGGGAGAUAUUUUUCAUCUGAUUUUUGUUUUCUAAAUCCCAAAAUUCUCCUUGUAAGCCACCAAUUAUAAGAUUCCUUAGCUUUUAAGUUAGGAAAAAGAGUAAAUAUCCAUGUAAUAAUUAGUUUUGUAUUAUGUUCUUAUAAAUAGCUCUCGGGAGCCUGUUCUCAGAGAGGAACCCUUUUGUAAAAAUUGGAAAGCAAGUAAAGUUCAGGACUUUUGUUUUGCCUUACCUUCUCACUUUGUAUUUUUCAUUUUUUCUAAGUUACUCACUCUCUGAGGAAGUUUCCCUAGAGAAUGAGUAACUAAACCUUUAGUUCCUUGGAGCUAAGGUUGCCGGGAAAGGUUCCAAGUGCAAGAAUGCAAACCUCUGUGGUUUCAACCAUGAAUGAAGAGAAAGUGAAAUCCUUUAGUGAUUUCUAUGUUUUUAGUUAACUUAAAACAUCUUAGAGUCACCUGGGCCAAUACUUGGUAAGACAAGUGAUCUCCGACCAUGGAGAUGCACUAGUUUAUCCCUUGCGAGCCUCUGGGAGGUGACUUUAAGGUAGGAUUUUCUGGAAUUGCCAACACUUGGUAAGCUUUUGGACUCCAAGGAGACAUCCAUUAGUUAUCUCUUGCGAGCUUGAGAAGGGAAGUCCAAGGUUAAAGAUCACCUUGAAUGGUUAAGGCUAAGUGAGAGGCUCGAACCAUUGCAAGUUACAUCAGUGAGAGAAUUAAAGCUGAAAUCUAAUCAAAGGAUGUAUCUAUACAACACCGGUUAGAGAAUUGACUAUAUGUUAAUUCUCUAACGCGAGGAAAUGAACCAACUGACCGGAGCUAUGUCUUUUGCANNNNNNNNNNNNNNNNNNNNNNNNNNNNNNNNNNNNNNNNNNNNNNNNNNNNNNNNNNNNNNNNNNNNNNNNNNNNNNNNNNNNNNNNNNNNNNNNNNNNAGGUUCACUAGGGAGGUUUCUCAUGCAAAAGACAUAGCUCCGGUCAGUUGGUUCAUUUCCUCGUGUUAGAGAAUUAACAUAUAGUCAGUUCUCUAACCGGUAUUGUAUAGAUACAUCCUUUGAUUAGAUUUCAGCUUUAAUUCUCUCACUGAUGCAACUUGCAAUGGUUCGAGCCUCUCACUUAGCCUUAACCAUUCAAGGUGAUCUUUAGCCUUGGACUUCCCUUCUCAAGCUCGCAAGAGAUAACUAAUGGAUGUCUCCUUGGAGUCCAAAAGCUUACCAAGUGUUGGCAAUUCCAGAAAAUCCUACCUUAAAGUCACCUCCCAGAGGCUCGCAAGGGAUAAACUAGUGCAUCUCCAUGGUCGGAGAUCACUUGCCUUACCAAGUGUUGUCCUAGGUGACUCUAAGAUGUUUUAAGUUAACUAAAAACAUAGAAAUCACUAAAGGAUUUCACUUUCUCUUCAUUCAUAGUUGAAACCACAGAGCUUUGCAUUCUUGCACUUGGAACCUUUCCCGGCAACCUUAGCUCCAAGGAACUAAAGGUUUAGUUACUCAUUCUUUGGGGAAACUUCCUCAGAGAGUGAGUAACUUAGAAAAAAUGAAAAAUACAAAGUGAGAAGGUAAGGCAAAACAAAAGUCCUAAACUUUACUUGCUUUCCAAUUUUUACAAAAGGGUUCCUCUCUGAGAACAGGCUCCCGAGAGCUAUUUAUAAGAACAUAAUACAAAACUAAUUAUUACAUGGAUAUUUACUCUUUUUCCUAACUUAAAAGCUAAGGAAUCUUAUAAUCUAAUUAUUACAUGGAUAUUUACUCUUUUUCCUAACUUAAAAGCUAAGGAAUCUUAUAAUUGGUGGCUUACAAGGAGAAUUUUGGGAUUUAGAAAACAAAAAUCAGAUGAAAAAUAUCUCCCAAUGUCGGUAGCAAAUCUCGGGACGCACUAAGAAUCAUUUCGCAAGUGAAAAUGGUGUCUGCGAGAUUUCGCAGACACACAAAAAGGGUUGCGAAAUCACUUCGCAGCAAAAGGCUAAUCUCGCAGCGCUGCGAAGUCAGCUUUCAACUUGCGAUGCUCAGCUUCCAACGUGUCGCAUAUAUCGAGAAACUUCAGGAGGAAUUCCAUAGCACUGUGCAAAACGGUUGUGAAAUCAUUUCGCAACAAAAGGGUGAUUUCGCAACACUUUGCAAAAUGCUUCCUUUAGCUUAGAGUGAUUGACUUGAAAUGGUUGUAACUCCUUCAUUUCAACUCCGAAUUGCUCACCGUUUGAAGCAUUGGAUUACUGACUUCCUGAGCUUCGAAACGACAUAUAGCAUGCAUAAAUUGGACUUCAGAAAGUGCUCCAAAAGUUGUUGAUAUGACUGUCAUCAAGAAUAUGCUUUAUGGCAGAUUCUCUUUGCUUCUUCUCCUUGCAUUCCGGAUUUACUCAUGGCAAAGGACUUCAAAGAUUUGGUUCUUCAUGUUUCUGAGCUUCCAAUUGCUUUGCCCAAGAUUCCUCAUAACUCUCCUCAAUCUCGGAUUGCUUUGGUGAUAAAAAAGGCUAUCAAAACACCAAAACUUAACACAAUUUGAUUAGAAUUGAUUGCAAGGGUCCUUAAUAUGUUAAUUGGGUUAAAAGGCAAUAACUACUACUCAAAAGUGUUUAAAAGAGUUUAUUAUAAGCUAUGAAAUAGUAAUUUUUGAGUAGUAAUCACUUCCCCCAACCGACAUAUUGCUAGUUCCUUAGCAAUAAAGGAGAGAAAAAUAAAAAUAAACAAUACUAUAAUUUACAACAUCAUGCUGAUCAAAAAACAAUUUUCAAGUGGCAUGAUGAUCUAACUCUCACAUGGAACAUUAAAGAAAUAUAAAACCAAAUUUCAACAAGAGUUAUCACAUACUGUGCUAAACACUAUUAAUCAAGGGAAUGCAUUAUGCAAACUGAAGUUUUAAAAUCAUUUUCACUUUCAAAGAACCAAACUUUAUUCUUCCACAAAAAUCUAAGUGUAUGAUUCCUUAGCUUCCGAAUAUAGUAUGCUAAACUAAUCUCUCCCCCCAACCUAUCUCUUUUCAACACUUAGCAAACUGACCAAAAUCAAUAAGAUAAGAACACACUUUUUUUUUUUUUUUAAGGAGGCUUAAAGGGGUAUUCUUUCUGAAUUGUCCAUAUAAUGGGGGUCCAUCGAUGACUCCCAACCAAUUAAGGUUUAGGGCAUCAAGCUUUAAGGAUCUUUCAACCACUAACUCCUCGGAUUUUUCCCCGAACUUUUAAGAAUGAAUUUUUAAUACCCAUGCACCUAUCAUAUAAUAACUCAACCUAUCCACCCUUGUAACGAGCAUUGAGGUCGGUGACUCCCAACCAAUUAAGGCUUAGGGCACCAGGUUUUAAAGAUUUUCACCAUAUACCCCUCAGACCUUGCUCGGGUUUCAAGGCAAGCAAACUUUUUUCUUUCUUUAUUUCAAAGGCUCAUUGGCCUUUCAUAAGGUGUCUCAACUUUAUCAAAUGAGGUCAAAGGUACCAAGUCCCAAAAUUUUCCUAAGUCAAGAGGGAAAUAGUUUUUCAUCUUAUACUCAGAACCUAUUGUGCACAGUGUGUGGAUAGCUUAAAGUGGAAGAACUAAACUCGAUUUCAAUAGAAGCUUCAACAAUUGAACCACUUUAGUAAGCAUAAUUCAUACUCUAAGUCAAGUGAAAAGCAACAGUUCAGUUUCUCCUGUUUUAAUUUGAAAAUUUUUCCUCAAAAUCCAUGGAGAUUAGAGUAAAAAGUAAAAAACUACAACUGAUUUACCAACAUAAUUGCAUUACCAAAAUAACUUAGCAUACUUCCUUUAACUUAGCAUACUUCCUUCCUCAUUUCCCCCUCAACCGAGUUGAGCAUUGUCCUCAAUGUGAUAUGGGUGAUUGAAAUUAAAGGGAGGAAGUGGUACCUCUUGAGUGAUAUCAAUUUCGAAUACUGAUUGGAGAAACCACAUGUUUCAAAAAGAAUAAAAGAUGUGAGAAAAGGAAAUAAGAAUAAAUUAAUGUUACAGGUUAAAAAAAAUGCUAGACUUGCAUUACUUUGAAUCCAUUUGAGUACAAUUAGAAAGAAGGUAAUACAAGCAAUCCCAUAUAUGAUACCAAAAAGAUGGGAUUUAAUAAAAGACUAAGAAAAACGAAAUACAUAAAGGAAAUAUGUAGUAAAUAUAUAUAUGAUCAGAUGGGUGGAUGGUGCUGGAGUUAGGCAGAUGGCUCUGCCUCUUCAAUAGUUGCUUCAGGAGAGGCCUGAGGCUCUGUGGCCUGCGAGUGUGGCACUGAAGUGGUGGGGGUGGAGUGCUCAGCAGCUGAAGGCAGAUCGAAAUGAUGCUGGAGCUGCCUCAAGAUGGCAGUGUGCUAAGCCUGGGUGGUCAACAUCUGCUCAUGGCAUGCUCGAAUGGCUACCAUCUCCUGAGCAAGGCUGCUUUGAGAUGUUGUGAGGGUCUGUAGUGAGCAGCAUAACUCUCUGUAUUCUGAAAUGGGAAUGGCCAUCCUUGGUUCAGCUGAAGUGGAUGGCUCAGAUGAGGCUGGAGUAACUGGAGGGGCUCUGGGUAUGGUAGGAGAAGCAAUAGGUAUACCCUCAGGUAUGUGUCGUGGAGAUGCUCUCUUAGCAGCUGGCUGUGGGCGCUCUGGCUGCUCAACUCUAUAUGCUGUCAUAUUAUUCCAUUUGUCGAGAGUAAAUACCUCUCAGCAUAUGCGCUUGCGCUCCAACUGAGGAUCUGAUGGAUACCCCAGAUGCUCCAGAAUUUGACACAGCAGCCUUGGAAAGAGAAGAGGAAUGACAUCAGCUCGCUGUAGCUUCUUCUUAUGCACCUUUUCUUCAAAAUAGAGAAGGGCAGCCAUAAUUAAGUGGUGAGGGCCAAAGAAAUAUCCCUCAGAAAUCUUGAAGAGGGCCUCUAAAAAAACUCCUCUUCUCUGAGUCCAAUGCUGCAAUGGGUAGAUGUUAUGACGCAGAAAUGCAUCAAUAAGAAACAUGCUUGGAGGAAGUUCCCCCUUCAACAGAUGUGGACGUGUGAAAUCUCCUUUGGACAAGAUAUGUACCAUUUCCAGCUCAGUGGGACUAGCCCAUACUCUGUAAUCCUCAAAAUGGCUUGGCUCGUAUGGUAUUUGCAGGACCUCUGCUAUAUGGCGAGCUCCCAAAAUGCCAUGCCGCCCAUCAAUAGUAAAAUGAAUUAGAGUAGGAUCCCUGACCUGUUUAGUAGUCAUGGACUGAUAAAAAUCCAUGGCUACUCUGGGGUAGAAGAAGUCUCUUGGAGUCAGUAGGUGCUCCAUGCGGUAUCUACGCAGUAGGUGGAAUGACUGUGCAAGCUCCAGCUGCAAUUGAAAGGUGGCUGUGUCAAAGCACAGCUCAGAGUGAAAUGGCCGAGCUCUGCAGUCCAAAUUCCCUUCAAUUGGUGGUUGAGUCAGCAUCGGACGCCUGAUUACUACUUCAGGAGUUAUUUCAGAUGGAAUUUGGGGUUCGGGAAGUGGCGGCUGAGGCUCCUGAGGCUCUGCUGGCAGCACCGGAGAUGGCGCUGGAGAUGGUACUGGUGAGGGAACCGGGGACUACUCCGUUAAGUCAAUGGGCUCUGAGCUUUCAACCCUGGCUCUCUUUUGCAGUGGCCGACCCUCUGACCUAGUGAGAUAACGCCACGCCGGAGGCUUCUGCGGUGCAGGCUUCGCCGAAGGGGAAACAACUUUUGGCCACGGAGGUUCAGAGGAAGGAUCUAGAACGGGCUCCCCUUGCAGGACUCUUUUGUGGCUAGAAGGAGAGGAAGACUUGGCUCCUCUGGCUCGCGCCAUUUCGGAUUACCGAAAUUUGGCCGGAAGCGAUGACCGGAGAAGAUGAUCGGAGGUUCGCACGACGUCGGGCUCGGGCAAGGAGAUGAACAGUCAGCAACUAUGGCGCGCUCUCUUUUUGAAACCCUUUUGCAGCUCAAAUGACCGGUAUAUAUAAAAAACGGAAUAUUAAGGGUCAUUUUGAGUUUCGCAGAAAAAGGCCAAUUUCGCAGCAAAACGCUAUUCUCACAGCCCACUUCGCAGUCUGUUUCGCAGCUGCGAAAGGAGUGUCACUGUGCUGCGAAAUGGCACUCGUGUGCCAAAAUCGAUUUUGCAACUGCGAAAUACCCUGCGGAAUGGAACUUUGGUUGUGAAAUCAGGGAUUUUCACACUUUAUAGCUUCGCAACUGUUUCACAGCUGAGAAUUGGGGGCUCCCGUGCUGCGAAGUGGCACUCGUGUGCCAAAAUCGGUUUCGCAGCUGCGAAAAUUAUCGCAGAGAAGUCAAAUGAGUUGCGGAAUGGUUUGGCAGCAAAGUGCUAAUUUCGUAGAGGAUUUCCUUAUGCUGCGGAGUCUCGUAGAGCCCUGUUUUUGCUCUAUUUACACUCUGUUUUUGCUCUGUUUUCGCUCCGAUUUCUUCCUUUCAAUUUCUUUGCAUUUUCUUCCACCUGAGAUAAUUCAAAAAGAUUAAAACACAUAUAAAUACAUAAUUUAAGAUCAAAAACUAAGAUCAAAAGUAUGGAAAAAACUUUGAAAUUUACAAGAUUUACAAAAAUUUUGGACUGUGGUAAAACCAAGCCCAUCAAACCCUUAUUUGCUUAGGCUUUUUGUGGCUCAAGGAGGUUGAUUUCCUCAUUUUCUGGUUUAAAUGGCUCCAUGAAUGGCUUGAGACGAUAUCCAUUGACUCUAAAGGUGUCUUUGCCAUUGGAAUUCAAUAAUUCCACCACUCAUUUACAUAUACUUGGUGAAUAAUGAACGGGCCUAUCCACCUUGACUUGAGCUUUCCAGGAAAGAUAUGGAGUCUUGUGUCAUAAAGUAAAACUCUUUGUCCUUUCUGAAAUUCUUUGUUGGAGAUUAGUUGAUCAUGCCACUUCUUCAUCCUCUGUUUUGCAACUUUGGAAUUGAUAUAAGCAUCAUUUCUUAAUUCUUCCAUCUCAUUAAGGUCUAGACACCUCUUUGCUCCAGCUUUGAUCAAGUCCAUAUUCAGCUUCUUUAUUACCCACCAAGCUUUGUAUUCAACUUCCACAGGGAGAUGGCAUGCUUUGCCAUAGACAAGACGAUAGGGCGACAUGCCAAGAAUAGUCUUAUAAGCUGUUCUAUAUGCCCAUAAUGAAUCAUGAAGCCUAAUAGACCAAUCUUUUCUGCUUGAAUUCACCACUUUCAUCAAUAUGUUCUUUAUUUCCCUGUUAGCUAGCUCAACUUGCCCGGAAGUCUGAGGAUGAUAAGGCGUAGCUACCUUAUGCUUCACUCCAUACUUGGAUAAUAGAGCUUCAAAAGGUUUGUUGCAAAAAUGAGCACCUCCAUCACUGAUUAUGGCUUUGGGCACCCCAAAUCUUGAGAAAAUGUUCUCUUUAAGAAACUUGAGAACCACUCUGUGAUCAUUUUUUUUUUACAAGGGAUUGCCUCAACUUAUUUAGAAACAUAAUCCACCCCCACCAAGAUGUAAGAAUUACCAAAAGACAUUGGGAAAGGUCCCAUGAAGUCAAUGCCCCAUACAUCAAAUAGCUCAACUAUUAGAAUGGGGUUCAUAGGCAUUUGAUUUCUUUUUGUUAGCUUUCCAAGCCUUUGGCAUCUAUCACAACUCCUACACAUGAUGUGGGCAUCUUUGAAAAGAGAUGGCCAAGUAAACCCUGAUUGCAACACCUUCAUGGUUGUUUUCUAAGAGGCAAAGUGGCCUCCACAUGCAUUCUCAUGACAAUGGUGUAGAAUCCCUUGCUGCUCUUCUUCAGGGAUACAUUUCCUUAUGAUCUGAUCUGCACAAUACUUAAAAAGGAAGGGCUCUUCCCAAUAAUAAGCAUGAAUUUUUGAAAAGAAGUGCUUCCUGUCCUGUGCAUUCCACUCACUUGGAAUUUCACCAGUUACUAGAUAAUUAGCAAUAUGAGCAUACCAAGGAGUUUUUACUAGGAACAUGAGUGAUUCUUCAAGAAAAUCAUCAUUAAUAGGCAAGGUAUGGGAAUUAUGUGCUAUAACUAACCUUGAAAGGUGGUCAGCUACCACAUUCUCCACUCCUUUCUUAUCUUUGAUUUGGAGAUCGAAUUCUUGUAACAAAAGAAUCCAUUUAAUCAACCUUGCUUUUGCAUCUUGUUUUGUCAAUAAAUACUUCAAGGCUGAAUGGUCAGUGAAGACAAUGAUGAAAAACCCCACUAAAUAAGCAUGAAAUUUGUCCAAAGCAAAUACCAUAGCUAACAAUUCUUUCUCUGUAGUUGUGUAGUUCCUUUGAGCUUCAUUCAAUGUUUUGCUUGCAUAGUAGAUCACAUAGGGCUUCCCAUCUUCUCUUUGGCCAAGCACCGCUCCUAUAGCAAAGUCACUGGCAUCACACAUCAGUUUAAAGGGUAGUUGCCAGUUAGGGGCCCUCACUAUUGGAGUUGUUAUUAAAAAUUUCUUUAGUUGAUCAAAGCUAUUUUGACAUCUUUCAUCCCAUUUAAACUUAGCAUCCUUAGCUAACAGCUCACAAAGAGGUUUUGAAAGAUUUGAAAAACCUUUUAUAAACCUCCUAUAGAACCCUGCAUGGCCAAUGAACUGUCUUACUCCUUUUAUAGUGGUUGGGGAUGGUAAUUUGACAAUAAGCUCCACCUUUGCUUUAUCAACUUCAAUGCCUUUUUCAGAGAUGAUAUGGCCAAGGACAAUUCCUUGAUGUACCAUAAAAUGGCAUUUCUCCCAGUUGAGCACCAAGUCUUUUUCAAUGCAUCUGUGAAGAACCGCUUCCAAAUUGAUUAAGCAUUCCUCAAAUGUACCUCCAUAUACGAUGAUGUCAUCCAUGAAUACCUCCAUAAUUCGCUCCACCAUAUCACUGAAAAUACUCAACAUACAUCUUUGAAAUGUUGCCGGUGCAUUGCAUAAACCAAAAGGCAUUCUUCUGUAAGCAUAUGUUCCAAAUGGACAUGUAAAAGUGGUCUUUUCCUGAUCUUCCACAUCAAUUUCAAUCUGAAAAUACCCUGAAUACCCAUCCAAGAAGCAAUAGAACGGAUGGCCAGAGACUCUCUCCAGCACUUGGUCAAUAAAUGGCAAUGGAAAAUGAUCUUUCCUGGUUACAGCAUUCAACUUUCUAUAAUCAAUACACACCCUCCAACCUGAAGUGAGGCGUGUAGUAAUUUCUUCUCCUUUUUCAUUCUGAACCACUGUAAUCCCUGACUUCUUUGGUACCACUUGAGUAGGACUCACCCAAGGGCUAUCAGAUAUAAGGUAAAUAAUACCUGCUUGAAGUAGCUUCAGCACCUCAGCUCGCACCACCUCUUGUAAAUGAGGAUUCAAUCUUCUUUGAAGUUGACGAAUUGGCUUUGCUUCCUUCUCCAUAUAUAUAUGAUGAGUGCAAACUAAAGGACUAAUGCCUUUCAAGUCAGAUAUUUGCCAUCCUAUUGCCUUCUUACACCUCUUGAGAACUUCUAUUAAACACUUCUCUUGAUGACUAGUCAGAGAUGAAGAUAUUACAACAAGACAUUGAUUAUUUUCCUCAAGGUAUGUAUAUUUCAGCUCCACAGGUAGAGGCUUCAGAUUGAGUUUUGGAGUCUCUUUUUCAGAAGCUGCCUUUUCUUCUUUAUUGAACAAAGGUAGAAUCUCUUCUAUCUUACUCCAAAUUUGUAGAGUAGCAAGCACAUUAGGGGGUUCAGACAAACCUUCCUCAAAAUCUGCAAGACUUUCAUUCAACUUGUCUUGCAUAUUCUGAUUACAGUGUUCCUCCACUAGAGUGUCAAUAAUGCACAACUCUUCUGGACCCUCUUCUUCUUCCGGAGUAGUUUGCUUUUUAGACAUAUAGAAAAUGUUGAGAUCAAGUGUCAUGUUACCAAAAGUGAGUUGCAUCAGCCCAUUCCUGCAGUUGAUGAUUGCAUUUGAGGUAGUAAGAAAUGGCCUUCCAAGGAUGAUAGGAACUAAAUUAGCUUCCUUUACAGUAGGAUCUGUAUCAAGAACAAUAAAAUCUACCAGAUAGUAGAAAUUACCCACUUGAACCAAGACAUCCUCAAUUACCCCCAUUGGAAUUUUUACUGAUCUAUCUGCUAGAGAUAGAGUGAUUGUUGUUGGCUUCAACUCUCCAAGUCCCAAUUGCUUGUAGACAGAGUAUGGAAGCAAAUUCACACUUGCUCCCAAGUCUAACAAAGCUUUCUCCACUAUCUUUCCUCCAAUCAUGACUAAAAUGGUAGGACUUCCCAGAUCUUUUUACUUCAAAGGAGCCUUACAUUCUAAGAUUGCACUUACUUGCUCAGUCAAGAAGGCUUUCUUGUUUACAGUCAACCCUCUUUUGAUAGUACAUAAGUCCUUUAGGAAUUUUGCAUAUGUUGGAACUUGUUUAAUCAUAUCCAGUAGUGGGACAUUGACUUUCACUUGUUUCAAUACUUCAAGGAUUUCAGCUGCAUUUCUAAUCCCCUUUUCCCCAUGUAAUGCUUGAGGAAAAGGUGGAGAAGUUGAUUUCUUCAGCAUUUCUUCCUUCAGAAGUUCCUUCUCUAGAAUUGCAUUCAUUGUUGAAUCAUAGUCUUUCUUCUUUUCACUGAUCUCACUCUCUUUGUCUUCCAUUUCUUCCCCUUUCUUUGUCUCUUCUUCUUUCUCAACAUGUGGCUUGAGUGUUGGCUUCUCAAUUUUUUUACCACUCCUUAGAGUGAUCAAGGCUUUGACAUCUUUCAUCUGUGAUGAUUCCCCCUCUUGGCUUUCCACUUCAUGGACACCCUUGGGGUUUUGGUGGGGUUGAGAAGGAAAUCUUCCCUUUUCUUGCACUGUGUUCAAAUUUGUGAGCCUUGAAAUUGAGUAUUGGAGAUUAUCAAACUUUUGGGAUAUAUCAUUUUGCAUUCCAUCCAUCCUUUUAUUCAAAGUACUCUCCACUCUAUCAAUUCUUUGAUUGAGUUGAGCAUUGAUGGCUUCUUGGUUUCCAACAAAAUCUCCCACUACCUUGCUGAGAUUCACUAUUGCUUGUUCAAGACUUGAAGAUUGUUGAGAUGGUUGAUCCGAUUGUUGGUACUGAGUUGCUCUAGCCUUCCAUAAGAAAUUUGGAUGAUUCCUCCAACUUGAGUUGUAAGUAUUUCCAUAAGGCACAUUGUUAUUAGGCUUGAAUUGUCCAACAACAUUUGCUUGAUCUCUAAACAUUUCCCUUUCAGCUAAAAUUGCAGGGCAUUCCUCCACCAAAUUUUCAUAUGAUUGACAAUUAGGACAAAGCUUCACUUGCACUGGUGCUUCAGCAACAGCUUGCACUUCAUGCAUCCUUUUCAGCUCCAGCUCCUCCAAUCUUCUUGUCAUAGCUGCCAACUUUGCUUUCAUAUCAUCAUCUUCUUUCAAGGUAUACAUCCCAGCCUUAGCAUUAAAAGCACUCAGUUGAGACUUCAUCUUCCCCACUUCUCCUUUGGUUAGUUCAUCCCAUCCCCUUGAAACUUCAGCUACAUAGCUCAAGAAAUCCAUAGCUUCCUCCGGAUUUUUGCUCAUGAAAUCUCCUCCACACAUUGUCUCGAGGAGUUGCUUCAUUGAGGAAGACAUACCAUCAUAAAAACAGCUCACCAAUAGCCAAGUAUCAAAGCCAUGGUGAGGGCAAGCAUUUAUAGCUUCCAUGUAUCUUUCCCAACACUCAUAGAAUUUCUCAUUCUCUUUAGCUGAGAAGUUUGAAAUUUGCCUUUUCAAGCCAUUUGUUCUAUGAGUGGGAAAAAAUUUCUUGAGGAACUCAGCUUGUAAGUCAGUCCAAGUGCGGAUACUCCUUGGCCUUAAAGAAUUAAGCCAAAUUUUGGCCUUAUCCUUUAAAGUAAAAGGAAAUAACUUAAGCCUCAUCAAAUCAAUUGAAGCUCCUCCCUCUUGGAAUGUAUUACAAACAUCUUCAAAUUCCUUGAUGUGUGCAUAGGGAUUCUCACUUUCCAUCCCAUGGAAAGUUGGUAGAAGUGGAACAAGAUACGGUCUGAUCACUAGCUGCUCUGUAAGGGGCACUAUACAUGAUGGUGCACUCAUACGAGGUGGAUGCAUGUGGUCCCUCAUUGAUCUAAAUUCAUUGAGAUUGUCUUGAUGACCUUGGUGACUAUGCUGAUCUUCAGGUGUAGCUUCCAUGAUAUUCAAGCUCAAUUCGAAUUCCUUGUUAUGAGGUGUAUCACAUUUAACAAGCCUUCCUCCACUGUCUCGUAUCCACUUUGGCAUACACAACUAGUAUCUAUCUGCAACUUAAAUGAAAAUAAAGGACAACAAAAGGAAAUAGGGCUACAACAACAAAAUUAAACUAAGCUAAAUUUAAAAGAUAAACUUGGAUUAUGAAUAAAUAAAGAAAGAAUGAGAAUUAGUAAAGUGAAAGAAAUGUUACCAAACUUGUGAUGAAAAAUCACAAGUGCUCAAAAAUGGUAUCACUAUAGCCUUGACACCUUCCUCGGCAACGGCGCCAUUUGAUUCAUUCCCAAUUGGUGUCUCAGCUGAUUCGUGUCCAGCUGGUGCUCCUUGAAUGAGGGAGUAAUCAACAAAAUUUAUAACCUAUUACACCAUAUACUAGGGUAGCAAAGAAAAAGCUACUAUAGUAUAGCGGCUCUAGGAUCGUUCACUGGGAAGGAUUAGCAAAUUAUCAAUGAUACCAAUUCAAAGUGAAUUGGUAUUGUUUCAUUUCAAGGUUAGCUUAAGAAAUAAAACACAAACUUUGGUUGGUAAAGAUUUAUAUUUAAACUAACUGCAAAGCAAGUAAUGGAAAUUACUUAGGAAGAAAAACAUUCCUUGGAGGGUCAGGUUCACUAGGGAGGUUCCUCAUGCAAAAGACAUAGCUCCGGUCAGUUGGUUCAUUUCCUCGCGUUAGAGAAUUAACAUAUAGUCAGUUUUCUAACCGGUGUUGUACAGAUACAUCCUUUGAUUAGAUUUCAGCUUUAAUUCUCUCACUGAUGCAACUUGCAAUGGUUCGAGCCUCUCACUUAGCCUUAACCAUUCAAGGUGAUCUUUAACCUUGGACUUCCCUUCUCAAGCUCGCAAGAGAUAACUAAUGGAUGUCUCCUUGGAGUCCAAAAGCUUACCAAGUGUUGGCAAUUCCAAAAAAUCCUACCUUAAAGUCACCUCCCAGAGGCUCGCAAGGGAUAAACUAGUGCAUCUCCAUGGUCGGAGAUCACUUGCCUUACCAAGUGUUGGCCUAGGUGACUCUAAGAUGUUUUAAGUUAACUAAAAGCAUAGAAAUCACUAAAGGAUUUCACUUCCUCUUCAUUCAUGGUUGAAACCACAGAGCUUUGCAUUCUUGCACUUGGAACCUUUCCCGGCAACCUUAGCUCCAAGGAACUAAAGGUUUAGUUACUCAUUCUCUGGGGAAACUUCCUCAGAGAGUGAGUAACUUAGAAAAAAUGAAAAAUACAAAGUGAGAAGGUAAGGCAAAACAAAAGUCCUGAACUUUACUUGCUUUCCAAUUUUUACAAAAGGGUUCCUCUCUGAGAACAGGCUCCCGAGAGCUAUUUAUAAGAACAUAAUACAAAACUAAUUAUUACAUGGAUAUUUACUCUUUUUCCUAACUUAAAAGCUAAGGAAUCUUAUAAUUGGUGGCUUACAAGGAGAAUUUUGGGAUUUAGACAACAAAAAUCAGAUGAAAAAUAUCUCCCAAUGUCGGUAGCAAAUAUCGGGACGCACUAAGGAUCAUUUUGCAAGUGAAAAUGAUGUCUGCGAGAUUUCGUAGACACACAAAAAGGGCUACGAAAUCACUUCGCAGCAAAAGGCUAAUCUCGCAGCGCUGCGAAGUUGGCUUUCAACUUGCGAUGCUCAGCUUCCAACGUGUCGCAUAUAUCGAGAAACUUCAGGAGGAAUUCCACAGCACUGUGCAAAAAGGCUGCGAAAUCAUUUCGCAACAAAAGGGUGAUUUCGCAACACUUUGCAAAAUGCUUCCUUCAGCUUAGAGUGAUUGACUUGCAAUGGCUGUAACUCCUUCAUUUCAACUCCGAAUUGUGCACCAUUUGAAUCAUUGGAUUUUUGACUUCCUGAUCUUCGAAACGAAAUAUAGAAUGUAUAAAUUGGACUUCAGAAAGUGCUCCAAAAGUGGUUGAUAUGACUGUCACCAAGAAUAUGCUUUAUGGCAGAUUCUCUUUGCUUCUUCUCCUUGCAUUCCGGAUUUACUCAUGGCAAAGGACUUCAAAGCUUUGGUUUUUCAUGUUUCUGAGCUUCCAAUUGCUUUGCCCAAGAUUCCUCAUAACUCUCCUCAAUCUCGGAUUGCUUUGGUGAUCAAAAAGGCUAUCAAAACACCAAAACUUAACACAAUUUGAUUAGAAUUGAUUACAAGGGUCCUUAAUAUGUUAAUUGGGUUAAAAGGCAAUAACUAAUACUCAAAAGUGUUUAAAAGAGUUUAUUAUAAGCUAUGAAAUAGUAAUUUUUGAGUAGUAAUCAUUCUCAACUCAGCCAAAGAAUUGACAGUGUAGAGAAUAGGAUGACGGGAUGCAAAAUGACUUAUCUCAGAAGAUAGAUAAUCUCCAAUACUCAAUCUCAAGGCUCACUAAUUUGAACACAGUGCAGGAGAAGGGUAGAUUUCCUUCUCAACCUCACCAAAACCCCAAGGGUAUCCACGAAGUGGAAACUCAUGAGGGAGAAUCUUCACAGGUGAGAGAUGUUAAAGCCUUGAUCACUCUAAGGAGUGGUAAAAAGGUUGAGUCACCAACACCCAAGCUAUAUCUUGAAGAGAAGGAAGAAGAAGAGACAAAGAAGAGGGAGGAAAUGAAAGGAAAUAAGUAAGAUAUCAGUGAAGAGAAGGAGGACCGUGAAUCAAUAGUGAAUGCAAAUCCGGAGAAAGAGCUUAUUAAGGAAGAAUUGAUGAAGAAACGCACAUCUCCACCUUUUCCUCAAGCUUUGCAUGGGAAAAAGGGGAUAAAAAAUGCAUCAGAAAUCCUUGAAGUAUUGAGCUAAGUGAAGGUCAACAUUCCAUUGCUGGACAUGAUUAAGCAAGUUCCAACAUAUGCAAAGUUCCUAAAGGACCUCUGUACUAUCAAAAGAUGGUUGAAUGUGAAUAAGAAAGCCUUCUUGACUGAACAAGUAAGUGUCAUCAUACAAUGCAAAUCUCCUUUGAAAUACAAAGAUCCGGGAUGUCCUACCAUUUCAGUCAUGAUUGGAGGAAAGGUAGUGGAAAAAGCUUUGUUAGAUUUGGGAGCAAGUGUGGAUUUGCUACCAUACUCUGUUUAUAAGCAAUUAGGACUUGGUGAAUUAAAGCCAACAUCAAUAACCCUAUCUUUAGCUGAUAGGUCAGUGAAAAUUCCAAGGGGGAUAAUUGAGGAUGUUUUAGUUCAAGUUGAUAAUUUCUACUAUCCAGUAGAUUUUGUUGUUCUUGAUACUGAUCCUUUAGUUAAGGAAGCUAAUUAUGUUCCUAUCAUCCUUGGAAGGUCAUUCCUUGCUACUUCAAAUGCAAUCAUAAAUUGUAGGAAUGGACUUAUGCAACUUACUUUUGGCAACAUGACACUUGAGCUUAAUAUCUUUCAUAUGUCAAAGAAGCUGAUUACUCCGGAAGAAAAAGAAGGUCCAGAAGAGGUAUGCAUUAUUGACACUCUAGUGGAGGAGCAUUGUGAUCAGAAUAUACAAGACAAGUUGAAUGAAAGUCUUGAGGAUCUUGAAGAAGGGUUGUCUAAACCCACUAAUGUGCUUGCUACUCUACAAGGUUGGACGAGGAACCAAGAGAUCUUACCUUUAUUCAAUAAAGAGAAGGGACAAGAUGAUGUAACAGAAGAAUUCCCGAAGCUCAAUUUGAAACCUCUACCCAUGGAGUUAAAAUAUACAUACCUGGAAGAAAAUAACCAAUGUCCUGUUGUUAUAGCUUCAUCUCUUACCGGUCAUCAGGAGAUUUCUCUACUUGAAGUUCUUAAGAAGUGCAAGAAAGCAAUAGGAUGGCAAAUAUUUGACUUGAAAGGAAUCGGUCCUUUGGUUUGUACACAUCAUAUAUAUAUGGAGGAAGAAGCUAAACCAAUUUGUCAACCUCAAAGAAGAUUGAAUCCUCAUUUACAAGAAGUGGUGCGAACUGAGGUACUGAAGCUACUCCAAGCGGGUAUUAUUUAUUCCAUAUCAGACAGCCCUUGGGUGAUUCCUACUCAAGUGGUACCAAAGAAGUUAGGUAUUACUGUGGUUCAGAAUGAAAAAGACGAAGAAAUUGCUACACGCCUCACUUCAGGUUGGAGGGUGUGUAUUGACUACAGGAAAUUGAAUGUUGUGACAAGGAAAGAUCAUUUUCCACUCCCAUUUAUUGAUCAAGUGCUGGAGAGAGUCUCUGGCCAUCCUUUCUAUUGUUUCUUGGAUGGGUACUCAGGGUAUUUCCAAAUUGAAAUUGAUGUUGAAGAUCAGGAGAAGACCACUUUCACAUAUCCGUUUGGAACAUACGCCUACAGAAGAAUGUCUUUUGGUUUAUGCAAUGCACCUGCAACAUUCCAAAGAUGUAUGCUUAGUAUCUUCAGUGAUAUGGUGGAGCGAAUUAUGGAGGUUUUCAUGGAUGAUAUCACCAUAUAUGGAGGUACAUUUGAAGAAUGCUUAGUAAAUUUGAAAGUGGUUCUUAAAAGAUGCAUUGAAAAAGAUUUGGUGCUCAACUUGGAGAAAUGCCAUUUUAUGGUACGUCAAGGAAUUGUCCUUGGCCAUAUCAUCUCUGAGGAAGGCAUUGAAGUUGAUAAAGCAAAGGUGGAACUUAUUGCCAAAUUGCCAUCCCCAACCACUGUAAAAGGAGUAAGGCAAUUUCUUGGCCAUGCAAAGUUCUAUAAGAGGUUUAUACAAGAUUUCUCUAAGCUGUCAAGGCCUCUUUGUGAAUUUUUAGCUAAGGAUGCUAAGUUUGUCUGGGAUGAGAGAUGUCAAAAGAGUUUUGAUCAAUUGAAGCAAUUUUUGACAAUCGCUCCAAUAUUAAGGGCUCCUAACUGGCAAUUACCCUUUGAAGUAAUGUGUGAUGCCACUGACUUUGCUAUAGGAGCUGUACUUGGCCAAAGAGAAGAUGGGAAACCCUAUGUGAUCUACUAUGCAAGCAAAACAUUGAACGAGGCUCAAAAAAACUACACAACUAUAGAGAAAGAAUUGUUAGCUAUGGUAUUUGCUUUAGACAAGUUUCAUGCUUAUUUGGUAGGGUCUUUCAUCAUUGCUUUCACUGACCAUUCAACCUUGAAGUAUUUAUUGACAAAGCAAGAUGCAAAAGCAAGGUUGAUUAGAUGGAUUCUUUUGUUACAAGAGUUUGAUCUCCAAAUCAGAGACAAGAAAAGGGUAGAGAAUGUGGUAGCUGACCACCUUUCAAGGUUGGCUAUAACACAUAAUUCCCAUGUAUUACCUAUUAAUGAUGACUUUCCCGAGGAAUCACUUAUGUUGCUAGAGAAAGCUCCUUGGUAUGCUCAUAUUGCUAACUAUUUGGUUACUGGUGAAGUUCCAAGUGAGUGGAAAGCGUAAGACAAGAAGCACUUCUUUGCAAAGAUUCAUGCUUAUUAUUGGGAAGAGCCCUUCCUUUUCAAGUAUUGUGCAGAUCAGAUCAUAAGGAAGUGUGUCCCUGAAGAAGAGCAAUAAGGGAUCCUCAGCCACUGCCAUGAGAAUGCCUGUGGAGGCCACUUUGCCUCUCAGAAAACAACCAUGAAGGUCUUGCAAUUAGGGUUUACUUGGCCAUCGCUUUUCAAAGAUUCCCACAUCAUGUGUAGGAGUUGUGAUAGAUGUCAAAGACUCGGGAAGCUUACAAAAAGAAACCAAAUGCCCAUGAACCCCAUCCUUAUAGUUGAUCUUUUUUAUGUUUGGGGUAUUGACUUCAUGGGACCUUUCCCAAUGUCUUUUGGUAACUCUUAUAUAUUGAUGGGGGUGGACAAUGUUUCCAAAUGGGUGGAGGCAAUCCCCUGUAAACAUAAUGAUCACAGGGUGGUUCUCAAAUUUCUCAAGGAGAACAUCUUCUCAAGAUUUGGGGUGCCAAAGGCCAUAAUCAGUGAUGGAGGUACUCAUUUUUGCAACAAACCUUUUGAAACCCUAUUAGCCAAGUAUGGAGUGAAGCAUAAGGUAGCUACACCUUAUCAUCCUCAAACUUCCGGGCAAGUGGAGCUAGCAAACAAGGAAAUAAAAAACAUACUGAUGAAAGUGGUGAUUACAAGCAGAAAAGAUUGGUCUAUUAAGCUACAUGAUUCAUUAUGGGCAUAUAGAACAGCUUAUAAGACUAUUCUUGGCAUGUCUCCCUAUCGUCUCAUCUAUGGCAAAGCAUGCCACCUCCCUGUGGAAGUUGAAUAUAAAGCUUGGUGGGCAAUCAAGAGGUUGAACAUGGACUUGAUCAGAACUGAGGCAAAAAGGUGCUUAGACCUUAAUGAGAUGGAGGAAUUAAGAAAUGAUGCUUACAUCAAUUCCAAAGUUGCAAAACAGAGGAUGAAGAAGUGGCAUGAUCAACUAAUCUCCAAAAAAGAAUUGUGGAAAGGAUAGAGAGUCCUACUCUAUGACUCAAGGCUCCAUAUCUUUCCAGGGAAGCUCAAGUCAAGGUGGAUAGGUCCUUUCAUUAUUCACCAAGUACAUCUCAAUGGAGUGGUGGAAUUACUAAAUUCCAAUGGCAUAGACACCUUCAGAGUCAAUGGUCAUCGCCUCAAGCCAUUCAUUGAAUAGUUCAAGCCAGAAAAGGAGGAAAUCAACCUCCUUGAACCACAAAAAUCCUUAUCAGAGAAGGGUUAGAUGGACUUGGUUUCACCAAAGUCCAUAAUUUUGUUAAAUAUGUUAAUUUUUAAGUUUUGUAAAUUAUUUGAUUGUAAUUUUAGUCUUGAAAUUUUGUAAAUUGUAACUAACUUAAUCUUUUUGAAUGAUUAAAAUCAGGAGGAAUUGCAAGAAAAGCGAAAGAAGCUACUCUUUGCUCCUCAGAGCCAUCACAGGCCCCUCCUUUUAUUGAUCAGCCUUUGCCUCAUCAGGAGCCUCCUACAGGAGAGGCAGCUGAGCCAUCAUUUCCACAGCAUGACUCCACGUCACUCAGGAGGUACCACUUCCUCCCUAUUUUUCAAUCGCUUUUGUCACAUUGAGGACAAUGUUCAGCUUGGUUGGGGGAAGAGUUGAGAAAUGAAGUUUUUAUUGUUAAUGCUAAGUUAUUUUGGUAAUUUAGUUGCUUUUUGCUUAAUUUUAAAAUUUUUUAAAGUUUUUUUAUUCUACUCUCCAUGGUUAUUAAGGAAAAAUUUUCAAAUUGAAAUGGGAGAAAUUGAAUUUUUGUCUUUUUACUUGACUUAGAUUUUGUAUUAUGCUUACUAAAGUUGAUGAAUUGUUGAAACUUCUAUUGAAUUCAACCUUAGUUCUUCAACUUUAAGCAUUCACACACUGUGCACAAUAGGUUCUGAUUAUAAGAUGAAAAACUAUUUCCCUCUUGACUUAGGAAAAUUUUAGACUUGGUACAUUUGACCUCAAUUUAAUAGUGUUGGGACACCUUAUAAAAGGCCAAUGAGCCUUUGAGAAAAAAAAAAAGAAUAAAGAAAAAAAGAAAAAAAAUGUUUGCUUGCCUUGAAACCCGAGCAAGGUCUGAGGGGUAUAUGAUGAAAAUCUUUAAAACCUGGUGCCCUAAGCCCUCAUUGGUUGGGAGUCACUGACCUCAAUGCUCGUUACAAGGAUGGAUAGGUGGAGUUUAACAUACUGUAGGUGCUUAGGCAUUAAAAUUUAUUCUCAAAAGUCUGGGAUAAAAUUCGAGGAGUUAGUGGUUGAAAGAUCCUUAAAGCUUGAUGCCCUAAACCUUAAUUGGUUGGGAGUCAUCGAUGGACCCCCGUUACAUGGCAAAUUUAGAAAAGAAUACUUUUAAGCCUUGUACUCCUACAAUGAAAAAAAAAAUGUGAACAAAGAGGUGCGUUCUUAACCUAUUAGAGGUUGAUUAGUUUUCUAAGUUGUGAAAAAAAACUAGGUUGGGGUGAGAGGUUAGUUCAACAUACUAUAUUCAGAAACUAAUAAAUAACACGUAGAUUUUUGUGGAAGAGUAAGGUUUGACCCUUUGGGAGUGGAAACUCUUUUAAAGCUUAAAUUUGCAUAAUGCCUUCUCUUUAAGAAAUAUGAUUAGACAAGUUAUUUGAUAACUCUUGUUGAAGUUUGAGUUUUAUUUCUUUAAUGUUCCAUGUGAGAGUUAGAUCAUCAUGCCACUUGAAAAUUGUUUUUUGAUCAGCAUGAUGUUGUAAAUUAUAAUACUGUUUAUUUUUAUUUUUCUCUCUUUCAUUGCUAAGGGACUAGCAAUAUGUCGGUUGGGGGGAGUGAUUACUACUCAAAAAAUGUUAUUUGAUAGCUUGUAAUAAACUCUUUUAAACACUUUUGAGUAGUGGUUAUCACCUUUUAACCCAAUUAACAUAUUAAAGACUCUUGUAAUCAAUUCUAAUCAAAUUGUGUUAAGUUUUGGUGUUUUGAUAGCUUUUUUAUCACCAAAGCAAUCAGAGAUUGAGGAGAGUUCUUUGGGAUCCUUGGCAAAGCAAUGGAAAGCUCAGAAACAUGAAGAAGUGAAGCUUCGAAAUCCUUUGCCAUAAGCAAAUCCGGAAUGCAAGGAGUAAAAGAUGUCCGAACACACCAUCAGAUGGCGGUGGAAGUCAAUGAUCCGGACAACAUAUCCGGAUAGGAGAUGCUAUCGUCUGAGUGUGAUGUUCACAAGUGUCGUGUGCUUCUCCCUGAGGGAGUCCGGAUAAGGGAGCGCGCCACAUGUCCUCUUAGGGAAUCCGGAUGGAGUUGAUCCGAAUAGCCUUGCGCACUCUGUGUCAUCCGGGAGAGGGGUCCCUACACCUUGCACACGCAGAUGGUCCCCCUUGCACAGCAUAGCUCAGUCCACCCGGGGAGGAAUUCCAUGCGCCGACAUUUCAUAUCCAGAAUUCUGUGCGCCGACAUUUUGCAUCCGGAUAUCUCAUAGCCGGAUGGGAGAGGAGGACGUUUCAACUUCUCCGGUCAGACAUAUCCGGAUCCUUUGAUAGCGCUUACCUGGAGAGUUUUUCUCUCAGUAUACAGUGUUGCGGUGUUCUCCUAAAGCUUCCUGAUAUUUCCGACCGACAUCUUGAGAUAUUUUGCUUUAAAUAUUUGUUGUCUAAAUCCCCAAACUCUCCUUGUAAUCCACCUAUCAUAGGAUUCCUUAGUCUUUAAGUAAGAACAAAGGGGUGAAUAACCUCAUAUAUAUAGUUUGUAAUUUUCUUUACAGAGGAUAUUAUGUAAUUAGGGGAAAAAAGAAAUAUAUUUCACAGAGCACUUGCUCUAUUUUUCCUUCAUAUAAUUUUUUUUCUCAUUAGUUUUCCUACUAGCCAAACAAGCUCUAAGGAAGUUUCCUCAGAGAAUUAGUGGCUAGACUUUUAGUUCCUUGGAGUUAAGGUUGCCGGGAAAGGUUUCAAGUGCAAGAAUUAGUAGCUUUGUGGUUUCAAUCAUUAAUGAAAAGAAAGUGUGAUCCUUUAAUGAUUUCUAUGUUUUUAGUUAACUUAAAACACCUUCAAUUCACUUGAGCCAACACUUGGUAAGGCACAUGAUCUCCGUCCAUGGAGAUGCACUUGUUUAUCUCUUGCGAGCUUUUAGGAAGUGACUUGGAGGUAGGAUUUUCUAGAAUUGCCAACACUUGGUAAGCUUUUGGACUCCAAUGAGACAUCCAUUAGUUAUCUCUUGCAAGCUUGAGAAGGGAAGUCCAAAGUUAAAGAUCACCUUGAAUGGAAAAUGCUAGGUGAGAGGCACGAGUCAUUGCAAGUUGCAUCAGUGAAAGGGAAUUAGAGCUGAAAUCCAUUUAAAGGUUACAUCUGUGCAACACCGGUUAGAGAAUUGACUAUAUGUUAAUUCUCUAAUGCGAGGAAAUGAACCAAAUGACCAGAGCUCUGUUUUUACAUAAGGAACCUUCCCUGUGAACCUAAACCUCCAAGGAAUGUUUUUCUUCAUAAGUAAUUUCCAUUACUUUCUUUUUAGUUAGCUUUAAACAAAACCUCAUUUAAACAAAGUUUGUGUUUUAUUUCUUAAGCUAACCUUGAAAUGAAAAAGCACCAAUUUACUUUGAAUUGGUAUCAGUUGUGAGUUGAAAACCCUUCCCAGUGAAUGAUCCUAGAGCCACUAUGCUAUAUUAGCUAAGCUAUCCUAAUGCAUGGUGAUAUAGGUUAUAAAUUUUGUUGAUUACUCUCUCAAUCAAAGAGCACCAGCUGGACAUGAGUCAGCUGAGACACCAAUUGGGAACGAAUCAUUCAUGUAUUUGAGCUUCAACUUGCAUUGCCAUUGAUUUCACAAAAUUCUCCCUCUUCUUGUCUUGUUUCAAUGAUAAAAAAGCUACCAAAAACACCAAAACUUGCUAAAAACUAAUUAGUAACCCUCAAUAGGUUCCUUAAUGUGCCAAUUGAGUUAAAAGGUAUUAACUACUACUCAAAAGUGUUUAAAAUAGUUAGUUUCAAGCUAUAAAAUAGUACUUUUUGAGUAGUAAUCAGUUUGGAGGUUGUAGCUUUGAUUUUCUUAUAUACACUCCAAAACGACGUUGUUUUGAUGCUAUUUUUUAAAAAAAUUAAUUUAAUUGAACUGGCCGGUUCGGAGGGAACCAACCGGUUCGUAUGGCUCAUCGAUUGGACCAUCUGUUCAAGCGGUCUGACCCCGGUUCAAUGCAAUUCCGAUCCAAUUGACCGGACCGGACAGGAACCAUGACCGGCCAAUAGUCAGACCAAUCGGUCAAGUCUGAUUUUUAAAACCAUGGGUUAUACAUCAAGAGCAUGGUAAUGGUUUGUAACAUGUAAAUCAUCAGAAAAAUAUAUACAAAUAAGUAAGCUAUAAAAAUUAAUAAAAUAAAUUUGUCUCACAUUUAACAUUAUUUAAAUAGUUAUAAAAGUAUUCACUCAAAGUUAUUUAUGAUAAUGCUAAUAAAAGAAAAUUAUUUUUUUUCAAAUAUAAUAACAUUUUUACUAAUAAACAUACAAUACAAUAAUCAAUUCCAUGUUGAAUGAUGAGGGGGUUCAAAAUCAUCAUCAUCAGUCCUACGAUGAGUAUACAAAUUAGGAUGGUAAUUCCCAUAGUGAGGAUAUGGUUGAAAGAGUUGUUCAUAACUCGAAUAUGUUGACUGAGAUGAUUGGCUUGAUGAUCCAUAAUCAGAAAAAUAUGAUUUCGAAGGCUAUUCAGGAUCAACACCAUAUUGAUAGUAUCCAAUACCUCGAUAGGCAAUGCUAUUGCUAUUAGAAGAUUGAUCAUAUCCAUAGGAAUCACUAGCUCAUGUUCCAGUAUUUGAAUAUCCCUCUGGAUGCAUCAUUGGAAAUCGAUCAAAAUCAUUUCUACUAAAAGUACUGGAAGAGCUAUCAUAGUCUCUAAAGUUGUGAUAUGAUCUAUCAUCUACUCCUUUGAAAUACGACCUUCAUCCUAUACCCAAAUUCUAUAAGUGCUCAUCAAUACGAUGAUAAUUUGAUCUAUGAUAAUCAUGCCCACUAGAAUAAUCAUCAUCGUUGGGAAAUGUAGUUAGUCUUUUCAAAUGCUUUCAUUGUUCCCAUAUCCCUGGCGAUAUGCAUGAUUUGUAUCUUGUGUGGUAUAGUAAUUUUCAUCUCCUUGUGCCCAUGACAUGCCUUGAUCUACUUGGCUAACAUAACCGCCACCAGUGCUACCAUCUCCUCCAGUACCUUCACUAGUGCCACCAACUCCUCUAUUGUCCCUACUAGUGCCACUACCCCGCCUACUGCUCCCAUUAUCACCAUCAUCACUUCUAGAGCUUGAAAAAUUGUUCCAAGAGUCUUACCUUCAUGACGGGAAUCAAUAUCUCUUUCUUGUGUAGCAUUACUUAUACGCCUACUAACUCUACGAUUUAUGGCACUAUCAUCUUCAUGAAUUGUUCCUCUACCUUCUUCAUUAGGGGUAAGACCUUUAUCCAACCAAUCCAAAUUAUCAGAUGAAAAAAUAGGCUAUUUUCCUUCUCGUAUUCACUCAUCCAAUAUAUCAUCAUCAUUAAAGAUAUGAUUCAGAUAAAUUGAAUUGUAUAAAUCUUCAUUGUUUCGCUCUUGCAUCAAAUUCUUAACUCAAAGUCUCAUAUUGUAGUGCACAUAAACUAACUUAUGCAACUUUUUCAUUCCUAAAUGGUUACACAGCUUUGUGUGAAUCAAUGACCAUGUGAUCUAAUUUCUUUAACAACCUGAUGAAGAACAAGUUUGGCUUAAAAUUUUAACAGUAAUCUUUUGUAGAUGUGGACUUUUGUUGUCAUAGUUGUUCCACCAUUCGGCUAUAAUAAAGAAAAUGCAUACUUAUUAAUCACUAUGAUAUAUUUAACAAAAAAUGAUGAUAAUUUCUUAUUUGUAAUAGACAUAAAUGUAUUGAGUACUUGGAAGAGAUUGAUUUAUUGCUUUCUUUGUAAGUGCACUUUUUUUAUAUAAUAUAGAAAUAUUUGGUUAAAAGGGAUUAAAUAAUUUGUAAAUUGUGAAUUUAACUCUUCUCAUGUUUUUUCUUAAAAAAGUAACUCAAUUUUAACAUAAAUGUCAUUUAUCAUUUAAAGUAUUUACAUAUAGGUUUUUAAGGAGAUGAUUAUUUUUACAAGAAAAUAAUGAGAGCAUUUGUCCAAAUGAGGCCAAAAGAUGGUGGAAGGUCAAAUUUCAAAAAUUGGGUAUUCCAAAACUCUUUUAAUCAAAUAACCUUAUAAUAUAUUACCAAAGACUAACAAAACACUUUUUUUCCCAUUAAUUGAUGUUUUUUAUUAAAAAAAAAAAGAAAAAGAAAAAGAAAAAGAAAACGCUUAAAAUGAAAUCGUUGCUAACAAAAGGGCUAUAAAUAAAAACGUUUUAUGGUAUUUGUUUGACAACAAAUUUUAUGAGAAUAAUUUUUUUGUAGUAAAAUAUAUUUGACCAAAAAUUUUAUUUUAUUGUAAGAGGGCGAGCUUCCACCAUAAAUUUUAUUUUGGCAAAAAGUUAUUUUUUGAUAUGUCGCCAUAAAUUGUAUUUUGUGGUGAAAAGUAACUUCUUGUCACAAUUUUUAUUUUGUAGAGAAAUUAUUUAUUUUAUUAUGAAAUUAAAUUUAAUGGUUAAAAAUAAUUGUUUAUGAACUUACAACAAUAAAUUUGCACCAAAUAAUUUUUUGUGGAAAAAAAUCUUUUACUAUAUAGAACAUUUUUUUUUAAUCACAAAUUAAUUUAUGGCAAAAUCCCAUAUUUCACUUUCAAUGAUCUAGUUUAGGAAUUCCAUGGAUAUCACUUUAAUCGUUUAGCACUUUCUAACUAAGGAAGUUGAAGCCAUUUAGAAAUUGGUUGUUUUAGUAACAAAUUUUAGGUAUUUAAAAUUAUGUUGUUAAAAAGUAUUCUAAGAACUAAUUAAAAUAUGAUAAGAUAAAAAUAAAAAAUAAAAAAAAAUUGUUUUUUGUUUGAUAAAAACCAUUUAAAAAAAAAACUAUGAACAGAAAUAAUUAUGUAGUAGUUAGAUUUUAUUUUACCCUAUUAGGGGCUACUCCCGAAAUCCACUUUUUGUUAUUUCAUAUCUCCUUUUUGUUUUAUUUUAUAACGUGUGGUAGAAUAUGGAAGAGAUUCAAAUUUAGUAGGUGUUUAUUUUCUAAUCAUUUAAAUUUAUUAAACAAUUUAUUUAUUUAUUUAAUAAAAAAAGUUAUUAAUUAGUAUCAAACAUGAGUCAUUCCUACACUAGUAGUGCAUGAGAGUCUCCUUGUAGUGGAAGAGUUAUUAAGUUCAUAUCCUAUUAAGGCAAUUUGAGAGAAACAUGAAGCCAAUUACCAAUGGGAAGUAGGUUCCUUCACUCUACAGACAUGUUCAUAUGCAAAUGUAAGAAUGAGAGACUAUGCCAAUAGCUAAAAUUGAAGGUUCUUGAGAGGGAUUUGGUUGAAAGAUUUGAGCACUGAAACACUUAUGAUCUGAUUUGAAUGAGAAAACAAUCAAAUGGUAAAUACAUAAAAAGUCAAUUUGACAUGAUAAAGCCACUCAAACCUCAAUCUUGGUGGUGAUGUUUAUCGUGGUGUGCAUGCGUGUUAAUGUUUAGUGAUAUUAAUUCAUGUAACUUUAUAUUUUCCAUGAAUUAAUAUUGGAUUGUUUAAAAUUGAAAAAAAAAUGGAAAAUUUUAAAAGUUAAUAACAGAAAAACUAAAAGAACAAUUGAGAAAUAAUAGAUUUAUAUAACUGUUUUCUAAACGCACAUGCGUGUUAAGGUUUUGGGAAUGAAAGCACACCUCGGUGCAGAGUGCAUGGAAUUGCCAAUAUUUUUGGCAUCAACGCAGACUUCUUGAUUUUCCCAAAGUUGGGGCUUGAAACUCCUAAUAUUUUGGGAUCAACGGCCCAUAACCAAGUUUUCCUAAAAAAUAUUGAUAGAUAUUUUGACAAAAAUAUUGAUAGAUAUUUUGACAAAAAUAUCGGUCAUGUGAUAAUUAUUCAAAAUUCAUGAAAAUAUUUGAAAAAAAAAAUUUUGAGGAUAGUACACUGGUUUAAAAACAAGUGGCCAAAACCAACUAUAUUAGAAUUUAGACCUUUUUUUCUUUUUAAAUGAUUUUAUUUCAAGGAUUAUAUAAUGGGCCGAAACUCCCGGCUCAUUCAAAAGUCUUUCUGUAGCACAAAUAUCUUUUAGGAAGAAGGUUAGAUUUUGGGAGAAUUGUGUUUUGGGCCCAGCUGGGCCCAAAAAUUAACAAAUGGUCCAUCUAAUUGACCUAAUUAAUGAUAAGGAUAUCAAAUGUUAAUAGACGAAAAUGCCCUUUACAUUUCCAAUUCAAAUUGUUGUAAAUUAAUGGGUUUCACAGCUGGUAAACGUGAAAUGCCAUGUCACCAGAGUGAAAAUUCUGAAUCUUCCUACCAUUUUCUCUCCCUCUAUAAACAACAUACGCACAAACGAUGCCGACCUUAACUGUCUCCCAAUCUCUUUCUUCAGCAGCCAAGGAUUGUGAGCAUUUCAGAAAAGCUUUUGUAGGUAUUUUAUCAAUGAUCAUUCCCAAAUCCAAAUGAUGGGGGUCUGAAUUAUUUGCUGAUAUUUUGAUUUUAUCAGGUUGAGGCGUUUGUAGGUAUUUUAUCAUCAUCGUCCAGAGAGAAUAAAUGGGAGCGUUUGAGAUGGAGAAGGUGAAAGGUGGGAGUCCCUACGGUGCAGGAACUUACGCUGGGGACGGCUCAAGACAACCAUCUGAGCUCGAAUUGGAGCAAGGUUUCCACCAGGGGAAGUACAUUGCUGGCAUCACAAAGAAGCUCAAGGAUGCAGCUUAAUAUCCAUUCCCUAUUCUGAGAUUGUUUUGCAUUCUUCCAUUUUUUUUCACUUCUAGAAUUUAAGUUCCGUAUUUCUAUUGGAUUGCCAAAAAACAAAAAAAAAAAAAAAAGAAUAAUUGUUGUUGUGUUUGGCAUAUGCUCUAUGUGUUGAAUGUACUCAGAACAUUGGUUUGCUCAUCCAACUUGAAAAAAUGUCCUCUUUCUCCCCCUUUCACACUAAACCCAGAAUUUUAUAUUGGUAACAAAUAAUCCCUGUCAUUUUCUAUUGGUUUCUGGGUAUAGAUUAGGUAGGUGAGAGGUCCUUUCUUUCAGCAGUGAAGGUUGGAAAUUUACUGGGAUUGAGAAUGUUAGCCGGGGGGGGGGGGGGGGGGUUUAAUCAUACACACCACCUGGAUUCUACCAAUAAAGUCCUUCGGAAUGUAAUCUAAAUUUUGGCCUAAUCUUUGAUGUUACAGAAGGAAAGAAGGGGUGGAGAUGAUACACUCCACAGAUUGGACAGCUAACAAGUACCUACUACUAUUGACUAUGUAUUAAUUUCCUAUUAACAAGUAAAACAAAUGGCAUUGAUUUUGUUUUACUAGUUUCUGCUUGAAUUCCUAAAUUUUCUUUUUGAAUAUUUUUCUUGUCUUAGCCCACUCCACCCAACUUUUCCUUUCUCGUUUUUUUUAUUAGUAUCUGAAACAAUUCUUAUUUCGUUGAGCAAUGUAUAUUCUUGCAAAAAAUGAAUUAAAAAAUUAAUUUGUGCCCAAUUAGUUUGGUGUAAAUGUCAUCCACAUUUAUCUCAUGUAAUUUUAAUUGGAAAUAUUUAGUGUUUAUGGGAAUAAACAGGAAGCUUGAAAUUGCUAAUCAUUGGCAUUAAAUUGAAGCAGGUUUAGAAAUGAAAAUUCUGGAUUAGGAGAGAAUGGAUGAGAAGGAGAAUUGCGGACAAAAGAAAAUAAUGUCUCCCUGUUUGGCUCUGAAGAAUUGCUUGGAUGAGAAAAUGGUGAGUACUCUAAAAGUGAGCCACAGUUAGAAGCAUUUUGGUCUUCUUCAGAGUUUCCUCGUAAAUUGUAGACAAUUGUUAGGCCUGGUGCCACAUGUGAUGUUUAAAAAGUUGUUCACUAGUUGAAUGGAACCCAUCUUUAGGCAUGCUUUUUACUGAAUAAAAUAUAUGUUUGAAUAAUAAUUUGCCAUGCUUAACAUAUAAUCUUCUUUUGAAUUCUAGCUAGAAAGUUGGAAUUAACUUCAAAUAACUUCACAUUAAUGGACAAAUUGCUAUUUUUUAAUUUCCUUGUAUUGUUACAAAAGUAUAGGGAACAAAUUGAGACUUCAGUUUUUCCUUAUUUUAUUAACCAAAAGAUUGCAAUCAUGAUUAACCUAUGCAUGAGUAUACAUUCAGUAGUGGUUGUAUGGAAUUUAUGUCUGUGUACAAGACAUUUACACUAAGUGUACAAGGUACCUGUGCUUAAUGUACAAGGGUGUACAAAUGUACCUAUGUUGAAGUAUUUGCAAUGUUUUAAAAUCAUUUCCAUUUUGAAAGGAUGAGGAACAUUCCCUCACACACAUUCCUUGAUCACGCACUCAUCCCCUUCAAUUUUAUUACUUCAUACAUGUUGAUUGGAUGACCAACGACAAUAAUGAUGAAUAAGAACCUAUAUUGGGUUUCACUUCCCCCUUUUCCCUUCCCCAUUUUCCCUUAGGCAUCACAUUGGAACAUGGUAGCUCACCCAUAUGCACGCUAUUAGUUUUAGGUAUGUCAAAUUUUUGCCAUUGUAUAAGACAUUUACACUAAGUGUACAAUGCAAAUGUGCUAACUGUACAAGUGUGUACAAUGCUACAUAUGUUGAAGGAUUUCAAAUGGUUUUGAAUAAAUUGCUUGCUUAUUUUAUUUUUCUAAGGGUGACAUUCCUCAUAGACAUUCCUCAUUUACAUUUCUACACAUUCAUUGGAUGAGAUAGCGCGCUUAUAAUGAAUAAGAACCUCGAUUUGGUGUCAUUUUUCCCCUUUUCAGUGAGCCAUGACAUUGGAACGUGGUUAACCUGGCCAUAUGCACUAGUUCUGUUGUAUCUAUGUGGAAUUUCUGCAACUGUACAAGGCAUUUAAACUAAGUGUACAAGGCCAAUGUACUAAAAGUACAAGGGUGUACAAGGGUGUGUAUCUUACUUUUUCCAAACGUGGGGAACAAUCCUCACACAUGUUGCUUGAUAACACACGCAUUGCAUGCAAUUUAAUUGAUGUCUACCAUGUUCAUUCAUCCUAUUAGCUUCCCUAGUAAUGAUGAAUAUGAACCAAAAUUAGGGUAACCUUUUGUGUCAUUUUCCCUAGUCCAUGGUAAUGGAAACAUUGGUUGCCCACCCAUAUUCACUUGAAAAUAUGUACCUAUUAGGGAUUUGGUGACUGGACAAGGCAUUUACACUAAGUGUACAAAGCAAAUGUGCUAACUGUACAGUGUGUACAAGGGUGCCUAUCUUGAAGAUUUCAAAUGCUUUUGAAAAAUUGCUUGCUCAUUUAUUUUUCCAGGGGACAUUCCUCAUUUCCCUUCGUNNNNNNNNNNNNNNNNNNNNNNNNNNNNNNNNNNNNNNNNNNNNNNNNNNNNNNNNNNNNNNNNNNNNNNNNNNNNNNNNNNNNNNNNNNNNNNNNNNNNCAUUCCUCAUUUCCCUUCGUACACAUUCAUUGGAUGAGAUAGCGCGCUUAUGAUGAAUAAGAACCUCGAUUUGGUGUCAUUUUUCCCCAACUCGGUGAGCCAUGACAUUGGAACGUGGUUAACCCAGACAUAUGCACUAGUUAUGUUGUAUGAUCUAGGUUGAAUUCCCGCAACUGUACAAGGCAUUUACACUAAGUGUACAAGGCCAAUGUACUAAAAGUACAAGGGUGUACAAGGGUGUCUAUCUUACUUUUUCCAAACGUAGGGAACAAUCCUCACACAUGUUGCUUGAUAACACACGCAUUACAUGCAAUUUAAUUGAUGUCUACCAUGUUCAUUCAUCCUAUUAGCUUCCCUAGUAAUGAUGAAUAUGAACCAAAAUUAGGGUAACAUUUUAUGUCAUUUUCCCUAGUCCAUGGUAAUGGAAACAUUGGUUACCCACCCAUAUUCACUUGAAAAUAUGUACCUACUAGGGAUUUCAUGACUGGACAAGGCAUUUACACUAAGUGUACAAAGCAAAUGUGCUAACUGUACAAGUGUGUACAAGGGUGCCUAUCUUGAAGGAUUUCAAAUGCUUUUGAAAAAAUUGCUUGCUCAUUUAUUUUUUCUAAGGGGGACAUUCCUCAUUUCCCUUCAUACACAUUCAUUGGAUGAGAUAGCGCGCUUAUGAUGAAUAGGAACCUCGAUUUGGUGUCAUUUUUCCCUAACUCGGUGAGCCAUGACAUUGGAACGUGGUUAACCCAGCCAUAUGCACUAGUUAUGUUGUAUGAUCUAGGUUGAAUUUCUGCAACUAUACAAGGCAUUUACACUAAGUGUACAAGGCCAAUGUACUAAAAGUAUAAGGGUGUACAAGGGUGUCUAUCUUACUUUUUCCAAACGUGGGGAACAAUCCUCACACAUGUUGCUUGAUAACACACGCAUUGCAUGCAAUUUAAUUGAUGUCUACCAUGUUCAUUCAUCCUAUUAGCUUCCCUAGUAAUGAUGAAUAUGAACCAAAAUUAGGGUAACAUUUUGUGUCAUUUUCCUUAGUCCAUGGUAAUGGAAACAUUGGUUACCCACCCAUAUUCACUUGAAAAUAUGUACCUAUUAGGGAUUUGGUGACUGGACAAGGCAUUUACACUAAGUGUACAAAGCAAAUGUGCUAACUGUACAAGUGUGUACAAGGGUGCCUAUCUUGAAGGAUUUCAAAUGCUUUUGAAAAAAUUGCUUGCUCAUUUAUUUUUUCCAAGGGGGACAUUCCUCAUUUCCCUUCGUACACAUUCAUUGGAUGAGAUAGCGCGCUUAUGAUGAAUAGGAACCUCGAUUUGGUGUCAUUUUUCUCCAACUCGGUGAGGCAUGACAUUGGAACGUGGUUAACCCAGCCAUAUGCACUAGUUAUGUUGUAUGAUCUAGGUUGAAUUUCUGCCACUGUACAAGGCAUUUACACUAAGUGUACAAGGCAAAUGUACUAAAAGUACAAGGGUGUACAAGGGUGUACAAGGGUGUCUAUCUUACUUUUUCCAAACGUGGGGAACAAUCCUCACACAUGUUGCUUGAUAACACACACAUUGCAUGCAAUUUAAUUGAUGUCUACCAUGUUCAUUCAUCCUAUUAGCUUCCCUAGUAAUGAUGAAUAUGAACCAAAAUUAGGGUAGUCUUUAGGCAUGUUGUGUGUUGGUAAUGGUUGAAACUGACCCGAGUAAAUCAAAUGUUGAGUGGAGACUUUAAAACAUGGGUCGAUAUAGUCAUACACAUCGUGUCUCAAUGUGCGGAUCACAGCACAUACAUGUGGACAUGGCAACCCAGACAUUUUCCAUGUUAGACAUGUACACUUAUGUUGCUGCAUAUCCACAACCAAAUAAACAUCUCCAGUAAAAACCUUGAACGUCCCACCCAAAUAGGGCAUCACAGUAAUCGGAGCAGAUAUCAUGAUAUUUGACAUUAGCUUUUCCUUUGUUUUGGGUCCAACCACGCUCUUCCACUUAUCUGUACCAUGCAUAUGGGUGUCCAACAUGGCUACAAGCUUAUCCAUGUGCAUCAUCAACAACGUAUAAAUUGUUUGGUGUCGUUCCUCUCUUAACCACGCAUUGAAGGACUCUGCAAUAUUAGUUGUCAUUUUAUCCCAACGUUUUUUAAGGAACUUUGACAUCGCCCAAUGCUCCGGACUAUUCUCCGCAACCCACCUUGCUAGGUCGCCAUUAAAAUGCACAAGUUUUUCAAACGCCUCAUUGUAGUCUAUAUCCAACCGAGCAUAUGCAAUGUUGUCUAAAAGCAACAAAGCAUCUUCUUUCCCUUUCUUUCCACUAAUGUUUUGCCUGUUGAAGAAGCUUGAAAAGUUCUCUUUCACAUGUCGAUAACAAUAAGCAUGAUUUUCUACCCCAAACAACUCCGAAACACUAGCAAUAUCCCUUGAUGUCUAUCUGAUAUAAUAAUUACUUCUCGACCAUCUAGGACCCCCUUCAAUUUCUCCAAGAACCAAUACCAAUCCUCAUAAUUUUCUGAACCAACCACACCCAAGGCUAGAGGGAACAUUCCAUCAUCUGCAUCAUAUGCAAUGGCAGACAAAAGAGCUCCUUUGUAUGGACCACUUAGGUGGCAAGAAUCAAUAGCCAAUACCGGUCGACACCCCAUGGUGAACCCUUGAAUUGAAAAUGCAUGGGCAAUGAACAAUUGCUUGAAGUGACCUUCAUGAGAAGUGUACUCGGCAAUAGUUCCAGGGUUAAUUUCCCUUAGCCUAUGGCAUAACCAAGGCAAAUACGCGUAGGACGCACGUGGAGAUCCAUAUACACGCUCUUUUGCCUUCUCUUUAAGAUGCCAUGCUUGGUUAUAAGUCAAUUGAACUUCAUGAUCACGUUCAAAAUCCUUGCAAAUUUGUCGAGGAAGGUAUUCCGGAGUUGUUCUAAACACGUCUUCAACAACAACAACACCUCUCUUGGAAGAAACCCGCACCUUAGAUGAACACUCAUCUUGAGCUAUAUGAUUAUGAUUAACUUGGUAAGUAUAAACUCGCAAUAUUUCAUUUCCUUCAACAGCAUGAGCUGUUAUCUUCCAAGGACAAUCCUCAACCGAACACUUUACUGACAUAUGAGUGGGUGAAUUUUUCUUGUACUUGUAUUGAAACCUUCCAGCUAAUGACAUUUGGUAUAUUGCAUUCUGAAACUCAUCUGCAUUCUUAAAUGUAUGUCCGGAACCUAAUAUUGCCUCACGAAACCGAUUCGAUUCCAAAGGGGUGUACUCACUAUCUGCACAAUGCGAUGCAAAACCUCUUGAUAACAUCAUAGUAUUAGGAUUUGCAUUGCAUGAUGCAUUAGACGAAGGAAACGUAGGAUGUGGACCUCUGCAUUUACAUUCAUAACCAAAAUUAGACUACAUAAUGUGUAAAAUUGGUAUUCAUUAAAUUUUAAAUAGACAUCCAAGUGAAAACGCAUUACCCAAGUGCCAACUGUGUAUUCGGUAUAUUUGCCUCUAUGGCUUCCACACCGGGUGACUCGACUAUGUACACAUUUGCAUAGUCAUCACUGUGGGAAACCACGUUAUCCAAGUCAUCCUCAUCUUCUAAAUCUUGGAUGACUCUAGGGUUAAACUUGAGGGUGUAGUGCAUCCUCCUCACAUGAAGGGAAAUGUCGAAUUUUUCUAAGACCUUCUGAGUGAAUUCUUCAAAUGUCAUUCCUUUAUAAAUGUGAAUACCUUUGCUUCUUCCACCAACAUAUUCCCAAAGGCCAUCAUUUUUUUGGACAAGUUUGCCUCCCACAGAAAUAUAACAGUAUAUUCUAUUUGUGGCAUCCAUCAACCUAUUGAAAUAAAGCACAAAUUUAUAUUGUUGAACAAACAAUAAUGCAUAUUCAAUGUGAUCUUAAAAGUUUUUUCAUCUCACAAUAUACUAUGUUCCCAUACGAAAAAGUUAUAUUUUAAAAAAUGUAUAUACAAAAAAUGUAACUUUAAAGGCUUAAAAAAUAAUUUUUGUUGCUCCUUUUGAUUAUUCUAACCAUUGUCAACGGUAAGAUUAUUUUAAGAUAGGCACUAAUAAACAAACGGUGAGUUGAACUAAGAUAUGAAGACCGAGCUUCUCUCUUCUCUUGGACUGAUAAAUACUACCUAACCUAAACAAAACUAAAAAUAAUAAUAAAAAUAAAAAACAAAAAUGAGAAAUGUAAAACUGAAAUGGAAAUUAAAAGAUUGAAAUUAAUAGAUUAAAAAAAUCAUUAAAUUAAAAACUAAGAAAGGCUAUAAAAGGAAAAAAAAAAAACAAAUCUCUAACUUAUUUUCCCUAUCAUUCCCCUUUACUUAUAUAUUCAUAGUUCACAUUUUUAUAAGCAAAAACCUCUCUCUCCAACUACUUUAGUGCUACCCAAUUUGACACUACUACUUACCUAUGCUAAUAAUCUAAUCGUGUCAAUACUUGGAACUUUAAGACAAAACAUCACAACAAUAUCUAGUAAAGUAGGAGGAUUUUGUGUCUGAUUCGACAUAAUACUGCAGAACAUAUAUAUAUACACCAAAAACAUUGGAAUUAUGGAACUAUAAGACAUUCAAUAGGAAAUAAUCCCCCACGUUUUAUUAAGCUCUGACCUAUACUUACACUAGGUAGAAAACAAAUUCUCAUUCUCACUCAAACCCUUAGACAAUUUCAGUUGGUACUACUAUAUCAGACAUGCCUACAAACUUAUUCAAAGAGAAUGGAGAUAUUUAAAUAUUAAUUAUAAAGCGUUGCUUUUCAAAAUAAUAUGAAGAGAUAAUAGCCUAAAAAAUGUAACAAAUACAGAAUUCUCUUCUAAACUAUCAUGUCCUACUUUAGAUGAUUCAUACAAAACCAUAAGCAAUAGUUUAACACAUUUAAGGUUUAAGGGUCAAAAAAACUAAUAGAUAAAAAGAGAUAAAUCUGUUACUUGUGCCUACAUCUCAAGCCAAUGCACCAUAAGAAAACUUUAGGGUUUUUAGGUUAUCCAUUUCCCCUUUCCAUUUUUCCUCUCAUGGUUUUCUAGCAACCAAUUAAACAAUUAUAAAUUAUUUUCAAGUAUAUAUGACAAUUUUUCACAAAUAUUUUUUUGAAUUUAAAAUAUACAAAUAGCAUGAAAAAAAAAUCUAAAAAAAAUUACAAAAAUAUAAUCAGAUCGAUUAAGCCAUGAAUCAUGAGUUGCAGGUAAAGUGCAUUUUCUGUAUUCUCAAGGAUUAAAGAAAAAAUUAUGGUUCAAAAUUUUUCCUUUCUUUUUCUCAUUAUUUUCUCAGCAUCCUAAUAAUAGUAGCAAACCAAGAAGUCAAUUAUUGAAUGGGCACAGUAACUUGAACUCUGGAGAUCAAGUUGAACACAGUUUAGAGAUUUGGACUAAGAAAAUUUAGGUCGAGAUUUAGGCAAUCUACUAACCUCAAAUAUGCAACAAGAGAGACCCAACUGAAAUCCAUACCUUAUUCAAAUUCUCGAGAGAGACGAAUGCGAGAAAAAAUUAAAGAGCCGCAGAGAUUGAGAUGCAAGCGAUGGAGGUGCUCGGGAGGAAGAGAAGAAAACGACUUCUAGGCUUGAAAUGCUGAAGAGAGACCAAAAUUUAGGCAAUCUACUAACCUCAAAUAUGCAACAAGAGAGACCCAACUGAAAUCCAUACCUUAUUCAAAUUUUCGAGAGAGACGAAUGCGAGAAAAAAUGAAAGAGCCGCAGAGAUUGAGAUGCAAGCGAUGGAAGUGCUCGGGAGGAAGAGAAGAAAACGGCUUCUAGGCUUGAAAUGCUGAAGAGAGACCAAAAUUAGGGCAAAAUUCCAAAAAGCCACAGAGAUUGAGAUGCAAGCGAUGGAGAAACUCGGGAGGAACAGAAAAAACGGCUUCUAAGCAGAUAAGAAAACGACUUCUAGGUAGAGAAGAAAACGGCUUCUAGGCAAAGAAGAAAUCGGCUUCUAGACAGAGAAGAAAACGGCUUCUAGGCAGAGAAGAAAACGACUUCUAGGCAGAGAAGAAAAUGGCUUAUAGGCUUGAAAUGCUGAAGAGAGAAAAUUAGGGCAAAAUUCCCAAGAGCCGCAGACGAAGAGAAGAAAACGGAGGCUUGAAAUCUGAAGAGACACCAAAAUUAGGGCAAAAUUCCUACCUGGAUUUUUUUUGUUUAUUAUUUUUUUUUUUCAUAAUCAGCAAAGGUUAUUUUUGGAAUUAAUAAAAGUGCAUAUCCUUCUUUUUAAUUUUGACACUUCCUAUGGGUUUUCAGCUUAAAUGGGUCGGUUAGAUUGACCAUUUGUUAAUUUUUGGGCCCAGCUGGGCCCAAAACACAAUUCUCCCUUAGAUUUUCAUGUUUGUCAGUGUGCCCCCACCAACCAAACAGGGUGAGACAAUCCUCCCUGUAAUAGUUAUGGGCCCAAGCCCCAUGUCUGUCUAAUAAUUGCAUUAGAAUGUGAAUCUCCAACAUCAGAUCCCUGGAAUCACCGGCGAGGGAUGUGGCUCAUGGUACACCACCCAUAGUGGAUGUGGCUCUACCUCUCCAACAAAAGAUUUGAAUAGAUUUGAACCGUAAAAAAUAUGUAUAUGAUGACAAAUAAAUGAGAUUUAAAAAUAUGUAUAAAAUACCACUUUAUGAAUAAUAUUUUUUCAAAAAAAUAUCGAAAAAGUACACUUUAAUAUUAAACUCAAAUCUUAAUAUAGAAGUUGUCACAAUUACCUUGUUUGGGAUAAAACUAAUCAAGAAGGCAAUAUUUGUGUAAUAGAGGUAAAAUGCCAAGUAACGCCAUGUUGGUUUUGUGUUGAAUAUGAAGUAACAUCAUAUUGGUUUUGUGUUGAAAUGUCCAGUCACUUGAUUUUCAAUAAUAUUGAAAUGUAAACUUUAGUAUCUUUUAACAUUUUUGAUAAGCCAAAUCGAAAACUAUAUAUAUGGUUGAUGGUAUAAUUUUUUUUUUUUUUUUUUUUUUUGGAGAAUUAUGCAAUCAUACUAUCUCAAAAAAGUUAGAUAUAUUUUUUAAAAACUUUUACUUUUGACUUUUAAAGUUUAUACAUUUUGAGGAUCGAAUUAUUCACUUCAAUUUUUCUUUUGUUUUUUUUCUUUUAAAGUUCAUACAUUUUGAGGAUCGAAUUAUUCACUUCAAUUUUUCUUCUGUUUUUUUCUUUUAAAGUUCAUACAUUUUGAGGAUGGAAUUAUUCACUUUAAUAGUUAAAAAUCAUUAGCAUGCCAAAAGGCACCAACUUUUUUUUUUUUGUGAAGUUUAUACAUUUUGAGGAUGGAAUUAUUCACUUCAUUUGUCAAAAAGCUCAUCAUCCAUCGUUAUUAAUUUUAUUUUUAUUUUUUAAAUAUUGACAUGUGGAAACCAACCAUGCCACAUGAUUUUUUUUUUCUUUUUUCUUUUCCUUUAUAAUAUCUUCACUUUUUUAUUUUUAAUAUGUUGGCUUCAUAAAAAUUUUUAAUUUCAUUUUUUCCACAAAUUUUCAUAUAUUUAUUUUAAUUAUUUAUGAACAUUUUAAAUAUAAAAUAAUAAAAAAUAAUUAAUGGGAACAAAUUUAAUAUAAAAAUAAACACAUAACAACACAUUUAGAAAUUUAAGACAUAAGAUUUUUUAUAUUCCUAAAAUUUUUUUUAUUUUAUAAGUCUUAUUACAUUGUCAUAUUAUUUUAUUGUUUGUAUUUUUUAAUAUUUUAAAAUUUUUAUAUGAAAAUCCGAUGAUUAUGGUUUUAAUUUUUUACUUGUAAAUUUAACUUUACUAAGUUUUUAACUUUAUAUAUAAUAUAUAUAUAUAUAUAUAUAUUAAAAUGUUUAAUAUUUUUAAUUAAAAAAGAUAAAAACCUGGUUGUGGUUUUAACUUUAAACAUUAUGCUUUGCUAAAAUUUAAAAUUAUUUAUUUAUAUAAAAUAAAAAUAAAAUAUAUUUUUCAUUUAAAAAUGUUUUUAAUAAUUUAUAUUAUUAUUUUUAAUUUUGUUAAAAAUUAAAAUUUUUGCAUACUAAAAUUACACAUCCAUCAACAUAACUUUUGGAAAAGAGAAUAUUACGGUUUUUUUAAGGAAAAAAAGUAUCACUCUUUUAUAAAAAAAUAAUAUUAAAAUAUAUUAAUAGUACCACUAUGAUAGAAAUGAUAUACUCUUUUUUUUCUAGAAAAAAAUGAUAUCACUCUUUUAUAAAAUAAGUAAUAUUGAAAUGUAUUAAAAGUAACAAUUUUAGUGGGAAUGAUAUAUAAUUCUUCUUUGGUUUAGGGUAAGAUAUGCAAAAAUUUUAAUUUUUAAUAAAAUUAAGAGAAAAUUAAUAUAAAUGACUAAAUACAAAUUCUUUAUGAAAAAUAUAUUUUAUUUUUUAUUUUACAUAAUAAAAAAUUAAAAAAUUUAACAAAUCAAAAUAUUAUAACCACAAUCAAGUUUUUAUCUUUUAUAAUUAAAAAUAUAAAACAUUUUAACAUACAAAAAAAAGUUAAAACCAUGACAAAUUUACAUAUCUAUAAAUAAAAAGUUAAAUUUGUUUAUUAUGUAUUUAUUUUUAUAUUCAUUUUUUCAUUAAUUAUUUAUUAUAUGUUAUUAUUCUUAUUUUAUAUUUAAAGUGUUCAUAAAUAAUUAAAAUAAAAAAAUGAAAUUAAAAAUAUUUUAUAAGAAUGUGUAACUAGAAUAUUAUAAAAAGUCAAAAGGUAAAAAUAAAGAAAGAUGAUAAAUAAAAAAAAACAAAAAUAAUAUUACAUGUUGAUAGGUCAUAUAUGAAAUUUUUUUUUAAAAAUUGAUAAACAUGAUUGAAAAAAAAAAAAGACAAAAAAAUUCUGUGGCGAUUGUCAUAUGUUAAUUUUUUUUAAAAAAGAAAAUAAUAAUAACGAGUUCUUUCAAUUGUCAUGUUAAUUUAAAAAUGAAAAAAAAAUGAAAAAAGAAAGAGGAAUGGUAGUUCACGGCUAAGAGAGAAAAGGUAAAAAACAAUAUUGAAAUUUUUUUCAUGUUACGCAUGUUUACCAAAUUUCUUUUUAAAAGUUGUUAAUGAACAUGGCGGGGAACAUGGGGGGCUAAGUCACUAUCAGCAUUCUGUUGUCAUUAUCUUGGUUUGAGGAGUGCCUUGCGAUGCAUGUACAUGUAAUUUUGUAUGUUAAAAAUAAUAUCUGAGGAGUGAGGACAAUGAUUUUAGAUUAAAAUCAAAAUUUGACAAAAUGUCAGUGGGGACUUGGGAAAAACAGUGCCCUGUGCUAUAAAAUCCAUGUUUCUUGCUGCUAUUUUUCACUCAGACGCACGCUUACAAGUCUGCUUCUCUUCCAUUCCUCACUCUGGCAUACAAAGAGACAUAGAAUUAGUUAGCAUUCAUGGGUGGUGGAGAUUUCACAGUAACAGUGAGCAGGAAGGAAGUAGUGGCAGCUGUACUGCCUGUGCAGGAGUAUUGGCUGCCACUAUCUAACCUGGACUUGCUUUUGCCUCCAGUAGAUGUGGGUGUGUUUUUCUGUUACAAGAAGCCACAUGAUUUAACAUUUGGGUCCAUGAUUGGCGUUCUGAAGGAGGCCUUGGCCCAAGCACUGGUGUCCUAUUAUCCAUUUGGAGGAGAAGUUUUGAGUAACUCAGCGGGUGAGCCCGAGCUCCUUUGCAACAAUCGUGGGGUUGAUUUCAUGGAAGCUUAUGCGGAUGUACAACUACAAAACCUCAACUUGUAUAACCCCGAUGAAAGCAUUGAAAGCAAGCUUGUCCCUAAGAAGAAACAUGGCGUUCUGUCAGUCCAGGUAACUCUCUCUCUUUCUCUAUGAUAUGCUAAUCCUAAUUAGUUGUAAUCAUGACAUGCUUAUUGUUAUGUAAAUGAACUAAUGACAGGUGACUGAGCUCAAAUGUGGCGGAGUUGUGGUGGCCUGUACAUUCGAUCAUAGGAUAGCAGACGCAUAUUCUGCCAAUAUGUUUCUAGUUUCAUGGGCUGAAAUGGCUCAGUCCAAACCAUUAUCAGUACUACCAUCUUUCCGGCGCUCUCUCCUCAACGCUCGACGUCCGGGCUCCUAUGAUCCUUCCCUUGACGACAUGUACGUCCCCAUGUCAACCUUACCUCCUCCCAAAGCUCCACAGUCUGGUGAUGAUCUUCUCAUAAACCGCCUUUACUUGUCACAGCCGAACAGCUCAGUCUACUCCAAUCACUAGCUACCAGCAAGAGUAGCUCCUGCAAGAGGACUAAACUAGAGUCUCUCAGUGCUUUUCUGUGGAAAAUGGGGGCCCAAAGUGCAGUCANNNNNNNNNNNNNNNNNNNNNNNNNNNNNNNNNNNNNNNNNNNNNNNNNNNNNNNNNNNNNNNNNNNNNNNNNNNNNNNNNNNNNNNNNNNNNNNNNNNNAGCAGCAAUGAUGGCCUCUUACUUCGGAAAUGUACUGUCCAUACCCUUUGGUAAGAAGACAAUAAAUGAACUGAAAGAGAAACCAUUGAGCUGGGUGGCAGAUGCAAUUCAUGAGUACCUGGAAGGAGCAGUAACAAAGGAGCAUUUCCUGGGGCUGAUAGAUUGGGUGGAGGCUCACCGUCCGGAGCCAGCUUUAGCGAAGAUAUACAGCAGUGGCAGUCGCGAUGGACCGGCAUUUGUGGUGUCAUCAGGGCAGAGAUUCCCAGGGUCAAGGGUGGAUUUCGGGUGGGGUAUGCCGGCUCUGGGGUCAUACCAUUUUCCAUGGGGUGGGGAAGCUGGGUACGUGAUGCCAAUGCCGAGUCCUGUCAGAGAUGGAGACUGGGUGGUGUACAUGCACCUCUCCGUGGGGCAGAUAGAGUGGAUUGAGACUGAGGCUGCUCACAUCUUUAGACCCUUAAGUUCUGAAUAUCUCAACUUGAGCAACUCAGAUUAGCUUACAUUUAUCACUUCCUAUUUGUUCACUGUCCCCCACAAUGUUUGUUAUUGUCUCCAUCUCUAUUUGCUGAUUGUCAUCCGCUUAAUGUUAAACAUUCCGUUUAAGAAGAAGCCCACCUGAUUUAGAAGCCCCGAUUUUUUGUGGCUUGUCUAUUCCAAUUUCCAGCCUCGUUAAUUUUCCUCCUCUAUACAAAAUUCUCUAUGAACAUAAAUAAUACAUUAAUUGUGGGAUUAGUUUUGACAAAUAGGAAGUAAUUGAAAUUUAUGGAGUUAAGUCCGACUAAUGAAAAAGACGUAACCCAAGUGGUAUUUUUAAUACAAAAAAAACAUUUUAUAAAUAUCUUAAUUUUUUUUAAAAAAUAAAUUGUUAUUAAUAAAAAAUUUACUAAAUCAUAUAGAAUAUAACUAUUUCCAAGUAAUAAAUCUUUUGUACGUUCUUAAAAAAUGAGACAGAUAUGAACCUAAUAAAGUACGAUUUUUUUUUUUAAUAAAUUAAACAGAAUUUUUUAAACAAAGUGAAAAAUUAAAAAUCAAAAAAUCAAAAUGGGAGCAGUCAAUUGGGAAAUAUUGUCCUUUUUCAGACUGCAAAAUGAGUGUAGGCUUCUGCAGUUGCUGCAUUCUAGUUGAUGUGUGAUAAAAGGUUUGUGCCCACGAACCAUUCGGCCACCCCAGGAAGGGAUGAUACCCUUUGGUGCAGAUCCAGACAGCUAUUUACAAAGGGUAGGUCAAAAAACUUAUCAAACCCAUGCCGAAUAGCCGUUUAGGAGGGAAGAAACAGAACCAAAAAUAAAAAUAAAAAAGGAGGAAGAAGAGAAAAGGGAGAAAAAGCAUUGAGCAUAUUAUCCACUUGUCUUCUUCCUAAACGGCUGUCUCUCUCCCUUUUCCAGUUGUGCCUCCCAGCUAACCAAAAAAAAAUAUCUCCCUGUCACCUCUGUAACUAGCCCACAAAAAUGUCCUUAUUGUCAUGUAGCCCCACUUCCUAUUAAGUUCUGUCUCCUUUGGCUGCCCAAGAACGGUUCCUUCUCAGGUGUCAAACAAAAUAAUAAAAAAUAAAAAAUAAACCCCUCCAUAUGGAGGGGGUUUACAAUCCUACAGUUAAAAAAUUUUAUGAAAAAACUCUAACAAAUAAAGUAAAUACUAUUAAAAUUUAUAAAAUUUAUUAAUUUUUAAUAAUAUAUAAAAUAAUAAAAUAUGUAUUUAUGACAUCACUGAUUCGACCAUGGAUAAUUUUUUCAAUUCAAUGACUGGUCUAAUUCUGAAAACAUUUGUAUAACCUUCUUGUAUUUGCCCCAUUUAGAUUAAAAAUUUGAGACAGUUCUUCUUACAAUCCUUCUCUUUUCUUAUAAUCAGAAUAGUAUUUUAACUCAAUCAACAAAGUAUGUAUGCAUAUAAAGUUAUUCCUAGAUGAAUUCUCUCAGUUAUUUCUUAAUUUUUCAUUAUCCACUUGUCCAUCUCACUCAACUAAUCCCUUCUGAUGCAUUGAAAAGCAUUAGGAAUGAGAAUGAGGUUGCUAAGCCAUUCUAUAGAUAUUUAUUUAUGCGAGUGGCUAGUAUAUCUUUCGUCCCUACUGACAAAAGAAAGUAACCCCACAACUACAAGUGUGAUUAGGGUAGCGACAGUGACUGUGUCUAUGUGUCACUGUGCUGUCUUCAUUGCAGAGAAAUGAUUUGAAAUUUAAUUUCUGGUUACACUGCCAUCUUUAGUUAAACACAUUACUUUCCCGCAGUAGAAGUUGCGCAGAGUUAAGGUUAUCUAAUUCUUCUGUGUUAGCGGUACUGGUCCUCUUCAAGUCCACUGAUGAUGAUUUAGAACAAGUAAACCAAGCCAAUGGGGCUUAGGUGGUAGCAACCCCGUUAGUCAUUAGGUUGGCUUACGCACCAAUUUUUAUGCUGGCAGAUUGAGAAUCAUCCCAUCUUUUCCAUAUGUCGGCGCUCCAGUUUUGCAGUCCAACAGGAAGUUGGUGGUAGGGCCACGGAUGUAUAAUGAAUGCAUGCACACGUUUUUUUUUUUCUUUCUUAGUGCUGUCAGCAUGCCUAAGGCCAUGGACAUUAUUUGAAACCUUUUCUCCACCUUGGGCCCACCACUAAGUGUGGUCACUUUGGCACAUGUUCCAAUGGACACUUGACUUUUUUUAUUUAUUGAUAUUUUGAUGACUUUCUAACUCCAGCUCCUCAAAUACCUUACAUAAUUCCACUUAUCAAAUAAUAUCAAAACUUUCAUUUUAAAAUAGUCUUUCUUAGUUACAAUUCUUAAAUUACUUCAGAUUUUCCAUUUUUAAACAAUUCUUCAAAUUUUCAAUUUCUAAAUUUAAUUUCAAAAUUUCAAUUUUCGUAAUUAUUUAUCUAAUCAUUAUUAUUAUUAUUUCAUUCAUUUAUUUAUUCACUUUCAUUUAUUUAAAAUCUCAUAUCCAAAUAACUCUUCAAAUUUCCAAUUUCUAAACUUAAUUUUCAAAUUCCAAAAUUCCAAUUUUCGCAAUUAUUUAUCCAAUCAUUAUUAUUUUCGUUAUUAUCAUUAUUACAUUCAUUUAUUUAUUCACUCAUUCAUUUAUUUAAAAUUUCAUCUCUAAAAAAUUCUUCAAAUUUCCAAUUUCUAAAUUUAAUUUCUAAAUUCCAAAAUUCCAAUUUUCGCAAUUAUUUAUCCAAUCAUUAUUAUUUUCGUUAUUAUUACUAUUCCAUUCAUUUAUUUAUUCACUUAUUCAUUUAUUUAAAAUUCCAUCUCAUUCUUCAAAUUUCCAAUUUCUAAAUUCAAUUUCCAAGUUCCAAAAUUCCAAUUUUCGCAAUUAUUUAUCCAAUCAUUAUUAUUUUCGUUAUUAUUAUUAUUAUUUCAUUAAUUUAUUUAUUCGCUCAUUCAUUUAUUUAAAAUUUCAUCUCUAAAUAAUUAUUCAAAUUUCUAAUUUCUAAAUUUAAUUUACAAAUUCCAAAAUUCCAAUUUUCGCAAUUAUUUAUCCAAUCAUUAUUAUUUUCGGUAUUAUUAUUAUUCUAUUCAUUUAUUUAUUCACUUGUUCAUUUAUUUAAAAUUCCAUCUCUAAAUAAUUCUUCAAAUUUCCAAUUUCUAAAUUUAAUUUCCAAGUUCCAAAAUUCCAAUUUUCGCAAUUAUUUAUUCAAUCAUUAUUAUUUUCGUUAUUAUUAUUAUUCCAUUCAUUUAUGUAUUUACUCAUUCAUUUAUUUAAAAUUCCAUCUCUAAAUAAUUCUUCAAAUUUCUAAUUUCUAAAUUUAAUUUCCAAGUUCCAAAAUUCCAAUCUUGGCAAUUAUUUAUCCAAUCAUUAUUAUUUUCGUUAUUAUUAUUAUUACAUUCAUUUAUUUAUUCACUCAUUCAUUUAUUUAAAAUUCCAUCUCAUUUUUCAAAUUUCCAAUUUCUAAAUUCAAUUUCCAAGUUCCAAAAAUUCCAAUUUUCGCAAUUAUUUAUCCAAUCAUUAUUAUUUUCAUUAUUAUUAUUACUACAUUCAUUUAUUUUUUCACUCAUUCAUUUAUUUAAAAUUCCAUCUCAAUAAUUCUUCAAAUUUCCAAUCUCUAAAUUCAAUUUUCAAUUUCUAAAAUUCCAAUUUUCGCAAUUAUUUAUCUAAUAAUUAUUAUUUAUGUUAUCAUUAUUAUUCUAUUUAUUUAUUUAUUCACUUAUUCAUUUAUUUAAAAUCCCAUCUCUAAAUAAUCCUUCAAAUUUCCAAUAUCUAAGUUCAAUUUCCAAUUUCCAAAAUUCUAACUUUCGCAAUUAUUUAUCCAAUCAUUAUUAUUUCGUUAUUAUCAUUAGUCCAUUCAUUUAUUUUAUUCACUUAUUCAUUUAUUUAAAAUUUCAUCUCUAAACAAUCCUCCAAAAUUCCAAUUUCCAAAUUUAAUUCCCAAUUUUCCAAAGUUCUAAUUUUCACAUUUGUUUAUUAUUAUUAUUAUUUAUUUAUUUUAAAAUUUCCAUUUUAAAAUUUAACUUCCUAAUUUCUAAUUCUUAAAUUUAAUUUUUAAAACUUCAAAUUUUCAAAUUUCAUUUUUCAGACUUUAAUCCUCAAAUAAUUUUCCAAGUUCCAAUUUUCAUGACUCCCAGUUUCAAAUUAUUUUUCUAAAAUUCCAAUUUUUCAAUUCAAUUCUUAAAACUUCAUUUUUCAAUUUAGUUUCAAAACUUGAUUUUAAAAAAUUUGUCUUUCAGGUGGUUUUAAAUCUUUUAAAUUCAUUUAUUUGAUCUGUUUAUUCGCCUAACUUAAUUAUUUUUAUUCGUUCAUCUUUCAUAUAGUUAUUAUUUAUUUAUUUUAUGUUAUUCGUUUAUUUAUUUAUUUUCCAUUAUUAUUAUUAUCAUUAUUUUCUUCUUUAUUUUUCUUUUCUUCAUUAAAAUCUUGAUUCACCAAAAUCUAAUUUUUAAUAAACAUGUUGCCAUUUUUUAUUCAGGUACGCAUCUUGUGAUUUUAUUUGGUUCUUAAUUAUUUUCUCGUUUUUCACUACUUUAAUAAGCAUGGAGACAAUUUUUAUAAUUCCAAAAUAAUGAAAUUUGUGAAACCAAUUCAUGCAAGAUAAAUUGGGCUUAGGUGGGGGCCCUACAUAUGAGAUUUCUUUUUUGAUUGUUAAUUGUUAUGCCUAAUGAAUAUUGCUUGAUUUUUUGUUCUGAUAUUUGGCAUGCAUGUGAUAUAUUUUGUAUUGGUUAUUGUGCCUUAACUCUAUUUCAUGAUAGCACUUUACUACCUGCUGCCAAGGUACGCUCUCGCUCCUACUUUGUUCAUUUAUUCAUUAUCAUGACUUGCUUAUGAUUUGUGAUCAUUUUGGUAUCUAUUGAUUUCUUUAUCAAUUGUCACACUUGUUUCAUUUUAUUAGUAGAGACCCGUUUUUAGGGAGUUAGAGGGGUGCUACGGUCUUUACCGUACCUUCCCAAUAAGUAAUCCGACUCUCGAGUCCAAAUUUGGUUUUUCACAAACCACAUUUUCCAAAUGAGGAGUUACACUUAGAGUUUUCUUUCUUAUUUUGUUUACCCCUUUAAAAAUAAAACAAAAAUAAGUGGCGACUCCAAGUCUUUUUCUAACAAUCAUAUUUUUCGUCAAAUAAGUAAAAAAACGAGUCGUGUCAUCGAGUGGGAAUGCAUCGAGCCAAAAUGCGGGGUCCAUAAGAAUUCAUCAAUCAUCAUAUAUGAUAUCUAUAACAUAAUAUAAGAUGUUAUAACAAUUUUAUAUGAAAGAAAAAUAUAUACUAUAUCAAAUUGUUUAAUCAAACAUAAAAAUAAAAUAAAAAAUUUUAAUUUAAUUUAUUGAAGAAAUGAAAGAUAUGUUAGGAUAGGAAGAAAAAUUUAAAAUUUAAUCUUAAUAAAAUUUAAAUUUGUUUAAAUAACUAAUAUAAGUGAGUGAUGAAAAUUUUUGUUUAAUAAUUAUAUAUAAUCUAAUAAUUAAGUGUUUAAAAAAAUAUAAUUUAAUUUAUUGAAGAAAUAAAAAAUAUGUUUAUAAAAGAAGAAAUGAUUAAUAAUAAAUAUUAAAUAGAAUUUAUUUACUUUCUCACAACAUAAUCAAAUAUAAUUUAAAAUACUUCAAAUUUAUUAUUUAAAAAAAAAAACUUAUUUUUGGGAAAGUUGCAAACAGAGCCUAACUGUCCUCCGUCUAGUUCUGAAUCCAAAAUUCGAAAAACGCUCCAUUGAUGAUCUCCUACCAAAAUCAGACUUAUACAUAUAAUAAAUAAACCAGACUCCAUGGUUGGGAUUGAUAAACAAUAUCGGUGGAUUAUGGGCGGCGAAAACCAAGUUUUUGAUUAGGCGCUGGUUAUGUUCCCGGAUGAGACAUCAGAUCGCUAGCAGAUUCAUUUAGCCUAAAUCUGCGUAAUGCCUUUCAAAACCUCUCUGUAUCUUCUCCGAAAGUCAGAUUCAUUUAACCAACCAGAAAAUAUUCUGUCAAUCCUCCCCCUGUCUGCUCCUCCUCGUACCGAAAAUCAUCUUUCUUUCUCCUCAAUCAUGCGCUUGCACCUCCCCCCUUGAACACGACCUCACUCUUCGUCUACAUACACGUGAAUGUUUCAUUUUCCUCUCCCCCUACAACUUUGGUAAUUCAUGUUUGAGAAAAAGAAAUGGCAUCCUCCUCAUAGACUGAUUCCACACUUUCCAAAAAGCACCACCUCUUCUCUCAAACCUUCCUAUCUCUCUUUUUCUUCUUUUUAUUUUUUCAAACGGGUCUGAAUAUCCUCUCCAAUCACAACCCCAAGUUUCAUUUCCUACGUUGACUCUCUUCCCAACGUGGACUGAACCUGCCCCUUGAAAAGGCUGUCUAUCUUCUUUCCCAGAAAAACCAAACUCUCCAUUGAUAAAUCUUCCUACAAAAUUCAAAGUUAAUAGAUUAAAUUAAAUAAUAAUAAAAAAAUGGGUUUUAGAAAAUGAGUAAAAAUUAUUGGAUUGACAAAAAAUGUAUAUUUUAUAUAAUUAUUAGAUUAAAUAAAAGUAUUUGAUGAAAUUAUUAGAUUAAAUUAAACAAAAGUAUUGUAAAAAAUUAUUAGAUUAUAUUCAAAGUGUUUUAAAAAAUUAUUAUAUUAAAAUAAAUAAAAGUAUUUUACAAAAUUAUUAGAUUGAAUAUAAGUGUUUUAUGAAAUGAUAAAAAAAAAAAAAAUACACAAAGUAAUAUACAAAAUGGCUAAAUAGAUAAUAAUAAAAAGGAAAGUCAUGCAAGCCAUGCAAAAAUGUGAGCCAUGAAGUCAUGCAACCAUGCAAGAUGUGCCUAAAAGGUGACCUAAGCAAGGCUGGUAAAACUAAGUGGGCUAGUCAUGCCUAAAUGGGCCAAGUGUACCUAAAUGGGCCUAGGGGCCUAAGUGGCUAAGGUGCCUAAGUGGACCUAAGGUGGUGCCUAAUGGGCCAAGUGUACCUAAAUGGGCCUAUGGUGCCUAAGGUGAUGCCUAAUGGGCCAAGUGUGCCUAAAUGGGCUUAGGGUGCCUAAAUGAGCCUAAGGUGGUGCCUAAUGGGCCUAGUGUGCCUAAAUGGGCCUAGAGUGCCUAAAUGGGCCUAGGGUGCCUAAGUAGACCUAAGUCUAAAUUAAGGCUGUCAAGAAUAACAAUGGGACUAGAUAAAUCCCUCAACCAAAGUUCCCAAGGUGGCUUAAAAAAAUAUAGGUUACACGAGUAGUAAUGGGCCACCAGGGAAUUGUUGUAAAAUACUGAACAAAUACAUAAUAAGACAUGUGCUAGGAAGACAAAAUGGAGGGUCUACAGUUAUAUAUCAAUACAAUGCAAUUCAUUAACAGUUAGCUCAUUUUCAAACAUGUUGCAUAGUAGGAUUAUGGCAUCAUUAGCGAUGACACUGGAACUAGCUAAAGUUCCUUUCUAUGGGGCUUUCCAUUUGUUUGGAAACUUUUUAUUCCCUAGAAGUAGCUUCACAAAACAAAAUAAAUGCAUUCAUGACUAUCAAACCACCCACGUCUCCCUCAAUUUGAACAAAAUAUUAAAUAAUUCAUAAAAUUCAAGGACAACAACUCAAUUGAACCUUGUGCUAUGUAAUUAUUAUAAUUAAAUUUUAGGAAGGAAGCUGCUUCCUCUUAAUAUACAUUCUUAUCUACAAACAAGGAAAGAUAUUGCUAUUUAAGCCAUCAUUUUUAGACUAUUCCUUACUUAUUUUUAAAGCAUCUUAUACCCGACAUCCUUACUGUUAAUAGACAUUCUUAUCUAUGUACAAGGAAAGAUAUUGCUAUAUAAGCCUUGAUUUUUAGGCUAUUCCUUAUUUUUAAAGCAUCAUAUACCUGACAUCCUUACUCUUAACAAGCAUUCUUAUCUACGUACAAGGAAAGAUAUUGCUAUUUAAGCCUUGAUUUUUAGACUAUUCUUUACUUAUUUUUAAAGCAUCAUAUACCUAACAUCCUUACUCUUAAUAUACAUUCUUAUCUAUGUACAAGGAAAGAUAUUGUUAUUUAAGCCUUGAUUGUGAGACUAUUCCUUAGUUAUUUUUAUAGCAUCAUAUAUCUAACAUCGUUACUCUUAAUAGACAUUCUUAUCUAUGUGCAAGGAAAAAUAUUGCUAUUUAAGCCUUGAUUUUCAAACUAUUCCUUACUUAUUUUUAAAGCAUCAUAUACCCGACAUCCAGAUUAAAAAAGCUCAAUGAGUUUUAGGAUUUAUGUCACCAUCAUGGAUUUUGCAAAGUUCCAGACGCCAAACCACCAGCCUGAGACUUCAUCGACAUAAAAUAAAACACCUGAAAUCAGAAACCAAUUUUUUAAGAGUUGAUACUUGAGAUGAUUGGAUAAAAAAAACGCAUUCAUGUGAAAAAUGAAAUGUAAUGUUGCACAAGUACCAUCCAACCAUUAUGGUCGACACCACACACCAGGUUUGUUGUUGAUUCUGCACUCCUCAAACUACACACACAAGUAUGAAUAUUCCAAAUGAAAAUUUUAGCUCAAUUAAAUUCAAAUUUUUAGUUUUUUCCUUUUUCCCAACAGCCAAACUGGAAAACCAAUUUUAGCCUUGGCCAUACCUUGUCAAGCAUCGUUAUUGGACUGGAGCUCUUCCAGCAAUGUUCUCUAUCAUGACCGCAACCAUUUAGAUCUUUGGAGGUUCCACUUCCUUGCAACAAAGGAUCAAUUGACUUCAAAUAGGGAACUCCAAGGCCUACACAACAAAAAUGGUCUAAAAGUUGUUGCAUAGGGCACAAAAAGCUAAAUCACUUCAAGAUUGACGUGUAGCCAAUGAAAGGACAAAGCAAAAUCAAACUUCUCGAUUUUUAUUCGACUUCGAAAUGUUAGGAUAAGCUUAUUCAACCUAUGAAGAUUUUUCUAUGUCCAUGUGAUACCCAUAUAAAGCCUACCUCAUACAGUCAAGCCAAACCUUUGUCAUCCACCCGGAACUUUAAACUGACUACAAAAAGGGAAAGUCCGAAAGCGAUAAGCCCAAGUUUACUGAGUCUUCACCAUGUAUUGGGCUAUUUUUUUUAAUUUUUUUUUUUUUAUGGGAAUUCUAUAAGCCCAAAUGUAAACAACGUUAAGGCCUUAGUAUGUUGGUGAAAAAUGGUAGAGAAAGAGGAAGAGGAAAAUAAGGUUGUUUUUUUGGCAUUGUUCUAGGGUUCAAGGGUGAAGGGUAUAAGUUCUUUCAUCAACCUUUUAGGAGAGUUCUUGUGGUAUGAUCUCUACCUAAUCUCUUUCUAUUUUUUGUUUUCUAGGGUGAUAGAUUCCCUCCUUAGACAUUGAUAUAUGUUUCCAUUGUUUAUCAAGGUGAAGAAAGUAGUGAGGAUUUAUUUGCAUUCAUAUUUUUAUUAAAGUGAAGGAAAUUUUUCCCGUGGUUUUUUACCUCGGUUAGGAGGGUUUUUCCAUGCUAUAUUUGGAGCAAUUUUGGUUGGAUGUUUUUAGAUUAUAAUUGCCUUUUCUUGUUAGGUUGCUGCUGUUGAGAGGUUGUUAACAUUAUAGGAAAUCUUUUAACUUGUGUAGGUGAAUACUUUAUAAUUCCUUUUUAUCCCAACGCAAAAUCCCUCCUCGAAUUGUUACCAGGUCGUAUUCAACUUCAAAGGAACACAACUUUGGUGGCGAUGAUGAGGAGCCUUUGGUUUGUCACUACCGAAUGAGAAACUCUAGUCCAAGUCUUUAAUGUUCUUCACGAACUACUAAAUCAUAUAAUUCAAAUCAUUAGACCAAAUAAAUAAUUAUUUUAGAAGAUGAAACUCAUAGCAAUUCAGAAGCAAUCUCGGGGUUGAAGUUGCAGGAUUUAAUUUCAAGUCCUUACUAAUCCUUAUACUAGUCUUAUGAUAGUAAGUAAGAUAUAGUAAUUAAGAUGAAUUAUGUUUGGCUAUUUGUGAUUUUAACUCUAAUUCAUCUAUCAGAUUUUGGAUAUUCCAACAUGUACAUUUGAUCACCGGAUAGCAGACGCAUAUUCUACCAAUAUGUUCCUAGUUUCAUGGGCUGAGAUGGCUCAGUCCAAGCCCUUAUCUGUAAUACCAUCUUUCCGGCGUUCUCUCCUCAACCCUCGACAUCCAGGCUCCUAUGCUCCGUCCCUUGACCACAUGUACGUUCCCAUCUCA
RNAcentral lists this long non-coding RNA (233171 nucleotides) under Vitis vinifera (wine grape). Its description in RNAcentral is "long non-coding RNA (VVIN_LNC002891)". The stretch from base 142860 to 142921 matches the Rfam family "tRNA", at positions 6 to 65 of the family's 71-position model. The record is from RNAcentral. Lineage: Eukaryota; Viridiplantae; Streptophyta; Magnoliopsida; Vitales; Vitaceae.